AUUUCCUGCAGUGCUGCUUUCGAACACAGCCUGCCAAGAAGCCUUCAGCAACUAUGCCACUUGAGCAUGCUUUCCUGCGAAUUUGAAGUUGCUUAUGAUUGACUUAUUUCAAGUGCCAUACGUUGUUGCAAAUGGAUGUGGUACUGUAAAGUUCCAUAUUUACUAAACUAGAAUAAUCACAGGGUCCAUAGAUGUGAUGAAGUACUUGUAUAUCGACGAAAUAAGAUGCAUGUUCCUCUCGCAUGGUUUGACCAGUGUCAUACUACGAUCUAGGCAAAUUUGACAGUGUUGCUUAAUCUAAACAUUUUACUACAGAGUGCAUUCUUAUCAUAAACAUUUUGUAUGAAGUACAUUUAUUCAUCAAAAUUGAAUGGUAUUGAUAUGGCUCCAAAUAAGAAACGGAUCAGCAAAACAAAAGUAAUAAAACCCAAGGAAAAAGGAAAAGAAAAAGAAAAUCGAAGUGAUAGUGCAUCAGAAUUCCUGAAAUAAUUUGGAAAGGAAAUACUCUGUCGAUUUGGUGGGAGGAACAUUGGCAGGUUUGGCAAACCUGCAACGUCUUAGGAUUUUGGAAGUGAAGGGAGAAAUAUCAAAGUUACGGGCAUUGGAGGCUCUUAAUUCUUCCGGACAGACCACAAUGGCUUUUCUCGAUUCACCGGAAAUUGGUGAUGGUGAUGAGGGCCACUCUGAUUGGAGAAAUUUCAUGUAUUUGUUGAGAUCAACGAUGAUGAUGAUCCAAGAUUUGCAAUUUUCGAGAGGAGAAUCAACGUUGAUUGUUGCGAUAAUGCACGUCAGGGCAGCAGGGAAAAGUUUUUUCCCUGGUGGUUUUGCCCCCAAGUGAUGCUGCAAGUUUGCUGGAUUUCCCCCUAACGGUUUUUUGUCAUUUCCCGGAACGUUUCUGGAAUAAUUUUGCAUGUUGUGUCUAUAAGAUGCAAAUAGCUAGUGAAAUUUGUUAAAAAUAUCUCAUGUGGUUCGUUUACAAGAUUUUAAUAGGCCUUAUAUUUAUAUAAUUUACCUUCACUUACUUGUUCAAAUAUUUAGGUUGGAUUUUCUCCUAUGUGCAAAUAGCAAUUUCUACGUGAAAUGCAAACUAAACAUGCUUCCUUUUUUUCAUUAUUUUUUCUGCAAUUAAAGUGAUUCCUCUACCCUAAUGCAUACCAGAAAUAUAUUCAAAAGUGUGACAGGAAAAAGAACUCCUUGAAAUUUUGCAAAGUAGGAGGCGCUUUUUAGACCAAGCGAUGUCUCUCGGCUGCAUUGAAUUGUGUCUUCGUUUUCGUUUUCUUUUGUUCUUUUCCUCAAUCUUCAACCAACAUUCUAACCAUAAGGCGCCUUCUCUUUUGUCCCUGUUCUCUCCCCCUUUCUUUCGUACAACUCGCUCUUCUUUUCCUGCUGUUUUUUUUUUUUUUUUGUAAUGAAGACUACUAAUUGGUGUUUGGUCUUUCAAAGUGUAGCAUUAUUGAGCAUCAUCAUCAACUCAUCAAGUUCGCUAAACUCAGUCAUCAAUUAACUAACAAUUCUUGUCUAACAGGAACUGCACCAACGAAGCAAGAAAAAGAUAAACAAAAACUCAGGCAAGAACUCAUUCGUUUUCAAGACUCGGUCAUAAAAAUCGAGGAAAAGAAACUAUGAAUAUGUGCCGGAUUUUUCUCUGCUGCCGUGUCCUUUUUCACCUACUUUUGACCCAGAAUUCGACCAUUUACAGCUCUCGGUUCCUUUUGUGUGUUUUCACACUGCUAAUUUCCUUCAUUCACACACGAAGGAAAGUCGUGUUGAAAGUGGCCUCCUUUCGGCCAACCAGGAGGAGGGAACGGAAAGGACUUCACUUCGAAGAGCGGGCACGUCCAAAAUUCUCAUAAGAAUUCCCAUUUAAAUUCGCCUGGAAAUUCAGAGUCGGGUUGUGUAACAGAUUGGUUCACAAUAAUUGCACUCUUAUUAGAAAGGGCAGUACAAUCACAAGAAUGUGAGAUUACAAAUGGAGUUUAUUAUGGGUCAAAUUAUCAGUGUUUUUCUUCGUUAGUUUUUAUGAAGAUGCGAUUGAAACCUUUGAGCUCGUAACAGUAAUUUAACUUAAAAAUUAUUGAGUUAUUAUAGUCUUUAAAUCAUUCUUGGGACAUUUUUUUUUCUUUUUGAUCUAAAGAUCCAAACUACAUAUGAAACGAGUCCCGUGAUUGGGAAAACACGAAUUUAGCAUAUUAUGCUUGCUCCUAAAUAUUUUUAUGUGGAUGCCACAUAACAAGUACCUAUAUAAGUUCAUGCAAAUAGGAUCUAGCGAAUUAACAAUCCAAAAUUUGAGAGAAAAUAUGAAGUAAUUUUGUGCAUUUUUGAAACUCUGUUAGUGUACAUUCUUGUAGUUUUUCCUUGUCCAAAUAUACUGAUUUUCAACUUUCACUAAGAUGUUGCAAAUUCAAUUAGAAGCAUAUGAUUAAUAGUCCUAAUUAGCCAAGUCACAAAACCAAUCAUAAGAGAUUCAUUGCGGUUGUCACCAAGUCUUGAAUUGGUGGGAUGGUUAUUCCCAUGGCAAGAGCGGCUAACAUCACAAACUUCAUCCUCUAGGGAUUAAGUUAAAAUAUACCUUUGGCACUUAAAAUGUUCUAUACUCCAUAAUAAAUAUGUUACUUAUUUUAUCAAUUAAUCUACCCUCAAUAAUAUGCUAAUAUUGGUUUAGAUAAUUUGUCGAUUUGGCUAUAACUUGGAAUAAGAGACAAUAACAAUAUAAAUCUAAUAUUGAAAAAAAAUUGUUUGAUUUUUUUUUUCACUUAUUAGUUAUUCUUUUAGCAAUUACCGAAUAACAUCAUUCAAACUGCAUAAUGCCAAAUCUAUUUUUUUUCCAAUUACAUUAUGCCAUAAAUGUGCGAAUCAACAUACAUGAUUUCACCUCAAACAAAUGGACUUUUUUUAUGAAUAAAUUUAAAAAAAAACGAUAGAAAAAUAGCUCAUAUUAGGGCCAUUUACCAGGUAAUGCAAAUUAAAACCAAGUCUUAUUUAUGUGUAUUAAAAAUUUCCAAUACCAUAUCAUAUCAUUUACACAAAAAAUGCAUAGAAUAUAAUUCGGAGAAGAAGGAAGAUAAGAGAAACUUAAACAAAAGAGCAUUUCUAUCUGUCCUAAGAUAGAAAGUAAACAUCAAAUUUAGAUAAUCUUACUUUAAAUACUUAUGUAGCAAGGACAUUCAUAAAAAUUAGAACAUAAUGUAAGCCUAAACAAUAAUAUAACGAUUGAUUUAUAUAAAGUGUCAAUAUAACAUUAUGCAAAAAAUUUAUACAUGUAAUAUGGGUUCAUAUCAAUAAAUGGAAUUGGAAGUAAAUUUCUGAAUCUAUGCAACCCAUGGGUCUUUGUUUACUACACAUUCUACAAAAAUAUGCAGUCAUAAGUUACAAUUUGAUGGAAUCACCUACCAAUUCUACUCACAUCAUAGGAAAUGUUUUCUAGCAGCUGGAUGGCUUGGAAUAUUUUGGGGCCAGAGAUGGACACAUUUCAUUCAUAUGAGGGUACAGGUCCACUGUAUUGUAUCCUGGCAGCUCCAUUCGAUACCAACCUCGUAUUUGAUAGAACAGAAGCUCGACGUCGUCCCCAUCAUCGCACCACUUAGGCAAGCCGCUUGAAUGAUCCUCGAAGCACCUUAGUGAGUAAGCAUCUUUUAUCUGCAUAAAAGACAAUGCUAUUCACAAAAUGCCAGAUGGGAUGCCUCAUGACAGAAAGUCACGCUUUUAAAGGCAAACUAGAUUAUAGUUUUCUCAAUCUUUGAAGAAAGUGACAUCCAUCUCUAGAUAGUAAAUUCAAGCAAUUAGGGUAAAAAAGAUAACCCAACUAGGGUCAAUCAGAUCGCACUUACAGUGAACUCUGUAACAUGAAUGGAGCUAGAAAUUGGAUCAAAGAGUCCUGCUGCUUUGUACAUUUCAAGAACAAAAGCUACACAAGAGGCGGACUUCCCGUCACUGUAUACCCAAUGGUCUUGCUCUGGAGUGUAAGCAGUUCAGCAAAAGAUGACCCCCUCAUUUCAGUUUCGUGUAUUAGAUUAGGAAGAUCCAAGCCCUGUAUGCAACACAAUCGUAAGGUAGCCAUAAAGUAAAGUAAGUGUAAUUACAACCAUAUAACAUUUGUUAACAGAAUGUCAUUCAAGAGACAUUAGAUUUCAGUUGCACCUCAGUGUGCAAAACAAGAUGCAUAACGUCACACAGACAAUUGCAAAUUGAAUGGGACGGUACCUUUGUUCCUAGUCACUUGUUGAGUGCUUCAUUCCAUAUGUUCGCAGCAUAGGCUGGUUGCACUUGGUUCCAUAGUCAUAACAGAAGCAACCUACAAUAAUACAAUGCUUUCUAUAAAAUGAGUGAACGGCACUCCCAUCACGCGAAUAAAGCACCCCACAUGGUGAGCAUAUUACAUGCAUCGUCAGUCAGGCUGAUAGCAACUCUUAAGAAAAAAUGAACAAAGUCUACUAUUUUGCUGUCUUAGUAUCAUAUAGGAGGCCAUAAAAAAUGAAUAAUUGUCAAACUAAGCCAGGUUCUUUUCCAUAACGUUAGCACUCAAUAGAGUCACAUGCGAACCUGCUAUUUGGCAAAAUCACUGUUCAUUUUUUAGCCUUUUGUUUUGUUCAGUUGAAUUCAUUCGAAAUCAUGGCAUGAUUGUCUAAUUUCAACUAGAACGUGUUGUUAGGAUCUAACACACGGCUUAAUAAUAUUUCAAGGUCUAUCAAAGUAAGAGUAAAUUGCUGUUUAGCAGUCAUGUUGAGAAGCAGAAACUAUUUCGUAUCCAGCAUCUAAGAAUCUCAAGGCAUCUACAGAUAUACCUUGGAAGUAACACAAGGCCUUAGUGCUAGAAAAUCGUCUAAGGCAACUGAAUGCACCCACAAAAUAUAUAUAAACAUAUAUGCACGUGUACAAUCUCUGUACCACAUGAGCAUCUAAUGGCGCCGGAUAAUUUGCGCCGAUGGUGUCUAUCCAGCUAAAAAGCAUGUUGUGAUAACCAUAUGGUUUCCCAUUCAUAAUCUGUGCAAACUCCCAUGCAGCAGCUCAUUAAAUUUGGCUCACAUAUCAGGAUGCAGUGGAAGCAACGCAAUGUGGGGAUUUGAGUAAUCUUUGUUAAGCUUGAACUCCCACCAUUUUCCCAUGGUAACACAGCAAUGACAUCUUCUCCCUGCAAUGAUAAGAACAAAACAAAACUUGCAUAAUCUCUAUUACUAUGUUAGACUUCUGUAGCACCUGACCCCUUUACCAACACAAAGGAACAAAGCAUGUAGCAAAAACCCAAAUGUGACCAUAAAUUAAUCAAGGUCUGCCUCAAGUAAAGGACGUCAUUUCAUCAAAUUCUAACCAUAAUCAUCAUCAGUAAGUUAUCGUCUCGUGUGUAAGGAUGGUCCUGAAGUUCAGUAGAAAAAGUUCAGACACUGCAUUCCCUAUGUUACAAAUAUGAUGAUGCUCCAAUAGAGCUUCUAGUAGAAGCCUAAAUAGGAUCAGCUGCAGUUCAACAUGAACCUGAAGCAGCAUGUCAUCGUUUACUUACUCAUCCUCUCUUACAAUCAAAAGUUUCUAUGGGAGCACAAAAAGGAAAGACCUAUCUUAUUAGAGAACAUAAGAUGAGCAAGGAGAUUUAAGGACAUAGGGGCGUGACUAAAGCACGCUUAAUAUGCAAAAUGGAACAAUCUCAAUGGGAACCAUAUUUGUGAGAGAAGAAGUCCAUGAUUCGACAAAAGUCACAUUUAUAAAGUAAUCACACAGAAAUACAAUGCCCCAAAAACCUAAGGGUUCAUGAAAUGUUAGAGAAACACAGCAGAAACCCUACUUGUCCUUUUCAAUAUGUAUGAGACCACACUUUGAUAAUCAGAGGACAUUAAAGCAGUAUUGUAUGAGAGUCUUUAAUGAUGAAUGACAGAUAAGCAUAGUGAAUUUUUUUUUCUUUUUUUUGGUCGGUAAGCACAGGGAAUUAAAGAGAUGGAGAAAUAAUGACUCAAACAAUUCUGGGGGUGUUUGAAACAUUUGAACGUUUGUCUGUUGGAUAUCCCCAUAUAGGAACAAGGUGGACAGUUAUUGUGGAAGACUGGCAUACUUACAGCCAUGUUAAUAUUGUGUCUAUGCAAUUGGUUUAAAACUUUACUUCACAAUUACAAUUGCAGAGACAGCAGCAGGCAAAAAGAUUGGAUGAAAUGUCGAACAUCAAAAGUAAUCCGUCAAUGUAUGGAAAAAAAAGAACAAGGAAUAGAAAAAAAUGCUUAAAAACAAUCGCAAGGUAAUCCUUUUCCUCAAAAGGCUUUUUCUCCACUAGUAUAUAUAAAAAUUAGGCCUUCAAACUGAAAAAGAAAUACACUUACAUGCAUAACCACCCUAUAUCUGUUUCCGAAUUACCUGUUCAUUAUCAUGUCCGGAUUCACCAACCCAAAGCUUUCCUUCAGCAUCCCUUAAGCACACAGCUGUGUGACCAGCGUAUGCGCCACUGACCCAUUUCUCUAGAGUCCCAAAACCACCCCCACUUUCCACGAAUUUUUGAAAUUGCAAUGAAGUCUCCAGAGUGGAUAUCAUCAAUGCUGAUGUUUGUAACCAAGGGCUGGGGACGUUGCUCAAAUGAAGCUCCCAUAUGCUUCUUGAGAAAACCAAUGUUAGAUUUCUCCCCUCACCCGGUAUUUGAAAACAAGGAAACACAUCCCACAGUGCUUGAAGGGUCCCUAGCAUCCCAGCUUGCAUCAGAAAGAUUGACACUCCUCUACUUUUCACCUGCAAUCAAAAUAAUGGAAAAUCAAAGUUUGACAACUCGCCAAUAUGCACAAGCAAGAGCAGAAGAGAAAAAAGAUAAUUGCAGCUUACAUAUUCAAACUCAGCUUUUCCUUCCCACUCUUUGAACUCAAAUGUGUGCUCACGAGAUAAAAGAUACUAGUCCCAUGUCACGCAGUAUGGGGUUGCAAAGACAUAAAUAUCCAUACAUGUCCAGCUAUGGGCUUUGCUGACCUGGAUGAGCAAUCCAAACUCAUGGUUACAAGCCGGAUACCUACAACUAGCUGUUAGUUUCCAUAUUCAGCAGAACUAGAUGCAAAAACAAGGACUAUGAAACAUCAACACGAGGCAGUACCCACCCAAACUGGAAUAGCCUCCAUAAGAUAAUUUGAUUUUACAUCAAACGAAACAAUUGUACUUGUAUGAGCAACCAAAUCACUAAAUCCUUCUUCAACCACUUAAAACCUAGACACAAAAGACUCAAGUGACCAACCAUGGUACCAAUUCGUGGAGCUUAAUCAAAGCACAAACAAGCAGAUGAAAGGAGAAGGAAAGAAAAAAACUUAGCUAGUGACGAAAUCCACUAGAAACAUAUUGAGGUAAGAACUGAAAAAUUCCAUCACUCAGAUUCCAACAUAAAUAACCAGAAUGAGAAAAGAGGAACAGUUGGGAUCAAGUGCAUGGCCCAAACAUCGAGGAUAUUCUCUAACGUCCUUUAAAUAAGUGAUUUUCUUUCACAACUCUAUAGAUAAGUAUGACCGCACACUUCAGUUGGUAAGAAAAAUACCGUAAGUAGAUAGAAACUCUAUCCAGUUCAGAGCUUUGAAUCCAUUAGAAAAAAUCGACCUCAAAUUAACUAAAAUAGAAAGCUCAAACUAAGUUAAUCGGAAAUUGGGAAAAGCUGCCAAACGAUGGCCAUUAGACCCCAUCAAACAAACUCCUACAGCCUCACAUCUCCUAGAAUUAUCACACAAUCGAACUGCAGUGAAUUGAAUUAAGCACUAACAUUCGACCAGAGAACCUUAAAAGCUCGUGAACAGUGACUGUCUCUCCACAUUACCAAGCCGCCACAAGCUCAAACAUCCCAAAAUCUUCCAGAAUCGCACUCAAACACAAGUAUUUCCAUUCCAUUCCGUUCCCCACUAUUCACCAAACAAAAAAGAAGACUUGGAAUCAUCACUCCAGUCCAUUCCUUUCCCCAUCAUUUCCCGAUUUCAUUCCAUUCCACCGUACCAAACCCGACGUAAUAGUCAACCAGAAAACCUCAUCUUCCAAAAUGGCACUCAAAACCAAAAGGAGACCAAGCAAAAGCGACGCGAUAAAACUAAAGAACGGACCUUGAUGUGAGGCGUGCCUCCGCCGAACUUGCUCCCGGUGUUGUUGUGGAACUCCCACCAAGCGGUCGGAGGAAAAAACGGCGCCGAGGAAGGCGGGCAACAGGUGCAGGGGACGGCGAAGGGCGUUGAGGAUGGGCCAGGACAGCUGCUUCGGCAAUAGAGGGAGUAUGUUCUCCAUGGUGGAACGGUGGUUUCGCGGCUCGAGAGCGCGGGUUGAGCAGAGAGGAGAACGUGAAGAGGAAGAGAAGUAGCAGAAAUUGGCUGACGAGAAGCCAUGGAAACUGGGGGGGGAGAGAGAGAGUCAUCUCUCCAGCGACGGUCCACUUCUUUAAGUGUCUCACACUGUAAAAGGUGUAGGGGCAAGAGGAGCCACUCGUUUUGAUUAUAUCCUUGGACGCUUGGUAAUUUAGGGUGCUUAACCAGUUAAAUGAAACAUUAAAGCAUCAUUGGGGCUGAAAAUAUUAUGUAUUCUUAUAUUAUGUAUUAAUGUUGGCAAAAAUCUUAAAUUAUAUCCAUCCUGACAUUAAUGUCUCGAAUUAGUAUUGAUUUCGUGGCAAACAAAAGUUUAAGAUUUUUAGAGACGAGAGGUAUUUCCACUUCAAAUAUAAGUUUAAGUGUAGAGAUGAGCAAUUAGAAGUCUCCACAAAAGAUGUAACCCUAUGGGAAGAUAUAUUGCCUUCCCACUCUCUUAUAGCUUGCCGUUAAACUGCGGCCAUUGAUAGCGUCAAAUCGGCUUAUAUUGCCUACCCCCACCCUCUUAUAUUGUUGCAACAACUUUAGCUACACCACCUUUUCAGGACUUGGUUAACAUCAAGAGUAUUCUAUAAAUGGUGUAUAUUUUCAUUUUGUAUGAAGCUAUAUGCAUGUUGUUAGUACGAAUUUGACGUUUAGCACGUUUUCACAGUAAUCAUGCAAUCUCCCUUAUUGUUAUAUUGUGUCUUGAGUUUGAGUAGAGGUGUCAAAAUGAGUUAUUGACCCAUUUAUGGACUCAUUUAAACAUAAAUGGGUUGUUAAUGGGUCAAGCCUAUUUCCUAAAGUACCCAUAAUGAGUUUUAAUGGGUUAAGACUGAGAUAUAUGAAUCUUAAAUGGGUCAAAGAACUUGCCCAUUUAAGACCCAUUUAUCAACCCACUAAAAAUAAACUCAUUUAUUUUAAGCCAAAACCUCACAAUCUCUCUCUUCUCUCUUUAACUUUACAAAAUAUUUAAAAAAAAAACCAAAAUUAUAAUUAUUUUUUUAUUUUUCUUUUCUUUUCUUUUCUUUUUUUCUUUUUUCUGUUUUCUUUCUUCUUCCUCUGGUCGUCGGCACUGCGAUGGCCGGCGACCGGCCAGGUGAGCCUUGGGCUCGCUAGAUCUGGCGAGGCGGAGGCCUCGCCGACGUCCAGCGAGACUCGAGCCUCACUAGAUCAGGUGAGGGGGCGAGCUUGAGGCUCGCCGGCGUCCGGCGAGGGGCGAGCUCAAGCUGGCUUGAUGUUGGCGAGCCUCGAGCUCGUCGGAUCUGGCGAGGCGGAGGCCUCAUCGACGUCUGACGAGGCUCGGGCCUCACCAAUCUGGCAAGACUUGGGCUCACCAGCGUCGGGCGAGCUCGAGCUCCCUGGAUUUGGCGAGCCUCAAGCUCGUCAAUGUUGGCAAGUUGGGCGAGCUCCAGGUCGCCUGUGGCUUGCCGCUGACCAUCAUUGUGGCCAGCAGCCGACCAAAGAAGAAGAAGAACAAAAAAGAAAAAAGAAAAUUAUAUUUAAAAAUAAAAAUAAAAAUAAUUAAAAAAUUAAUUUAAAAAAAAAAUUAAUAUUCGAUUUUUUAAAAUAUAUAUUUUUAAAAUUAUAAAAAAUGUCCAUUAAAUUUGCGUUGUAUAAAACCAUUUUAGCAAUACCAUUUUAUAUAUAUAAUAAGUUUUCUUAAAUUUAAUUAAAUGGGUCGGGUAUGGAUCGAAAAUUUUGUAUUGCAAUAAACGGGUUAAAUGGAUCGAUUUAGGUCGGAUCAUUUAUGACCUGAUCCAAACCCGACCCGAUCCACCCGUUUAACAGGUAUAAGUUUGAGCCCAUGUAUGGGCCCACAACUGAAGAAUCUAUUGCUCAAAGUCACGCACAAAAUGCAGUGUUCUUUUAUUAAUUAAUGCGCACGCAAGUCUUGGACUUUUUUCUCCACUUCAUUAAUGCAAUGCAUGCACGAAUCUCCUCCUGUGUCCCUUUAUCAUUUUUCUCAUUUUUGGUUCGAAUUCCCUUUUGUCAUUGAAGGAGCUGAACGUCCAUUUGUCGCCUUCACUCCAGAGCGCCCCCUCUUUCGGACUCCCCCUGGACCAGCGAAAUGGGAAAAUUCGGCGCCAAAGUCAACGUUGGAAACGCCGGCGACGGCGACGUUCUUGAGGCCUAGCCUCAAGAUUCGAGUGGAAUUGAGAGGGUGCUUCCAUUCCAGACAGCGGUGGAGAGCCGUGACGCUCACGGAGUGAUCGAGACCCAGAGAUUGGAUCCAAGCGCAGAGGCACGCGAGUCUUUUUCGCCAUUUUCAUGGAAUAGGGGUGGACGUUGGUGAUCUGGUUGGGGAAAGGAUGGAGCGUGAGGAGGAUGGUCAGGGACGCAUAUAGGAACGGACUCGACUUAGGGUUCAGGAACGGGUUUACAAAUCGGAUUGAGGUUGCGAAAUGGACCUACAUCUUUCUAGGAUGGAGAAGUUUUUUUCAGAAAUUGUCAGACGAUUUCAGGAAUUUGAAAGAAAUGAGGAGGGGCUAGAGCACAGGGGGAAUUUUAAUUUAUUUUGGCCAAACGUUCGAGCAAUAGUUUCGAAUCACUAAGGAGUAUAUAUAAAUUUCAGUACGGUGACCUCUUUGGUUCAGAUUGGAAAAGUAGUGUGCGGUGGCCAAUGGAUAAUGAUCUCGCUGCCCUCUAGCGAUAUGCAAGGGCCUGGCAGUGCAAUAUUGUGGGCUUAGUAGGGCUUAUUUGCUGGAUAUGCAUCGAUUUCUGCCAAAUAUAUGGCAACAACCGAGUGGCAGAGGUUGUUCUCAUGGGGACCACCAGGGCCAUGGUCGCCGUCCCCUGGGAUGAUUAAUUUAAACAAUUUGUUGAAUUGCUUAAUUCGACAAUUUCGUAUUCGAUAGUGUUGACUCCGUAACUUGCUUUCUCUGAUGAUAAAUGACCAAUAUCAUGCGUUUAGACCACAGUAAGCAUCGGCUCAGAGUCAGCGGUAACAAGUCAAUGAUUGACGCCCUUGAAAGACUUCUAUCCUUCCAAAGUCUAUUUUGACUUAGGCAAUUCCAUUUGUUUCUUCACAUACAUGUUCAAAUUUUUGAGUCAGACUUUCUCAUGUGCUGAUGACUUAAUUACUGCAUGGUUAUAUUAUUAAACUAAAUAAUUUGAUAGAUUAUGAUUGAUCUUAUUAAGCCAACCGCAUUUGAUAUUUUCACGUUAUUUGGCAUACAAAAUGUCGAUAUAAAUAGUGUAAUUCCGGGGGCCGAAGUUGUAAUUGGCUCAAAGGCGAACACGUCUUCAUGAGUAACACCGUCAAACUCCUUUUGAGAUUCUUGGAAUGUCUCCUACUUAGAUAACUCGAUCAGUUUCCUCUUUUUUCUAAUAGUAUAAUUUCCCUUUAUUAAUUUCCUCUAUUUAGAUCUAGUGUAUUUCUCUACUAGUACUUCAGCUCCAGGUGAAAUAAGGGGAUUAAAUUUAUCUGGUCGAUUAACUAUCAACAUCAAUUAAGAUUUAAUUUCUUUCUAUCUCUUUUCGUAAAUAUUUAUACACGAAAUUCUUAUUGUGUAUUUUUAUCAAUAAAUUAUUUUCAUUAUUUAAUAAUUCAUAUAUUUUACCCAAAAAAAUGAUUUAAAUUAAUUUUUUAAAUACCAAUUGUUCCCACACNNNNNNNNNNNNNNNNNNNNNNNNNNNNNNNNNNNNNNNNNNNNNNNNNNNNNNNNNNNNNNNNNNNNNNNNNNNNNNNNNNNNNNNNNNNNNNNNNNNNUUCUCUAGAAUAAAUAAGUUUCUUAAGAAGGUAUUUCACAAUUUCCAAGUUGUCUUUGAAUUAAUCGAGUCUUUCUUAAAUAUCAAUCUACAUAUUGGCUUUCUAAUUGUUGAAUGGGUUUAGUACCCAUGGAUAAUAAGUAAUGCUACAAAGACCUUAGAAGACAAAAAGGAUUUUCACCCUAUAUGAUGUCAUGUGUUCUCAUUGCCCUAAGAACAUAUGUUAGCUUGUCAUACUAUCUAAUGGGCUAGGAUGCAAAAGUCACAAUAUAGCCGUAUGUAGUAUGGCCAUUAAAAAUGCAGAAUAAACAUGGUUUCUUUUUAUUAUUAUUAUUUUUUUUACGAAUAAAGUGAUUCAUUUAUUCAAAACCAUAUUGGAAAUAUAUGACAUGAAUGAUAUAAAAUGUAACAGAAAAAGAAAUUUCUUGAAAUUUUGCAAAGUCGGAGGUGCCGCUCAAAUCGAGAAGUGCGGGUGGUCCCAGCAAAGUGACGUUAAUGUACAAGAAACAAAAGGUAGGAAAAGUAAUAAGAGCAACGUGCAGAAACGACGACGGCUUGGCGUGGAACGAGCAUGGCUUUAAGCAAACACAGAAACAGCACAUCUCGCGAUAUUUUGAUGUCGCGUAUUCUUCCUCUUCUUCUUCUUUUUCUAAACUGAUAAGGCUGCUCCGGAGCCUCUCUUCAUUUUCGUUUUUUUGUUUGUUUUUUCCUCCUCAUUUUUCCAACCACAUCCUCACCAUAACGCGCCUUCUCUCUUUUGUCCCCUAGCUCUCCCACUUUCUUUCGCCCGACUCUCUCUUCUUGUCUUGCUUUCUUUUUUUGGUUCCCGCCCAAACCCUUAAUGAAAGAUUAAUUGCUGUUUAGUAUUCCAAAGUCUAGCAUUAUCGGGCCCCAUCAUCGACCUAUCAAGUUCGUUAAACUCAGUCAUCAAUGGACUGACUAUUUUGUUGAACACGAGCUGCACCACCAUGGCAAGAAAAAGAAAAGUAAAAACUUAGGCAAGGGCUCAUUGAUUUCUAACACUUGAUCAUAAAAAUUUUUGAAAAGAAAUUUUAAUAUCACUGCUUUGAGGAUGGAUGCACUCUCAACAAGUGAACCCGAGUGAUCGAAUUCAAUAAUACGACAGAAUCAUCUCAAAGAUUUAAGUUUAAUAGUUAUUUUAUACGGCGAUUAUGAUAGGAACAUGAUAAUUUCGAGCGCCUGCAAUGUGAUGUCUUGAUGUAUCAUAGGAAUGUUAAUUAGAUAUGCAAACAGUAAAGAGGCAACGGCAUACCGGCAAUGACUUGGGUAGUAACAACGCAUCUAUGAGGCCUAUCCCUUAUUCGAUUUUUUUUUAUUUCUAUUUGUUUUUGUUCAUGUUUUUUUUCUCGAACCGCUCUAAUAUGAAUUAAAUAGUAGACAUCUUAAUAUAAAUUCAACAAUAGAAUUCUCCAUUUCAUUUUUGAAUUUGAAUGAGACUUUUUCUCUAAUUUUUUUACUAAUUCAUUUAGAUUACAUUUUAUAGUAUCACUAAAAUUUUAUUAUGUAAUUUAACUUAUUGUUAUAUCAUCCAUAUAAAAAUCAAAAUAUAAUCUAACUAAAUACAAUAAAUAAAAUCAAACAAAAUCGAAAUGCUCAUUAGAGCAUGGGAUAAUCAUAUUAUCGACAUUGUAGAAAACAGAAAUUCUAAUAAUUUUUAACUACUAACUAAAAUAUGUAAUGUGUUUGUAGGUAGUAUCUCAUUCUGUUUUCUUCUCACCCACUAGCUCUAUGCGCAAUUAUUGAGCCGUGACCAUGUGAAUGCUAGACUAAAGCCUCCCCUCAGCCGGGUUUUUUCCUGCUUUUUAUGUCCUUACCUUUUUCACUAAAUCUUUGCUGAAGAUAUGGUCCAUUAUGAGGAGGUGCUAGUUUUUUUCUAUGUUGUGUCCACUUCUGACCGGAGAGGACUUACUAUUCGGAGAGCGGGCUGCGUCCAAAACUUUCACAAGAAUUGCCAUUUAACUUCACCGCGGAAAAUUUAGGGUCAGGUCGUGUAGGGUUAGUUCAUAAAAAUUCACAAUCAGGGCCGCAAUGUUAAAUGUGAAAUAAUGCAAUGGAGAGAGAGAGAUUGUGGGAUUAUGAAUGUACUUUUAUUAGGGGUCAAAUUAUCGAUGAAUCUGAUCGUUAAAUUUCAUGAAAAUGGGAAUUGGACCUUUAAAUGAAAAUUUAUGUAUCGACAAUAAUUAAUCUUACAUAUUAGUAAGUAAUUGUUUCUCUUUAAAUCAUCCCUUAGUUGAUUUUUUUUUUCUUUUUGGUCUAAAGAUCUAGACUGCAUACAAAAUUGGUCUUGUGAAUUCAUUAGUACAGGUAAUAUUCUAAAUUUGAGUCAAGAUUUAUGCAAAGUAAAUAAGCAACACUACUCACGAAGAUUUUCCUAUUGAUUUCUAGAGGCAAAAAAGAGCAAUGCUAUGCAUAGGAGAACUGGACAUAUAUAUAUAUUAAGAUGGAUAGAAAAUGAUAAGGAAAAUAGUGCGGUAGCUCUCUUAAGAAAAUUUUGUUUUUAAUUUUUUAUUUUCCUUGGAAAGUCUAGAGAAUUUGGCAAUUAAGUAAACCAUAGUUUAACAUUCCAUAAUAAUUUUCCACCUCAUUCGGUGCACUAAUUUUUUGAUAUAUUUACAUAUUUAGCACCAUUUCGGGCAAGACAAAGAAAGAUAAGUAGGCUCAAAAGUUUAUCGGGUGCACGUUCGCAUGAGUUUCCUCGUGGUUAAAGCUGAAAUUGGCUCAAAGGCGAACGCGUGUUCUUGAGUAACACUGUCCCACUCCCUUUGAUGACGAUGACAUCAGAGACAAUUACCCGACACUAUUGAAAAGAGAGAGAGAGAGAGAGAGAGGGGGGGAAGAGGUCUUAUCGUGGCUUCCAAAAGAGGCCACUUGAAAUCUCUUAAAAAAAGUGAAAGUUAUGCGAGGUGGAGUGACAUCCAUAUAAAUAGACAAAUUGCUCAUUAUUUUGUUAAUAGAUUAUUGUCUAGAAAUGAAAAAGAAAAAAAAGAUGUAAAUAGUGAAGCAAUGAGGCAGCAAUAAAAUAGGAAACUUGUCAACCCCCCAUCCAUUAUAUUAAAUUAAAAUAUUAUUAAGUCCAUUGUCGGUCUAGAAAAUAAUUUGCACAUUCCCGAUUAAGAGUUGACACGUGGAAUAAUUGACUGGCAAAAACAACUUCAAACCCACACGUCACUUAUUCACGGUAAAUGUGUAUUGAGGUUUUAACAUCGACUAUGCUUCCAACAAUAUCCAUUCAAUUACUAGGUUUUUCGGCUAACAAUGUUUCUAUAUUUAGUUUAAUAUAUUCAAAUAAUAAGACCAAACAGAUAAUAUAUUCGAAUGUUCAAAAUUUUUACCCAUGGGGGUUAAUUAGGAAUGCCAACUAUUUAAUAAAACAUUGAAAAUAUUAUUAUUUCGUAGUAUCUAGAGAAUGAAAAUAAAUAAAAAAAGUCAAAGUCAUGCGAGGGUAGAGUAAAAGCAAUCAAAUCAUUAAAGAGAGAAAAAAUCAUUUUUAUUUAUUAAAGUAAUAGGUUAUAGUGUAGAAUGAAAACAAAAAAAAAAAUAUUCAAAACAAAAAGAAGAGUAAAAGCAUGCGACGACACCUAUCUAAUGUGCCAUUGCUCCAGGAGGCCUCCACGUAGCACCCGAGUUGUCUAUUCCACCGUCCAUCUCGCCGACACGACGGACGGGAAAAAAACCCACGCCGGACCCCCCCACCCCCGAAACGGCACAUGUUGGUGUCAGCGGGAGCGUCGGACCGGGCCCCGCCCCGGUUCACGAGGAUCGCCACCGAUGAUGUGGACAUGUCGAGAAGUGGGGCAGGGUCAAAGCAACGGACGGCUUGGAUUCAGCGGGGGCUUGGUCGUUCGGCUUGUCGUACGCCUUUUCAUGUGAUCACGUGAAUUGGGCGUACUACGGUGAGGGGGAACAAGGGGAGAGGGUGGGGCCCGUUGGGCCGGGGAAUGUAGUUAGGCCAUGAUGAUGGACGGCUGGAUGGACGGAUGAGUAUUUGGUUGAUGAAAAGGAGGAAGCGCCAUAAAUCGGUGAUUUCUCGGGGUCCUGAUUCCACGCAAUUGACAGUGUGAAUGUGAAAAUUGAUCCACAACGAACACAAUCAACGCCCCCUGACCCAGCAUCUAGUGGGGAGAAGGUUGUCAUUGAUGAUUAGGCCUUGUAAAUUGGUAUUUUCAUGGUUUGAAUAUAUUUGAUAAAUUUACCUAUACAAAAGUGCUACAAUAGCCGAAGGGGAGGCCAACCGUAGUCCAACCGUAGUCCAACAGAGAUCCAUAUUAGUUUGACGUGAUAUUGCUAUGGUUGUUAUAUUUGUUGUCCGACGAUGAUAUAACGUGAAAUUAUGUUUACGAUUACGCACUUCUGUAUUGAGCCGUGAUUUCCGUGCUUUUUCUGGCGGUAAAAUAUAACAUAUCUGAGACUUUCGACAGUGUAGUUGAUUAGAAUUCAAGACUUUGACCAAGUCCAAGUCUCUCCCUUUCUUCACCAAAACCGGUUCAUUCCCAUUUCCAACAGCAGGCGAAUGCCCUUGUUUCUGUAGGAAUUGGGUUACUGCCUUCAACCAGAGGAAGAGUCUUUGCUCGAUCCCUGGAUGCUGACUGGUGCUUCAGAUUCUCAAGAGCAGUUUCUUAGCUCUACUUCUUGAUGUGCAUCUUUGCCACUUGCAUGCAUCCGAAUCUUCUUUUUCAGUCCUAACUGGUAUGUUGCUUCGUCCUCAUUCCGUCUAUAAGAAUCAAAUAAAGACUCUCCAACUGAACAUCCUUAUUUAACUGGAUCAACAAGUAGAUCUGACGGAUUCUAUACGAAAUGAAGGGUUAAAUGACCUGAAUGGAGGUGGGUGGACGUAACUGCGAGAUGCAAUAAACUUCUCGGAGAGAGACCAAGAAACAGAGAGAGAGAAGGGGCGAGAAGAGAGGGGGGAAGAGCGACAACGGUGGAUUGCAGGCCGUCAAAAGGGUCGAGCUACGCCAUAACUCGCCAUUUCCGAAUACUAGAAAAGAUUUUUUUUAGCUCUAUUUCUCAUGAAUUUGGGUUUUUUGUUUUGAAAGUUCCUUUCCGGAUCUACUUUGGAUUUGCUUUGCCGGCAACGAUUCGGUCAAAAUCCAACGAUAUUCUGAUUCCUCACAUCUCCUUGUAAUUCUAGAAUUAAUUUUUUUCGAGUUGAUAUCCAAGUUGUCUUUGAGUUGAUCGUCUGGGUCUGUUUAAUAUUAAUUUGCAGUUUGGCCUUCCCGCUUGAAUACUCGUGGAUGUUAUUACUUGCUUGAGAAUAAUGCUAUGCGCGCUAGGAAAAUAUAAACAAGAUUGGUACUUCAUAUAAAUGGGUGCGCUCUCUUUGCCCACAGGUUGAUAAUCAAGACGACACAUGCCACGAGUUGAAGAUACAGCCUGGGAAAUUCGUGAUUAGACUGGAGGCAAGAAAUGGCGUUGUCCUUACUGCAGAUGAUACUCUGGAUCAGUGCACAAGAGUGAAAAGUCACUUUCUUAAACAACCAAAAGAAGGGAUUGCCUCUUGCGCAAAAGUGCCGGAUCACAUCAGCACACUAAUGGGAUUGAUACACAAUCAGGUGGCUUUAGUACUUGUGGUAGCUACAUUAUCUGCUCGAGAAUGAUGCUAUUCACUCUAAGAAGAUAUAAAAAAAUUGGAGACAAUAUAUAAUGGGGUGCACUCUUUUUGCUUGCAGGUUCGUAACAAAGAGGAUGUAGCCUGGAAAUUCGUCGAGAGACUGGGGGAUAACAAGUGGCGUUGUCAUCACUGCACGGAAGAAUUCUCUGGAGACCUUACAGGUGUAAAAGGUCACUUGCUUACAGUCCCAAAUGAAGGGAUUUCCGUUUGCACAGGAGUGCCGGACCACAUAAGAACGCUAAUGCGGUCGUUACUUGAUGCGGUGGCUGAAGAAGAGAGCAGAGGAGCCAACAGUCAAUCCUCCAUGGAGCCACAAUCACGUCACAUGCCGACUCAACUGUCGCCUUCAUUUUCACCAGAAAGCCUCGAAUUCUUGAGACCGUUAUUACCAACACCACGGAGGGCGACCAAAAUGGCAAACUUCACCCAACAGGAUGUCAUUGGGUCAAACUCUGACCAACAAUCACAAGCGGAGCGUCAGCUUCGUCAGAGUUCAGCAAUGCCAUUAUUGGUGCAAAGUAGUCAUGGUAUGUCCACGUGAAGUUUCUUUACAUUCAUCUAGGCGUGAAGAAAAAAAAUCUAUUACAUUUUUUAUAUAAUUAACUCUAUCUAAAAUGACUCAAACUUAUCUAUUUCCACAUCGCAUCAAUUCUAAAUUACAGAGGUAUCAUUGCAUUUUCUAUAUGUCCGAUAUCACUAUAUUUUUACAGCACAGUUUAUUUCAUUUAAAUAUUUAACUUACGAGCAUGCUGAUUUUCGUUGUAGAAAUCUCUCUCUGUGAUCAAGUUCUAGAUGUUUGUUUUAUCUGUACCCAUGACUUGAUUUGAAAGUCCCAGUGUUGACUGAUCUUACGCUUGAAUAUUUUAGUGCAACCAGCUUUGGUGUCCCCUCAACAUCAAAGUGUUCUGCGUCAAUCUAUUAAUCAUGAGAUGAGGGAUACACAGCAGAAUCCAACCAUUCCUCUGGAUAAUCUAGAUACCACCCGGCAACCUGAUCUUCGUGACUCUCCACCAGAGAAUCUUGUUGAAUCUCGUGAUGUAAUUGUAAACGCUCUUGACGAAAUGCAAACGAAUGAACAGCAUAAUCCAACAGUGGGAUCAUCAUUACAAAAUGAUUUAUCCCUUGAUGUGGACCAUACAAAUCGUUUACUGGAUUGGAGUCAACCGUGUGCAGUGGAAGGCGUUCCUCUAUUCAGCAAUACAAGUCCGACCAACGCUGUUGAGCAUCCCGAUCAGCUUUACCCUAGGUGUGAUGAGGAAGAUGGAAAUGAUACCCGUUUGUUCCCCUCGCAAACUCCAAUGGACAUAGAUCCCUCAAUUGCCUCACCGCAUUCAAGUGACUCUCAUGAUAAUUUGCAAGUUCUAGAAGCAGCAACAAAUGCAAUAGCCCCAUCAUCAUCACAAGGUAUGUCUGGAUUAAUCUAAAUUGUUCCUCUUGUUCUGUUGGAUUCUUAAAUAUCCCAGAUUAAUUUAUCGAAAUCUAACAUAUGUUUUUAUACAUUAGAUUUGAACAGGGGUUAUCCAAUCAUGACCGCAUGGAGCAUCAAUGCCAAUGAUGAAGAGAUAAGAAAGCUCAAAAGAAAAGUGGAAGAACUUGACGACAAAGAAGCUGACGUAAAGGAGCAGAUGGAGAUAGAGUCUUCUUCCUCAGUUCGGAAGAAGCCGAGGAAAACAGUUGAGAAAUGGCUGGAAAAAACAGAAAGAGCAAGAAAUAAUUUCCAAAUAAUUGGCCAAGCCAAUGGGGAAACUUUGCCUCCGAAGGAACAGGUGGUGACAUUGACGAGAGAAGUGGAAGAGCUCAUAAAACAAGCGCUUCCACAAACACUACUCAUAGAGGAGAGAGAUGCCAAAGGAGUCAAAUUUUUGGAACGAAAGCUAAUAGGUGAAGCGAUUCAUGGGAACAUCGAGUUUAUUUGGGGCCAUCUGAAGAAGAAUCGUGCAUGCAAAUUGGGUAUUUAUGGAAUGGGUGGUGUGGGGAAGACAACUAUCAUGAAGCGAGUACAUGAUAGACUUCUAGAAGAUGCAACCUUUGAUGGUGUGGUUUUUGUCACCGUGUCCAAAGAUUUCAGCAUUUCUAAGUUGCAAAUUGAUAUCAGGAAGGAGCUAAAAUUUGACGUUAAGGAGGUUGAGGAUGAGGAGAAACGAGCAGCAAUGUUGGCGGAGCAUUUAGAAAGAAGGAAGAAUUGUGUAUUGAUUCUUGAUGAUGUGUGGGAACACCCACUUCUUGACCUUAAAGAGGUGGGAAUCCCUGAUAGUGCAGAUGGAUUUAAGUUGGUCUUAACCACUAGAUCCUUUAAUGUGUGCUGCCAGAUGCGAUGCCAAGAGAAGAUAAAAAUUGAGCCUCUAUCUCAAGAAGUAGCCGAGAGAUUGUUUCUGGUGGAGCUUGGAUCCAAAGGGCCACCUAAUUUGGAAAUUGCGAAGUCCAUUGUUAAAGAAUGCGUAGGCUUGCCAAUUGGAGUAAUCACGAUGGCAAGAAGCAUGCUAGGAGCGACUGAUGUGUUUGAAUGGAGGGAUGCCUUGGAGAGAUUGAAAGAAUCGAGUAUUGGGCUAAAAGAUAUGGAGAACAAGGUGUUAAUGAUUCUGAAAUUCAGUUAUGAUCGCCUUGGUGAUCCCGAUGUCCAACAGUGUUUCUUAUCUUGUGCACUUUAUCCAGAAGACGAAUUGAUUUAUAAGUUCGAGAUGGUAGAAUUCUUUAUCGACCAAGGAUUAAUUGAUGGAUUGAAUACAAGGAAGAAACAAUACGAUAGAGGCCUCACCAUAUUGAACAAACUGAUAAAAGUUUGCCUAUUGGAAGAUGAUGGGGACUAUAUGAAGAUGCACGAUUUGAUUAGAGACAUGGCAUUGCAAAUCAUGAGUGCGACUUCAAUUGUAAAAGCAAGAAAGGGAUUGAAGAGGAUUCCACUUGAGGAAUAUUGGACGGAUGCUUUGGAGAAAGUGUCUCUAAUGAAAAAUAACAUUAGCGAAUUUCCGUUGAACUUGUCACCAAAUUGCCCCAAGCUAUCAACUCUUCUAUUGGAUUAUGGCUUGCAUGAUGUGGUCAUACCUGAUUCUUUCUUCAAAAAUUUAUGUGGGCUAAAGGUUCUAAAUCUAAGUAGAAUUGAUAUGACAGAACUUCCAAAUUCCAUCUCAGACUUGGUAAACUUGAGGGCACUAUUGCUUGGAGAUUGUAUGGAAUUGCGCCGUAUUCCUUAUCUAGGGAAGCUCACAUCUUUAAGAAAGUUGGACGCUAAAAACUGUAGGAGUCUUGAAGCGCUCGAGGGUUUGGAAAAGUUGGUGAACUUGAGAUACCUUGACCUUAUUAAAACACGUAUUGAGAGAUUGCCCAAAGGAACGUUGGACCAUUUAUUAAACUUGCAAUAUCUUAAAUUUCCGGCGGUAAAUGAAGAAGACAUUACAAAAUUGGGGGCAUUGGAGACAUUUGAAUGCUACCUUAAAAAUGUGGAUGAUUUUGACAAGUGUGUGAAGGCUAUUGAGCAGAGUAAUAACACUCGCUAUUACAACCUCAUCGUGGAUCUAGGAAAACCAGAGUUUUUUGUGCAAGUAAGUGAUGAUACUCGAUGUGGGAGUUUUGAGAAUUUGGGGAGGAGAGUCAUCAAUAGGGACUGGGGUCAUGCCAUUGUGAGUGUGGGAGGCGAAUGCACCGGCAUUUUUAUUUUGAUUCCCCGAGACGUGCAGGCAAUGAUGAUGAAAAAAUGCAACGGUACAACAAAUUUGUCUAGCAUAGGUCUGCUUAAAUACCUCGAAGAGCUAGAAAUAGAAAGAUGGGAAAACAUAGGGGUGCUAUGUGGAGAACGAGACGAAGAAGUAAUUAACAUCCACGACUCCCUCGCCCGAACCCCUAUGUCUCUCCUCUUCCCGAGCCUUAGGGUUUUGAAAAUAUGGAAAUGUCCGAAGCUGAAGUAUCUCUUUGGGCAUGGGUCUAAAUCCAACCUUCCGCAUCUACGAAAGAUUGAAAUAAAUGAAUGUGAGGAAAUGGUGGGGAUAAUAGCAGCAGUUACAUCCCCACCACCACAUCUGCUCCCAUUUUUCCCUAGUCUGGAAUCGAUUAAUGUUGAAUCCUGUGGUAAAAUGAAGAGAGCGGUGGAAUCUGAGUGGAUGCCCCACUUCCCUAAUCUGAGAUGGAUCGAAGUAACCGGAUGUGAGACGAUGGAUGAGAUAAUUAGAGGUCCUCCACCAUACUUGCUAGUUGAAGGGAUUCCUCUCCAAUCUCUUAUGGUAAAAUGUUGCGAUAACAUGAGAAAGUUGUUUCCGCAUGAAUGGCUGCUCCAUCUUCGAAAUCUGCAAGGUAUCGAUGUCUGUAACUGCGAAGGAAUGGUGGAGUUGAUAAGUGGAGCAGGACAACGCCAAGAAGGAAGUAUAAUGACUCCUGUAAACAACACCCCUUCAUCCUUCCAGCCUUCAAUUUCUCUCCCAAAGCUGGAUUUGUUGUGCUAUACGAUCUACCCCAGCUGAAGAGCAUAUGCGAAGUACCAAUAAGGUGCGAUUCCAUGAAAGAAUUGACGGUGUCCAGAUGCUCAGACCUGAAGGGGAUUCCUUUGCAACUGCGAUUGCGUGAUAUUGAGGAGCUUCCGUUUUUUUUUUGGUGGAAGAUGAGGAAAGGUGGAAGACGUUGAUGUGGGAUCAUCCCGAUGCUCAAGCUAUUCUUCAACCUUAUCUCAGAAAAGGGGAAGAUGCUAUAGGUUAAUGAGUUUAAUUGAUAUACGAUUGCUUCACUUCUUAAAAGUCCUUACAAAGAUGUAGCUUUUCUGUCUAUAUAGUCAUGCAGCUCUCUAACAGUGGCCUUUUGCAGAAUUGGAGGCCAAGGGAAAGUAUCUCCAGUGACUCUGCUCUUGAAGAAAGCCCUGUUGCUCAAUCAUGCUUUCCUGCAAAAUCGACUCGAGUUACCAUAUGAAUUGACUUUUUUCGUGUGGUCAUGCUUUGUGUAAUUUGAACGCGCUUGCAUGUUUUAUUGACUACUGGAAAUGAGUCAAUUUGGUCGAUAUUUCAGUUUAGUCAAAAAAACAACAGAUCUAAGGAUUUGGGAAGCCAGGGGACUAGUAGAGUUUGUUUCCUAUCUUAUCUUAUAACUGAAAGGACAAUUUAUUCAUACAUGCUCAGGUUGAGGAUCAGCUUUACGUAUAUCUAGAAUAUGCACAUCAUUAUUGUCUUGUCAGGCGGUAGGGGAAAGUCUUUCCCCCAUUUGGUUUUGCUCCCAAGUGAUGCUGCAAGUUUACCGUAUUUUCCCCUUAUGGUUGUUUGUAAUUUCGUGGAAUGUUUUUAGAAUAAUUUUGCAUCUCCUCUCUAUAAAAUGCAAAUAACCGAUGAAAUAUGUUGAAAAUAUCUCAUACUGAUUGUUUACAAGGUUUUAAUGGGCCUUACAUUUAUAUAAUUUACCUUCGCUUGUUCAAAUUUUUAGGUCGAACUUUCUCUUAUGUGCAAAUAGCAAUUUCUACAUGAAAUGAAGAGUAAACAUGCUUCCCUUUUUUUUUCUACGAUUAAAGUGAUUAUUCUAAGAAAUAUAUAAAGUGUGACAGAAAAAGCAACUCCUUGAAAUUUUGUAAAGUCGGAGGCGCAGCUCAGAAUGAGCUAUGACUCUCGGCUGCAUUGGAUUCUCUCUUCAUUUUCGUUUUCUUUUGUUCUUUUCCUCAUUUUUUAGCCAACAUCCUAACCAUAAGGCGCCUUUUCUCUUUUCUCUCUUAUCUCCCCCCUCCCCCAUUUCUUCGUACAACUCGCUCUUCUUUUCCUGCCUCUUUUUUUUUUUUUUUUUGGGGGGUUCUCUGCCCAAACCCUUAACGAAGACAACUAAUUGGUAUUUAGUUUUCCAAAGUGUAGCAUUAUUGAGCACCAUCACCGACCAUUAAGUUCGCUAAACUCAGUCAUCAAUUAAGUAACUAUUCUUGUUUAACAAGAGCUGCACCGACGUGGCAAGAAAAAGACAAACAAAAACUCAGGUAAGAGCUCAUUGAUUUUCAAGACUCCAUCGUAAAAAUCGAAGAAAAGAAACUAUGAAUAUGUGCUGGAUUUUUCUCUGCCGCUGUGUCCUUUUUGAACCACUUUUGAUCCAGAACUCUAUCAUUUUCAGCUCUCCCUUUCUGUUCCUUUUGGUGUUUUCACGCUGCUAAUUUCCUUCGCUCACGCGCACACACACACAUGAAGGAAUGUCAUGUUGAAAGUGGCCUCCUUUCGGCCAACCAGAGGGAGGGAACGGAAGGGACUUUUACUUCGGAGAGGGGGCCGCGUCCAAAAUUCUCAUAAGAAUUCCCGUUUAAAUUCACCAAAGGAAAUUCAAGAGUCGGAUUAUGUAACAGAUUUUUUUUUUUUUUUUGGCAGUCCUACGCUAUUCCUACUCUACACUCACUCGCAGACUUGUGCCCUGCCUCUUGCAGGGCGUGGGAGUCGCAACCCAAGCUCGAAACUUACGCGUCCCUAUCCCCCAUCCCCCCUGAGGAGGUGGGGAUUUGAACCCCUCACCUCCCCCUUCCAUGUUGAAAGGGUGGCCACUGGGAUUGUGUAACAGAUUGGUUCACAAGAAUUGCGCUCUUAUUAGAAAGGGUAGUGCAUAGAAGAUGUGAGAUUACAAAUGAUUUAUAUGGGUCAAUGGUCAAAUUAUCGGUGUNNNNNNNNNNNNNNNNNNNNNNNNNNNNNNNNNNNNNNNNNNNNNNNNNNNNNNNNNNNNNNNNNNNNNNNNNNNNNNNNNNNNNNNNNNNNNNNNNNNNNNNNNNNNNNNNNNNNNNNNNNNNNNNNNNNNNNNNNNNNNNNNNNNNNNNNNNNNNNNNNNNNNNNNNNNNNNNNNNNNNNNNNNNNNNNNNNNNNNNNNNNNNNNNNNNNNNNNNNNNNNNNNNNNNNNNNNNNNNNNNNNNNNNNNNNNNNNAUAGGAUUUAGCGAAUUGACAAUGCAAAAAUUGAGAGAGAAUAUGAAGUGAUUCUGUGCACUUUUGAAACUCUGUUAGUGUACAUUCUUGUAGUUUUUCCUUGUCAAAAUAUAUUGAUUUUCAACUUUCACUAAAAUGUCGCACAUUCAAUUAGGAAGCAUAUGAUUAAUAGUCCUAAUCAGCCAAGUCACAAAACAAAUCAUAAGAGAUCUAAUGCGGUUGUCACUAAGCCUCGAAUUGGUGGGAUGAUCUUUCCCAUGGCAAGAGCGGCUAACAUCACAAACUUCAUCUUCUAGGGAUUAAGUUAAAAUAUUAUGUUUGGCACUUACGGUGUUCUUAUACUUCAUAAUAAAUAUGUUAUUUAUUUUAUCAGUUAAUCUACCCUGAACAACAUGCUAAUAUUAGUUUAGAUAAUUUGUCAAUUUGGCUAUAGCUUGGAAUAAGAGACGAUAACAAUAUAAAUUCAAUAUUGAAAACUUUUUGUUUGAUUUUUUUUUCUCGCUUUUUAGUUAUUCUUUUAGCAAUUACCGAAUAACAUCAUUCAAACCUUGUAAUGCCGCAUCUAUUUAUUUAUUUAUUUAUUUCAAUUAGUUUACGGCUAAAAUGGGCGAAUCAACAUACAUGAUUUCACCACAAAAUAAAUGGACUUUUUUUGAAAAAAAAAUUAAAAAAAGAGAUAGAAUAAUGGCUCAUAUUAGAACCAUUUACCAAGUAAUGCAAAUUAAAACCAAGUCUUAAUUUUUUUUUAUGUGUAUUAAAAAUUUCCAAUAUCAUAUCAUUUCAUUUUACACAUAAAAUGAAUAGAAUAAACAUUAAAACCCUUUGUCCAUCGUAAGAUAGAAAGUAAACAUCAAAUUUAGAUAAUCUUACUUUAAAUACUUAUGUAGCAAGAACAUACAUAAAAAAUAGAACAUAAUGCAAGAACUAAACAGUAAUAUAACGAUUGAUUUAUAUAAAGUGUCAAUAUAACAUUAUGCAAAAAUUUUAUACAUGUAAUAUGGGUUCAUAUCAAUAAAUGGAAUUUGAAGAAGUAAAUUUCUGAAUUUGUGCAACCCACGGGUCUUUGUUUACUACACAUUCCACAAAAAAUAUGCAGUCAUAAGCUACAAUCUGAUGGAAUCAUCUACCAAUAUACAAAGUUCUAUUCACAUCAUAGGAAAUGUUUUCUAGCAAUCUGAUGGCCUCGAAUAUUUUGGGGGCAAAGAUGGACACAUUUCAUUCAUAUGAGGGUACGAGUCCAUUGUGUUGUACCUUGGCAGCUCCAUUCGAUACCUACCUCGUAUUUGACAGAAUGGAAUGGAAGCUCAAUGUCAUCCCCAUAAUUGAACCACUUAGGCAAGUGGCUUGAAUUAUUCUCGAAGAACCUUAGUGAGUAAUCUUUUAUCUGCAUAAAAAACAAUGCCAUUCACAAAAUGCCAAAUGGGAUUCCUCAUGACAAAAGUUCACGCUUCGAAAGGCAAACUAGAUUAUAGUUUUCUCAAUCUUUGAAAAAAGUGACAUCCAUCUCUAGAUAGUAAGUUCAAGCAACUAGGGUCAGAAAGAUAACCCAACUAGGGUCAAUCAAUCGCACUUACAGUGAACUUUGUAACUCGAAUGGAGCUAGAAAUUAGAUCAAAGAGACCUGCUGCUUUGUAUAUUUCAAGAACAAAAGCUACACAUGAGGCAGACUUCCCAUCACUGUAUACCCAAUCAUCUUGCUCUGGAAUUGUCAGCAGUUCAGCAAAAGAUGGCCCCCUCAUUUCCCUUUCGACUAUUAGAUCAGGAAGAUCCAAGCCCUAUAUGCAACACAAUUGUAAGGUCGCCAUAAAGUAAAUUGCAAUUUGAAUGGGAUGGUACCUCUGUUCCUAGUUGCUUGUUGAGUGCUUCAUUCCGCAUGUUCGCAGCAUAGGCUGGUUGCAUUUGGUUCCAUACUGUCAUAACAGAAGCAACCUACAAUAAUACAAUGCUCUCUAUAAAAUGAGUGAACCACACUCCGAUCAUGCGAAGAAAGCACCCGACAUGGCGAGCAUAUUACAUGCAUCAUCAGCCGGGCCGAUAAAAACUCUUAAGAAAAGAUGAACAAAGUCCACUAUUUUGCUGCCUUAGUAUCAUAUAGGAGGCCAUAAAAAAUGAAUAUUUGUCAAACCAAGUCAGAUUCUUUUCCACAAUAUUAGCACUCAAUAGAGUCACAUGCUAAUCUGCUAUUUGGGGAGAUCACUGUUCAGUUUUUAGCCUUUUGCUUUGCUCAGUUGAAUCCAUUCGAAAUCAUGGUAUGACUGUCUAAUUCCAGCAAGACCAUGCUGUUAGGAUCUGACACAUGGCAUCAUUAUAUUUCAAGGUUUAUCAAAGUAAGGGUAAAUUGAUGUUUUGUAGUUAGGUUGAGAAGCAGAAACUAUUUCAUAUCCAGCAUCAAAGAAUCUCAAGUCACCUACAACACAAGCCCUUAGUGUUAGAAAAUUGUCUAAGACAAACCGAAUGCACCCACAAAAUAUUUAUAAACACAUAUGCACAUGUACAAUCUCUGUACCACAUGAGCAUCCAAUGGCGGUGGAUAAUUUGCAUCGAUAGUGUCUAUCCAGCUAAAGAGCAUGUUGUGAUAACCAUAUGGUUUCCAUUCAUAAACUAAGCAUACUCCGAUGCAGCAGUCUCAUUGAAUUUGAUUUGCAAAUCAGGAUGUAGUUGGAGCAAUGCAAUGUGGGGAUUUGAGUCAUCUUUGUUAAGCUCAAACUCCCACCAUUCUUCGCAUGGGAGCACAGCAAUGACUUCUCCCUGUAAUGAUAAGAACAAAACAAAAAAUUGCAUUAUCUCCAUUACUAUAGUGGACUUCUGUAACAGCUGUCCCCUUUACCAACACAAAAGGACAGAGCAAGCAGCAAUAACCCAAAUGUGAAUUUAAAUUUGUUAAUCAAGUUCUGCCUCGAGUAAAGGACGUCAUUUCAUCGAAUUCUAACCAUAAUCAUCAUCAGUAAGUUGCCAUGUCUCGUGUAAAGAUGGGUCUUGAAGUUCAAUAGAAACAGUUCACACUGUAUUUGCUAUUUUACAAAUAUGAUGAUGCCACAAUAGAGCUUCUAGUAGGAGCCUAAAUAGGAUUUGCUCUAGUUCAUCAUGAACCUGAAGCAGCCUGUCAUCAUUUACUUACUCAUCCUCUCUUACAAUCAAAAGUUUCUACAGGAGCACAGAAAGGAAAGACCUGUCUUAUUAGAGAAGAUAAGAUAAGCAAGGAAAUUUAAGGACAUACGGGUGUAAUAUAAGCAAAAUUAAUAUGCAAAAUGGAACAAUGUCAAUGGAACUGUAUUUGUAAGAGAAGAAGUCUAUGAUUCGACAGAAGUUACGUUUAUACAGUAAUCGCACUGGAAUCCCAUGCCCCAAAAACCUAAGGGUUCAGCAUACGACAUAUUACAGAAACACCACAGUGAGCCUAGUUGUUCUUCUCAAUUUGUACAUGACAACCCUUUUAUAAUCAGAGAAUGUAUAAGCAGCAUCAUAUGGGUGUCUUAAAAAAUGAAUGGCAGAUGAGCACAGGGAAUUGAGGAGGAGGUGUAGAAAUAAUAACUCAAACAACUGGAAGGGGUGUUUCAGAUGUUUGAACGUUUGUUUGUUGGAUAUCCCAAUAUAGAAACAAUGUGGCCAAUUCUAGCCAGUUAUCAACCGGCAGCCAUGUUAAUAUUGGUUCUAUGCAACUGGUUUAAAAAUACACUUCACAAUUACAAUUGCAAAGACAGCAGUAGGCAGAAAGAUUGGAUGAAAUGUCAAAAUUCAAAAAUAUAUACAUCAAAAGCAAUCUAUCAAUGUUUGAAAACGAAGAACAAAAAGGAGCAGAUAAAAUGCUUAACAACAAUCGCAAAGUAAUUCUUUUCCUCGAAAGGCUUUUUCUCCACUAGUCAAUAUAAAAAUCAGUCCUUCAAACUGAAAGAGAAGUGCGCUUACACGUAUGACCAACCCAUGGCUGUUGCCAAAUUACCUGUUCAUUAUCAUGUCCAGAUUCACCAACCCAUAGCUUUCCUUCAGAAUCCUUUAAGCACACAGCUGUGUGACCAGCAUAUGCCCCACUGACCCAUUUCUCUAGAGUCUCAAAACCACCCCACCUCCCUUGAAUUUUUGAAAUUGCAAGGAAAUCUCCAGAGUGGAUAUCAUCAAUGCUGAUGUUUGUAACCCAGGGCUGGGGACGUUGCUCAAAUGAAGCUCCCAUAUGCUUCUUGAGAAAACCAAUGUUAGAUUUCUCCCCCUACCUGGUAUUUGAAAACAAGGGAAACACGUCCCACAGUGCUUGAAGGGUCCUUAGCAUCCCGGCUUGCAUCGGAAAGAUUGACACUCCUCUACUUGUCACCUGUAAUCCAAAUAUUGGAAAACCAAGUGUAACAACUUCUACUAUGCACAAAGGAGCAGAAGAGAAAAAAGAUAAUUGCAGCUUACAUAUUCAAACUCGGCUUUUCCUUCCCACUCUUUGAACUCGAAUGUGUGCUCACGGGAUAAAAAAUAGUAGUCCCAUGUCACACAGUAUGGGGUUGCAAAGACAUAAAUAAUACGUGUCCAGCUAUGGGCUUUGCUGACCUGGAUGAGCAAUCCAAACUCAUGAUUACAAGCCGGAUACCUACAACUAGUCAUCAGUUCAUAUUCAACAGAACUGGAUGCAAAAACAGGGACUAUUAACAUGAAUGGAUAGUACCCACCCAGAUUGGAAUGGCCCCCACAAGAUAAUUUGAUUUUACAUCAAAGGAAACAACCAUACUUGAAUGAGCAACCAAAUCCAAAUCACCAAAUCCUUCUUCAACCACUUAAAACCCAGACACAAAAAACUCAAGUGACCAACCAUGGUACCACCAAUUCGUGGAGCUUAAUCAAGUACAAACAAGCAGAGGAAAGGAAAAGAAAAGAAACCGUGGCAAGUGACGAAAUCCACUUAAAACAUAUUGAAGUAAGAAAUGAAAGAUUCCAUGACUCAGAUUCCAACAUAAAUAAGUAGAAUGAGAAAAGAGGAAUAGUUGGGAUCAAGUGCAAAGCCUGAACAUUGAAUGAUAUUCUCUAACAUCCUUUGAAUAAUUAAUUUUCUUUCACAACUCUAUACAUAAUGGUAUGAGUGCACGCUUCAGUUGGUAAGAAAAAUACCGUAAGUAGAUAGAAACUCUAUCCAGUUCAGUACUUUUAGUCCAUUGGAAAAAAUCAACCUCAAAUUAACCAAGAUAGAAAGCUCAAACUAAGUACUGAAGUCACCAAGACUUAAAUUGAAAACUGCGAAAAGCCGGUGGCCAUUAGACCCCAUCAACAAACCGACACAACCUCACAUCUACCAGAAUUAUCAUAAAAUCGAACUGCAGCGAAUUGAAUUAAGCAGUGACAGUAGGCAAGAAAACCUCAAAAGCUGGUGAACAGUGACCAUCUCUCCACAUUGCCAAACCGCCACAAGCUCAAACCUCCCAAAAUCAUCACAGAAUCGCACUCAAACACAAGGAUUUCCGUUCCGUUCCAUUAGGUUCCCGACUAUUCAACCAAAAAAAAAACCCAAGGCUUGGGAUCAUCACUCCAGUCCAUUGCUCUCCCCGUCAUUUCCCAAUUCCAUUCCAUUCAACCGUACCUAACAGAAAACCUUAUCUUCCAGAAUCGCACUCGAAACCAAAUAGAGACGAAGCCAAAGCGACGCGAUGGAACUAAAGGACGGACCUUGAUGUGAAGCGUGCCUCCCCCGAACUCGCUCCCGGUCUCGUUGUGGAACUCCAACCAAGCGGUGUUCUCGUAGAAGCAAGCUCUUUUCCACGCCAGAGUGCCGUUGGAGGGAGAAGCGCCGCCGCCGACGAGCCAUUGGACGGCGAAGGGCGUUGAGGAUGGAACAAGAGAGCUGCCGAGAAGCUAUGGAAAUUGGGGCGGGUCUCCCCGGUGACCCGGAUCAUGUAUCAAACUAUCAAAAGUGUGAUGUGAUAAUUGUAGAGGGGGAGAGGAGCGAUUCGUUUUGAUCGUCCUUGGACGCUUGGUAAUUACUAGUUAGUGUGCCUGGCCAAGUAGAUGAAACAUUAAAGCAUAAUCGGAGCUGAAAAUAUUCUGCAUUUUUAUAUUAUGUAUUAAUUCCACUAAAAAAAUCUUAAAAUAUAUCUACGGUAGUGAUAUUAAUGUUUUAAUUUUUUUAUGGCAUAGAAAACCUUAAAAAAAAAAGGUUUGAAAUUAGUAUUGAUUUCACAUUGAAUAAAAGUUAAAAUUUUAGAGGUAACCUAAAAAUAUUUUAAUCAUUUUAGUGUAGGGAUCGGCAAUUAGGAAUCUCCACGAAUGAUCUUAGCUUGUGGGAGCACAGAUACUUCGGGCUCGUAUGGUCUGUCCUCAAGUUCUUCAGGAGUGUCCCAUCCCACCUUCUUCUAUAUAGUCCUUUAAGAGAGAGGCGAAUUUUUCUUGGCCACUAGCAUAACUCUUCCGAUCUAUACUUCUGGCUCCUCCUAAUGGAUCAGCAACAGUUAAAUAAAUUUGAUCAAUAUGGAAAGCAAGAACUUAAAUUUGCUAAAUAACCGAUGCCCAACCAAGCUCGCCGUCAAACCACGGUCAUUGAUAGCUUCAACUUCACUUAUAUUGCUUACCCGCCCUCUUCUAUCGCCACGAAGACUUUCACUAUCCCGCUUUUUUAGGACUUAGAUAACAUCAAACAUCUCCAUCGCUGCUGGAUAAAAGUUGAAACAUCAUAAAGAAGUCAAUGCUUUGAAAAACUCUUCCUUAUAGUAUUUCAUCAAUGAUGUACUUCUUAAUUUUGUAUGAAGAAAUGUGUUUGUCAUCGGUAUGGAUUCAACAUUUACCUCAACUUUGUCGUAUCCAUGCAAUUAUGGAUUCAACAUUUACCUCAAUUUUGUCGUAUCCAUGCAAUCUUUCUUACUGUGAAACUGUGUCUUGAGCUUGAGCCCGUAUACAGGAAUCUAACCCACGUUCGAAGAAUUUAUUGAUCGAAGUCACGCACAAAAUGCAGAGUGUUCUUUUAUAAAUUAAUGUGCACGCAAGUCUUGGACUUUUCUCUGCUAUCUCCUACUGUCCUAUUAUCAUUUUUUCACUUUUUUGUUUGAAUCCCCUUUUUAUCAUUGAAGGAGCUGAACGUCCAUUUUUCACGUCCACACUUAACCAAAUCCAUUGGCGCUGGUUUCGGAUUCUUGUUCGAUCAGCGAAAUGGGAAAACUCGGCACCGAAGUUGGCGUCAGGAACGAUGGCAUUCUUGAGGCCUAGCCUCAAAAUUCGAGUGGCAUGGAGAGGGUGCUUCCGUCCCAAGCUCUGCUGGAGAACGGUGACGCUCAACGGGGUGAUCAGAGGCACAUGCGUACGGGCUUGGAGCAGGACGGGCAAACGGGGCCGCUUUGGAUUGGAGUGUGAGCUGUUUCCGCCAUUUUCAUGGAACUGCGAGGGACGCUGGUGGUGUGACCUGGUUGGGGAAAGGAUGGAGCUUGAGGAGGACGGUCAGGGACACGUAUUGAAACCCACUUGACUUAAGGUUCAAGAACGGGUUUGCAAAUCGGAUUCGGCUUGCGAAAUGGACCUGCAUCUAUCUAGUAUGGAGAAGUUUUUUCCAGAAAUUGUGAGACGAUUUCGGGAAUUUGAAAGAAACAGAAGGGGCCAGAGCACAGGGCAAUUUUAAUUUAUUUUGGCCAAACGUUCCAGCAAAUAGUUUCUUCGCCUAAAGACUUCCCUUUUUUCUUCGUAGAUUUUAGCAAAGGAAGUCCAUCUGCUCUUUGGAUUCUCAGAUGCUGAUCUCUUUUUGGGCUUCAGAUUGUAAGAAAAGAGAGAAUUUUGGGCAGCACUACUUAAGUCUCUGCGUUUAUAAAGGAUUUCAAACAUGAUAUUGCUCUAACUUGUCGAUCGAAAAUGUUGUGCCUCAUAUGCUGCUUCGCUCUUUUGGAUCAAAGCAACAUGACCCCAAUUAAACUUGUUUCAACAUUAAACUAUCGGGUAUAGAAUACUUGAUCCACUUAGUAAGGGUUUUGGCUUUUUAGCCUAUAAAAUUGAUUCCAAAACAAGGUGAUCCGGUCUUGUUCCCGAUUGGAUAUUCACUCGGAACCUAUUCUUGAACCGAUUUGAACCGGUUCCAAAAAUUUGGAAUCUAUUUGCAGACCAACUCCGACGGGAACCGGCACUUGAACCUAUUUUUCGAGCAGUCCAAUUUGGUUCCUAAGUAGAACCGCUUUGGUUGCACACCGGCUACAUUGCUUUUCCAUUUUCUCUUUUUGUCCUUGGACCGAUUUGUGUCAGUGCUGCUUCAAUAGACAGCCUGCCGAGAGGCCUUCAACUGCUAUGUUGCUUGAGCAUGCUUUCCUGCGAAUUUGAAGUUGCAGAUGACUUUUUUCAUGCGCCAUACAUUGUUGCAAAAGGAAUGUUAUAUUGUAAGUGCUCAUGUUUACUUAACCAAAAAGAUUAGAAAGAGGAAGUGCAGAAAACGUUAAUGGAGGUAAUUAUAAUGCUUGAGAUCCCGAAAACAUUCGUAAGUCCAAAUGGCGGAGUACAGCAGAGACCUCAAUGAAUGAGAGUUCAACAAGAAUAAAAUGUCAUUUCACACAUAAUCAACGCAAUCAUGCGAUAAGAACUUGAUAAAAAAUUUGCCCAAGGGCUUGUCAUGGCAGGCAGACGGGAAGAGGCUUACCUGAAAGGAGAUUUACCCAAUCUUUCAUCUUUACAUCGUCUUUGACCAUCUACCACAGACUCGAACACAUCUAACAAUCGAUCCAGCUUAUAUCAAAUUACCACCGAAAUCUAAUGCAAAGAAAGAACAUUAACCUCUUUGACUCAUAUCAAAUCCCAGCCCGACAAUGGUGGUCCCCUCCUUUAGGUAUCCAAAUCUAUUCUCUCUCUUUUUUUAAGGAAAUUCUUUACAUGAUCCAAGUGCUAACAAUACUCCUGACACGACAAUUCAAUUCUUCCGAUGAGAUUAUUUCAACAUUUAUAAUAAGAAUUUUUUUUAUGAUCCUUAACGUUCAUUCCCACCACCGCACUUGAAUGGAUCCAAGAUUCACUUUUUGAGAAGAUCAAAGUCUUAAAUUAAAGGACUAUUACAUCCUCCAGAUGGAGAAAUGCACUGGAGAAGAGGAAAGAGACUUGAAAGCCCAGCUCUUCGGUGUCCACGGCCGAGCGUCCUUGAGUGAACUUCCCCUGAUUUUUAGCCCAUAACAUGUGGUGGAUUGGUUGGCGAAUUGGGCUAUUGACACUCAACAUUCAUGCGUCCAAUUCUGUUACACGGACUAGGGGGCGCAGUCGAUUGCGCGCGUGGCUGCAUUGCUUGCUGAUACGCAUCUCAAUAAAAUUUUGCUUUCGAAUUUUUUUAACUCUUUUUUUUUUUUUUUGGCGUUUGAAAAAUAAGAUGGACAUUCCCCUGCCAUGAUAUGACCCAACAAUGGACAAGCCCGUAAGCAAUUCGACAACGUUGCUUAAUCUAGAUGUCCUCUUCUGAGUGCAUUCGAGUUAUAAACAUUUGUGUACGAAGGACAUCUAUUCAUCAAAACCAAUGUUCAUAUGGAGCCAAAAAAGCACCACAUCAGCAAACACAAGCUAGAACACAAAAAAAAAAAAAAAAGAGGAAAAAGAAAUGAUGAGUACAUUAGACGUGCUACAUUUUUUUCUUAUUAGUGCAAUCAAAUACUUCGUCAGUUCCAUUCGAUUUGAGAGAUUGAAAAUAUUGAUAUGAUGUACACUAAUACAACACCAUUUUAUAAGGGUCAAAUUCCUCAGUUCAACCAAAAAAAAAAAAAAUCAAACCAUUUUAUAAACAUUUGGAAUGUAAAGGCUUAAUUCUACGUGUCUAUGCAAUUUCAACAAGUUUUUGAUCAAACUAAAAAAGUCAACUCUAGUUUUUUUUCUUGACCGAGAAAUCUAGAUCGGGCGAGGGUCGCCGGCCCUCACUCACUUUUGGCCAAGGGCUGCCAUUGGUGGGUGCCGAAACCUCGUAGUGAGGGCCGACGAUCCUCGCCUAGAAUAGUCAAGGGCUAACAGGCCCUUGCUUGCAAUCAAUGAGCCCCUAGUUGUGAUUGGCAAGAGUCGUUGACCCCAAGCCAAGGCCCAACACCCUCGCCAACCAUUCCCCCACCAUUGCCGGCCCUUCCUGGCAAUGGUGAGGCGGUGGCAAGGGCUUGCAGCAAGCCUCGCCAUUCUCGCCAUUGGUUUCCAACUUUUUUUUUUAAUUUAGCUUUUUUUAAUUUAAAUAUAAUUUGUAUAAAAAAAAAAAAGCAUAUUUGGAUCAAAAUGACGUUAUUUAAGGCUUAUGUUUCAUGUUUUAGUCACAUUAUCACCACGUAGGAGAGAGAAAACAUUUUAAAAAGUCACAUCUGCAUUUUCCUUUAACUAAGCUAGAUGGAGUAAAUGGAAGGACUUGAGUGCACUAAUUUGACAAGUUUAGGUACUUGAUUAUACUUUUUAUAAGUUUAGAACUCAAUUGAACUUUCAUGAUAAGUUUUAAAUUUCAAGUGCACUUUUUUUACCUAUUAUCCUAUUUGAAAUAAAAACCAAACCAAAAAGACCCAAAUAAUUUCGGGUCAGUUUAGGUAUUUUUGACACCACUAAAAAGAGGCGAGUUUUAUAAGAAGCAUGCGAGUCAGCUUCUAACGUAUUACACAUUUAUACCUUUCCAUUUUUUUUUCUCACCUACACACUGUAUUUUUUUUCUUCCAAGAACCUCCCCUUUUUUGUCUUGCUUGCAGGGCAUUUGUGGAAGAAAAAAUAGCAAAAUCGAAAUUUGGAAAAAAUAAUGGGGCAUUUUUGGAAGAAAAAUUUCUUGUUCCCAUUCUGCUGCACACACUUCUUAUAAAACUCUCCUGUCUCGCCUCUUAGCGUUGGCAUCACAUUUCUCUCACCAAGCAUCUAGGGGAAAUGAAGAAGAUGAAGAUGAGAAAAUUGGUGGAUAUGAUCAUAGCUUCAAGAAGGAUUGCAUCUUCACAAUGGUGCACAAAAACAUCCCUCAUCAUACUUGUUUUGUGAGAAAAUUGCGGAAAAUUAUCUAAAAAGUUCUAAACCUAUUGCACUUUUGUCAAUUUAGUCAUAAACCUUUUAACAUUGCCAAUUAAAUCCUAAACCUUUUUACUUCUUGCCGAUUCAAUCCAUCCAGCCAAUUUUGGCCGGAAAAUGCUGACGGACGCCAGCAGUGCCACGUAAGAUUGCCGGUACUGACGUUGAAAUUUUUUAAUAAUAUUUUAAUAUUUUUUUGAAUUUUUUUCUAUUUUCCCUUUGUUUUCUUUCUUUUCUUUUUGGCUUUUUUCUUUUCCUUUUCAGGUGGCCGGCCACAGGCCACAACUAGCUGGCUGGCCUCGCCUGCCACAGGGAGGCCCAAUCGGGCAAGGAGGAGCCCUUGCCUAAGCGCAGCCCGACAAAGGUCUCCUGGGUGAGGCCAACUCUCACUCAGGCCAGGGCGGCCUCGCCCUCACCGAGGCGAGCGUCAACCUCACCCAAACUAGAUCUGGAGAGGCCGGCUCUCGCCCUUGGCCGGCUGAUGCUCGCUUAGGCGAGGGCGAGCCUCGGCGAGGGCUCCCCUCACAAGAUCUGGCGAGGGCUGACCCUCGCCUAGGCCAGCGUGGCCUCGCCUAAGCGACCCUUGUCAGGCCACGCCUGGGGGAGGGCUCCCCUCGCUAGGGCUUCUUCUCUUUCGGGUUGGGCCUCAUUUGUGGUGGGCGAGGCCAGCCGGCUAGUUGUGGCCGGUGGUCGUCCACCAAAAAAGGCCAAGAAAGCCAAAAAAAAAAAAAAAACAUAAAAAAGAGGGAAAAAAACAUAAAAAAAUAUUAAAAAUAUUAAAAAGUAUUAAAAAUUAUUAAUGUCAGCGCCGCGCGGUCCUACGUGGCACCGCCAGCGUCCACGUCAGCAUUUUUCGGCCAAUAUUGACCGGAUGAACUGAAUCGGCACGAAGUAAAAAGGUUUAUGACUGAAUUGAUAAAGGUAUAAUAGGUUUAGGACUUUUUGGGUAAUUUUCCCGAAAAAAUUGCAAUACCAAACGCUAAAGUGCAAGACGAGAGACUUUUAUAAGAAGUGAAUGGAAGUGAAGGUGCUUCCAAAAAGGGCAUUUUCGGAAGGAAAAGUGCUUGUGCAGCUAAGGGGGGAAAGAGGGGAGUCUUAUAAGAACUGAGGUAAAAGUACUUCCAAAAAGGGCAUUUUCGGGAAAAAAAAGUGCUGGUCAUAAGAGCUUUAUAAAUAGUGAUAUGGCUUCUUAUAAAACGUUUUAUACGAAGUCGGAAAAGUUUUGUAAGAAGUGACGUGGCUUCCUCUAUAAGGGCGAGGCAGGAGACUUUUAUAGGAAGUCAAUGAAAGCGAAACUGCUUCCGAGAAGGGCAUUUCGGCAGGAACAGUGCCUGUGCAGCUAAGGGGGAGACAGGAGAGUUUUAUAAGAACUGAGGCAAAAGGGCUUCCAAAAAGAGCAUUUUCGGAAGAAAAAGUGCCGGUCAUGAGAGCUUUAUAAAUAGUUACGUGGCUUCUUAUAGAACGUUUCAUACGAAGUCGGGAAUGUUUUGUAGCGGCUGACUUCGUAUAAAACGUUUGACUUCGUAUAAAACGUUUAAAUGUUUUAUACGAAGUCAGGAAAUUUUUGUAAGUGACGCGGCUUCUUUCUCAUGAAAAGCCCCCAGAGGACGCCGUUCUUCUUUUAAAACUCUCCUGGCCAGCACAUUUUUUUCAAUUCACUUCUUAUAAAACUCUUGUCUCGCCCCUUAGCAUUUGGCACCGCAUUUCUCUCACAAAACAAUUCACUCAUGGGGAAUGUUUUUACGCGCCAUUGUGAAGACGCGAUCAUUCCUGAAGCUGAAGCUGUGGUUAUAUCUGGUAAUUUUCUCUUCUUCAUCUUCUUCAUCUGUGAUUCACGGUCACCCAUAGACGUUUGAGUUGAGUUUGAUUCUUAUGUUAAAAUUUACGUACUUCAUUUCCUUGAGAUUCAAUUGUUUCGCUUAGAAAGUUUGUCAACUAGGUAAGGGCUGACGAUUAAGUGUUUGUUUUUCUCGCUUUUAAGCUUGUAAAGUACAGAGAACUAGUCUUUUGAUAGUUAAAAAAAAGUACAGAGGAGUAGUCUUGUAAAGGUUGAUCAACUGGUAGAAUUGUGUGGCAAUCAUUAUGAGACCGUGAUGUAAUGCCUCUUUAUUUUUCUAAUCCAUAGAUCUAUUUCCCCUGUCUACCAUACGUAAUGAAGAAGAGGGCAGUGAAGAAGUUGAAUUACAAGAUGAAUUCGCCAUCGUCAAUUUCCCCAUUCAAGGUGGAGAUGGCAAUAUCAUACCUAAUGAAGAAGAGGGCGGUCAAGAAGUUGAAUUACACGAUGAAUUGAUUGCCAUCAUUGUCCCCAUUCAGGGUGGAGAUGGCAAUACCAUACUUAAUGAAGAAGAGGGCGGUCAAGAAGUCGAAUUACACCAUGGAUUGAUUGCUGUUGUUGUCCCCAUUCUGGAUGGUAAUGGCAAUGGUGACGGCCAUAUUGAGGAUGGCGACAACAAUGUUGGUGACAAUGAAGUGGAGCAAGAGGUGCAGGAGGUGGAGAGUGAGCAGGACGGCAGCGAGGGGGCUGGUGGUGUGGGGGCUGUUGUUGGUCCUGCCAUUGCUGGUGAUAGAGCUGGCUUUAUUGUUCUGGCAAUGGUGCUGGUCGGGGCGCUCUUCCUGUGGAAGAUGCGGCUGAUAACUUUGCUGGAGUUGCUUUUGAUAGUGGUGGUAGUAUUGGCAGUAGCCUUGCUCCUUUGGGGCAUGGAUGGGCUAAACUUGAUAUGGGUCUUAAUCCUAAGACUCAAUGUUAUCUUAGUAUGAUGAAGAGAUUGACGCGUGGAUUGCCAUGUGAGAUGUCUAGGUGGACUUCUUUGGAUGAUUUUCAGUAGAACAUUUUUGUUGCAGGAACCUCUGUUUGUAUCCUUUCUUCAUCAUGUACACAUUUGUAUCAUUACUGGUUAUGCUGUCAAUCUACUUGGCAGGAAUAAACAUGUUCAUAAUUUAUUAACAGCUGAUUGUUCUCAUAUUGGUAAUAAUUUAAGUGCACAAUAUGUAAGGAAUGGGGUAAGUAACGGCCAAUAAAAGAUUAUCCCUAAAUAUUAUGCGAGAUCUAUAAGAUAAAUUAGCAACUCUCCUUUACCACAAAACCUGAUGGCAAUUUGAUGAACUGUCAUGUUUUCUUAGGAUUAGUAUGUGCACAAGUAGUUACGGAAUCUUAACUUUCACAUAAAAGGAUGGUCAGUAAGCUUUUCUUUACCCAUGAGCUUAGCUCUCCUUUUUACAUUCAGCUGGACUCAUCAAUGAUGGAGGGUCAUUUGAUUCAAUCUUCUACGUGAUGUUGAUGCAUAUAUGAUUACGUCUAAAUAGAUGUGACAAAUGGGUGGUGGACUAGAUUGAUUUUGGAUGGGUUAUAAAUAGGUUCAAUUCAAAUUCACCCAUUUAAUUGACGUUGACCCAUUUAUUUUCUACACAAUUUAUAUGAUACAUAGCCAAUCCAAACCCACCAACAUAACUCACAAUUUUUUUUAUUAAUACCAAUUAAGCAAUUAUCAAAUUAAAAAUAAUAAAAAUUAGUAGGGAUAAAUACACUCAAAAUUCUAAACUUAUCAUAAAAGUAUAAUUGAAUCAUAAAAUUAUUAAAAUAUGUAAAGUACUAAAAUUUAUCACGAAAAUUCAAUUGAAUCUAAAAAUUUUCAAAAAUAGUAAUUUAAGGGAUUUUUUUUUUUUUCCCGUUCACAGGCUCCCCUUCUCUCUCUCUCGCUCUCUCCCUCUCUCUCUAUACUCGCUUUUUGGAAUUAAAGAGGAGAAAAAUGGAUUUUUUGCACUAACCUCCUUCCACUUCCUCUGCUUCUUCACGAACGACCAUAAACCUUCACAAACCAAUCCCUUUUUUCUCUGCCAUGCUUUAGUCGCCGUGUCCUUUGCCCCGGAUGUUGCCGGUGACACCGUGGCCCAUCUCUGAGCUCGACGGCGAGAAUUGAGCCGCCUAGAUUCAUCUCGCGCCUCUAUCUCUCUCGUCCUCCCCUUUCGACUUCGGAUGGCGCUGAUUCGAGCCAUUGAGAUAAUUUCAUCUCAGAUUCACGGCCGAGUCGAGGCCUAGAUCUGAGAUCUAGGGCUCAAUCGAGCUCCACCGAAGGCGAGGGCUCAGUCGAGCUACACCAGAGGCGAGUCUCGGAUCUCGGCAUCUUGUCGGUGCCGGAGAAAUGGAGAGAGAUUGCCGUAGUGAAGGCUUGGUUAGAGAGAGAGGUGGGUUGGGUUUCUUGGUUCAAACGUGUUAAAGAGGGAGGAACUCUGGAAGUGAAGAACCCCAGGCAAUGCGAAGAUUGCCGCAGUAUGGUUUUUUGGGUUUGGCUCCAAGAAGCAAUGAAUCAAAAUGCGUUUCGGUUCGGUUCAAAUACUCGACCUGAACCGAAAUGAUACAACACCCAUCUUUUUUACCUAUCACCCGAUCUGGAAUGAGACACGAAUCAAGAAGACCCGAAAAUUUCAGUUUGGAUUGGGCCGGGUUUUUUCUGACGCCCCCAACGAGAGGGAAGUUUUAUAAGGAGUGUGUAAGUUGCCCCUUAGCAUUGGCAUCGCAUUUCUCUCACAAAACGUCUAGGGGAGAUGAAGAUAAAGAAAAAUGCCAGAUAUAACCACGGCUUCAAGAAUGCUCGCGUCUUCACAAUGGUACCCAAAAACAUUCCCCGCGAGACUCGUCUUGUGAGAGAAAUGUGAUGCCAAACGCUAAGGAGCGAGAUGGGAGAGCUUCAAAGAAACUUGAAUAGCUACUUCAACACACCCCGGCGCCAUAUCUCCCUCUCUUUGGUUCCGUUUUCCCUUUUUUUAUUCGUGGAUUAAGUAAUCGACAAUCAAGAGUACCCUCUCCUAUUCCUCAAUCUUAAGAUGCUGUCUGUCGGGGGACGUCGGAAAAUGAAGUAUCUCUAAUCAUAAAUCAAACAAUCAUCGACCCAAAAACAUCCGACAGCUGAUCUAGCUUCUUGGGAUUGUCCUCCUUCACUGUGGACAUGACCCCUUGGAGAGCGAAGAAAAAGAACAUCCAGCAUUAGGUUGACUUCUAACUUCUCCAUAGAUGCUCAUCGCUCCCAACUCGCCGUCGGUGGAUUUGAGCUGCGCCUACAAGAUCUAGGUUUGUCGAAUUUUUUUCCUAUCAAACGAGUUAACAGCUUCAACCAUGGAUUCUAACUGUAACUUUCUCUUUCUUUCAUCCACUCUCUCUCUCUAUAUCAGCACAACCAAGUUCAUCACUCUAAACUAAGUGGCCUCAAGUUCAUCAAUGCCAAGGGCAUUAGGAGCAAGAAAUUGAAGUACCAACCUUUCUUUAAAAUUUUGUGAGACUACUACCAACUACUUUUGUCCAAUAAAAUCUCACAUGAUACAUGAUUAUGAGAUCUUAAGCCCAAACAAUUCAAGGCCCCAAUUUGCGCCCCCUCUUAUAUAGCUCAACUCUUUAGACUUAAGCCAAACUCUAGUCUACGCUUGAGGGAGAUUGGUAGAAUAUUUUAAUAAAAUCAUAUCAUCAUCUAAUAGUUUAAAUUAUUAGAAUGGUUGUAAGUGGUCUCACAAAAUAUCAUGCUUCUCCCCUUCUUGAGGGAGUUUACACAACUAAACAUGCUAUUAGAUAGUGCAAGUGUGUGGACUAUGUAUAUUUUCUUCAAAAAAGAUAUUAAAUGCAUUUCUAGCAAUAUAGGUGUUACUUAGGCUCUAUUUGUUUCACAUAAAAUUUCCUUUAAAAAAACAUUUUCCUCAUUUUCUGGCAUUUGGAUAUCUUAAGAAAAUAAGUCAACUUAAUAUAUUUUCAUAAUUAAUAUAAAACAUAUGCUUAAAUUCAGAAAAAUGAUUUCCUAUUUUAAAAAUCAAAAAUCAUUUUCCGGAAUACGGUUAGACAUUGGCGCUUGUAACUAAGAUCUUCGUGCUUGAGCAUAGGAGCCCUAAUAUUCGUGUUCGGGUCCUCAAUUGUGGGACCCAAUUCCACAAUGGCCAAGCUCAAGACUCCGAUGACCAUACUAGAUCCCUAAUGGCCAUGCCUAAUACCGUGGUGCCCACUCCUAGGUCCCUAAUGGCCAUGCCCCACUACUCGAUUUUCAAGCCUAGGUCCAUCGAGACUGGGACUAGUUCCUUGAUGGUUGGGCCAAGGUCUACUAAGGCUAAGCCUAGGUCCCUUGAUGCUUAGCCCAAGACCCCGAUGGUCAUGGCUAAGUCCUUGGCAGUCUUGCUUGAGUACUCAGCUCCUACACCAAAAUCAUCGAUGCUUGAGCCUAGGUCCAUCAAGGCCAAACACAAGUCCACAUAGGUUGAGCAUGGGUCCUGGAUAGCCAUGUUGGGGUACUUGAAUCUCGUGCUCAAUUUACUAGCUGUCAAGCCUUGGUCCAUUAAGGUCAAGCCUAAAUUCAAAGAGGACGAACCUGGGUCGUCAGUGGCCUUGCCCGGGUGCUUAGCUCUCAUGCCCACAUCAUCGGCACUUGGACAUUGGUUCAUCAAGGCCAGGCUCGAUUCUAUGGCAAUCGGGACCAAGUCCCUUGAGGCUAAACAGAAGACACCUUAGUACCUGUGCCUAGGUCCCUGGUGGCCGUGUCCAAGUCAUCAUUACCCAAGCCUAGGACCCUCAUUGCCUAGGUACCUCGAUCCCUGCUCAAGUCAAUGGCGCUCAACCUCAGUUCCUCGACAACUGAGCUCGAUUUCCAUGUGGUCGGGCCAAAGAUCCCAAUGUCCAUGCAUGGAUACUCGGCUUCUAUGUCUAUGUCACUGGUGCAUGGGCUGGGUUCAUCAAAGCUAAGUCCGAGACCUUGGUGCUCAUGCUUGAGUUCCAGUGGUUACACUUGAGAAAGCCCAGCUCCUGCAAUUGAGCCCCUAGUGAGUAGGUAUCCCUCGGCUAGGUAUCCCUUAUAUCACAUGAAAAAUGAAUAUCUCUUUGGGAAAAUAAAACCAAGUUCUUCUUUGUAAAAAAUAAUUACCAAUUCAUGUUCAUAUUUCAACUGAACACUGACAAAUAUUGCCUUUUCCCUAGAAAAUAACUUAUUAUAAGGCUUUUUUUUUUUUUUUUUGGGAAGGUCAAAUCUUUUAUGAAACAAAUGAACCNNNNNNNNNNNNNNNNNNNNNNNNNNNNNNNNNNNNNNNNNNNNNNNNNNNNNNNNNNNNNNNNNNNNNNNNNNNNNNNNNNNNNNNNNNNNNNNNNNNNNNNNNNNNNNNNNNNNNNNNNNNNNNNNNNNNNNNNNNNNNNNNNNNNNNNNNNNNNNNNNNNNNNNNNNNNNNNNNNNNNNNNNNNNNNNNNNNNNNNNNNNNNNNNNNNNNNNNNNNNNNNNNNNNNNNNNNNNNNNNNNNNNNNNNNNNNNNNNNNNNNNNNNNNNNNNNNNNNNNNNNNNNNNNNNNNNNNNNNNNNNNNNNNNNNNNNNNNNNNNNNNNNNNNNNNNNNNNNNNNNNNNNNNNNNNNNNNNNNNNNNNNNNNNNNNNNNNNNNNNNNNNNNNNNNNNNNNNNNNNNNNNNNNNNNNNNNNNNNNNNNNNNNNNNNNNNNNNNNNNNNNNNNNNNNNNNNNNNNNNNNNNNNNNNNNNNNNNNNNNNNNNNNNNNNNNNNNNNNNNNNNNNNNNNNNNNNNNNNNNNNNNNNNNNNNNNNNNNNNNNNNNNNNNNNNNNNNNNNNNNNNNNNNNNNNNNNNNNNNNNNNNNNNNNNNNNNNNNNNNNNNNNNNNNNNNNNNNNNNNNNNNNNNNNNNNNNNNNNNNNNNNNNNNNNNNNNNNNNNNNNNNNNNNNNNNNNNNNNNNNNNNNNNNNNNNNNNNNNNNNNNNNNNNNNNNNNNNNNNNNNNNNNNNNNNNNNNNNNNNNNNNNNNNNNNNNNNNNNNNNNNNNNNNNNNNNNNNNNNNNNNNNNNNNNNNNNNNNNNNNNNNNNNNNNNNNNNNNNNNNNNNNNNNNNNNNNNNNNNNNNNNNNNNNNNNNNNNNNNNNNNNNNNNNNNNNNNNNNNNNNNNNNNNNNNNNNNNNNNNNNNNNNNNNNNNNNNNNNNNNNNNNNNNNNNNNNNNNNNNNNNNNNNNNNNNNNNNNNNNNNNNNNNNNNNNNNNNNNNNNNNNNNNNNNNNNNNNNNNNNNNNNNNNNNNNNNNNNNNNNNNNNNNNNNNNNNNNNNNNNNNNNNNNNNNNNNNNNNNNNNNNNNNNNNNNNNNNNNNNNNNNNNNNNNNNNNNNNNNNNNNNNNNNNNNNNNNNNNNNNNNNNNNNNNNNNNNNNNNNNNNNNNNNNNNNNNNNNNNNNNNNNNNNNNNNNNNNNNNNNNNNNNNNNNNNNNNNNNNNNNNNNNNNNNNNNNNNNNNNNNNNNNNNNNNNNNNNNNNNNNNNNNNNNNNNNNNNNNNNNNNNNNNNNNNNNNNNNNNNNNNNNNNNNNNNNNNNNNNNNNNNNNNNNNNNNNNNNNNNNNNNNNNNNNNNNNNNNNNNNNNNNNNNNNNNNNNNNNNNNNNNNNNNNNNNNNNNNNNNNNNNNNNNNNNNNNNNNNNNNNNNNNNNNNNNNNNNNNNNNNNNNNNNNNNNNNNNNNNNNNNNNNNNNNNNNNNNNNNNNNNNNNNNNNNNNNNNNNNNNNNNNNNNNNNNNNNNNNNNNNNNNNNNNNNNNNNNNNNNNNNNNNNNNNNNNNNNNNNNNNNNNNNNNNNNNNNNNNNNNNNNNNNNNNNNNNNNNNNNNNNNNNNNNNNNNNNNNNNNNNNNNNNNNNNNNNNNNNNNNNNNNNNNNNNNNNNNNNNNNNNNNNNNNNNNNNNNNNNNNNNNNNNNNNNNNNNNNNNNNNNNNNNNNNNNNNNNNNNNNNNNNNNNNNNNNNNNNNNNNNNNNNNNNNNNNNNNNNNNNNNNNNNNNNNNNNNNNNNNNNNNNNNNNNNNNNNNNNNNNNNNNNNNNNNNNNNNNNNNNNNNNNNNNNNNNNNNNNNNNNNNNNNNNNNNNNNNNNNNNNNNNNNNNNNNNNNNNNNNNNNNNNNNNNNNNNNNNNNNNNNNNNNNNNNNNNNNNNNNNNNNNNNNNNNNNNNNNNNNNNNNNNNNNNNNNNNNNNNNNNNNNNNNNNNNNNNNNNNNNNNNNNNNNNNNNNNNNNNNNNNNNNNNNNNNNNNNNNNNNNNNNNNNNNNNNNNNNNNNNNNNNNNNNNNNNNNNNNNNNNNNNNNNNNNNNNNNNNNNNNNNNNNNNNNNNNNNNNNNNNNNNNNNNNNNNNNNNNNNNNNNNNNNNNNNNNNNNNNNNNNNNNNNNNNNNNNNNNNNNNNNNNNNNNNNNNNNNNNNNNNNNNNNNNNNNNNNNNNNNNNNNNNNNNNNNNNNNNNNNNNNNNNNNNNNNNNNNNNNNNNNNNNNNNNNNNNNNNNNNNNNNNNNNNNNNNNNNNNNNNNNNNNNNNNNNNNNNNNNNNNNNNNNNNNNNNNNNNNNNNNNNNNNNNNNNNNNNNNNNNNNNNNNNNNNNNNNNNNNNNNNNNNNNNNNNNNNNNNNNNNNCCCUUCUUCUUCUUCUUCUUUGCCCCCUCUCUUGUUUUGUUAUAGAGGUAUGUUUGACUAAAUCGUUCGAUCAUUCUUGCUGGUGAUCUUUUUCUUGAGGGGAACUCAGAAACUGACCUUUCUUCUUCCUUUCAAUUUUUCUGGUCUUCAAAUUCCGACGACUAUUAUCCACUUCUCAUUCUACGAGUACUUUUGGAUUUUAGGCGACCCAUCAAUAGUUGUCCUUGGUUUUGCUCCCCAUCGCAAUUGUGAAUAAAGGGCUCAGUACACGAGACAAAUCGGCAAAAUAUUUAAUAGAACCUGUAUCAAAGAUGACACGUUUUCUACACAGUAAUCGCCAAUUCACAUUCCAGAAGGAAUCUACCACUUGAAAUACUAGUUCAGAAACUGACAAAAAUAGAGCUACAAGCCUACAACUCUCUUGCUUUCCUUCAUCGCCCGCGCACUCACCUCAUAUCCACACCCACAACAAUGAACUUUUUUUAUCACUCUUCUUCUCUUUCUUCUACCAGUUCUUUUUCUAUUAAACUGGAGAAGAAGUUCAUCAAGAAAGCUACCUCCGGGUUCAUUGCAAAUCCCCAUUAUAGGCCAAAGCCUUGGCCUGCUCCGAGCCACAAGGACAAAUGCAGGAGAAAGAUGGCUUCGAUAAAGAGUGAGGAAAUAUGGACCAAUCUUGAAGCUCAUUCUCUUGGGAAGACGGAUGGCGUACACUCAAUGGACAAGCAGCAAACAAUCUUGUAUUCUGCGGAGACAGCAGCAAGAUUGCCAACAAGCAAACAUCAUCCAUCCGCACGAUUCUGGGAGACUGCAAUCUAUUGGAAGUCAGUGGCCAAGAUCACAGACACGUGAGAGACUCUCUGAUGUCGUUCUUGUGACCAGAAUCCCUGAAGCAGUACGUGGGGAAAAUGGAUGAAGAAAUCAGAAAGCACAUCGAAUUGCACUGGCAGCGCAUGGAAAGAGCUGUGGUAUGUCAAUAUUCUGUAAAACUCCCACUGUUGCCUUGAUCUGUUUGAGAUAUAUCCAAUACAUAACAAGUUUAAGAUACAUAUGGCGUAUGCACUCAUUCUCUCAUAUAACUGGUGUUCACACUUGUAUGGCCUCCGCAUAUAUCGACUAAGAGAAUGAAUGCAUAGAUUAAAAGUGCAAAUAAUCUCUUCAAUAAACAAAAGAAGAGUAAAUGACACUAGUGUUUUGAUUUUUCCUAUAGGCAUGGCCCCUGAUGAAAAACCUUACAUUCAACGUUAUAAGCUCUCUUAUCUUCGGUGUUGAGGAAACAUCUGAAAGAGAGAAUUCUUGCAAAAUUUUCAAGAAAUGAUAGAGGCAAUGUGGUCGAUACCAGUAAAGCUGCCAUUCACACACUACACUAGGAGCCUCUGUGCAAGCUCUAGGGUCCAAGAUCUGUUGAAGGAGCUUGUAGCCUUGUACAGGAGAAGAAAGCAAAAAUAGAGCAGCGCAUUGCCACUCUUUAUCAAGACUUGAUCACGUGCCUGUUAAGUAGGCAUGAUGAAGAAAAUAAACAAGUUGUGACUGACAAGGAAAUUUUGCACAAUAUCAUGCUAAUCAUGGUUGCAGGACAUGAUACCUGUUCUGAUGACUUUUAUGCUGCGUCUUCUAUCAAAGAAUCCCUCUGUUUAAAAAGCUGUUCUUCAAAGUACACAUCCUCUAUUUCCGGCAUCUUUUUAGAUUUGCCGAAUCUGCAUAGGGAUUCCUGCAGCCCAAAAAGGAAGGAAAACAAAACUAAAAGAUGAAUUUGUUAAUUAAUGAAUCUAUUUUGCUGAUGGAAAAUGGAUGACUUGCCAAAUGUAAGAAAAGUCAAUACACAAAUUAUUCGAAGUUUCCGAAGUCAGAUGUCAACUUUAAUAACAAAGCUCAAAAGCAUGUUCUUCCCCCUUAUUGCAAUUCAUAAGCCUCUCUUGCUUUUGCAGAACAAGAAGAGAUAGCAAAAAGCAAGACUUCGAGGAUGGUUCCACCUGUUUUUGCUAGCUUCAGGAUAGCCUUCAAGGAUACCUCAUUCCUAAAGGCUGGCAAGUAAGGAUGCUUGUAACUUUUCCUAUCUCUUCAAAUACUUGCAUUAUCUGCUAUUUAUUCUCUCUAUCUGUGAAACCAGUCGCUUAAUAUACCUUUGGAACUUAACAUGUGAUUUAGAUCUUCUAGGCAUCAAGCAUGACACACAUGAUGAGAGCAUAUUCCUGGAGCCAUCAAAGUUUGAUACUGCUAAAUUUGAAAACCAGAAGAUAGUACCACCCUACAGCUUUAUUGCUUUUGGAGGAGGGCCUUGCAUAUGCCCAGGAAACGAAUUUGCGAGGAUUGAAAUCUUUGCUACAAUCCAUUAUUUGGUCACUCAGUACUCUUGGGAGUUAUGUUCAGAUGAUCAUUACAUGAGGGACCCAUGCCAGUACCUACUCAAGGACUACUGCUUUGGAUUGUGCCUAAGAAACAGAAAUGAUCUUUCCUUGACCAUCCAGGACUUCAACUAUGCCAGCUUUUCAGGACUUAGCUACAUCAAACAUCCCCAUUAGUGGAUAAAAGUUGAAACGCCAUUAACCCAAGAAAGAAGCCAGUGCUUUUAGAAACUCUUCUGGAUAACAUAACAAAGUGUAUUCUGCCAAUGGUGUAUGCUUUCAUUUUAUAUGAAGCUAUAUGCAUGUCAUCAUUACAAAUUUAAAAUUGAGCUUGACUGCCCAGUAUUCAUGCAAUUUUCCUUAUCUUAGCCCCUCCAGAAACUAUCAACGCUUGCUAUAUUAAUAAAACCAAAUGCUGUUUGAACAGAAAAAGGCCUAAUUUUUCUUUUGCUCUUCCAAUUUCUUUGGGUUGGUUUGAAUCUGAUUUAAUUUUUGUGUUUUUCCCUUCUUUCUUGCUUUUUACCUAACAAACCAUGAUAUUUCAACAAACAGUGAUGACAAAGCAUCAAAUUAUGACAAGGAGAUUCAUUUAUAUUGAUUGAAUCAUGCAAUAGUGAAGGUAAAAUUAUUUAUAUUAGUUGAAAGGUGAUCAUUCUUGACAUGGAGUGACAGCAAAAUACUUUCGUACUUUCUCUUUGUAAAGUGAAUAUUGUUUUACUCUUUUAUUUGAAAUCUAACAUGUAGAAAGUAAUUAACUAAGCUAAAUAAUAUAGAGUAAUUUGAGAAAUGGCAAUAUCUAUCCGAAUUCCGACAUGUCAACACAUUGAACUUUGAUGUAAUUAGAUAUAUCUGUGCACGUCAUACUCUAGUAUUCCAUUGAAUUACACCAUAAAUGCUUGAGUAUAUAUUUUGAUACUCAACCCAGUGUGCUUGCUGGUAGUCAAUAUUCACAAAGUUAAAUAAGAGAAUUACAGUGCAGAAAAUCAGCACAUCUUUGGCAGAUUCAACUUAGAAAUAAUUAAGAGGCAAAGGACCUAUAGGUUCUUAAGUCUUUGCAGAACUAGCGAAGAGCUCAAAAAUGCCAAGGCAGGCGAUUGGGAUGCAUGAGAUUCUGCAAAACCUUGAGAAGUGCAAAAGACAGGGGACAGCAGAGACAAAUGAUCAAUGCAAUCAACAGGCACAAAUGAUCAAUGCAAUCAUGCGAUAUGAACUUGAACAGAAAAUUGCCCAAGAGCUCAUUAUGUCAGGGCAAGCUGGAAGAGGCUUACCCUGAAGUGGAUUUACCCAAUCUUUCAUCUUUACAUCAUCUGUGAUCAUCGACCAUCGACUCAAAAACAUCUAACAGUUGAUCCAGUCCCUCCGGACUGCCCCCAACCGCCUUCAUUGCGUAGAUGGCCCUCUCGAGAGUGGACAAACAUCCAGCCUUAGGCUGCUAACUUCUCUGGACAAGCUCAUCACCUCCAAAUCCAACUUCAGAUGAGGCGACGGCUUCAACCAAGGAUUCUCGCUGUACAUUCUCUUCGCCUUCAUCCACGUGCCGUCCAGCACGAUCAAGUUCCUGACUUUGAACUCGGCUGCCUUGAGUUCAUCAAUGCUGAGCGCAUUCUUGGUCGGAAACAGAAGUACGAACCCGCGCGGCACCUCAAGUACGAAUUCCACAGAUUCUUCAAGCUCCAAGCUCGAAUUCGAUACAAGGUUUUGCGAUUUCCUAAUCACAAAUCCAUUCGACAGAACGUAUCGAGGCCCGGAGAUCGGAUUCGGGCGCAGAGACACGUGCGCGCCGGCUUGGAACAGGACGGGCAGACGUGCCGCAUCGGAUUGGUGGAGCGAGCCGUUUCCGACAUUUUUGCGGAGCCGCGGCGGGCGGUGGCGGCGAUCCGGCUGGGGAAGGAGGGAGCUUGAGGAGGAGGAGGGUGGCCGGGGACGCGUAUCGAAACGGGCUCGGAUUCAGGUUCGGGAACGGGUUCGCGAAUCGGAUUCGGGUUGUGAAAUGGACCCGCAUUUCCCCAGAAAUUGGGAGAUGAUUUUUGGGAAUCUUGAGAGAAACGGUAGGGGCCAGAGCGGGCAGUGGCGCUGUUUGGCCAAAACGGUCGAGCAAAUGGUUUUGAAUUUACUAAUGAGCGUGCCAGCGGCGGCCUCUAUGAUUCAAAUCCGAAAAAUAGUGUGCAUAGGCCAAUCGAUGACUGCCGCCAUCAGGUGAGGCUGAAUAUCAUGGCGGCGACCAAGUGGUGGAGAUUGUUCUCGUGGGUUUAUCAUGCUAUGAGACGGCAACCAUUGUAGCAAUGGUCGAAAUCAGGAUGAUGAAUGACCGAAAUCAUGCAUCUAGACACAGUAAGUAUCCACUUAGAUCAAAUGGUCAACAAGUUAACAAUUGAGGCCUUGAAGAUUUUAGCAGAGGAAGUUGAUAUGUUCUUUAGAUCCUUGGACGGCGGUUGCAUUUGCGCUUCAGAUUGUAAUAGCAGCCUCAGGGUUCCUCCUUUCGAAGUCUUCUGAGUAUGUAUCACUUAGACAUCCUAAGCUUCAUAUCAGCUGCUAAUAAUGCUGCGAAACUUCACAUAAAAUUGCCUUCUUGGAAUUUGCAUGAGUAGUGUCCAAUUUCAACCUAGUGAGGAACUUUUUGGCCAAAAAAAAAAAGAAAAAAUAAUUGGUUGAUGUUUCAAAUUAACCAAAGGACGAUGGAUCUAAAUAUCUAAGAAACUAAAGGACUAGCAAAGUCUACUUCCUGUUCGACUUAGAACUGAAAGGAAAAUUUAUAAAAUUUAUUAUUAUGAUUGAUCUUUCCAAAAUGUUGCCUCCUAAAGAAAAGGGAGAAUUUUGGGCGAUACCGCGUUUAAUUUGUUUGUGUUUAGAAAUGAUUUCGAACAUGAUAUUGCAUAAACUUGUUGAUUGAAAAUGUUGUGCCACACACGUUACUACUUGCUCUUUUGGAUCAAACCAACUUGACAUGGAUUGAACUGUUUCAACAUUAAACUAUUCAAAAUAUUUGAUCUGCUUACUGAUUUUAUCAUAUUUGGAAACACGGGCGGGCAAGUUUUCUUUUUGCCCUUUGUUGUCAAAAGAAGAAGAAAGAAUUGCAUAGCUAUCACCUCUAUUUUGACAAAUAUAGUAGCUUCCCAUGUCUGGGAUAAGACGAUGAAACUCGCAAGGGUUCAUCCUAAGUCGGCUUGUGCUUCGUACAAUGUCUUGUAACCGACUUGUUAGCUUAGUACCCCGAUUACCUUAUACUCCUUUUCUUCAAUUAUUAUUUUAAUACACAGAGAGAGGGCCAAUGCUGAGGUCUUGAUGAGCACCGACUACCCUUGAGCAACCACUUCAACACUUCCUGGAAGAGAGAGGAAACACACCUCCUUCUCUUCAUUUCCAUUUUCCUAUUAUUUUGUUUUUUUUUUUUUUGUGGUCUUUGCCUUUUAUUUUUUUAAAAUUUUUGCCUUUUUUUUUAUAUGUCACAUUAGCGCCAUGCAUUCUCAAAAUUUUUAGAAAUGUCAUAUCUCCACUUUCCAUCACUUAAAUUGAACGCAUCUAAUAACUUGAUUGCUUUAAUUAAAUUAGUUUACAACUUCAUAUUACUUUUAUCAUAAGUUCUAGAACUUAGGUGCCCAUAUUAAAAGAAAUGAAAGAAACGUCGAAGAUAGAGAGAGACAAGGGGCUGGUCUUGUGUCCGGUUCAUUCCGGGUCAGCAAGUCGAUAAUGUCACUAGCCAUGAAUUAUGGAGGAACUUGAUUUCAUUAACAGAGAAAAGCUGAAGGACAUAUUUCCUUUUUUCCCCCGAGAAUGACAGCACGUGAAUUCGGAGGAAGCUCCUAGAGGCACGGUCUGUCCUUAAGCCACACGUUAGAUAUAUUAUUGGUAAAUGGUAAUGAACAUCAUAGUUUCUUAUGGAAUGAUCCUCGGCAUCCUCAUGGGGUGUUGUUUGGAUGUUUAUCCCAAAAAACUAAUUUAUGAUGUUGCACUGGGCCUGAACUCUCUAGUUGCUGGUGUCAUUUGUAGAGAUGAGUGGGUUUGUCCUCCAGCAGGAUCAAAAUUGUUUGUGCAUAUUCAAGCAGCCAUAUGUGGAACGAUCUUUCUCCUGCUCUGCUUUUGAGGGUAGAGCAAUUUUCAAAGGAAAUUCCUCUGGAUGCUUCACCCAGGCAGAUGCUAGGAAGUGGGUAAGGGAUAAAAUGCAGAAGAUCUAAUCCAAGUUUGCAUAAAUUCAGCGUUGUAGCUUGGCUUGCUAUCUUGAACAGGCUGCAAACCUUGGAUGGGAUAAAAAGGGGGUCCUCCAUUGAUGACAAAUGUGUCUUAUGCUAUUCUUCCCAAGUCUAGGAAACCUUUGUUUUUUAGGGUGCCUUCUCAAAGGAUGGAGAUCUCUAAUGGGUUUGGUUAAAGUUUGUUGGAACGUUAAUAAUUGGGAUAGAAUGAGUUCUUUAGAGCUUGUAGAGGGAGGUCUUUGACUAAAAUCGUAUUGAAACUCAUUUGGAAUGGUGCCAUCUACUCUAUUUUGGGGAUAGGAAUGGAGUUUUUCACAAUCGUGCUGCUCCUCCGUCUGAUGGAGCUGUUAAAGUGGCGGUCUUUGGUGUGAGACUCCGCAUCAAGCUGUGGUAGGAAACAAAGAGUCUUUCGAAUGAUGCAGAGAAAGCUCUGUAUAUGAUAUUUUGGAUUGUUUGUUAAGUCUGGGCGUUUUCUGUUGUUCUUUCUAUACGCUUCAUAUACUAACCCGAAAAAAAGAGCUAACGGAAUUAAUUGCAAGUUGGAGGAUUUCAUAGCACAAAAAUGAUAAAGCAAGACCGUAUCUCAAUAUUGAGAUAUGGUUUUUUUUUUUUUAACCGACCAAAAAACAAAAGACCGUAUCUCAAUAUAAGAUUUGCAUUUACGGGAUUGGUUCUUAUUUUCUUUUUAUGGUUUCCAGUGCCACUCACCACGUGCAUCUUUCCAUGGAGGUUGGACCUGGCGGCUAGUUCCUUGAUGUUGGUCCGGUCCUAUAAUCCGAAAAGUCCUUUCCUGACUGCCAUUGACUCUGUUUUUCCAUUUCAUAAAAAUGCCCGACUUUUGAUCUUUCUCGAGUACCCCAAAAGCCUGACAAAUCCAUAAACUCCUGAAAAUUUAAACUGGCAACCUCCUGAAAUUCCUGACGCUAAUCCCUUCCGUGGUCCAGAUUGCCAGAGCAGCUUUGGUCCUUCCUUUUCAUCUAUGUUUGCUACUUUGGAAUUUCCAAUUUCGUCGGUUCUUGUCUAUAUCUGCUAUUUACCCACUCUGAGGGAUCCUCAGGUGGUUCUGCUUACUGGGUGAUAUUUCUUUCGUUUUUUUUUUUCGGUUGGAUGGUUACUAAGUGAUUGGGAAAGGGUUUAGUAUGGUUUCUUUUUUAUACAUGCAGAUCUUGGCUGACUUCAUUCUUUUCUAGUUAGCUCGAAGUUGUCUCCUCUCUCGUAGCUCAGAAUAAGUGAUGCCUAGAGAGGUUGAUCCAUUUCGGAGGCAUGUGGAGGUUGUGGCGAACAAGUGGAAGUGUAAGUUUUGUGGCAAGGAUUUUGGUGGAAGUGCUACAGGGAUCAGGGCACACCUCGUGGGGGCUCUGGGCUAUGGUAUUAAACUAUGCGAGAGAGUUGAUGAGCAUGUGGGAUCCCAAGCUUUGAUAUUGAUGAAAGGUAAAAGUGUGGCGGAUGCAACCAACAGGGUAUGGGCCAAAUUGUAGUCCUUGGUAGUGACCAUGCUUCGAGUCCCCAUAGUAUGCAGGACUUGAAUCGAAACGUCCCAGAGCAACCAUCUUGCCAUUGGCAGAAUGGAAGUGUUGCUGGUGCAGCUUCGUAGAUUGUCAGCAUCAAGAGACCUUGUGUCUCGUUGGCAUGCCAGUGGGUGAUGCAGAAUUGCCCCCGCAAGGGCCGCAACCCAAUGGGUCAAUUCAACGCUUGAAUGAUGAACAUGGAAACGAAAAAACUUCAUCUCUCCAGCAACCUGCAACCGAUCCCUUGGCUUCGAUUUUUCUUGAUCCAAAGUUAACUACCAGAGCUUUUUGAUCAGUUUAUUGAUCUGGAGACGAGGUAUGAACAACGGAAUAGUAGAGGGCCAUCACCAUUGCAAAGUCAUCGAUCCCUUAAUAACAGCGUGACAAAUGGGUUGCAUCAAGUCAACUAGACCUGGUGGUGCUGCGCCUGGUCCCCGUCUCAGUGACACAAGUACAAUUGGCACUCCCCAGCAUCCCAAUCAAACUCAUUUGGGCUUUGAUGAACAAUGGAGAGGUGAAAGCGCUCCAUGUCCGCAAAUAUCUUCAGCAGAGUGGGUGUCUUGUCUUCUCGAUAUGCCCUAUCAGCCACAGCAUUCCAUUCCAUCUUGUUAUUCUGAGGAAAUGCCAAUGAAUGACCUGCAGAAUUGAACGGGUGCAUCGUCGUCACAAAAUGAUCAAUCCCUUGACGUUCAAAUUGUUUGCAACACUGCAAUUAAAUCCCUAUUGCCGAAGUAGUUCCGCUGUCCAAUGCUACAAGUGUAACCAAUGCCGUUGAGCAUUUUAGUCAACAUCCACUUCUUAUAUGUGAUGAAGAAUGUGAAAAUGAGAGUAGUUCCUUUCCCUCACAAGCUUCAAUGGACAUAUCUCCGCCAAGUGUAUUACAGCCUUUCACUGGCCCUCAUUCUUUUGAGAAACUGGACGUAGAUUCCCAAGUUCCACAGGGCGGAACUAAGAAGGCCCAUUGUCAUUACAAGGUAUGCCUUGAAGUGAGCCUUCUCUUCUCUUUUCUACUGUCUCCUAUUUAACAUCUCCCACGUUUUCCUAAUUAUAGGUGUAUCCUUGAAUGUUUCAUAUGUGCACUUUCUCUUAUUUUUUAAUGAUGAUAUUAUAUGAGAAUAUCAAACAGACGUAGAUGUUAGUUUCAGUGUAGAUGUUUUGUGGGAUUAAGUCUAGAUUUUGACUCUACUUACGCUUGUGGCUNNNNNNNNNNNNNNNNNNNNNNNNNNNNNNNNNNNNNNNNNNNNNNNNNNNNNNNNNNNNNNNNNNNNNNNNNNNNNNNNNNNNNNNNNNNNNNNNNNNNNNNNNNNNNNNNNNNNNNNNNNNNNNNNNNNNNNNNNNNNNNNNNNNNNNNNNNNNNNNNNNNNNNNNNNNNNNNNNNNNNNNNNNNUUGAUUACAUGUUUCCCACAAGCUCCGAUGGACAUAUCUGUGAGUAGUCCAUCAUCACCGCAAGGUACAUGUUAAUUCAUCUAAACUGAUCCUUAUGUAUCCUGAUGUUACUUAAUUAGGGAGAAGCAUGAAUGCUUACAUUAGGAUCUAACACGUAGAAUUCUUGAUUCACAAUCAGCUAUUUAUAGAGUCAUCCAAACGCUGGCAACUUCGAAAAUAAUGGAGCCUUGAAAAGAAAGGUAGAACGACUCUACAAUAGAGAAGCUGACAUAAAGAAUGAUAUAGAAUUUGCUGCAUCUCUAUCUCUGAAGAAGCGGAGAAUAGAAGUUGUGAAUUGGUUGACAAACGUGGAAACGCAGAGGAAAAAUUUCCAAAGUCUUAACCAGCGAGCGCAGAAAAUUUGCGACCACAAUAACAGGUGGAUAUGUUGAUGGAAGAAGCGGUAGGCCUUAUCAUAAAAAGCAAAUUUCCAGAAGGACCGUUUGAGGUGGGAGAUGCCAAAGUCAAUAUAUUAUUAGAACGAAAGUUGCAGGGAGGAAAGGCAUUUGACACAUACUAAGAAGAUCUUGCGGUAACUAAUAGAGGAUCGCAUAUCAUGAUCAGGCAUUUACGGUAUGGGGGGUGUCGGGAAAACAACCAUUAUGGUGCACAUACAUAAUAGGCUCCUAGAAAAAGAAAAUCAUAUUAAUGCAUUGUGGAUUGCUGUGUCACAAGAUCUCAACAUACAUAAGUUGUAAGGUGACAUUCAGCUAAUAUAUUCAAAAAAAAUUUCAUGCAUGGGUGUUAAUUUGGAUAAUGCUAACUAUUUAUAAAACAUGAAAAUAUAUAUNNNNNNNNNNNNNNNNNNNNNNNNNNNNNNNNNNNNNNNNNNNNNNNNNNNNNNNNNNNNNNNNNNNNNNNNNNNNNNNNNNNNNNNNNNNNNNNNNNNNCUCGUGUUUUUGGGUCAUUAAAAAAAAUAAAAAUCUUUCUUUAGCAACUUCUCAAAUUGGUAAAUUGUUGAACGGAUGAUAUUAAGGAGCAAAUCAUUAAAAUGUGGGGGCCAUAAUACAUAUGCCUAAUGUGGCGCUACGCGUCAACUUGCUCUAUCUAUUUGGAGAAUAAAUUCGGCUUUCGACGAUAAAUUUUUUCCUCGAGUUGCGCAUGCAUGUCCAGGAACAAAUGGGAGAAGAGAGAUACAUCGUCCAACUAAUGCUAGAAAUAAGAAAGGAUUGAUGUGGUAAAUGACUUUACAAAAUAAUAUGGUAAAUUCUAAGUAUUUAUUUGAGUCAAUAUAUAUUUGAAAACUCAAUAGUAUCUCGUCACUUCAUGUUAUAUAUCAUUUAAUAUGUCAAAUCUCGAACAUUGUACUAAUAAAAUCACUCUAAAACUCAAUUAGACCAGCUCCAAGUGAGCACCUCAAAGGUAAGAACUUGAGUUCACUUAUGAUUAUCAAGGCCCAUUGGUAAUAAAUAAAUAAAUAAAUAAAGGAAAAGGGUGAGAAAUAUCAUGUGGUGUCGCCGGCGCUGACGUGGAUAAAAUUUAUAAUUUUUUAAUAAUUUUUCAAUUGUUUUUCUUUUAUCAUUCUCCGUACCCCUUGGCUAAUGAGGUUGUCGGCUGACCAUCGUUGGCCAUAGGCCGGUCAGGGUGACGGCCCUUACGCCUUUGUCGACCACAGGUGAGCACGUCGGCCCCCCUAGAUCUAGGCGAGGGCCUAAACCCUCACUUGUUGGCCGAUGAGAGCCUUCGUGCCCUCAGCAGCCACAGGCGAGGACGUGAAGGCCUUUGUUCGUGGCGGGCAAGGACUGCAACACCAUAAGCGAGGCCGUUGUGGCCAUCACUUGGAUUUGGGCAAAGGCAUUGUGCCCUCGCUUGGAUUUGGGCGAGGGCCACCGUGCCCUCACCCACCACGAGCGAGUGCUACCACGGCCUCGUUUGCGGCUAACGAGGGCGUAGAAGCCUUGGCUAGCCAAUGGGCAAUGAUUUCAACCCUUGCCUAGGUUUGGGUGAAGGCCCACGUCCUUGUCGAGCGCAGUGGCCCUCACUAGUGGCUGUUAAUGGUGCGGGGACCCUUGCCUCGACCAGCCUGUGGCCGACGAUGGUUGGCUGGCGACCUUGUCGGCCAAGGGGCUAAGGAGAAAGAAUUUUUAUUUUUAUUUUUAGAAAAAGAGAAAAAAAAAAUGGAAAAAAAAAUAUUUAAAAAUUAUAAAAUUGGUGUACGUCAGCAUCGGCAAUUUCUAGCUUAAACUUGUUGGAUAUAUUGAAUUGGUAUCAAUAUGAAAAUGAUUAGAAUUAAAUUGAUCAAAUGAAAAGUUUAUGACUGAAUUGGUAUUAAUGCAAAAGGUUUAUCACUUUUUUUUGUUACUUUUCCCUCAAAAUAGGUCACUUGAAAUCUCAUUUGGUUUCGUCUCUAAAAGAAAUGAAAGUUAUGUGAGGUCGAAUGGCAUCCAUAUAAAUAGACACAAAUUGUUCAUUAUUUUGGUAAGAGGUUAUUGUUUAGAAAUGAAAAAGAAAAGGAUAAAAAGGUGAAAGCAUGAGGUGGCAACUUAAUAAGCCACAAGUCAACUCUCCAUGCACUAUAUUAAAAUGAGAUUUUAGUAGGUUAAUUGUUGAUAUAAAAAAUAAUUUGCAUAUUCACAAUUAGGCGCUGACAUGUGGAAGAAUUCAAUUACAAAAAUAAUUUCACAUACACACGUCACUUGUUCAUAGUAAGUGUGUAAUGGGGCUUUAAACACUACGUAUCUAAUAAUAAACAAUUAGCUUACUAGGUUAUUUGGUUAACUAUUUUUCUUUAUUUAGUUUAACACAAUAUUUCACUAUUAAUUAAUUAGACCAAAUAGAUCGCAUAUUCAGAUAUUCAAAAUUUUCAUGCACGGGGUUAAUUUGGAUAAUGUUAACUAUUUAUUAGAAUAUUGGAAAUAUAUUAUUUCGUAGAAGGUAAGCAGGAAAAAAAGAAAGAAAGCUAAAGAUACAUGUGGCGGAGUAAAAACAAUCGGAUCUUUAAGAAGGGAAUAAAUCAUUUUUAUUAUUUUAGUAAUAGGUUAAUAUGUAGAAUGGAAUAGAAAGGAUAUAAAAAAGCGAAAGCAUGCGAGGACAACAAUGUAGGGGGCAACAUGCCAAUUCUCGAUAAGGCCUCCAUCUCAUGGAUUCUCCUUCAUGUGGCACUGGAUUUUCUUAUUCAAGUGGUUAAAGAUGCGACAAAAGCUUUAGUUGAAAUAGUUUUUGGGAUUACGACCCAAAAGAAAAAAUUAGUUUUUGGGACAACGAGGGAUCUACCUAACACGGCAUCAGAAAUUCAGCAAAUUAAUAAUCUAAGCAGCAGCCGUGGAAAUUCGCUCAGUUUUUUUUUUUUUUUUUUUUUUGAACGGAACGAACAUAGUAUUAAGAUGAAAAGGCCUUACAUCCCGCGGCUAGAGCAUCCGCGCAUAAAUUCGCUCAGUUUACGUUGCAUAUUUGGCGAUUCUCUUUUGCAGGAGACAAUAGCUCGAGAUGCUAACGUGGGCAAGGGUUCAUGAUUGGAGUAGUCUGCAAUAAAAUAAAGCAUAUAUGGACCCUUCAACAGUAUUGUUGAUCAGGAUUCAAGACUUUGAACAAUGCCAACUCUCUCUCUCUCUCUCUCUCUCUCUCUCUCUCUCUCUCAUUAAAAAAUAAAGAAAUGACGAAGAAAAGACGGAGACAUUUCCUGCGCGCGUUCUUAGCGACUGUUGCGUUGUCUCUUAUGGCAAAAUUCCUUGUGACUCUUCACCAAAAGCUGUUCAUUCCCACGUGCAGCAGCAGGCCUGUGCCUUUUGUUUCUCUGGGAGUUUGCUGGAGUCCUGGACGCUGACCAGUGCUUCAGAAUCUCAAAAACAGCUUCUUAUUUCUACUUCUUGAUUUGCAUCUUUGCCACUUACAUGCAUCCGAAUCUUCUUUUUCGGCCCUAACUGGGAUGUUGCUUCGUCUUCAUCUUUGCCAUUUUCCAUUUGUAAAAAUUAAGGAUAAACUCUCCAACUGUCCUUAUUUAACCGGAUCAAAUAUAUGCGCAUCGGACAAGUAAAUUUGAUGGAUUUUAUGUGAAACGAAUUCUGUCGGGUUGAAUGAUCCGGAUGUAAUUGGGUGGACGUAGGUGUGAGAUGCAAUAACCUUCUGUGAAUUUUCUGAUGGCAAACAUAUACACGUGCUUUGAUUUUCUUUUUAAAGUCGAGAUUAUGCUUCAUCGUAUUUUACAAAUCAUUUUUCUAUGCAUGAAAGUUGCUCCGUGUUUGGGUCAUCUACAUAAAUUAAAGAUCUAGGCUUGAUCAGUUUAUGAGGAUUUAUAGAAUGUUCCAUGAUCUUCCAAGUAAUCGGGUUUUGUGCUUAUGUCUUUGGGUAAAAAAACGGUCUUUCUUCCGCAACUUCUCAAAUUGGUAAAUUGGUAAAGGGAUGAAAUUAAGGAGAAUAGCCUUAAAGUAUGGGAGAAAAAAAAAGAAUUGUACUGUCCAUGUUAUUGACAUCAUAAUCUUUAAAAAUCAAAACUAUUUAGGGUACGUAACUGAAAUGAUAUCUGUACCUUGCGAAGGGUAACUUACAUGCUCUUUGGUGGUUAUAUUGUUUGUUUCCAUGUGUUUGUAUUUUUCUCCAUGACAUUAUUCAUUUGUUCUCUUCCUUAACAAACAGAACAUCACAGUAGUGGAUACAUUAGAAUGACACAAAAUUUUGGAUAGAAGAUAAAAGGGGAAAAUGAGUACUUUUUUUUUUAUCGGAAUAUUUUUAAAACAAUGCAAUAAAUUCUAACUGAUUCUUUUAGUUAAUUGAUGUAUUUCAAUGUUCAAUGAGAUUCUGUCACAUCAUUUUACAAAUCAUUUUAGUGUAUUAAAUCUCUAAUAUUAUACUAAAUAAAGCACUCUAAAUUCAACUACACCAACUAUAAGGGAGCACUCAUCGAAUUAACAAGAACUCGAGUUCACUAAUGACUAUUAAGGCGCAUUGGUGAAAAGGAAAAGAAAAAGGCAAAGGAAGGCAAAGGGGGAAAAAAAGAGGGUUGGGGGCAGGGGUCUCAUCGUCUCAUUAUAUUUCUCUGAAAGAAACAGUACGGAGAGAGAUCGAGAAAUACAGAGAGAGGGGAAGAGCGACGACAGUGGAUUGCAGCCUGUCCAAAGGGAAUCACCAUUUUCGAACCCUAGAAAACAGAUUUUAGCUCUAUUUCUCACAAAUUUUGUAGUUUUGUUUUAAAGUUAACAUCUGAAUCUCUUGUGGAUUUUGCUUCGCCAGCAACGAUUCGGUCAAAAUCAAACGAUAUUUUGUUUUAAAAUUAAUUCUGACAUUGAUUUUUUUUUCUUUAGAGUAGAUUGGGUCUUUCUCAUGUAAAAAAUAGCAAGUUAUACUUGGGUCUGUCCGUAGCUUUUCUUAAUAUUAAUCCAAUUUAAUGGAAAUUAGUAGAUGAUAAAUUUGUCACAAAUUCACAAGUUUUGGGUUUUUGGUGUAAAAAUUGGUUUGAGAUAAAUUUGUUAUAUGCGUAUUAAUUUGGAAUAUUUCCUAAUAUUAACAUUAUUAGUGGUUCUUUUAGUUUAUAGAUAGAAAAUUCGGUCGCCACUUUUCAAGUCAUUUUAAUGUAUCAAAUCUCACUCUAAAUACUAUUGAGGCACGUUAUUAAGGGGUCUAAUCGUCUCAUUUGAUAGGGAAUUUGCGGAAGAGAACAGUGCUGGUCAUGUGAGCUUUACAAAUGGUGAUGUGGCUUCUUAUAAAACGUUUUAUACAAAAUCAGGAUGUUCUGUAAGAAGUGACGUGGCUUCUCAUAUUGGGCAAGACAGGAGGCCUUUAUAAGGGGUGAAUGGAAGCCUUUAUAAGGGGUGAAUGGAAGCGAAAGUGCUUCCUUAAAGGGUAUUUUCGGAAGGAAGAGUGCUCGUGCAGCUGGAGGGAGAGACAUGUGAACUUGGAGGCCAAAGUGCUUCCAAAAAGGGCAUUUUCGGAAGAAAAAGUGCUGGAAAUAGUGAUGUUGGCUUCUUAUUAAACGUUUUAUACGAAGUCAGAACUUUUCUGUACCGACAAAAAAAGAAGAAGAAGAAAAGCUCUGUAAGAAAUGACGUGGCCUGACUCCGUCAGGAACGUUUAAAUGUUUUAUACGAAGUCAGGAAAGUUCUGUAAGAAGUGACGUGGCUUCUUAUAUAUAAACCCCAACAGCUUCGUAAACCCGAGAAAAUAUUGGGUGGUCCGGGACCACCACGUCAGCGUGGUCCCCGGCCACUCACGAGGUGCCAUGUGGAGGGGUGGGCCCCACUUGGUGUCCUCUUCGCUUUUUCUCUUGCUCCUCGACGCAGUGCUCCUCUCUCUCCUCUCUCUCUCCCAAAUAACUCUCGGCUGAUGGCUCGGCUCGGCUCGGUUGGCAGAAGAAAGCACGGGUCAAUGGAUAAUAAAUGCGCAGCCCUCCCGCUUAAAAUUUCUCUCUCCUCACUUGAAUAUUUUCUGGGCUCUCUCUCUCCUCGCGGACGAGCUGCACUUCCUCUGUUUCCUUCUCAGCGUAUCCCACCCCCUCCGCCUCCGCCUCCCCAAAAAGCCUCGCCGGUCCGUCGCCUCCUCCAAGAGCCCCGCCAAUCGCAGCUGGUUCCCGAUCCCCUUUGCUUCCGACUGUUUCCAACGCCGAGAUUGAGCGUAAGGUUUGUGCUCGCCUGGGUCUCUAGGCAACUUCUGGGCCUCCCUCCCUCCGGCGAACUCGUCAUCAACUCCGACUCCGAGCCGCCGUCGCCGCCGCCGAUGGCGUCCUCCGUCUCUGGCAUCUACUCGUCCUUCCCCUCCCUCAGGCCGAAGACACCGCCAGCCUCCGCCGCGAAGUCGUCGGCCUUCGGCAGGAGGGAGGCGGCCUCGGUCUCGUUCCCGAGCGGCGCCAGGCUCCCCGCCGUCGACCGGGUGCUGUCCCUGUCCGACGAACUCCCUCUCUCUCUCCACCCUCCCCCUUUCCGAUUGGCGAACCACCGCGAGCAGCCGACGAACCAGGAAGCGAACCUAAUAUUUUCUCCCUUCUCCGACGCUCGAUGCCCUCUCUGCCCUCUACCCCCGACGCUCGACGGCCGAUUUAGCUCGCCUCUCCCACGACCUCCACGCUUUUGGCGGUUCUUCCCCCGCGGUUCGGUGAGGUCUCGGGUAUGCCCUCGUGCCGCGUCUCUUCUUCCUUGCUCAGCAACACUGGACUGCCUCUCUCUCUCUGAGUGUGUCUCUCUGUGCAUUCUUUCAUCCAUGAGGCAAGCAUUUCGACUAGGGUUCAGGGGUUUCGCCACCCCCUUCUUUGAGGUUCGUCCGGGUACCUCUCAUUUUUGCGUGAACCCAGCGUGAAUUUUAUAGUCUUUCUUUCCAUAUGACUACAAGCGACUGCUAAGCGACAAUGCGACGACAGUUUCGAAUCCUGGGUUUCGCUCUGUGAUGCUAAGCGUUGCUUUGGUUCCUUAAAAAGUUGCUGACUUUUUCGCAUGUUGUAGCUUCUUGGUUGCUCCGAGAUUUUGGGUUGGUCGUUCUAUCGUCUUGCUCGGAGCCAGCGAAAUGUUGUCCAAAAGGGGCAUGUCGAAUUCGUCGACACCUGAGUCGGCGGCGAUUUCUGAGGACAGGGAAGAAAUCGAAAGGAUUGGUGGCUUCAGUUCCUAGUUCUACCAAAAGUCAUGUCAAGGUAUUGUCUUUUAAUCGAACCUAUCGUUCCACCUGUGUUUUGGGGACUUGACCAUUCAGCAUUCAUUUUUUCUGCAGAAAAAUUCUGGUGCAAGCAUUGGUGAAGUCGUGUUGCCUAAUAAUGACCCGGCCAAAAUUGAGGCAAUGACAUUUCACGAAUUGAGAGCUACAUUGAGGUGGGGAUGAAUUGUUUUAGUUGCAAGCGUGUGAUAGUCGUUAUAGCGUUUCCUGCGCAACCUUUACAGUAAGCAAAACUCAAGUUUUUCUAUUUGAUGCUUGCAAAGGAGAUUAUUGAGCAGGAAGUGAAUAUUAUUGAUGGAAAACCAUGAGGUCUUGAGAAUUUGCCUUCAACAAAGAGCAAGGUCUUGAGAAUCUGCUUCGUUCGGGUCAAGAUGGCGAGCUCCACAGCCGCACAAGUCCACGGUCUUGUGCUGUAUGGUCCGGGCUUGUAGCUCUGUCGACGGCAAAAGCAAGGUUUACAGAGAACUCGGUCCGUCUCCCUCGCCUAAUUCCAUUAUGUUGUCUUUCUCGAAUGCUUUCAUGUGGGUAGUUCUUCUUUUGGUUAGAUUAAGAUGGAGUGCUCGGUUCAUUUGCAAAUGCGCAAGAUGAUAGAUGGUUCUUGCUUUUUUGAGAAGUUCUUUGACAUGUUGUUUUAGACUGCUUGCGAAGAAAUCCAGACCGAUUUGUGGUAAAAUGAAAAAGAAAGAGUGAACUUUUCCAGAUUUUAUUGGUCAUACAAUCAUGUCUUUCGUGUAAAAUUUGAAGUCAGUAAGUAUCUUUUGGGCCUGAAUCUUUCUCAUGAGGCCUCUUGCUUCACAUUAGGUGAACUCCCAUGUGUGAGUGGUUCUUGCUUUUUAAGUUAUCACCCUAGUGGAAAGAUUCUUCAUUUCUUGUUCCUCGGUGUUCCAAAUAUGCUUUGUUUCAGAGUUUGCUCUUCGGAAUUUCAAACCAGCGGUUCAUUUGAUAUCUAUGGUUGCCGUUGCAAGGAAGUUAUGUCAAACAUGUUGGAAAUAGAUGAGUUUUGCAAAAUGUGACUCCUGUAAGAGGACUUGAAGUCAAGUUUAAUUUUCUUGUACAAUCUGACAUGAAUUCUGAGAAAUGUAAGCAAAAGUGUUUCUGGGAUGUUGGUGGGGUAAAAAUCUUUGCAGUUCGGCUUUUAUGUAAAAUUUGCAUUUCUUUUUCUCCAGGGUUGUUUUCACUAAAAAGGAAGAUUGAAGAUGCAGUUCAACGCACUGAGAAGAUGGCUCCUACUGCACUGCAAAUUGAAGAAGCUAAAUGGAUUAAGCUUGAUGGACUGAUUCGAGAUUACAACCUUUGGGAUGAUCCUGAUAAAUCCUAUGAUGUUCUUGUGAAGUUGGCAGACAUGGCCAGAGCAGUCGAUGCCCUGAGGGAUUUAACUUACAAGGUGGUGUGGAAUGCCAUAUUCAUCUCACAGAAUAAGCUUUUCCGCCCAGUAGGUGUGGAUUAAGUUGGGCAAUUGUUGGGUCAAUGGUUUGCCCAUUAUAAGCUUGUCUUGACUCUUCUUCCGAGAUUAACUUGAUUCUUAAUGUGUUAAUGACUGUCAUAUCUAGUUUAACUGUAUCAAUUAAAGGAAGUGCAAUUGCUGGCUUUAGUUGACUUUUAUCUGCUGAAAUUUGCAGGCGGAAGAAGCAAAGCUGAUAACUCAACUGGUGGAGAUGGAUGCUAUUAAUUAUGCUCUUUUUGAGCAGGCAUACGCUUCGUCUUUGGAUAUGAGUAAGUUUUUGGACUGUUAUGAGAUGUUAAAGCUUCUUAAGGGACCAUAUGAUGUGAAUGGAGCGUCGAUGGUCAUCAAAGCUGAAUCCAAUGGCAAUUACCAUGAGGUUUGAUAAUCUAACUUCAUUUCUAGAAUAAUUAUGCAUGUGCAAAGAGAUGAUGUUUAUAUCACACUCUUCCGUUGUAAUAUACAUUGAUGUAGAAUAGAUGCAGAGUCUCUGGUUCCCGCUUCUUUAUAAUACUUACGCCAAAAUAUAGGAGUUUCAAAGAACUUGAGAAUGAAAAAACUGCAUAUAUAUGUACAUAUAAGGGUGGGACAUUAUUAGUGGAAUCUUGUUAGUAUAUAUGUAUGCUUGUGCGCAUCACCAUUUCAGUUACUUCUUAUUUACGAAUCUCUUUGCUUGAUGACUUAGAUGUCUUGAAAAUCAAUUGUGGGAUUUCUCCAGGGUUUAGUGGAUAUUUAAUUUAUUGUCUAGUAUCCUUCUUCCUGUGGGAGGUAUUUUGCAUGUCCCUCCCCUGAAUUCCAACUCAGAAGUAAACAUUAAGUGAUAAUGUGGUGGCUAUCAAAAGAAUAAUGAGAAAAAAGAAAAGUGAGAAUUUGAUCAGUAUGGAUAGUGGUUCGAUAUUAUUCUCCACUAUGAGGAUACUUAUGUUAUGAGGAUACUUCAUUUUGACAUCAGUAUGAACUAGGACAGGGAAUGAUAAGUUGCCAAUCUAUUUGCAUAUGAAAGAUGAAAUCUUGGAAAAUAGCGGACUGUAAUAUUCAUCUAUAAUGGGGAUAUAUUCCUUUUCCAUUAGCUAAUUCAAUGAAGUUCACUCAGUUUUGUUGACCCAAAAAAAAAAAAAGAAUCUUUUGGGCUUAAGCCUCUGCUGGUUCCAAUCUCUCUGUCUCUCAUGCAUUUGCUAAUCCAGUUAUGGGCUGAAAAACUACUGAGAAUGUACCAAAAAUGGGCUGAGAAGCAAGGUUAUUGAGGGAGGAUUGUAGAGAAGCGUCAGGCAACAAAUGGUGGAAUCACUUCUGCAACGGUUGAAUUUGAAUUUGAUUAUGCAUAUGGUUUUCUUCAAGGGGAGAGGGGUGUUCAUCGAAUGAUAAGUGGUUCAGAAACUGGAUCAACAAUUGAUGAGGUAGGUUUACAAUUAUCAUUUUUGUUUUGAUGAAACAUUGACUUUUGUAUAUUGCUAUUGGUUUUUGACUUCUUUUUAACAAUGAGCUCUGAAUGAUUUGUUUCUUCUCUUUCCAGAGAUUCAGAAGGCAAAAGUGGCAUCUUGUUAGUGCAUCAUUAAUAUCAAGAAACAAUUUAAAGUGUAUUAAAGACACGACAACAUGUAAAUGACCGUGUGCAAGGAAAAACACAUUGGAAUUGAAAGAUUGAUUGUUUCUGUGGCUCUUUCUUGAAAUCAAAGCAGCUAAAUAUGAACUUGUACUCAUGGCACCUUAUUGUAUAUAUUUGGGUAAAUUCUUUCUUGAUCUUAUCUUAAUUACACACUUAGAUAUUUGUGUGGCACCUAGAUGUCUACACGUAUCAUAGAGUCUAACAUUGGCUAAAAAAUAUAAGAUAUGCAACUUCAAAUGGUGUGGAUUAAUUUUGCACAUGAGCUUAAGGUUGAUUUAGUUCACUCAAAAACAUAGCCAAGGGAAUUGUUGCAUUUCAUGGGAUCCAACCAUUCAAGUUGUUUCUUUUUAUAGUUUAUCUGCUUCUUUUACAAGUGAAUUGAAGGUCGAGAAAAGCCUUUUCUGUGUAAUGUGUUUCUGUUCUGCUACAUCAUUGGCCCCUAAAUUCCUGUCAGUUCCUCAUUUUAGUACUCAAAAUUAUAUCGACAGCCUAGCAGCUGUCGAUAUAAUUCCUCUGUUCCGUGAUUCGGCCCCUGACCUAAAAAUUAGUGAGGAGGAUUUGCUAAUCUCGUGCCCAUCGUCAUCGCCUGAAGUAAAAGUCAUUGAAGGCCGGUCUGGAGUUGUUAUUCAGCAUGUUCCUACUGGUUUUGUUGUCCAAUCUUUGGGUAAUGAGUUGUCUAUUCCCUUAUUUGUUAGGGUUGACCUUCCAACUCAAAUUUGUUUACCAAUGAUUUCCGCAAUCUGGUUUUGACUUUACAAAGAAGCAAAUGCCUAUUCCUCAACACACGUUCAUGAUUGCCUGUCUAGUACGACAUUUUGUGAUUGAGAAAUAAGAUCUCAAAAUUUUUAUCCCAGGUGAAAGGAGCAUUUUUGCAAAUAAGAUUAAGGCCCUCAACCGGUUGAAGGCUAAACUUCUUAUCGCAGCCAGAGAUGUAGGAGUUCCAGGCAUAAAUGGCUUCAAGAAGGAAAAUGUGUUCGAUGUAUGGGGAGACAAGGUCCGAAGAUAUGUUCUUUCCCUCGCAAGCAUGUGAAAGAUGUAAGAAGUGGUGUUGAAAUGCCUGACCUGUAUUCUGUUUUGGACGGUAAUAUAGAACCUCUGAUUGGAGCUCAUAUCCAGAUGAGACUCUCAAAUGACAUGCCUCCACAGUAAAGCAGCUUUUCCCAAUUCGCUCUAUUAAUUUAUUUCUCUGCGUUGGUUCUUCAUCCCAAAGUUUUAUCCCUUGAAGUUUAUUUUUAUGUUAAAAACAAGACAAUUGUUCCUUUGUCAUACAUGUAUCUACGCCUGAAAUUUAUUUUGUUGACAAAACCAUAAGUUGGGAAAAAAGAAAGUGACCCUUCGGUAGGCAUUUUGACUGGGGGCACUGAUAGAUUUUAGCUAAAAAAUUGAAGGUAGUCCGAUCAAAUUCCCAUCACACGCGUGUAAACUACUCAAGAUCAAGACUAUUGUCAUGAACUAGGCAUAUGAAGUUACCAGUAUGUCCGGGUAGUCGAGUUUCUUUGUUGGUUCAUGAUCUUUAGUAAUUCUAACUGUCGGCAAUAAGUAAUUCUAAUUCCACCAAACAUUGCUCAAAGUUCGAUGAGUAUGUAUAAGAUGUGUGUUCACAGAAUUCGGAAUGAUGUAAUUAAGUUUACAUGUUGACAUCCCAAUGUUUGAUUUGGUGCGAGGAGCAGGCGUGCCAAUUAAACGCACGAGGUAGAUUCAUUUCUUGAUGCUACUGUUCCCUUUGAGCUUCAGCCUCUGUCUUCUCACUUGGUUUAUGAAGUCAGUGGGCAUGAUAAGUUCAUGUUAUGAGCAUGAAUAACUAAGAAAGAAGCAGUAAUAAGCAGUUCAGGAUUUAUGAAGAAGCAAUUGCAGUUCAUUGAUAUAGAUAAAAGUUUAAAGAUGGCAAAAACAUGUCGAUAGAUGAUGAUAAUAAUUAGCAGUUCAGGCUUUAUCCUGGCCUUUGUGAAGUUUGCUGGGACUUCCUGGUAUAACCAACAUAACAAUUCCAAGCAAAUAUCCCUUAUCAUGCAAAGACAAAUUCCAGGAGCCUUCGUAGUUGUCAAGGAAUCAAGCAAACAGUAAUACACUUGAGCAGCUGGAGGAUUCCAUAAAAUAAUGAAACUUGCUAAUUACAUUUGUCUAAAACAUUGCCGACAUUUUCACACCUAAUUAUGGGAACAUCAUCAUCUUCAGGUCUACCACGUUCAUGUACAAAAUUCAAGAGCCAAAAAUGACAUUGCUGAUACGUGCUCCUUUGAGGUUCUCUAACAACAAGACGCAAGCAAGGAUCCAUGAAGACUGAGCAGCAGACGGUUGUAGACAACCGUCUUUCCAGACUAACUUUUAAAUUAAAAAAAAAACAUCCACCAGAUAAUCAGAUUGAAUUGCGAACCAGAACGGUUGUACCUACAACUUGCACUCAGCAUUUCAGCAUUUCAGCAUUUUUCCCCUCGCCGGCUUUGGCAUCAGAAUGUAUGUUCAAAAACUUGCACAGAUUUUUUCGAAAGUGAUUUCAAUGUUCCAUCAUAACUCUUCCUCCAAAAGAUGCCUUGUAAAAUAAUCUAGAAAAACCCAGAUCACUCCACAGGGCCCAGACAAAGUAAAUACAGACAGCCCCUUCAUCUCUUCCUUCUUUUUUGCCCCCUUUUGCUAAGCAAAUUUCAUCAAAAAAACUUUCCCUUGCUAGUGGCUUCAACAUGAAUGACAAUGACAAUAAAAGCUCAAUACUUUUCAGCAAACAGCAUCUAGGAUGAUGCUGCCGGACUACCUUCGCAGUCCAUUCACCAAGAUCCCAAAAGAGAUGACAGAACUAAAGCUGGAGAAUCAGGCCAAUAGGACUAUGAUCACUAUCGGUGAUAUCAGGAAGGAUGUACGAGUCAUGAACUUUAUUUGCUAUAGAUUCUGAAAUGAGAAAAUAAUCGAGCUGCCACCCUGUAGAUUGCAAGAGGAUAGUUAACAGGUGAUAAUACCUAUUUCCAUAUGCUUCAUCUGAUAAGACAACGAUAUGCAUAAUGACUUAACAAAAAACAAAAGCUUGUCAUUGCUCAUAUUAUCACCAUUACAGGAGAGAAGUGUAACAUUAGAUAUAUAAUGUUCCAUCAAGUAGAUCUAUGUAUACCUUUAUUUGUCUUCCUCCCACCAUGCUGAUAACCCCAAUAAGUAUAACCAACAGCAUGAGGAUACUGUCUUCUAAAGGUAUCAACAAAGCCCCUCGACAGGAAGUUGGUCUCAAAAGAUUCCCUUUCUUCAAUUGUAAAUCCAGCACUUCUUUUAUUUCCCUGGAGUCUCAUGACAAUCAAAUUAAUGACAGAAAUAAGAAACAUUAGACGUAUUAAGAACUUCUGUUUCGGGAUGCCAAACAGCCUAAAUUGUGAUUUUUAUCAACCCCCCAACACAAAACCCCAAACACCCCCCAACAAAAACCCAAAACAAAAUUCAGUUGUAUGGAGGAAAAGCCUGAUUACAGUCCUCUGUUUUGGGGUUUUUCCCCUCUUUUAAGUGGGGUGGGGGGCAUAUGGUGUGGCCAGGACAUUGUCCUGUGACAGUUAAAAAGCUCAUGCAAAUUAUUAAUGCACCUAGUCAAUCAAAGGCAGAAAAGGCACAUUGAUUGUUUCCCUUACCGCAGGAUCAUAAAUGUCUAUUUCCUGAUGGGCACAAUUCAGAUCGCCAGUCAAAAUCACAGGCUUCAACUUUUCAAGUUCCUGUAUUGCCAACAGCAAGCACAAAUUUGAGUAAGAGAUGAAACAAUAUUGAAACAGAAUAAAAAUAGUAGUCUAUCGGAAAACCUUCAUAGGUUGUAGAAUUGAUCCAUGAUAUGGUUAAUAAUGACUCCUGAACAAAAGUCUAAAUAGCUUUAUCAAAAAACAAAAGGGUUACAUAGUGCUGAACAUACUUUAUGUAGUUACCAAGAGAUGGAUCCCACUGUGAAAUCCUAUACAUCUGACAUAAAUAAGCAACAUAAUUAAUGAAUCAUACUUGAAAGUGUGUAACAGAGUAAACCAAUGAAAUAGAUUGAUACCAGUCUUCUCAGGCCAUCGCCAGAAUUAGGAAAGUAACCACUCAAGAGAUAGAAUGAAUCAAACUCUGCAGUGACAAGCCGUCCCUCAGAAUCAUGAUAUGAUAUGCCCAAGCCAUAUGUAACUUAAAGGGGCUUUAUCUGCACAAAAAAAAUACUAGUAAUAACCUCAAAAAUAAUAAUCCAAAAAAGCCAAAUGUAGGAGAAAACCAGAAGGCACGGUAUCCACCUUACACAAAUUAAUAUAGAGAGAAGGUAGUACUUUUGCGUUUCUGACAUACAAAGUGCAACUCAUGCCGAUUUUAUUAUUCAUCCAACAUCACUUGAGAUGCUAAUUAUAUCUCAUAAGCAACUUAACUGAUCAUUGGCUGUGAUCUUUAUUUAAGAUGAGAAGCAUUUCAUUCGAAUAUACACAAAGCAAAUGGACUAACCCUACUACAAGCAUAUUAUUAUAGCAUUUAACUAGAUUAAAACAUCAGAAUAUCUAUACAGACUCCGACAUUCUUGGUCAAAAUAUGACAAUUCAUUGGGGUCAAAUGCACUCGCAGUAACAAAUCAGAAUGCCUCUGAACUGCAACAGUAGGUAGGGAGCUAGUCCUUCAACCCAGUCAUUCCGUGAACUCUUCCCACAUGCUUUACAAUAACAAUUUACAAGCCUCAGAAACAACCAUAGAAAUACAAAAAAGGACUUACAGGUUUCAUUAUCAUUUUGAGAAAAAGUGUGAUGCAAAAAAUUUCAUUUUCAUAAAAAAAUUGCUCUUUGUUGAAGGCAAAUUCUCAAGACCUCAUGGUUUUCCAUCAAUAAUAUUCACUUCCUGCUCAAUAAUCUCCCUUGCAAGCAUCAAAUAGAAAAACUUGAGUUUUGCUUACUGUAAAGGUUGCACAGGAAACGCUAUAACGACUAUCACACGCUUGCAACUAAAACAAUUCAUCCCCACCUCAAUGUAGCUCUCAAUUCGUGAAAUGUCAUUGCCUCAAUUUUGGCCGGGUCAUUAUUAGGCAACACGACUUCACCAAUGCUUGCACCAGAAUUUUUCUGCAGAAAAAAUGAAUGCUGAAUGGUCAAGUCCCCAAAACACAGGUGAAACGAUAGGUUCGAUUAAAAGACAAUACCUUGACAUGACUUUUGGUAGAACUAGGAACUAAAGCCACCAAUCCUUUCGAUUUCUUCCCUGUCCUCAGAAAUCGCCGCCGACUCAGGUGUCGACGAAUUCGACACGCCCCUUUUGGACAACAUUUCGCUGGCUCCGAGCAAGACGAUAGAACGACCAACCCAAAAUCUCGGAGCAACCAAGAAGCUACAACAUGCGAAAAAGUCAGCAACUUUUUAAGGAACCAAAGCAACGCUUAGCAUCACAGAGCGAAACCCAGGAUUCGAAACUGUCGUCGCAUUGUCGCUUAGCAGUCGCUUGUAGUCAUAUGGAAAGAAAGACUAUAAAAUUCACGCUGGGUUCACGCAAAAAUGAGAGGUACCCGGACGAACCUCAAAGAAGGGGGUGGCGAAACCCCUGAACCCUAGUCGAAAUGCUUGCCUCAUGGAUGAAAGAAUGCACAGAGAGACACACUCAGAGAGAGAGAGGCAGUCCAGUGUUGCUGAGCAAGGAAGAAGAGACGCGGCACGAGGGCAUACCCGAGACCUCACCGAACCGCGGGGGAAGAACCGCCAAAAGCGUGGAGGUCGUGGGAGAGGCGAGCUAAAUCGGCCGUCGAGCGUCGGGGGUAGAGGGCAGAGAGGGCAUCGAGCGUCGGAGAAGGGAGAAAAUAUUAGGUUCGCUUCCUGGUUCGUCGGCUGCUCGCGGUGGUUCGCCAAUCGGAAAGGGGGAGGGUGGAGAGAGAGAGGGAGUUCGUCGGACAGGGACAGCACCCGGUCGACGGCGGGGAGCCUGGCGCCACUCGGGAACGAGACCGAGGCCGCCUCCUUCCUGCCGAAGGCCGACGACUUCGCGGCGGAGGCUGGCGGUGUCUUCGGCCUGAGGGAGGGGAAGGACGAGUAGAUGCCAGAGACGGAGGACGCCAUCGGCGGCGGCGACGACGGCUCGGAGUCGGAGUUGAUGACGAGUUCGCCGGAGGGAGGGAGGCCCAGAAGUUGCCUAGAGACCCAGGCGAGCACAAACCUUACGCUCAAUCUCGGCGUUGGAAACAGUCGGAAACGAAGGGGAUCGGGAACCAGCUGCGAUUGGCGGGGCUCUUGGAGGAGGCACGGACCGGCGAGGCUUUUUGGGGAGGCGGAGGCGGAGGAGGUGGGAUACGCUGAGAAGGAAACAGAGGAAGUGCAGCUCGUCCGCGAGGAGAGAGAGAGCCCAGAAAAUAUUCAAGUGAGGAGAGAGAAAUUUUAAGCGGGAGGGCUGCGCAUUUAUUAUCCAUUGACCCGUGCUUUCUUCUGCCAACCGAGCCGAGCCGAGCCAUCAGCCGAGAGUUAUUUGGGAGAGAGAGAGGAGAGAGAGGAGCGCUGCGUCGAGGAGCAAGAGAAAAAGCGAAGAGGACACCAAGUGGGGCCCACCCCUCCACAUGGCACCUCGUGAGUGGCCGGGGACCACGCUGACGUGGUGGUCCUGGACCACCCAAUAUUUUCUCCGUAAACCCAGCACGGAGAGGGACGAAAGUGGAUUGCAGCCCGUCGAAAGAAAGGGUCGAGCUACACCCGAAAUCUCCAUUUCCGAGCACCAGGUAAGGGAUUUUAGCUCUAUUUCUCACGAGUUAGGGAUUUUCGUUUUCUUAAAAGUUUAAUAUCCAGAGCUAUGUAGGGUUUUGCUUUACCGGCAACGCUUUGGCCGCCAAAAUCCAAUCAUAUUUUGAUUACCCACAUCUCCUCGAGUCUAUAGGGAUUUCACAGAGUUCUAGUUGGAGUCAGAUUCCAGAGAAACGAACUCUCCAAGUCCUCCUCUCUGCGCCGCAGGUGAACAGUGUGUGCCGCCUGACUUCUUGGCUGCCGUUUGGUUCAACUUUGGGGAAAUGCUUACAAUCUCAAAUAGCUUUGAAAAAUAAUUUUAGCAAAAACACCGUUUGGCAAAACUUGCAUUUCUAAUUAGCUUUUGCUUUUUUUUUUAAAAAGUCUAAAAAUAAAAUCCGGUGGCCGGCUAACUGCCGGACGGCCAAUUUGGCCGCCGGACCGCCAAAUCGGGCAGCCUGAGGUCGCGGAGGCCAGAUCUAGCCACAGGACCGCCAGAUCUAGCCUCUCGACGGCCAGAUCUGGCGGUUGAGGUCGCUUGGGUCCGCGCGACCUCAGGUGGCGUCGCCUGGUUCGCGCGCGCCAGGCGACGCCACCUGGGUCGCGGGUUGCACCACCCCGGGCGGUGGUCACCGAGGACGCGCGACCCCCACGCGGUGGUGGUGGUUGCCGGAGAAGCCGAACUCUCAAGCGGCGGGGAAGACGAAGACGAACGGAGAAGAAGAUGAGACGAACGGAGAAGAUGAACAGUAAUGACGAUGAACAGUAAACUUGCAUCUCUGAAAUGCCCAAUGCAAAAAGCUAGUCCUACCCAACAUUCAGCUUUCAACUUUUCAAAUGCCCACAUUUCGAAAAUGAGCAUUCGAAAACCAUUGCCAAACACACAAAAUUUUCCCCAAGGGGCUUUGGGGGCUCAAAGCCCCUUGGGAAAGUCCAACCAAACGCCCCCUAAAGUCUUUUUUUGAGGCGGCGACUUGUCAAAUCUCAUAAUUUUAGAAUUAAUUAUUUUCUUGAGAAGGCAGUCCGCAAUUCCCAAGGUGGCUUUGAGUUAGAUCGGGUGUUUCUCGUCUCAAAAAUAGCAAAUUAUUUUUGGGUCUGUUGGAUAUUAAUGUGCAGUUUGGCUUUCCCGCUUUAGUACUUGCGGAUGCUAGUGUUUGCUCGAGAAUAAUGCUGUGCGCGCUAGGAAAAUAUACACAAGAUCGGUAGGUUAUAUAGUUGGGUGUGCUCUCUUUGCCUGCAGGUUGAUAAUCAAGACAACAAGAUGCCGCGACCUGAAGAUAUAGCCUGGAAAUUCGUGGUUAGACUGGAUAACAAGAGAUGGCGUUGUCCUUACUGUCAUAAAGUGUCCUCUGGAUCAGUCACAAGAGUGAAAAGUCACUUUCUUAAACAACCAAAAGAAGGGAUUGCCUCUUGCACAAAAGUGCCAGAGCACAUACGCACGCUAAUGGAAUUGUUACUCAGUCAUGAGGUGACUUUAGUACUUGUGGUAGCUACAUUAUAUGCUUAGUAAUAUUGCUAUGCGUGCUAAGAAGAUAUAUAAAAAAAUGGGGAUAAUUUAUGAAGGGGCGCGCUCUGUUUGCUUGCAGCUUCAUAACAAGGAUGAUAUAGCCUGGAAAUUCGUCAAUAGAGUGGAGGACAGCAAAUGGCGUUGUUAUUACUGCAGUGGAGAAUUCUUUAGAGACCUUACAUGGGUGAAAGGUCACUUGCUUGGAGUCCCAAAUGAAGGGAUUUCCAUUUGCACACUAGUGCCGGACCAUGUAAGAAAGCUAAUGCGGUCGUUACUUGAUGAGGUGGCUGAAGAAGAGAGCAGAGAAGCCAACAGUCCAUUGUCCAUGGGGACUUUGUUCUCGCCAGGCCUCGAAUAUACGUUGGAACAGUUGCACUUCAACCAACAGGAUGUCAUUGGGUCAAACUCUGACCAACAAUCACAAGAAGAGCGUCAGUUUCAGCAGAGUCCAACUAUGCCGUUAUUGGUGCAAAGUAGCCAUGGUAUGUCCGUGUGAAGUUUCUUUACAUUCAUCUUGGCACGGAGAAUAAAAAAUCAUUAUAUUUUUCGUUUUAUUAACUCUCUCUAGAAUAACUCAAAUUUAUCUAUUUUCAUAUUUCAUCGAUUCCAAAUUAUAGUAAUAUCAUUGCAUAUUAUAUAUGUCCGUCAAUUAGCCACGGAACCAGAGUCACGUGACACAGAAGUGCUGGACCACAUAAGAAAGCGUAAUGACCUCGAUGAGAUGGCCGAAGAAGAGAGCAGAGUGGUGGCUGAAGAACAGAGCAGAGAAGCCCAUGGUCAAUCCUCCAUCGAAUCAAAUUCCCGUUACAUGCCGACUCAAGCUGAGGUGGCUGAAGAAGAGAUCAGAGAUGCCAACCGUCAAUUUUCCACGGAACCACAGUCGCGUGACAUGCUGUCUCCAGCUGUUCCUCGGUCAUCACAAAGCUUGGAAGAUAUAGAAAACUUAUUCACAACAGAGUGGGCGACCGACUUGGAAAACUUAGACUAUGACCUAGAGCAUCAUUUUCGUGAGACUUUGGCAAUGCCGCCACCGGCGCAAAAUAUCCAUGGUAUGUUCAUGUGAAGUUUCUAUACAUGCAUCUAGGCAUGGAGAAAAAACAUCUAAUAUAUUUUUCAAUGCAAACACGUCGGGAUUUUUAACCAAAGUGGAGAGUAUUAAAUAUCUCCGAUAAAAACGAUCUUCCUAUGGGACUUUCCAAAUGUGAAGAAAGUCAAAUCACCUAUUCCUUAAUAACAGUGCAUUGAAUGUGUUGCACGUGUCCAUUGGACCCUUUGGAUCCACUAGACUAACUACAGUAGGUAUUCUUUCGUGUUCUAAUCAACUAUAUUCUUUCGUGUUCUAAUCAAGUAUAUCCUAAUUUUGAUGAACUUCACACGGAUGAAAACAUACCAUUUUCAACGAUGGCUUUAGCAGAAGUAGAAUCGGAUCUUCCUGAUCCGCCAUGUCAGCCACAAUAUUCCAAUCGAUCUCCUUAUCCCGAGGAAAUGCAAAUGAAUGACCAGCAGACUCCAGCAGGGGCAUUACCAUUCCAGGAUGUUCCAUUCCCUGUUGUAGGUAAUUCAAAUUGCUUGCAGGAUUGCAAUCGGCACUCUCAAUUGCAAACUCCAAUGGACGUAGAUCACUCAGUUGUAUCACAGCGUAGAAUCGACUCUCACAUUAAUGAGGCAACAAUCGUUGAUUUGCAAGUUCCAGAGGUGACAACGAUUACAAUAAGCCCAUCAUCAUCACAAGGUGUGUCUUGAUUUAUCUAUGUAGAUACUGUCAUUUGGUUAGAUCCUUAAAUAUCUAACAUAUUUAUUUUUAUAAAAUAGACAUGAACAACGGUUCUCCAACCAUGAACGCAUGGAGGACACCCCAAACUCGAAGAUGUAUAAAAUGGACUACGCAAGAGGACAGGGCGGUCGACAUUGCAAACCUCCCAUUAGAUGGUGCAACAAGUUACUCAAGGGCAUCUACCCCGCUAUCUUCAAUCCACCCCGAUUCGCCACAUGAUCUGUUGCCCAAUUUAAGUCAGUCUCUAACAUUAAAUGCAGAACAGAAUCCGACCGCGCCAUUGCCAUCGCAAAACCGCCUGCUCCAUGGUAACACUUCUCAGAAUGAGUCACAGGGGUCCAUUUUCCCUGGUGCCAUUGCAUCAGGUGCUCGACUCACUAACAUGGCCCCAACCAACGCUCCUCAGUAUUCUAAUCAACCACAUCAGAGCUUUCACAGGCAGUGUGGACAUGGCACUGGUUUAUCUGCUCCACGGGAUCCCAUGGACACAGAGCCACCUAUUUCAUCACAACCUGGAUCUCCCAUUGUUGAGGGCCGCAAUUUCCUUCCGCAGAUUUCAGAGGACAUCAUAAAUACAACUGGCCCAUCAACAUCAGAAGGUAUAAUACUAUCGAUCUAUUAAAUGGGUCUCGUUGACCUGCCUCAUCACAUUUUGUUAAGUAUACUUACUAAGGAAAUACUUUUCUUCUCAAUGCAUUGAUUACUCAUAAUACAAGAGGGACAAUGCAUUAAUAAUUACAAACUUUCCUUAAUUGGUAAUUACCAUUCAUGUGGUCUGUUUACAAACACCUCGUUGCUUUGUUAUGGUGAGUAAGAAUGUUUCGAUCAGAGUCUAAUGCGUGAAGUUGUGGCUUAUAAAUUAGUGAUGCCGAAAGGUGCACCAGUAGGGGCAUCAUCAUUCCAGUGUGAUCAAUUACUUGGUGUAGGUAAUUCAAAUCUGGAUUGCAAUCAGCCACGUAUAUCUAGUGUAACAAGUGUAACCAACACUGUCCCGCAUUCUAACCGACCACUUCCAUGCUGCAAUGGAGAAUGUGGAACUGAAACCAGUUCGUUUCCCUCGCAAGAUUCGAGGGGCAUAUGUCCCGUAACUGCAUUACAGCCUACCAGCGGCCCUCACAUCGAGGCAACACUCGUCAAUUUGCAAGUUCUGGAGAAUGGAGCAAAUAUGGCUGGUCCAUCACUAUCACAAGGUACUUCUUGAUUUACCUAAAUAGAGACUGUCACUCCAAAUUAAUCAUAGGUAUUCCAGCUCGAGUGAGCAUUGAUGCUUUCAUUGCAGAAGUAGCCUUCCUUGUAUUAUUAACUCUCUCUAGUAUAACUCAAAUUCAUCUAUUUCCAUACCUGAUCUUGUCUCAAUUACUGUGGUAUCGUUGCAUAUUAUGCAUGUCCGAUGUCACUUACUUUACUGCACGGUUUCUUUCAUCAAGAUAUUUAAGCCGUGCAUGUUGAUUUUCAUUGUGGAUGUUUUUUGUGACCAAGUUGUGUGUUGUUUUACCUGUAUGCAUGGACACUCCAAUAUUUUAGUGCAACCAGCUUUGGUGCCCCCUCAACAUCAAAGCGUUUCACAUCAAUUCAUUAGUCCUAGACAAGGAAUGCGCAGCAGAAUCCAACAGGGCUAUCAUCGUCACAGAAAAAUCAUAUAGUCCCAUGUCACCCACAAGCUCCAAUGAACAUGGAUCCCUGUAUCCUCUCAUCAUCACAAGCUCCAAAUAAUGCUCCUCCACGUCCUCAGAUUCAACGUCGUGGAAUAGGCCUGAUGGGCCCAUCAUCAUUACCGGGUAUAUAGUUAUUUACCUAUAUUAAUCCUUAUGUAUCACCAUGUUACGUUAUUAGGGAAGCAAGAAUGCUAUAAUGAGACCGAAGGAUUUAAUUGCAGAAUUAGAUAUGAACAAGGGCGUGCCAUUGACGAGUCAUACAAACAUAGACAACAACUUUGAAAAGAGUAGCCAUUUGAAAAGAAAAAUAAAGCGACUCUACAGUAGAGAAGCUGACAUAAAGGAUGAGUUAAAAUUUGCCGCGUCUCUAUCCCUAAAGAAGCCGAGAAUGGAAGUUAAGAAUUGGUUGGCAGAUGUGGAGAAUCUUAGAAAUGAUUUUCAUGGUAUUGAAGCAACAAGUGAAAAUUGUUUGCCGCCACACCAGCAGGUUGUACUGAUGCAAGAAGCAGAAGAACUUAUAAAACAAAGCAAAUUCCUAGAAGGACUAUUUGUGGCGAGAGAGACCAGAGUCAAUAAGUUGUUAGAACGAAAGUUGGUGGGAAAGGCAUUUCAAAGAAAUACAGCAGAGAUUUUGGAGUACUUAGUGGAGAAGCAAAUAUCCCGACUAGGCAUUUAUGGAAUGGGGGGUGUUGGUAAAACGACUCUUAUGAUGCACAUACAUAAUAGACUCCUCGAAAAAGCAAACUAUGGCAAUGUGCUGUGGAUCACCGUGUCACAGGAUUUUAACAUAGAGAAGUUGCAGGACAACAUUUGGGAGGCACUACGUUUAGACAUACCACGAGAAAAGGAUGUGAAGAAACAAGCAGCAAUGUUGUCCGAUUGUUUAACCAAAAUAGAGAAGUUGACAAUAAUCCUCGAUGAUGUGUGGGAACAUUUUGAUCUUGAAAAGGUGGGAAUCCCUAUUAGAGCCAAUGGACUUAAGCUGGUCGUAACCACUCGAUCCUCUAGUGUUUGCAGCCAGAUGCAUUGUCAAGAGAAGAUAAAAAUUGAACCUCUAUCUCAAGAAGAAGCUGAGAGUUUAUUUUUUGAGGAGCUUGGAUCCGAAGUGGCCUUUAAUUUGGAAAUUAAAGCAAUUGUGAAGUCCAUUGUUAAAGAAUGUGCAGGCUUGCCGCUUGGAGUCAUCACGAUGGCAACAAGUAUGCGAGAAGUGACUAAUAAGUUUGAAUGGAAUGAUUGCUUGGAGAAAUUGAAUGAAUCGGAUAUGAGGCAAAUAGAUAUGGAAAAGAAAGUCCUAAUGAUUCUAAAAUUCAGUUACGAUCGCCUUGGGAAUUGUGAAGUUCAACAGUGUUUCUUAUCUUGUGCACUUUAUCCAGAAGAUCAAUUGAUUGGUAGGAUCGAGUUGAUAGAAUUCUUUAUUGACCAAGGAUUGAUUGGUGGAUUGAAUACGAGGGAGAAACAAUAUGAUAGAGGCCUCACUAUACUGACCAAACUGGAAAAUGUUUGUCUAUUGGAAGCUUAUAAGAAAAGUGAUUUUCCACAGAGAGAUUAUGGGGAAGGGAUGAAGAUGCACGAUUUGAUUAGAGACAUGGCAUUGCACAUCAUGAAUGCGACUUCGAUNNNNNNNNNNNNNNNNNNNNNNNNNNNNNNNNNNNNNNNNNNNNNNNNNNNNNNNNNNNNNNNNNNNNNNNNNNNNNNNNNNNNNNNNNNNNNNNNNNNNNNNNNNNNNNNNNNNNNNNNNNNNNNNNNNNNNNNNNNNNNNNNNNNNNNNNNNNNNNNNNNNNNNNNNNNNNNNNNNNNNNNNNNNNNNNNNNNNNNNNNNNNNNNNNNNNNNNNNNNNNNNNNNNNNNNNNNNNNNNNNNNNNNNNNNNNNNNNNNNNNNNNNNNNNNNNNNNNNNNNNNNNNNNNNNNNNNNNNNNNNNNNNNNNNNNNNNNNNNNNNNNNNNNNNNNNNNNNNNNNNNNNNNNNNNNNNNNNNNNNNNNNNNNNNNNNNNNNNNNNNNNNNNNNNNNNNNNNNNNNNNNNNNNNNNNNNNNNNNNNNNNNNNNNNNNNNNNNNNNNNNNNNNNNNNNNNNNNNNNNNNNNNNNNNNNNNNNNNNNNNNNNNNNNNNNNNNNNNNNNNNNNNNNNNNNNNNNNNNNNNNNNNNNNNNNNNNNNNNNNNNNNNNNNNNNNNNNNNNNNNNNNNNNNNNNNNNNNNNNNNNNNNNNNNNNNNNNNNNNNNNNNNNNNNNNNNNNNNNNNNNNNNNNNNNNNNNNNNNNNNNNNNNNNNNNNNNNNNNNNNNNNNNNNNNNNNNNNNNNNNNNNNNNNNNNNNNNNNNNNNNNNNNNNNNNNNNNNNNNNNNNNNNNNNNNNNNNNNNNNNNNNNNNNNNNNNNNNNNNNNNNNNNNNNNNNNNNNNNNNNNNNNNNNNNNNNNNNNNNNNNNNNNNNNNNNNNNNNNNNNNNNNNNNNNNNNNNNNNNNNNNNNNNNNNNNNNNNNNNNNNNNNNNNNNNNNNNNNNNNNNNNNNNNNNNNNNNNNNNNNNNNNNNNNNNNNNNNNNNNNNNNNNNNNNNNNNNNNNNNNNNNNNNNNNNNNNNNNNNNNNNNNNNNNNNNNNNNNNNNNNNNNNNNNNNNNNNNNNNNNNNNNNNNNNNNNNNNNNNNNNNNNNNNNNNNNNNNNNNNNNNNNNNNNNNNNNNNNNNNNNNNNNNNNNNNNNNNNNNNNNNNNNNNNNNNNNNNNNNNNNNNNNNNNNNNNNNNNNNNNNNNNNNNNNNNNNNNNNNNNNNNNNNNNNNNNNNNNNNNNNNNNNNNNNNNNNNNNNNNNNNNNNNNNNNNNNNNNNNNNNNNNNNNNNNNNNNNNNNNNNNNNNNNNNNNNNNNNNNNNNNNNNNNNNNNNNNNNNNNNNNNNNNNNNNNNNNNNNNNNNNNNNNNNNNNNNNNNNNNNNNNNNNNNNNNNNNNNNNNNNNNNNNNNNNNNNNNNNNNNNNNNNNNNNNNNNNNNNNNNNNNNNNNNNNNNNNNNNNNNNNNNNNNNNNNNNNNNNNNNNNNNNNNNNNNNNNNNNNNNNNNNNNNNNNNNNNNNNNNNNNNNNNNNNNNNNNNNNNNNNNNNNNNNNNNCGCCGUAUUCCUUAUCUAGGGAAGCUCAUAUCUUUAAGAAAGUUGGAUGCCAGUAACUGUGCGCGUCUUGAAGCGCUUGAGGGUCUAGACAAGUUGGUGAACUUGACAUACCUUGACCUUAUCAAAACACAUAAUGCGAGAUUGCCCAAAGGAACACUGGAGUGUUUACUAAACUUGCAAUGUCUUAAAGUUUCGGCAAUAAAUGAAGAAACAAAAUUGGGGACAUUGGAGACAUUUGAAUGCUACUCUGAAAAUGCGGAUGAUUUUAACAAGUGUGUGAGGGCUAUUGGGCAAAGUAAUAAUCCUCUCUAUUACGGCCUCAACAUGAAUAUAGAAAAAUCAAACUUUAUUGUGGAAGUAAGUGAUGAUACUCGAUUUCGGAAUUUGGGGAGGAGCGUCAACAUUGGGGAGUGGGGUCAUGCUAUUUUGAGCGUGGGAGGGGAAUGCACUGGCAUUUUUAUUUUGAUUCCCCGAAAUGUGCAGACGAUGAGAAUGGGAAAAUGCAAGGGUAUAACAAAUUUGUCUAGCAUGGAUCCGCUUAAAUACCUUGAGGACCUAGAAAUAGAAGAAUGGGAAAACUUAGAGGUGCUCUGUGGAGGACAAGACGAAGAAGUAAUCGACGUCCCGGCCCCAACCCUCACCCCUCACCCCUUCUCGAGCCUUAUAUUUUUGAAAAUAAAGGAAUGUUCAAAACUGAAGUAUCUCUUUGGACAUGGGUCUAAAUCCAACCUUCCGCAUCUACAAGUUAUUGGAAUAGCGAAUUGUAAGGAAAUGGUGGGGAUAAUAGCAGCAGUUACAUCCCCACCACCACAUUCGCUCCCAUUUUUGCCUAGUCUGGAAGGUAUUAUUGUUUGGGGCUGUGGUAAAAUGAAGAGAGCGGUGGAAUCUGAGUGGAUGCCCCACUUCCCUAAGCUGAGAAACAUUGUAGUAUACAAAUGUGAGAAGAUGGAGGAGAUAAUCAGAGGUCCUCCUAAAUGCGUGCCGGUUGAAGGGAUUUCUCUCUAAUCUCUUAAGGUAGUACAUUGCGGUAGCAUGAGAAAGCUGCUUCCGCAUGAGUGGCUGCUCCAUCUUCGAAAUCUUCGAUGUAUCUAUGUCAAUGACUGCCGAGGAAUGGAGAAGAUGAUAUGCGGAGCGGGACAAGGUCAAGAAAGAAGCAUAACGACUCCUGUCAACAGCACCCCUUCAUCCUUCCUGCCUCCAAUUUCUCUCCCAAAGCUAGAGCAGUUGAAUCUAUCCGAACUACCCCAGCUAAAGAGCAUAUGCGAAUUCCCAAUAAGCUGCAAUUCCAUGGAAGAGUUGUUUGUGUACGAUUGCCCAGAAUUGAGGGGGAUUCCUUUGCAAUUGCGAUUGCGUGAAAUUGAGAAGCUUCCGCAUAUUUGGGUGGAAGAUGAGGAAAGGUGGAAGACGCUGAUGUGGGAUCAUCCCGAUGCUCAGGCUAUUCUUCAACCUCAUCUAAAAAAAAAGGGAUACCCUAGAGGUUAAUGAGUUUAAUUGAUAUAUGAUUGCUUCACUUCUUAAAAGUCGUUGCAAAGAUGUAGCUUUUCUGUCUAUAUAGUCAUGCAGCUCUCAUAGUGGCCUUUUGCAGAACUUUUCGCCAAGGGAAUGGUUCUCCUGUGACUCUGCUCUUGAAGAAAGCCUUGUUGCUCAACCGUGCUUUCCUGCAAACUCGACUCAGGUUGCCAUAUGAAUUGACCUUUUCUGUGUGGCCAUGCUUUGUCUAUUUUGAAUGCGAUCACAUGUUUUAUUGACUACUAGAAAUAAGUGAAUCUGGUCGAUAUUUCAGGUUAGUCAAAAAGCAACGGAUCUGAAGAUUUGGGAAGCCAAGGGAAUAGCAAAGCCUGUUUCCUAUCUUGUCUUAUAACUGAAAGGACAAGUUAUUAUUAUGGAUUUAUCUCCUUGGGAUAUUAGCCUUCUAAGAAAAGAGGGAAUUUUGUGCAGCACUACCUUUAAUCUGUUUUUGUUUAGAAAGGAUUUCAAAUAUGAUAUUGCUUUAACUUGUCGAUCGAAAAUAUUGUGUCAAAUACGCUGCUUCCCUCUGUUGGAUCAGAGCAACAUGACCCCGAUUAAACUUGUUUCGACAUUAAACUAUCGGGUAUAGAAUACUUGAUCUGCUUAGUAGUUGUAUCAUAUCUGGAAACGUAGGCUGGGAAGUUUUCUCUUCACCCGUUGUCAUACUUUGAGUUAGAAAUGUAAAAAGACGAAGAAGAAAGAAUUGCAUAGUUAUCGCCCCUCUUUAAAUGCCUCAAAGUUGUGGAUAGAUGGAGAAACCUACAGCUUCAGCUCAAGUUACCAAAAAUUAGAGCAGUAACCACUAGCAAGUCAAUGGAAAAAGGGCCAGCUUAUAGGACGUGGCACUUUUGAAAGUGUUUACAUUGCAAGCAACCAGUAAGUUAGCUCUGGGAAUCUUAGACACGUUCCAUUUUUUAAGAUAUCCAGUCAGCUAAACUUUGACAUAUUAAGUGACAGAAAAACCGGAUCUCUAUGUGCACGGAAGGAGUUUGAGCUAUCGCCUAAUGAUCCAAAUUUAGCUGAGUGCAUCAAGCAGUUAAAGCAGGUAAUGUUUUUGUUAUGCUCUGGGAUCCAAUCUAUUCUCUCAUCUGAUCUAAAUAUGCUGGGAGGAAACUUUCUUUCAUCAUUUCCAGGUAAUUGAUUGUUACUACAGGAAAUUCAGGUACUUAGCCAGCAUAGACAUCCGAACAUUCUGCAGUAUUAUGUCAGGGAAAUUGUGAGUCACAUUUCCACAGCACCUAUGCAUCCCAGCUCAAUGGGCGUUCAUUAUUUGACUCGCCAAAAUUUCAACAUAUUCAUACGUACUCAGGUUGAGGAUUGGCUUUACGUAUAUCUAGAAUAUGCACAUCACGAUUCAAUAGACAAGUAUAUCCAAGAGCGUCUUGGGACCCUAACAGACUCGGUUGUCCACACUUUACCCACUAUAUUGUGGCUGGAUUGGCUUCCCUGCAUGUUAACAACUCCAUACAUGGGUAAUUCUAAACCAUUGAUCAAGCAUCAUGAGAUGGCUUGUGCAGGGAUUUAAAGGGAGCUAAUUUAUUUGUGGAUGCAUCUGGGAUAUUCAAACUUGCUGACUUUGGAAUUGCUAAACAUGUGAGUUUUUACCUCUUCACUGCAAGACAACUCAGUGCAUGUAGAAAUUACUUGAUGAUCUGUGGUGCAUUCGAAUGUGAAGUCAGGGACCCAGGGUGACUGCGAACUUCUCAUUAUUGGUUUGUGGCAUUUCAUAUGUGCAAAAAUCUAUCACAGGUGGAUGAAAUGUUAUUAAGUAAUUUUCUUCACUUUUUUUCCCAUUGUUUCAGGUAAAGUUACCAUGUUGCAUAAACAGGAAAAGAUUUCUUGCUUUAAAUAGAUGCCGAAACCUAAUGAGAGUUCUUUCCCUUUCUACUGGUUUCUAAAAAGUUCCUAAGAGCAGUAGUGAAUAGAACGCAAUACCUUUGGCAAAAGGUUGUGGUGUUGUUUUUGCUGCUCCUCUGCAUUCCAAAAUAGGAUAGAAUUUAGUCAGAGUAAGCAAGGGCCUCCUUCCUAACAUGGGGUAAAUAAAAGUGUAUUGAUCCAUAGAAUGGAAUUCUGGAUAGUAGCCAAGGUGUUGUUGCUCUCUUUUUGAGUUCUCAAGCAUUUGCUGAGGUCAUGUUGUUGAUUGCUUCAAGUUGAAAGUGGUUGAUUCAGUAAUCAAUCUGAUGUAUCUAUGUCUAUAAAGAUGUUGCUAUUUUAUCCAGUGUUCCAUGAACACACCAAGUAGUCUUCAGCUUUACUAAUGCUGUACCAUUUCUUAGCUAACCGGACAAGCAGCUUGCUGCUCUUUGAAGGGAAGUCUAAACUGGAUGGCUCUAGAGGUACUCUGCUUUUGUUAACGUUAAUGCGGCAUUCUUUUUUAGUUGUGGCGGAAUGAUGGAAUAAUAUGUCUUGCAACUCAUACAAUCCUUGAUGGUGAAUAAUUACAGCACGGAUCUCAAUCAUACUGCCGACAUGUGGAGUUUGGGAUGUACUAUUACCGAAAUGAUUACUGGGAAACCUCCUUGGACUAUGAGUGAGUAAGUACGCUGCACUGUUUUUUUUUUUUUUCAUUUUCUCUCUAUCCUUCCUGGUAAUACGCUUCCAAGCAAAUCUGUGUUGUCGUUUUCUGUUGGAAGUUCGGGCCAUGCGCAUUACCAUUUGGUGUGUGAUCUGUGUCAUGAGUUUCUAUUUAAGGUUGAAUUAUUAAUGCAGGCUCAAGCUAUAUUUAAGGUGAUGCGAAGUUCUCCAGUAAUACCUGAGACGUUAUCUGCCGAGGGAAAGUAGCUGCGGAGAGGCCUUCUGCUGCUAUGCUACUUGAGCAUGCUUUCCUGCAAAUUUGAAGUUGCAAAUGAUUGACUUAUUUCAAGUGUUGUACGUUGUCGCAAAAGGGAUUUGUUGUCCUGUAAAGUUCCAUAUUUACUAAACCAAAAGGAUCACACGGUCCAUAGAUGUGAUGAAGUACUUGUAUAUUGACAAAAUAAGGCACAUACUUCUCUUGCAUGGUCUGACUGGCGGCAUACCAAUCUAGGCAAUUUGACAGUGUUGCUUAAUCUAAACCUUUUACUGCAUAGUGCAUUCUUACCAAAAACAUUUUGUACGAAGUACAUUUAUUCAUCAAAAUGGAAUGGUAUUGAUUUGGCUCCAAAUAAGCAAUAGGUCACGAAACACAAGCAAGAAAACCCAGAAAAGAAAAAAGAAAAAGAAAACCGAAGCUAUAGUGCAUCAGAAUUCCUAAACUCAUUUUGAAAGUAAAUACUUUGUCGGUUUGGUGGGAGAAACAUUGGCAAGUUUGGCAAACCUGCAAUGUCUUCGGAUUGCGGUAGUGAAGGGAGUAGUAUCGAAAUUAUGGGCAUUGGAGGCUCUUGAUUCUUCCCUUCAACAGUGUCGUUGAUCUCAAUAAAUACAUGAGAUUUCUCCAACCAAAAUGGCCCUCAUCAUAUUGUCACCAAAUUCCAGUGAAUCAAGAAAAGCCAUUGUGGUCUGCUUGCAAAUGUAAAUGAUCAUGAUGAUCCAAGAUUUGCAGCUUCCGAGAGGGGAAUUCACGUCGAUUGUUGCGAUUAUGCUCUUGUCAGGGCAGUAGGGGAAAGUCUUUCGCCUGAUGGUUUUGCUCCCAAGUGAUGCUGCAAGUUUGCCGUAUUUUCCCCUUAGGGUUGUUUGUCAUUUUGUGGAACAUUUUUAGAAUAAUUUUGCAUCCCGUGUCUAUAAAAUGCAAAUAGCCGAUGAAAUCUAUUGAAAACAUCUCAAGCUAUUCAUUUACGAGAUUUUAAUGGUUCUUAUAUGUAUAUAAUUUACCUUCCCUUACUUGUUCAAAUUUUUAGGUUGGACUUUCACUUAUGUGAAAAUAGCAAUUUGUGCGUGAAUUGCAAAGCAAACAUACUUCCUUUUUUUCUAUUUUUUUUCUACAAUUAAAGUGAUUCCUCUAUCCUAAUGCAUACCGGAAAUAUAUGAUAUGAAUGACAAAGUGUAACAGAAAAAUAAACUCCUCGAAAUUUUGCAAAGUCGGAGGCGCCACUGAGGCCGAGCGAUAUCUCUCGGUUGCAUUGGAUUCUUUCUUCGAUUUCAUUUUCUUUUGUUCUUUUCCUCAUUUUUGAACCAACAGCCUAACCAUGAGGCGCCUUUUCUCUUCUGUCCCUUAUCUGUACUCCUUUUCUUUCGUACAACUCGUUCUUCUUUCGCUGCUUUUUGGAUUUUUUUUUCUUGGUGUCCUCUGCCCAAACCCUUAAUGAAGACAACUAAUCGGUGUUUAGUUUUCCAAAGUGUAGCAUUAUUGAGCACCAUCAUCGACCAUCAAGUUCGCUAAACUCAGUCAUCAAUUAACUAACUGUUCUUGUUAAACAGGAGCUGCACCAACGNNNNNNNNNNNNNNNNNNNNNNNNNNNNNNNNNNNNNNNNNNNNNNNNNNNNNNNNNNNNNNNNNNNNNNNNNNNNNNNNNNNNNNNNNNNNNNNNNNNNAGAUCCAAACUACAUAUGAAACUGGACUCGUAAUUGGGAAAACAUGAAUUUAGCAUAUUAUACAUUGCUCCUAAAUAAUUUUAUGCACAUGCCAAAUAACAAGUACAUGUAUAAGUUAAGGCAAAUAGGUCUUUAGCAAAUUGACAAUGCAGAAACCGAGAGAGCGUAUGAAGUGAUCUUUGCAUUUUUGAAACUCUGUUAGUGUACAUUCUAGUAGUUUUCCCUUGUCAAAAUAUACUGAUUUUCAACUUUCGCUGAAAUGUCACACGUUCAAUUGGGGGAGAAUAUGAUCGAUAGUCCUAAUUAGCCAAGUCACAAAACCAAUCAUAUAUUUAAAUAGUUCAGAAAUCUUUCUGUUCAUUCUAAUUAAUAAUCGCAUCAAAGAAUUUUUCCCUAAACCUUUAUAUUCAGUCAUAGUUACUACUUUUCAGUUCACUCUUUGAAAGAUUCCCAUGAUCUCUUCAAAUAAAUUAAAAUACAAUUCAGGGUUAGUGGUCGUAACUUUAUCUAUUAGGUAUAUAGCUUAAUGCUCAUUUUGAAUGAGGGCAAAAGGUCACCCCGUUUACAUUCACGUGUUUGUCACAUUGUGAUGGGAAAAUGGGAACGAAAUGCAAGUUCAGAGGCACAGGAUGCAACUUUCUAAAUUUCCAUUUUCAAAUGCAUUGGGUUCCCUUUUCCCCAGUCAUCUCUUCUUAAUCAUCCCGGUGCAAGGACAGGACUUUCCCUGGACAGUGAUGCACAACAAGCCAUUAUCAUUGUACUGAAGUGAAUCUGUUUCCUUUGAUCGUGGACGAUUCUAUGCUCCCGAAAUCGGGGUAAUAUAUGAUGGGGUGCGCUCUAUUUGCUUGCAGGUUCGUAACAAAGAGGAUAUAGCUUGGAAAUUCGUCAAUAGAUUGGAGGACAGCAAAUGGCGUUGUUAUUACUGCCGUGGAGAAUUCUUUAAAGACCUUACAGGAGUGAAAGGUCACUUGCUUGGAGUCCCAAAUGAAGGGAUUUCCAUUUGCACACAAGUGCCGGACCAUGUAAGAAAGAUAAUGCAGUCGUUACAAGAUGAGAUGGCUGAAGAAGAGAGCAGGGGAGCCAAUGGUCAAUCCUCCGCGGAACCACAGUCACGUGGCAUGCCCGCUCAAGCUGAGGUGGCUGAAGAAGAGAGCAGAGAGGCCAACGGUCAAUCCUUCACAGAACCACAGUCACGGGGCAUGCUGCCUCAACCUGAGGUGGCUGAAGAAGAGAGCAGAGAAGCCAACAUUCAAUCCUCCACGGAAACACAAUCCCGCGACAUGCCCACUCAAGCUGAGGUGGUGGCUGAAGAAGAGAGCAGAGAAGCCAACGGUCAAUUUUCCAGGGUCUGUUGAAUAUUAAUCUGCAGUUUUGCUUUCCUGCUUUACUACUUGUGGAUGCUAUUAUUUGCUUGAGAAUAAUGCUAUGCGCAUUAGGAAAAUGUACACAAGAUUGAUAGGUUAUAUAAUCGGGCGUGCUCUCUUUGCCUGCAUGUUGAUAAUCAAAAUGACAAGAUGCCGCGAGUUAAAGAUGCCGUGAGUUAAAGAAAUAGCCUGGAAAUUCGUGAUUAGACUGGAGGGCGAGAAAUGGUGUUGUCCUUACUCUGGAAAAGUUACAAGAGUGAAAAGUCACUUUCUUAAACAUUCAAACAGAGGCAUUUCUCCUUGUAAAAAAGUGCCGGAGCACAUAAGCAUGCUAAUGGAUUGGUUACACAAUCAGGUGCCUUUAAUGCUUGUGGUAGCUACAUUGUUUGCCUGAGAAUGAUGCUAGCGUGCUAAGAAGAUUUAUGAAAAAUGGGGAUAAUAUAUGAUGGGGUGUCGCUCUAUUUGCUUGCAGGAUCGUAACAAAGAGGAUAUAGCCUGGAAAUUUGUUGAUAGACUGGAGGACAACAAAUGGCGUUGUCAUUACUGCCGUGUAGAAUUCUUUGGAGACCUUAUGGGAGUGAAAGGUCACUUGCUUGAAGGGAUUUCCAUUUGCACGGAAGUGCCGGACCACAUAAGAAAGCUAAUGCGGUCAUUACUCGAUGAGGUGGCUGAAGAAGAGAGCAGAGAAGCCCACGGUCAAUCCUCCGUCGAACCAAAUUCCCGUGACAUGCCGAGUCAAGUUGAGGUGGCUGAAGAAGAGAUUAGAGAGGCCAACCGUCAAUUUUCCACGGAACCACAGUCGCGUGACAUGCUGUCUCCAGCUGUUCCUCGGUCAUCACAAAGCUUGGAAGAUACAGAAAACUUAUUCACAACAACAGAGUGGGCGACUGACUUGGAAAACUUAGACUAUGACCUAGAGCGUCAUUUUCUUGAGACUUUGGCAAUGCCGCCACCGGCGCAAAAUAUUCAUGGUAUGUUCAUGUGAAGUUUCUAUACAUGCAUCUAGGCAUGGAGAAAAAACAUAUAUUAUAUUCAAACACGUCGGGUUUUUUAACCAAAGUGGAGACUUUUAAAUAUCUUCUAUAAAAACGAUCUUCCUAUGGGACUUUCCAAAUGUAAAGAAAGUCAAAUCACCUAUUCCUUAAUAACAGUGCAUUGAAUGUGUUGCACCUGUCCAUUGGACCCAUUGGAUCCAAUAAACUAACUACAGUAGGUAGUCUUUUAUGUUCCAAUCAACUAUAUCCUAAUUUUGAUGAACUUCACGCAGAUGAAAACAUACCAUUUUCAACGAUAGCUUUAGCAGAAGUAGAAUCGGAUCUUCUUGAUCCGCCAUGUCAGCCACAAUAUUCCAAUCGAUCUCUUUAUCGCGAGGAAAUGCAAAUGAAUGACCAGCAGACUCCAGCAGGGGCAUUAUCAUUCCAGUAUGUUCCAUUACCUGCUGUAGGUAAUUCAAAUUGCUUGCAGGACUGCAAUGACUCUCAAUUGCAAACGCCAGUGGACGUAGAUCCCUCAAUUGCAUCACAGCGUACAAAUCACAUUACUGGGGCACAAAUCAAUUAUUUGAAAGUUCCAGAGGCAGCAACAAAUACAACAGGCCCAUCAUCAUCACAGGGUUUGUAUGGAUUAAUCUACAUUGCUACUAUGGUUAUAUUAGAUACUUGAAUAUCUCCAUAUUAUUUUAUUGAAAUCUAACAUAUGAUUUUUUAAACAAGAUAGGAACAUGGAUUAUCCAAUCAAGAACAUGCUGAGCAUCAUUGCAUAUUCUAUUUGUCUGAUAUCAGUUUUUAUCACACCAUUACUUUCUUCAAAAUAUUUAACUCUAAUGCGGUCGUUACUCGAUGAAGUGACUGAAGAAGAGAGCAGAGAGGUGGCUGAAGGACAAAGCAGAGAAGCCAACCGUCAAUCCUCCACGGAACCACAAUCACGUGACAUGCCUGUAAGACAAAAUAAUUUAUAUACAGAAGCCAGGAUCAAUUAAAGACAAACCUCCAGCCAUUGUUUUGUUCACAUUCGUCAGAAAACCUGAAAUCAAAGAAAAUUGGGGACACUCUACUACCCAAUUCACUCUCGUACUGAUGGUGUAUUCUGAAUGAGAGGGUUUGAGUUAGACAUUGUCAUCAUCCGUCAGAAAUGAACGUACGUUCCUAUUUAUACACUGUCUCCCAUCAAGACGGGCGGUUGUCACCAAAUGGUACGAAGCGUGGAAAACUUUAUGUUGAACAGUCGCAACCUUUAGAGAAAAUAAAUGUGGGAUCAUAAAAAUAAAUAACAUUCUCCCACUUGAUCCCAUCAUUUUCAUUAUACAGAUUAUCCAACUAAUUCCACAAAAACUUUAUGCUUAAAGAAAAGAAACAAAACACAUGGAUCAUGGCGACAUGUCCUCUAAGAGUGAGUAAUAUCUUCCAUGUAUCACAAUGCACCUUAUUUCUUUAAUGUCAGCCUAUAUGUGACAACAAAUCUUAAUGAAUAAACCCCAUGUUUAUUCCAAAACCAAUGAUAAAUGUUAUUCUCAUAAACAACAAAAUGUGUACACAAAAAUUGAGAAUCAACAUUACAACUGAAUAAGAGUUUCAUACAACAAAAAUCGUUCAUAUAACGACAAAUUACAUAAUGGGACCUAUUCCCAUACUAGUUACAUGAUCCUUAUACUUCAUUGGUGGCAUGCCUUUAGUUAAAGGAUCGGCUAUCAUCAAUUCAGUGCUAACGUGUUCAAUGACCACUUUAUUCUCCUUAACACGUUCCCUUAUGGUUAAAUACUUAAUGUCGAUAUGCUUACUUUGACUGCCACUUUUGGCAUUUUUAGCCAUAAAAACCGUAGCUGAAUUGUCACAAUAUAUUCUUAAUGGCCUAGAAAUUGAAUCAAUAAUUCUAAGCCCAGCAAUGAAACUCUUCAACCAUACACCAUGCGAGGUAGCCUCAAAACAAGAAACGAACUCAGCCUCCAUAGUGGAAGUAGCAGUCAAAGUCUACUUGGCAUUUCUCCAUGACACGGCUCCGCCAGCUAAUAUAAAAAUGUAUCAAGAUGUUGAUUUUCGUGAAUCAAUGUAUCCCGCAAAGUCCGCAUCCGAAUAACCAACCACUUCCAGGUUGUCAGUCCGUUUAUACAUAAGCAUAUAGUCUUUGGUACCUUGAAGGUAUCUCAUCACUUUCUUUGCAGCUCUCUAGUGGUCUAAACCUGGAUUACUCUGAUAUCUUCCCAACAUUCCCACAGCAAAAGCGAUGUCAGGUCGAGUGCAAACCUGAGCAUACAUUAAGCUUCCAACAACAGAAGCAUAUGGAAUGUUGUGCAUUUGUUCCCUUUCUAGAUCGUUCUUCGGGUAUUGGUUCAAAUUGAACCUGUCACCCUUCACAAUGGGUGCUAUACUUGGUGAACAAUCUUUCAUCCGAAAUCUCUCUAGAACCUUAUUGAUAUAGGUUUCUUGAGAUAGUCCUAAAAUGCCUCGAGGUCCAUCUCUAUGGAUCUUAAUGCCAAUGACAUAAGAUGCCUCACCCAUAUCCUUCAUGUCAAAACUCCUAGAGAGAAAUUGUUUCACCUUAUGUAGCAACCACUUAUCAUUGGUUACAAGUAGUAUAUCAUCCACAUACAGUACAAGGAAACAAAUUUUGCUCACACUGACCUUCUGGUAUAUACAUUGAUCCAUGACAUUCUCUACAAAACCGAAUGAAGAGAUGACUUCAUGGAACCUUAAGUACCAUUGGCGGGAUGCUUGUUUCAAGCCAUAUAUAGAUUUCUUAAGUUUGCACACCAAAUGCUCACCUUUACUAGAGGAGAAUCCUUCAGGUUGUUUCAUGUAAACCUCCUUCUCUAGUUCUCCAUUGAGGAAUGCUGUUUUCACAUCCAUCUGAUGUAAUUCCAUAUCAAAAUGGGCAAUCAAAACCAAAACAAUACGAAGAGAAUCUUUCUUAGAUACAGGAGAAAAAGUCUCCGUGUAGUCGAUUCCUUCCUUUUGAGUGAAUCCUUUGGCAACAAGUCUAGCUUUAUAUCUUUCAAUGUUACCCAAUAAAUCAUUCUUAGUUUUGAAGACCCAUUUACAACCAAUGGCCUUCACACCAUUAGGUAACUCAACCAAAUCUUAAACUUUGUUAGAUGCCAUUGAACUCAUUUAUUCCUUCAUGGCAUUGUACCACAAAUUGGAUUUAUCACUAUCCAUGGCUUGUGAAAACGUUUUGGGAUCAUUCUCAGCUCUAAUAUUGUAGUCAAACUCUUGUAAAUACACAAUAUAAUCACUAGGAAUAGCCGAUUUCUUUAUUCUAGAAGAUCUUCUCAAUUUUGCAUCGACAUUCUCUUGAGGUGCGUGUUGCUUAACUAGUUGUUCAACAGUUUCUGGUAAUUAUUGAACAACUGGAUCUACUAGAUCAAUAUCAACAGGUUGUGGAACUUCAACGAUUGGUUGUUCAAUAGCCGGUUGAACUGAAUAGGCAUUAUAAGCAACGACCAACCCUAAACUUGAGGUGGGAGGAUGAAUGUCUGGAUGAUCUUUCUUAGGAACAAGGUCCUUCGAUUGAUCACUCCCACUAAUCAAGUCAUUUUCAAGAAAUUUAGCAUUUCUUGAUUCCACAAUCCUAGUAGUGUGAGAUGGACAAUAAAAUCUGUAUCCCUUAGACCUUUCGGCAUAUCCAAUGAAAUACCCACUUAUGGUCCUUGGGUCCAACUUCUUUUCUUGUGGAUUAUAAACUCUCACUUCAGACGGGCAUCCCCAAACGCGCACAUGAUGCAAACUCGGUUUCCAACAUUUAAAUAAUUCAAAAGGUGUCUUUGGGACAGCUUUGGUCGAAACUCGGUUUAAUAUGUACACUGCCGUCUUAAGUGCUUCAGUCCACAAAGAUUUAGGAAGUUUGGAGCUGCUAAGCAUGCUACGCACCAUGUCCAAUAAGGUCCGAUUUCUUCUUUCCGCUACGCCAUUUUGGUCCGGAGAACCAGGCAUAGUAUAUUGGGCAACUAUCCCAUGCUCUUGAAGAAACCUUGCAAAUGGACUAGGUGCUUGUCCAUCUUCAGUGUAUCUACCAUAGAAUUCUCCACCCCUAUCUGAUCUCACGAUCUUAAUUUGCUUAUCGCAUUGUUUCUCUACUUUCACCUUAAAUACCUUAAAGGCAUCUAAUGCUUCAUACUUAUUAUGAAUCAAAUAGAGAUACAUGUAACGUGAGUAAUCAUUUAUAAAAGAGAUGAAGUAUUUCUAACCACAAGAGUCCAUAUCCGAACUACAAAUAUCCCUGUGUAUGAUUUCUAAUAUUUCUGUACUCCUCUUGGCACCUUUUUUUGUCUUGUUAGUCUGAUUUCCCUUUAUGCAGUCCACACAAGUAUCACAAUCAGUAAAAUCUAAAGUACCGAGUACUCCAUCAUUUACUAAUCGCUUGACUCUUUCUAUGGAAAUAUGUCCCAAUCUCCGAUGCCACAACAUAGAGGAAUGUUCUUUCACAACACAUCGUUUUAUACCAACUUUAUCAUGAACAUGCAUCGCAUCAUAAUAGGCAUUGUCUUGUAAAUUAAUUCGAAAAAGACCAUCAGACAAAAUACUACUCCCAACAAUUUUAAAUUUAAAUGAUAAACAAAAGUUUGAAUCUGAAAAGUUAAAAAAGUAUCCCAAAGGUACAAGUCUUGAAACUGAAAUUAAGUUUCUAGAAAAACUAGGAACAUAAAAGGUCUUUUCCAAAUUUAAAACAAAACCACUAUUGAGAACUAGUCUAUAUGUCCCAAUAGCUUCUACAUGCGAACGCAUCUUAUUUCCUGAAUAGAUGCUUUGUUCACUUCCCACUGGCUUCCUGUGGUUUUGAAAACCCUACAAGGAAUUCGAAAUAUGGAUUGUAGAUCCAGAAUCAAUCCACCAAGUGUUGUGACUUACAUCAAUCAUAUUAGAUUCAUAACAAACACGAGAUUUGAUUACCUUUCUUCUCAAGCCAAGCCUUAAAUUUGACACAAUCCUUCCUUAUAUGCCCCUUCUGUUUAUAAAACAAGCAUUUGGAUUCUUUCUUAAUGUCAGCUUGGGGAGGUAUUUUACCUUUUCCCUUAUGCUUGCCAUAGCCCUUAUUCUUUCCUUGUAUUGUCAAAUGAGCCACUUUCUCCCAAUUCCAUAACCAGUCUUUCUUCGUCUUGAACACACAUGGUCAUGAGUUCAUUAAUAGACCAUUUAUUCUUAUGUGUGUUAUAAGAGAUCUUGAAAGGUGCGUAUUGUUGUGGGAAAGUGUUCAGAAUAUAAUACACAAGGAAGGAUUCAGAUAUCUCAACCUCAAGGUUCUUAAGCUGAGUUGCAAUGUUCCUCAUUUGCAUGAUGUGCUCACGCACACCUCUAACACUAGUGAGCUUCAAUGAUGAAAACUUCAUAAUCAGGGUCAUGGCAUGCGCCUUCUCAGAACUUUCAAAUUGCGCAUCUAUGGCCUCCAAUAAAGCCUUAGCAUUGCUAUGCUGAGCAACCGAACCACAAAUACUAGGAGAUAUCUGAGCUCUUAUAAACAUAGCACAAACAUGGUUGGACCGCUCCCAUUGGUUAUAAAGAGCUAUCUCAGCUAGAGUGCUCGAAUCAGUAGGAGCAGGUGGUUCGUCUUUCCUUAUAGUAUAGUCAAUGUCCAUCCACCCCAAUUGAAGAAGAACCGACUCCUUCCAAACUUUAUAGUUCUCACCAUUCAGUAUGGGAACAUCAAACUUAAAUUCAGAGAAAUUCACAUGUUGCGAAACUGCAUAUCAAAUAAUCAUACUUAUGUCACAAAAUUUGAGGCAAAUAUGUAUAAAUAAAUCAUAUUUUACCAAUGUAAACAUGUCACAAUAUGAAUCACAUAACAUAAAAACUUCAUGUGGGCUAAGUUUUUAAUUUAAAUAGAUUCAUAAUUACUUCAUGAAGAAACUACCAUAUUAUAUGCAUUUUCUUAAUCCCUAUGGGUAAAUUAAGAAAAAUAAUAUGAUAUUUCAUCCUAAUUAAUCAUAUUAAUAUAAUGAAAAUUCAUGUGGGAUAAAAUUCAUCAUAUUAAUAUAAUUAAUUACAAUCAAUGUCCGUUUUUAAAUAUGAUCCGGAGGCUUUUAAUAUAUAAUUUAAUUAAUUAAAGAUGUUGUGGCCACUCUCUAAUUAAUUAAUUAAUUAUAUUGACCAUUGGACAUUUAAUUUCACGCAUAAAAUAUUCAUAACAAUGCAUGAAAUGACAUAAUAUAUAAAUACAUCAAGGGCAUAACAGUAAAUAAAUAAAUUGGCCAAGGGCAAGAUUGCAAAAAACAAGAAAAUUUGAGGCAAAAGCGUAAAUAGAAGCCGCAUGGAGGAGACGCCAGGCACGCGCCUGUUCCCGCGGCAGGCGCGUGGUCCAUACGCGCGCGGUUCAGCGCGCGUGCGCGUGCAACACACACACCUAGCAACUGCCACGCUCGUGGAUCCCACGCACGCAACGGUUGAGCGCCCGUGAGAGCGCGUGGCGCGUGGAUUCCACGCCCCUGCAACCGCAGUGCGCGCGUAGGCUCCACGUGCCUUCUUCCUCACACGAACAGAAGCUUUUCUUCGCCAUUCCGCCGCGGUUUCGCCGGCUAUUUCUUCUCCGGCCGGCCAUUUCUUCUCCAGCAGCCCAUCUCAGACAGAAAUAAAUAAUGAGUUUUGAAGAGCAUGCCGGAAAAAUCACACGGGUCCAAGUUUCGGUGAAAAUGAGCAAAAAUUGGCCCCAAAAUCAUACGAAAAUUUCCUAAAACACAAUUCCUUCAACCACUGCGACUUCCACCGCCCGAUUAGCCUCCGGCGAUCACCGAUAUGCCGAAAUAACUCAUGACUAAUAUUCCUCAUGGCGGUGCGACCGUGCGGGUCCGAAAUCAUGGGGUGGGUCGCCGGAAUUUGCUUGGAAUUUGGGAGUUUCUCUGUUGGCCUCAAAACUCCGAAUUACUGUUCAUGUUCAAAAUGCCCAAAAAACACACCAAAAAUUCGAGAAAAACAAGGCAGAGGCACUAGACAUGCUCUGAUACCAAAUGUAAGACAAAAUAAUUCAUAUGCAGAAGCCAGGAUCAAUUAAAGACAAACCUCCCGCCAUUGUUUUGUUCACGUUCGUAAAAAAACCUGAAAUCAAAGAAAAUUGAGGACACUCUACUACCCAAUUCACUCUCGUACUGAUGGUGUAUUCUGAAUGAGAGAGUUUGAGUUAGACAUUGUCAUCAUCUGUCAGAAAUGAACGUACUUUCCUAUUUAUACAUUGUCUCCCAUCAAGACUGGCGGUUGUCACCAAAGGGUACGAAGCGUGGAAAACUUUAUGUCGAACAGUCGCAACCUUUAGAGAAAAUAAACGUGGGAUCACAAAAAUAAAUAACAAUGCCCACUCAAGCUGAGGUGGAGGCUGAAGAAGAGAGCAGCGAAGCCAACGAUCAAUUUUCCACGGGGCCUUUACUCUUACCAGGAUUUUUCGAGUAUAUGGAACAGUUAAACUUCAGCCAACAGGUGCAAAAUUGCCAUGGUAUGUCCAUGUAAAGUUUUUAUACAUUCAUCCAGGCGCGAAGAAAGGAAAAAUCAUUAUAUUUUUCAGAUUAGUAACUCUCUCUAUAAUAACUCAAAUUCAUCUGCUUCCCUAUCAUAUCGAUUCCAAAUUACAGUUGUAUCAUUGUAUAUUCUAUAUGUCCCAUAUCGUUAUCUUUUUACCGCAUGGUUUAUUUCAUCAAAAUAUUUACUUAUGAGCAUAUGUUGAUUUUCGCCGUAAAUAUUUGUUUUUUAAUCAAGUUCUAGACAUUCGUUUUACCUGUACCCAUGGCUUGAUUUAAAAGUCCCAUUGUUGAUUUAUUUUACGCUCAACUUUUUUAGUGCAACCAGUUUUGGUGCCCCCUCAACAUCAAAAUGCUCCACAUCAAUCCAAGACAAGGAAUGUGCUUCAGAAUCCAACUGCACAAUCAUCAACAGCUCUAAGGGAUAUGGAUUUACGUAUCCUAUCAUCAUCACAAGCUUCAGAUGUUGCUCCACAGUGGCCGACCGAUGUUUCAAACUUCAACCAACAGGGAUAUCAAUGGGCCAAACUCUGGCCAACAAUCACAAGCAGAGCGUCAGUUUCCUCAGAGUUCAACAAUGCCGUCACUGGCACAAAAUCGCCAUGGUAUGUUAAUGUGAAGUAUCUAUACAUUCAUCUCGGCGGGGAGAAAAACAUCUAUUAUAUUUUUCAACGCAAACAUGUUGGAUUUUUUAACCGAAGUGGUAACUUUUAAAUAUCUCCGAUAAACAUGCUUUUUCCACACAACUGUUCAAAUAUGAAGAGAGUCAAUAACCUAUUCCUUAAUAACCAUACAUCCAAUGUGUUACACGUGGCCACUGGACCCACUGGAUCCAGUAAACUAACUACAAUAAGCAUUCUCCCGUGUUCCAAUCAACCAUAUCCUAACUUUGAUGAACAAAACACAGGUGAAAGUUCCACGAUGGCUUUAGUGGAAGCGGAAUUGUAUUUUCAUGAUCUGUUAGAUUAGUCACAAUGUUACUUUCAAUCUCAAAUGCAAAUGAUUGCCCAUCAGACUCCAGCAGGGGCGUCAUCAUUCCAGGAUGAUCAAUUACCUACUGUAGAUAAUUCAAAUUGCUUGCCGGAUUGCAAUCAGCACUCUCAAUUGCAAACUUUAAUGGACAUAGAUCCCUCAAUUGCACCACAGCAUACAAGUGACUCACACAUUAUUGAGGCAACAACGGUUGAAUCUCAAGUUUCAGAGGCGGCAACAAAUGCAACAGGCCCAUCGUCAUCACAAGGUGUGUUUGGAUUAAUCUUCAUUGUUACUAUAUGGUUCCACUAGACUCUUAAAUAUCCCCAAAUUAUUUUAUCGAAAUCUAACAUAUGUUUUUUUUGUAAAUUAGAUAUGAAUAGGGGUUCUCCAGUCAUGGACGUACGGAGCAUCUAUGCCAACGAUGAAGAGAUAAGAAACCUGAAAAGAAAAGUGGAAGAACUUGACGACAAAAAAGCUGUCAUAAAGGAGCAGAUGGAGAUAGAGUCUGCUGCUUCCUCUGUUCGGAAGAAGCCGAGGAUAUUGGUUGAGAGAUGACUGAAAGAGACAGAAAGAGCAAGAAAUAAUUUCCAAAUAAUUGGCCAAGCCAAUGUGGAAACUUUGCCACCAAAGGAACAGGUGGAGACAUUGACGAGAGAAGUGGAAGAACUCAUAGGAAAAAUGCUUCCACAAACACUACUCAUAGAGGAGAGAGAUGCCAAAGGAGUCAAAUUUUUUGAACGAAAGCUAACAGGUGAAGUGAUUCAUAGGAACAUUAAGUUGAUUUGGGAUUGUCUGAAGGAAAAUCAUGUAUGCAAAUUGGGUAUUUAUGGAAUGGGUGGUGUUGGGAAGACAACUAUUAUGAUGCACAUACAUAAUAGACUUCUCAAUGAUGCAACCUUCGAUGGUGUGGUUUUUAUCACUGUGUCCAAAGAUUUCAGCAUUUAUAAGUUGCAGAGUGAUAUUGGGGAGGCAUUAAAAUGUGGCAUUAAGGAGGUUGAGGAUGAGAAGAAAUGAGCAGCGAUGUUGUUGGAGCAUUUAGAAAGAAAGAAGAAUUGUGUAUUGAUUCUUGAUGAUGUGUGGGAACAUCUUGAUCUUGAAGAGUUGGGAAUCCCUAUUAGAGCACAUGGAUUUGAGUUCAUCUUAACCACUCGAUCCUUUGAUGUGUGCUGCCAAAUGCAAUAUCAAGAAAAGAUCAAAAUCAAGCCUCUAUCUCAAGAAGAAGCCGAGAGUUUGUUUUUGGAGGAGCUUGGACCCGAAAUGCCACUUAAUUUGGAAAUUGAAGCAAUUGUGAAGUCCAUUGUUAAAGAAUGUGCAGGCUUGCCGAUUGGAGUAAUCACGAUGGCGAGAAGCAUGCGAGGAGUGACCGAAGUGUUUGAAUGGAGGGAUUCCUUGGUGAAAUUGAAAGAAUCGACUAUUAGACAAACAUAUAUGGAAGGUUUUAAGAAUUUUGAAAUUUAGUUAUGAUUGCCUUGGUAAUUCUAAUGUCCAACAAUGUUUCUUAUCUUAUGCACUUUAUCCAAAUGAUGGAUUAAUUGGUGGAUUGAGUACGAGUAAUGAACAAUAUGAUAGAGGGCUCACCAUAUUGAACAAAAUGAGAAAUGUUUGCCUAUUGGAAGGUCAGCACAAGAGAGGGAUGUGGAUGAAGAUGCAUGAUUUGAUUAGAGACAUGGCAUUGCAUAUCAUGGGUGUGACUUUCAUUGUAAAAGCAAGAAAGCAAUUGAUGAGGAUUCCAUCCGAAGAAUAUUGGACUGAUGCUUUGGAGAAAGUUUCUCUAAUGAAUAAUAACAUUAAAGAUUUUCCAUUGGACAUGUCGCCAAAUUGCCCUAACCUAUCAACUCUUCUAUUAAAAAAUGGCUUGUCGCAUGAUGCGGUCAUCCCUGAUUCUUUCUUCAAAAAUUUAUGCGGGCUAAAGGUUCUAGAUUUGAGUGGAAAUGAUAUGACAAAACUUCCAAAUUCCAUCUCAAACUUGGUAAACUUGAGAGCACUAUUGCUCAGACAUUGUCAGGAAUUGCGCCGUGUUCCUUAUCUAGGAAAGCUCACAUCUUUAAGAAAGUUGGGCGCUGAAUACUGUAGGAGUCUUGAAGUGCUUGAGGGUUUGGAAAAGUUGGUGAACUUGAGAUACCUUAACCUAACUGGAACACAUAUUGAGAGAUUGCCCAAGGGAAUGUUGGACCAUUUAUUACACUUGCAAUAUCUUAAAUUUUCGGUGGUAAAUGAAGAAGACAUUACGAAAUUGGGGGCAUUGAAGACAUUUGGAUGCUACCUUAAAAAUGUGGAUGAUUUCAACAAGUGUGUGAAGGCUAUUGAGCAUAGUAAUAACCCUCGCUAUUACGACCUCAAAGUGGAUCGAGAAAAACCAGAGUUUAUUGCGAAAGUAAGCGAUGAUACUCAAUUUGGGAAUUUGAGGAGGAGAGUCAUCAUUUGGGAUUGGAGUCAUGCCAUUUUGAGCGUGGGAGGCGAUUGCACCAGCAUUUUUAUUUUGAUUCCCCAAGAUGCGCAGAUAAUGAUAAUGAGAAAAUACGACGGUAUAACAAAUUUGUCUGGCAUGCGUCUGCUUGAAUACCUUGAGGAGCUAAAUAUAGAAGAAUGGGAAAACUUAGAGGUGCUCUAUGGAGGACAAGACAAAGAAGUAAUCGUCAUCCAUGACUCCCUUACCCCAACCCCUACCUUUCCGCUCUUCCCCAACCUUAGGGUUUUGCGAAUAGAAAAAUGUACGAAAUUGAAGUAUCUCUUUGGGCAUGGGUCUAAAACCAACCUUCCGCAUCUACGAGACAUUCUAAUAUAUGGAUGUGAGGAAAUGGUGGGGAUAAUAGCAGCAGUUACAUCCCCACCACCACAUCCGCUCCCAUUUUUCCCUAGUCUGGAACAGAUUACUAUUGAAAAAUGUAAUAACAUGAAGAGAGUGGUGGAAUCUGAGUGGAUGCCCCACUUCCCUAAUCUAAGAAGAAUCUAAGUAUUCAAAUGUGAGAAGAUGGAGGAGAUAAUCGAAGGUCGUCCCCCAUACUUGCCAGUUGAAGGCAUUUCUCUCGAAUCUCUUACGGUAAUAGAUUGCGGUAACAUGAGAAAGCUGCUUCCGCAUGAGUGGCUGCUCCAUCUUCGAAAACUUCGAAAGAUCAUGGUCUCAUCGUGCAAUGGAAUGGUGGAGAUGAUAAGUGGAGCGGGACAAGGUCAAGAAGGAAGCUUAACGACUCCCUGUAAACAACACCCCUUCAUCCUUCCAGCCUUCUUCAAUUUCUCCCCCAAAGCUGGAGUGGUUGGGACUACUCAAUCUACCCCAGCUGAAGAGCAUAUGCGAAGUCCCAAUAAGCUGCGAUUCCAUGAAAAAUUUGACGGUGUACGGAUGCCAAGAACUGAAGAGGAUUCCUUUGCAACUGCGAUUGUGUGAAAUUGAGGAGCUUCCACAUAUUUGGGUGGAAGAUGAGGAAAAGUGGAAGACGCUAAUUUGGGAUCAUCCCAAUGCUCAGGCUACUCUUAAACCUUAUCUCCUAAAAGGGAAUCACACUAAUAGAGAAAGUCCUUUAUUUUGGGAGGGACCGAGUCCUCCAAGUGCUAUAGGUUAAUGAGUUUAAUCGAUAUACAAUUGCUUCACUUCUUAAAAGUCCUUAUAAAGAUGUAGCUUCUCUGUCUAUAUAGUCAUGCAGCUCUAAUAGUGGCCUUUUGCAGAACUGUCCACCAAGGGAGAGGAUCUCUAGUGACUCUGCUCUUGAAGAAAGCCCUACUGCUCGACCAUGCUUUCCUGCAAACUCGACUCAGGUUGUCAUAUAAUUUGACUUUUUUCGUGUAUAUUUUGAAUGUGUUCGCAUGUUUUAUUGACUAUUGGAAAUGAGUCAAUCUGGUCGAUAUUUCAGGUUAGUCAAAAAACAACGGAUCUGAAGAUUUAGGAAGCUAAGGGACGAGCAAAGCCUGUUUCCUAUCUUGUCUUAUAACCGAAAGGACAAUUUAUUAUUAUGGAUUGAUCUUCCUAGAAUAUUAGCCUUCUAAGAAAAGAGAGAAUUUUGGGCAGCACUACCUUUUAAUAUGCUUGUGUUUAGAAAGGAUUUCAAAUAUGAUAUUGCUAUAACUUGUCGAUCAAAAAUGUUGUGCCACAUAUGCUGCUUUGCUCUCUUGGAUCAGAGCAACAUGACUCUGAUUAAACUUGUUUCGACAUUAAACUAUCGGAUAUAGAAUACUUGAUCUGCUUAGUAGUUGUAUCAUAUCUGGAAACGUAGGCUGGAAAGUUUUCUUUUCACCCUUUGUUGUAAAAUUUCACCUCAACCCCACUUUGAGUUAUAAAAUAAAAAUCCAUCACCCCUCUUUUGAUUCCUUGAAGUCGUAAAUAGAUGGAGAACCCUACAGCUUCAGCUUAAGUUGCCAAAAGAUUAGAGCAGUUACCACUAGCAAGUUAGUGGUGAAAAGGCCAACUUAUUGGACAUGGCACUUUCGGAAAUGUUUACAUUGCAAGCAACAGGUUAGCUAGCUCUGGUAAACUUUGACAUGUUCCAAUUUUCUAGAUAUCCAGUCAGCUAAACUUUGACCUAUUAGGUGACAGAGAAACCAGAUCUUUAUGUGCAUUGAAGGAGUUUGAGCUAUUGCCUAAUGAUCCAAAUUCAGCUGAGUGCAUGGGGCAGUUAAAGCAGGUAAUGUCUUUGUUAUGCUCCGGGAUCCAAUCUAUUCUCUCAUCUGAUCUAAAUAUGCUGGGAGGAAAUUUUUUUUUAUCAUUUCUAGGUAAUUGAUUGCUUUGCUACUACAGGAAAUUCAAGUACUUAGCCAGCUUAGACAUCCAAACAUUCUGCAGUAUUAUGGCAGUUAAAUUGUGAGUCACCUUUCCACGGCAUCUACACGACCCAGAUCAAUGGGCAUUCAUAAUUUUACUUACCGAAAUUCCAACAUAUUCAUACAUACUUAGGUUGAGGAUCAACUUAAAAUAUAUCUAGAAUAUGCACAUCACGGUUCGAUAGACAAGUAUAUUCAGGAGCAUCUUAGGACCCUAACAGAAUCGGUUGUUCACACUUUUACCCUCCAUAUUGUGGCUGGAUUGGCUUCCCUGCAUCUUAACAACUCCAUACAUGGGUAAUUCUAAACCAUUGAUCAAGUAUCAUGAGAUGACUUGCAUACUAGAUUAGGAUGAUUGGACCUUCUUCUUUGUCCCUAUAGACCUGUUAAAACUCUUUGGCUUGCGCAGGGAUUUAAAGGGAGCUAAUUUAUUUGUGGAUGCAUAUGGGAUAGUUAAACUUGCUGACUUUGGGAUUGCUAAACAUGUGAGUUUCCACCUCUUCACUGCAAGACUACUGAGUGCAUGUAGAAAUUCCUUGUUGAUCUAUGGUGCAUUCGAAUGUUAAGUCAGGAACCCAGGGUGACUGCAUACUUCUCAUUAAUGGUUUGUGGCAUUUCAUAUAUGCAAAAAUCCAUUAUAGAUGGAUGAAAUGUUAUUGAGUAAUUUUCUUCACUUUUUUUCCCAUUGUUUCGGGUAAAGUUACUAUGUUGCAUAAACUAGAAAAGAUUUCUUGUUAUAAAUAGAUGCUGAAACCUACUGAGAGUUCUUUCCUUUUCUACUGGUUUCUAAAAAGUUCCUAAGAGAGGUAGUGAAUAAAACGCAAUACCUUUGGCGAAAGGUUGUGGUUUUGUUUUUGCUGCUUCUCUGCAUUCCCAAAGAAGGAUAGAAUUUAGUUAGAGUAAAGAAAGGCCUCCUUCCUAACAUGGGGUUAAUAAAAGUGUAUUGGUCCAUAGAACGGAAUUCUAGACAAUAGCCACGGUACUGUUGGUCUCUUUUUUGAGUUCUCAAACAUUUGCUGAGACCAUGUUGUUGAUUGCUUCAUGGUCAUUUUUCUCAGUAAUGAGCUAACAUAAGUUGAAAGUGGUUGAUUUAGUUAUCAAUCUGAUGUAUUUAUAUCUAUAAAGAUGUUGCUAUUUUAUCCAGUGUUCCAUGAACACACUAGGUAGUCUUCGACUCUACUAAUCUCUUACCAUUUCUUAGCUAACCGGACAAGCAGCUUCUUGCUCUUUGAAGGAAGUCUAAACUGGAUGGUUCCCGAGGUACUCUGCUUUGGUGAAUGUUAACGCUGCAUUCUUUUUUUGUCGUGACGGAAUGAUGGAAUAAUAUAUCCAGCAGCUCAUACAAUCCUUGAUGGCAAAUAAUUACAGCACAGAUCUCGAUUGUAUUGUCGACUUGUGGAGUUUGGGAUGUACUAUUACCGAAAUGAUAAUUGGCAAACCUCCUUGGAGUGAGUAUGAGUGGGUAGGUACGCUGCAUUGCUUUUUCAUUUUCUCUGUUUGUCCCUCCAAGUAAUACGCUUCCAACCAAAUCUGCAUCGUCGUCUGGAAGAGAUUAUUGUUUGGGACUGUGGUAAAAUGAAGAGAGCAGUGGAAUCUGAGUGGAUGCCCCACUUCCCUACUCUGAGAAGAAUCACAGUAUAUGAAUGUGAGAAGAUGGAGGAGAUAAUCGAAGGUCCUUUCUCAUACGUGCCAGUUGAAGAGAUUUCUCUUGAAUCUCUUGAAUCUCUUGAAGUAGCAAAUUGCAAUAACAUGAGAAAGCUGUUUCCGCAUGAGUGGCUGCUCCAUCUUCGAAAUCUUCAAAGGAUCGAGGUCGAUUAUUGCAAAGGAAUGGUGGAGAUGAUAAGCGGAGCCAGACAAGGCCAAGAAGGAAGCACGGUGACUCCUGUAAAUAACACCCCUUCAUCCUUCCAGCCUCCUAUUUCUCUCCCAAAGCUGAAGUUCUUGGGUCUAUGGUCUUUGCCCCAGUUGGAGAGCAUAUGCGAAGUCCCAAUAAGCUGCGAUUCCAUGAAAGAAUUGACAGUGUCCGGAUGCCCAGAACUGAAGAGGAUUCCUUUGCAACUGCGAUUGCGUGAAAUUGAGGAGCUUCCGCGUUUAUGGGUGGAAGAUGAGGAGCAGUGGAAGACGCUGAUGUGGGAUCAUCUCGAUGCUCUGGCUAUUCUUCAACCUUAUCUCCAAAAAUGGAAAUACGCUGUAAGUAAUGAGUUAAUUGUAUACGAUUGCUUCACUUCUUAAAAGUCUUUACAAAGAUGUAGCUUUUCUGUCUAUAUAGUCAUGCAGCUCUAACAGUGGCCUUUUGCAGAACUGGACGCCAGGAGAAAGGAUCUCCCUUGGCACUGCUCUUGAAGAAAGCCCUGCUGCUCGACCAUGCUUUCCUGCAAACUCGACUCAGGUUGCCAUAUGAAUUGACUUUUUUCGUGUGGCCAUGCUUUGUGUAUUUUCAAUGCGAUUGCAUGUUUUAUUGACUACUGGAAAUUAGUCAGUUUGGUCGAUAUUUCAGGUUAGUCAAAAAACAACGGAUCUGAAUAUUUGGGAAGCCAAGGGACUAGCAGAGGUCUGUUUCCUAUCUUGUCUUAUAACCGAAAUGAAAAUUUACUAUUAUUAAUUUAUCUUCAUGGAAUAUUAGCCUUCUAAGAAAAGAGAGAAUUUUGGGCAACACUACCUUUAAUUUGUUUGUGUUUAGAAAGGAUUUUAGAUAUGAUAUUGCUCAAACCUGUCGAUCCAAACUGUUGUGCGAUAUACGCUGCUUCGCUCUUUUGGAUCAGAGCAACAAGACCUCGAUUGAACUUGUUUCGACAUUAAACUGUUGGGUAGAGAAUACUUGAUCUGCUUAGUAGUUGUAUCAUCUCUGGAAAUGUAGGCUGGGAAGUUUUCUUUUCACCCUUUGUUGUAAAAAUUCACCUUAGCCCCACUUUGAGUUAAGAUGUAAGAAGAUGAAGAAGAAAGAAUUGCACAGCUAUCAACCCUCUUUUAAUGCCUCUAAGUCGUGGAUAGAUGGAGAACCCUACAACUUCAGCUCAGGUUGUCGAAAGAUCAAGCAGUUACCACUAGCAAGUCAAUGGCAAAGAGGCCAGCUUAUUGGAUGUGGCACUUUCGGAAAUGUUUACAUUGCAAGCAACUAGUAAGUUAUCUUUGGGAAACUUUGACAAGUUCCAUUUUUUUUCGAUAUCCAGUCGGCUAAACUUUGACAUAUUAAGUGACAGAGAAACCAUAUCUCUAGGUGCAUGGAAGGAGCUUGAGCUAUUGCCUAAUGAUCCAAAUUUAGCUCAGUGCAUGAGGCAGUUAAAGCGGGUAAUGUUUUUAUUAUGCUCUAGGAUCCAAUCUAUCCUCUCAUCUGAUUUAAAUAUGCUGGGAGGAAACUUUCUUUCAUCAUUUCCAAGUAAUUGAUUGCUUUGCUACUACAGGAAAUUCAGGUACUUAGCCAGCUUAGACAUUCGAACAUUAUACAGUAUUAAGGCAGUGAAAUUGUGAGUCACCUUUCCACGGCGUCUACGCAUCCCAGCUCAAUGGUCAUUCAUUAUUUGACUCACCAAAAUUUCAACAUUUUAUACAUACUCAGGUUGAGGAUCAUCUCAACAUAUAUCUAGAAUAUGAACAUCAUGGUUCAAUAGACAAGAAUAUCUAGGAGCGUCUUGGGACCCUAACAGAAUUAGUUGUUGCACUUUUACUCGCCACAUUGUUACAAAAUUGGCUUCCCUGCAUGUUGACAACUCCAUAUAUGGGUAAUUCUAAACCAUUGAUCAAGCAUCAUGAGAUGACUUGCGUAUUGGAAUAGGAUGAUUGGACCUUCUUCUUUGUGCUUACAGACCUGUUAAAACUCUCUGACUUGCGCAGGGUUUAGAGGGAGCUAACUUAUUUGUGAAUGCAUCUGGGAUAUUCGAACUUGCUGACUUUGGGAUUGCUAAACAUGUGAGUUUCCACCUCUUCACUACAAGACUACUGAGUGCAUGUUGAAAUUCCUUGCUGAUCUGUGGUGCAUUCAACUGUGUACUUCUCAUUAUUGGUUUGUGGCAUAUCAUAUGUGCAAAAAUCUAUCGUAGAUGGAUGAAAUGUUAUUGAGUAAUUUUCUUCACUUGUUUUCCCAUUGUUUUGGUUAAAGUUACUAUGUUGCAUAUAUGGGAAAAGAUUUCUUGCUAUAAAUAGAUGUCGGAACCUAAUGAGAGUUCUUUCCUUUUCUACUGAUUUUUAAAAAGUUCCUAAGAGCGGUAGUGAAUUUGUAAUACCUUUGCCAAAAGGUUGUGGUGUUGUUUUUGCUGCUCCUCUGCAUUCCAAAAGAAGGAUCAAAUUUAGUCAGAGUAAAGAAGGGCCUCCUUCCUAACAUGGGGUAAAUAAAAGUGUAUGGGUCCAUAGAACGAAAUUCUGAACUAUAGUCAAGAUAUUGUUACACUCUUUUUGAGUUCUCAAGCAGCAUUGGCUGAAGUCAUGUUGUUGAUUGCUUCAUGGUCUUUUUUACUAAGUAAUGAGCUAACAUAAGUUGAAAGUGGUUGAUUCAGUUAUCGAUCUGAUGUAUCUAUGUCUAUAAAGAUGUUGCUAUUUUAUCCAGUGUUCCAUGAACACACCAAGUAGUCUUUGGCUUUAAUAAUGCCAUACCAUUUCUUAGCUAACCGGACAAGCAACUUACCGCCCUUUGAAUGGAAGUCUAAACUGGAUGGCUCCAGAGGUACUCUGCUUUUGUGAACGUUAAUGCUACAUUCCUUUUUUUGUCGUGGCAGAAUGAUGGAAUAAUAUAUCUUGCAGCUCAUGCAAUCCUUGAUGGCGAAUAAUUACAGCACAGAUCUCGAUCAUUCUGCCAACAUGUGGAGUUUGGGACGUACUAUUAUUGAAAUGAUAACUGGGAAACCUCCUUGGAGUGAGUAUGAGUAAGUACGCCGCAUUGCCUUUUCAUUUUCUCUGUUUGUCCUUCCAUGUAACACGCUUCCAACCAAAUCUGCGUUGCCGUUUUCUGUGGGAAGUUCAGGGUCGUGUACAUCGCCAUUUGGUAUGUGAUCUGUGUCAUGCGUUUCUGUUUAAGGUUGAAUCAUUAAUGUAGGCUCAAGCUACAUUUAAGGUGAUUUGAAGUUCUCUAGCAAUACCUGAGACGUUAUCUGCCGAGGGAAAGGAUUUCCUGCAAUGCUGCUUUCGAAGACAGUCUGUCGAGAGGCCUUCAGCUGCUAUGCUACUUGAGCAUGCUUUCCUGCAAAUCUGAAGUUGCAGAUGACUGACCUAUUUCAAGUGCCAUAUGUUGUCACAAAAGGGUUGUUGUCCUGUAAAGUUCCAUAUUGACUAAACCAGAAGGAUCACACGGUCCAUAGAUGUGAUAAAGUACUUGUAUAUCGACAAAAUAAGACGGAUGUUCCUCUUGCAUGGUCUGACUAGCGGCAUACUGAUCUAGGCAAUUUAACAGUGUUGCUUAAUCUAAACCUUUUAGUGUAGAGUGCAUUCUUAUCAUAAACAUUUUGUGCGAAGUACAUUUAUUCAUCAAAAUUGAAUGGUAUUGAUUUGGCUCCAAAUAAGCAACAGAUCAGUGAAACAAAAGCAGGUAAACCCAGAAAAGAGGAGAAAAAGAAAAUCGAAGCGAUAGUGCAUCAGAAUUCCUGAACUAAUUUUGAAAGCAAAUACUUUGUCGGUUUGGUGGGAGGAACAUUGGCAGGUUUGGCAAACCUGCAGUGUCUUAGGAUUGCAUUAGAGGCUCUUGAUUCUUCCCUUCAACAAAUACAUGAGAUUUUCUCCGACCAGAGUGGCCCUCAUCACUAUCACCAAAUUCCGGUGAAUCAAGAAAAGCCAUCGUGGUCUGUCUCUGAAUUUAAAUGAUGAUGAGGAUCCAAGAUUUAUAACUUCCGAGAGGAGAAUCAACGUUAAUUGUUGUGAUUAUGCUCUUGUCAGGGCAGUGAGGGGAAAGUCUUUCCCCUAUUGGUUUUGCUCCCAAGUGAUGCUGCAAGUUUACUGUAUUUUCCCCUUAUGGUUGUUUGUCAUUUCGUGGACCAUUUUUAGAAUAACUUUGCAUCUCCUCUCUAUAAAAUACAAACAACUGAUGAAAUCUGUUGAAAAUAUCUCACACCGGUCUUUUACAAGAUUUUAAUGGGCCUUACAUUCAUAUAAUUUACCUUCACUUGUUCAAAUUUUUAGGUUGGACUUUCUCUUAUGUGCAAAUAGCAAUUUCUGCUUGAAAUGAAGAGUAAACAUGCUUCCCUUUUUUAACUAUUUUUUCUACGAUUAAAGUGAUUCCUCUACCCUAUACUAGAAAUAUAUAAAGUGUCACAGAAAAAGAAACUCCUCGAAAUUUUGUAAAGUCGGAGGCGCAGCUCAGAUUGAGCUAUGACUCUCAACUGCAUUAAAUUCUCUCUUCAUUUUCGUCUUCUUUUGUUCUUUUCCUCAAUUUUUAGCCAACAUCCUAACCAUAAGGCGCCUUUUCUCUUUUGUCCCUUAUCUCUCCCCCUUUUCUUCGUACACCUCACUCUUCUUUUCCUGCCUCUUUUUUUUUUGGUUCUCUGCCCGAACCCUUAACGAAGACAACUAAUUGGUAUUUAGUUUUCCAAAGUGUAGCAUUAUUGAGCACCAUCAUCGACCAUCAAGUUCGCUAAACUCAACCAUCAAUUAACUAACUAUUCUUGUUUAACAGGCCAGGCCAACGCUCGCUUGGGCAAGGGCGAGCCCCGGUGAGGGCUCCCAUUAUUUAAAAAUAUUUAAAAAUUAUUAAAAAAUUAUUAAAAAUGAUCUACGUCAGCGCCAGCGGUCCUACGUGGCACCACCAAUGUCCACAUCAGCAUUUUUCGGCCAAAAUUGACCAGAUGGACUGAAUUGGCAAUAAGUGAAAACGUUUAAGACUGAAUUGGCAAAAUUAAAAAUGCAAUAGGUUUAGGACUUUUUGGACAAUUUUCCCGAAAUAAUUGCGAUACCAAAUGCUAAAGGGCAAGACGGGAGACUUUUAUACGAAGUGAAUGGAAGCAAAGGUGCUUCUGAAAAGGGCAUUUUCAGAAGGAAAAGUGCUUGUGCAGCUAAGGGGGGAAAGAGGGGAGUCUUAUAAGAACUGAGGUAAAAGUGCUUGCAAAAAGGACAUUUUCGGAAAAAAAAAAAGUGCUGGUCAUAAGAGCUUUAUAAAUAGUGAUAUGGCUUCUUAUAAAACGUUUUAUACGAAGUCGGAAAAGUUUUGUAAGAAGUGACGUGGCUUCCUCUAUAAGGGCAAGGCAGGAGACUUUUAUAAGAAGUCAAUGAAAGCGAAAGUGCUUCCGAGAAGGGCAUUUCGGCAGGAACAGUGCCUGUGCAGCUAAGGGGGAGACAGGAAAGUUCUAUAAGAACUGAGGCAAAAGGGCUUCCAAAAACAGCAUUUUCGGAAGAAAAAGUGCCGGUCAUGAGAGCUUUAUAAAUAGUUACGUGGCUUCUUAUAGAACGUUUCAUACGAAGUCGGGAAUGUUUUGUAGCGGCUGACUUCGUAUAAAACGUUUGACUUCGUAUAAAACGUUUAAAUGUUUUAUACGAAGUCAGGAAAUUUUUGUAAGUGACGCGGCUUCUUUCUCAUGAAAAGCCCCCAGAGGACGCCGUUCUUCUUUUAAAACUCUCCUGGCCAGCACAUUUUUUUCAAUUCACUUCUUAUAAAACUCUUGUCUCGCCCCUUAGCAUUUGGCACCGCAUUUCUCUCACAAAACAAUUCACUCAUGGGGAAUGUUUUUACGCGCCAUUGUGAAGACGCGAUCAUUCCUGAAGCUGAAGCUGUGGUUAUAUCUGGUAAUUUUCUCUUCUUCAUCUUCUUCAUCUGUGAUUCACGGUCACCCAUAGACGUUUGAGUUGAGUUUGAUUCUUAUGUUAAAAUUUACGUCCUUCAUUUCCUUGAGAUUCAAUUGUUUCGCUUAGAAAGUUUGUCAACUAGAUAAGGGCUGGUGAUGAUGUGUUUAAUGCACUUUUGUAGGUCAGAUUUGGCGAUUAUGUGUUUGUUUUUCUCACUUUUAAGCUUCUAAAGUACAGAGAACUAGUCUUUUGAUAGUUACAAAAAGUACAGAGAAGUAGUCUUGUAAAGGUUGAUCCACUGGUAGAAUUGUGUGGCAAUCAUUAUGAGACCGUGAUGUAAUGCCUCUUUAUUUUUCUAAUCCAUAGAUCUAUUUCCCAUGUCUACCAUUCGUAAUGAAGAAGAGGGCAGUGAAGAAGUUGAAUUACAUGAUGAAUUUGCCAUCAUCAAUGUCCCCAUUCAAGGUGGAGAUGGCAAUACCAUACCCAGUGAAGAAGAGGGCGGUCAAGAAGUUGAAUUACACGAUGAAUUGAUUGCCGUCAUUAUCCCCAUUCAGGGUGGAGAUGGCAAUACCAUACCUAGUGAAGAAGAGGACGGUCAAGAAGUUGAAUUACACGAUGAAUUGAUCGCUGUUGUUGUCCCCAUUCUGGAUGGUGAUGGCAAUGGUGACGGCCAUAUUGAGGAUGGCGACAACAAUGUUGGUGAGCAUGAAGUGGAGCAAGAGGUGCAGGAGGUGGAGAAUGAGCAGGACGGCGGCGAGGGGGCUGGUGUGGGGGUUGUUGUUGGUCCUGCCGUUGCUGGUAAUAGAGCUGGCUUUAUUGUUCUGGCAACGGUGCUAGUGGGGGCGCUCGUCUUGUGGAAGAUGCGGCUGAUAACACUGUUAGAGUUGCUUUUGAUGGUGGUGGUAGUAUUGGCAGUAGCCUUGCUCCUUGGGCGCAUGGAUUGGCUAAACUUGAUAUGGAUCUUAAUCCUAAGACUCAAUAUUAUCCUAGUAUGAUGGAGAGAUUGACGCGUGGAUUGCCACGUGAGAUGUCUAGGUGGACUUCUUUGGAUGAUUUUCAGUAGAACAUUUUUGUUGCAGGAACCUCUGUUUGUAUCCUUAUUUCAUCAUGUAUACAUUUGUAUCAUUACUGGUUAUGUUGUCAAUGUACUUGGAAGGAAUAAACAUAUUCAUAGUUUAUUAACAGCUGAUUGUUCUCCUAUUGGUAUAAUUUAAGUACGCAUACGUAAGGAAUGGAGUAAGUACGGCCAUAACGAUUAUUCUCUAAUUUUAUGCGAGACUUAGAUAAAUUAGCCUCCCUAUACCAUAAAACCCGGUGGCAAUUUGAUGAACCGUCAUGUUUUCUUAGGAUUAGUAUGUGCACAAGUAGUUACGGAAUCUUAACUUUCACGUAAGAGGAUGGUCAGUAAGCUUUUCUUUGCCCAUGAGCUUAGCUCUCCUUUUUAUAUUCAGCUGGACUCAUCAAUGACAGAGGGUCAUUUGAUUCAAUCUUCUAUGUGAUGUUGAUGCAUAUAUGAUUACAUAUAAAUAGACGUGACAAAUGAGUGGACUGAAUUGAUUUUGGAUGGAUUAUCAAUAGGUUCAAUUCAAAUUCACGCAUUUAAUUCACGUUGACCCAUUUAUUUUCUGCACAAUUUAUAUGACACAUAGCCAAUCCAAACCCACCAACAUAACUCACAAUUUUUUUUAUUAAUACCAAUUAAACAAUUAUCAAAUUAAAAUAAUAAAAAUUAAUAGGGAUAAAUACACUUAAAAUCCUAAAAUUUGUCAUGAAGUAUAAUUAAAUCCUAAAAUUUAUCACAAAAAUUCAAUUGAAUUUUAAAAUUUUCAAAAAUAGUAAUUUAAGGGAUUUUUUUUCCCCUUCGCAGGCUCCCCUUUUCUCUCUCUCCAUGCCCGCUUUUUGGAAUUAAAGAGGAGAAGAAUGAAUUUUUCGCACUAACCUCCUUCUACUUCCUCUGCUUCUUCACGAACGACCAUAAGCCUUCACAAACCGAUCCCUUUUUUCUCUGCCAUGCUUUAGUCGAGCCGUAGCAGUUGUCCUUUGACCCGGAUGUUGCCGGUGACACCGUGGCCCGUCUCUGAGCUCGACGGCGAGAAUUGAGCCACCUAGAUUCAUCUUGCGCCUCUAUCUCUCUCGUCAUCCCCUUUCGACUUCGGAUGGGGCUGAUUCGAGCCAUUGACAUAAUUUCGUCUCAGAUUCACGGCCGAGUCGAGGCAUAGAUCUGAGAUCUAGGGCUCAAUCGAGCUCCACCAAAGGCGAGGGCUCAGUCGAGCUACACCAGAGGCGAGGGCUCUUGGGAGUUAUGUUCAGAUGAUCAUUACAUGAGAGACCCAUGCCAGUACCUACUCAAGGACUACUGCUUUGGAUUGUGCCUAAGAGACAGAAAUGAUCUUUCCUUGACCAUCCAGGACUUCAACUAUGCCAGCUUUUCAGGACUUAGCUACAUCAAACAUCCCCAUUAGUGGAUAAAAGUUGAAACGCCAUUAACCCGAGAAAGAAGCCAGUGCUUUUAGAAACUCUUCUGGAUAACAUAACAAAGUGCAUUCUGCCAAUGGUAUAUGCUUUCAUUUUAUAUGAAGCUAUAUGCAUGUCGUCAUUACAAAUUUAAAAUUGAGCUCGACUGCCCAGUAUUCAUGCAAUUUUCCUUAUCUUAGCCCCUCCAGAAACUAUCAAUGCUUGCUAUAUUAAUAAAACCAAAUGCUAUUUGAACAGAACAAGGCCUAAUUUUUCUUUUGCUCUUCCAAUUUCUUUGGGUUGGUUUGAAUUUGAUUUAAUUUUUGUGUUUUUCCCUUCUUUCUUGCCUUUUACCUAACAAACCAUGAUAUUUCAACAAACAGUGAUGACAAAGCAUCAAAUUAUGACAAGGAGAUUCAUUUAUAUUGAUUGAAUCAUGCAAUAGUGAAGUUAAAGUUAUUUAUAUUAGUUGAAAGGUGAUCAUUCUUGACAUGGAGUGACAGCAAAAUACUUUCGUACUUUCUCUUCGUAAAGUGAAUAUUGUUUUACUCUUCUAUUUAAAAUCUAACAUGUAGAAAGUAAUUAACUAAGCUAAAUAAUAUAGAGUAAUUUGAGAAAUGGCAAUAUCUAUCCGAAUUCCAACAUGUCAACACAUUGAACUUUGAUGUAAUUACAUAUAUCUGUGCACGUCAUACUCUAGUAUUCCAUUGAAUUACAGCAUAAAUGCUAGAGUAUAUAUUUUGAUACUCAACCUAGAUACUCAACCCAGUGUGCUUGCUGGUAGUCAAUAUUGACAAAGUUAAAUAAGAGAAUCACAGUGCAGAAAAUCAGCGCAUCUUUGGCUGAUUCAACUUAGAAAUAAUUAAGAGGGAAAGGACCUAUAGGCUCUUAAGUCUUUGCAGAACUAGUGAAGAGCUUUAAAAUGCCAAGGCAGGCGAUUGGGAUGCAUGAGAUUCUGCAAAACCUUGAGAAGUGCAAAAGACAGGGGACAGCAGAGACCUCAGUUAAUGCAAAUUCAACAGGCACAAAUGAUCAAUGCAAUCAUGCGAUAUGAACUUGAACAGAAAAUUGCCCAAGAGCUCAUUAUGGCAGGGCAAGCUGGAAGAGGCUUACCCUGAAGUGGAUUUACCCAAUCUUUCAUCUUUACAUCGUCUCUGAUCAUCGACCAUCGACUCGAAAACAUCUAACAGUUGAUCCAGUCCCUCUGGACUGCCCCCAACUGCCUUCAUCGCGUAGAUGGCACUCUCGAGAGUGGACAAACAUCCAGCCUUAGGCUGACUUCUAACUUCUCUGUACAAGCUCAUCACCUCCAAAUCCAACUUCAGAUGAGGCAACAGCUUCAACCAAGGAUUCUCGCUGUACAUUCUCUUUGCCUUCAUCCACGUGCCGUCCAGCAAGAUCAAGUUCCUGACUUUGAACUCAGCUGCCUUGAGUUCAUCAAUGCUGAGCGCAUUCUUGGUCGGAAACAGAAGUACCGACCCGCGCGGCACUUCAAGUACGAAUUCCUCAGAUUCUUCAAGCUCCAAGCUCGAAUUCAAUACAAGGUUUUGCGAUUUCCUAACCACAAAUCCAUUCGACAGAACGUCAUGAGCUGACUGGCAAUCUAAUAUGGAAUCAAAAUCAGCUCCUCGAUGACCAAUUUGAGACAUCCAAACAUGGUCUAUCGAUUCAAUAAUCCCCUUCUUGCCCAUUCGAAAACUGAUAACAGGUUUGCUGGUACUUCUAGACAAGACUCCACAAGCGCGCGAGUUCUGCGGCACCUUGGAAUCCUCUGAAACCUCCCCACCGUUUGGGGCAAUCGAACCGCAGUCCCUUUCAUCCCCAGGACAAUAAGCUCCAUUCGAUUCGACGACCGAAUUAGGGCUUCCCACCUCCACUCCAGAUACCAAUCCAUUGGCGCUGAUUUCGCGGUCUUGCUCGAGCGGCGAGAUCGAGAACUCGACGCCGGAGUUGACGUCGGAAACGGCGGCGACGGCGACGUUCUUGAGCGCUAGCCUCAAGAUUUGGGUGGAAUUGAGGGGGUGCUUCCGCUCCAGGCUGUGCUGGAGGACAGUGACGCGGACGGGGUGGUCGAGACGCGGAGAUCGGAUCCGGGUGCAGAGGCACGUGCGCGCCGGCUUCGAGCAGGACGGGCAAACGGGUCACUUCGGAUUGGUGGAGCGGGCCGUUUCCGCCAUUUUCGCCGACCGCGGCGGACGCUGGCGGCGAUCCGGCUGGGGGAAGGAGGGAGCUUGAGGAGGAGGAGGAGGAUGGUCGGGGACGCGUAUCGAAACGGGCUCGGAUUCAGGUUCGGGAACGGGUUCGCGAAUCGGAUACGGGUUGCGAAAUGGACCCGCAUUUUCCCAGAAAUUGGGAGAUGAUUUUUGGGAAUCUGAAAAAAACGGUAGGGGCCGGAGCGGGCGGGGGCGCUGUUUGGCCAAAACGGUCGAGCAAAUGGUUUUGAAUUUACGAAAGAGCGUGCCAGCGGCGGCCUCUGUGAUUCAAAUCCGAAAAAUAGUGUGCAGAGGCCAAUCGAUGACUGCCGCCGUGAGGCAAGGUUGGAUAUCAUGAUAGCGACCAAGUGGUGGAGAUUGUUCUUGUGGGUUUAUCAUGCCAUGAGAUGGCAACUACUGCGGCGAUGGUCGAAAUCAGGAUGAUGAAUGACUGAAAUCAUGCAUCUAGACCACAGUAAGUAUCCACUUAGAUCAAAUGGUCAACAAGUUAACAAUUGAGGCCCAUGAAGAUUUUAGCAGAGGAAGUUGAUAUGUUCUUUAGAUCCUCGGACGGCGGUCGCGGUUUGCACUUCAGAUUGUAAUAGCAGCCUUGGGGUUCCUCCUUUCAAAGUCUUAUGGGUAUUUAUCACUUAGACGUCCUAAGCUUCAUAUCAGAUGCUAAUGAUGUUGCUGAACUUCACAUGAAAUCGCCUUCUUGGAAUUUGCAUGAGUAUUGUCCAAUUUCAACUUGGUGAGGAACUUUUUGGCCGAAAAAAUAAAUAAAUUUGGUUGAUGUUUCAGGUUAGCCAAAGGACGAUAUAUCUGAAUAUCUAAGAAACCAGAGGACUAGCAGAGUCUACUUCCUGUCUGGCUUAGAACUGAAAGGAAAAUUUAUAAAAAUUAUUAUAUGAUUGAUCUUUCCAAAAUGUUGCCUCCUAAAGAAAAGAGAGAAUUUUGGCCAAUACCGCCUUUAAUUUGUUUGUGUUUAGAAAUGAUUUUGAACAUGAUAUUGCAUAAACUUGUCAAUUGAAAAUGUUGUGCCACACAUGUUGCUACUCUCUCUUUUGAAUCAUACCAACUUGACAUGGAUUGAAUUGUUUCAACAUUAAACUAUUUAGAAUAUUUAUUCUACUUAGUGAUUUUAUCAUAUUUGGAAACAUAGGCCGGCAAGUUUCUUUUCGCUCUUUGUUGUCAAAAGAAGAAGAAAGAAUUGCAUAGCUAUCACCUCUGUUUUGACAAAUAUAGUAGCUUCCCAUGUCUGGGGUAAGACGGUGAAACUCGCAAGGGUUCGUCUUAAGUCAGCUUGUGCUUCGCACAAUGUCCUGUAACCGACUUGUUAGCUUAGUACCCCAAUUACCUUAUACUCCUUUUCUUCAAUUAUUAUUUUAGCACACAGAGAGAGGACCAAUGCUGAGGUCUUGAUGAGCACCGACUACCCUUGAGCAACCACUUCAACACUUCCUUGAAGAGAGAGGAAACACCCCUCCUUCUCUUCGUUUCCAUUUUCCUAUUAUUUUGUUUUUUGUUUUUUUUGGUGAUCUUUGCCUUUUAUUUUUUAAAAUUUUUUGCCUUUUCUUUGAGAUGUCACAUCAGCACCAUGCGUUCUAAAAUUUUUUAGAAAUGUCAUAUCUCCACUUUCAAAAGAAAUGAAAGAAACGUUGAAUAUAGACAGAGAAGGGGCUGGUCUUGUAUCCAAUUCAUGCCACGUCAGCAAGUUGGUAAUGUCCCUAGCCAUGAAUUAUGGAGGAACUUGAUUUCAUUAACAGAGAAAAGCUAAAGGACAUAUUUCUUCUUUUUCCCCCAAGAAUGACAGCACGUGUAUUCGGAGGAAGCUCCUCGAGGCACGGUCCGUCCUUCAGCCACAUGUUAGAUAUAAUAUUGGUAAAUGGUGAUGAACAUCAUAGUUUCUUAUGGAAUGAUCCUUGGCAUCCUCAUGCGGUGUUGUUUGGAUGUUUAUCCUAAAAAAUUAAUUUAUAAUGCUGCACUGGCCCUGAACUCUCUAGUUGCUGGUGUCAUUUAUGGAGAUGAGUGGGUUUGUCCUCCAGCAGGAUCAGAAUUUUUUGUGCAUAUUCAAGCAGCCAUAUGUGGAACGAUCUUUCCCCUGCUCUGCUUUUGAGGGCAGAGCAAUUUUCAAAGGAAAUUCCUUCGGAUGCUUUACUCAGCUGAUGCUUGGAAGCGAGUAAGGAUAAAAUGCAGAAGAUCUAAUCCAAGGCAUAAAUUCAGCUUUGUAGCUGCUUGCUAUCUUGAACAGACUGCAACUUGGACGGGAUAAAAUGGGGGUCCUCCAUUGAUGACAAAUGUGUCUUAUGCUCUUCUUCCCGAGUCUAGGAAACCUUUGUGUUUUGAGGGUGCCUUCUCAAAGGAUGGAGAUUUCUAAUGCGGCUGGUUAAAGUUUGUUGGAAUGUUAAUAAUUGGGAUAGAAUGGGUUCUCUAGAGCUUGUAGAGGGAGGUCUUUGACUAAAAUCGUAUUGAAACUCAUUUGGAAUGGUGCCAUCUACUCUAUUUUGGGGAUAGGAAUGAAGUUUUUCACAAUCAUGCUGCUCCUCCGUCUGCUGAAGCUGUUAAAAUGGCGGUCUUUGGUGUGAGACUUCGCAUCAAGAUGUUGCAAGAAACAAAGAGUCUUUCGAAGGAUGCAGAGAAAGCUUUGUGUAUGUUAUUUCGAAUUGUUUGUUAAGCCUGGGUGUUUUCUGUUGUUCUUUCUCUAGGCUUCAUAUACUAACCUGAAAAAAAGAGCUAACGGAAUUAAUUGCAAGUUAGAGGAUUUCACAGCACAAAAAUGAUAAAGCAAGACCGUAUCUCAUGAGAUACGGUUUUUUUUUUUUUUUUACCGACCAAAAAACAAAAGACCGUAUCUCAAUAUAAGAUUUGCAUUUUACGGGAUUGGUUCUUAUUUUCUUUUUAUGGUUUCGAGUGCCACUCACCACGUGUCAUCUUUCCAUGGAGGUUGGACCUGGCCGCUGGUUCCUUGAUGUUGGUCCGGUCCUGACUGCCAUUGACUCUGUUUUUCCAUUUCAUAAAAAUGCCCGACCAUUGAUCUUUCUCGAGUACCCCCAAAGCCUGACGAAUCCAUAAACUCCUGAAAAUUUAAAUUGGCAACCUCCUGAAAUUCCUGACGCUAAUUUCUUCCGUGGUCCAGAUUGCCAGAGCAGCUUCGGUCCUUCCUUUUCAUCUAUGUUUGCUACUUUGGAAUUUCCAAUUUCGUCGGUUCUUUUCUAUAUCUGCUAUUUACCCACUCUGAGGGAUCUUCAGGUGGUUCUACUUACUGGGCGAUUUUUCUUUCGUUUUUUUUUUUUUUUUGGUUGGAUGCUUACUGGGUGAUUGGGAAAGGGUUUAGUAUGGCUUCUUUUUUACAGAUGCAGAUCUUGUCUGACUUCAUUCUUUUCUAGUUAGCUCGAAGUUGUCUCCUCUCUUGUAGCUCAGAAUAAGAGAUGCCUAGAGAGGUUGAUCCAUUUCGGAGGCAUGUGGAGGUUGUGGCGAACAAGUGGAAGUGUAAGUUUUGUGGCAAGGAUUUUGGUGGAAGUGCUACAGGGAUCAGGGCACACCUCGUGGGGGCUCUGGACUAUGGUAUUAAACUAUGCGAGACAGUUGAUGAGCAUGUGGGAUCCCAAGCUUUGAAAGUGAUUAAAGGUAAAAGUGUGGCGGAUGCAACCAACAGGGGAGGCGCAUCUAUUGAGGUAAUGGGACGAAGAAGUGACGGCAUGGGCCAAAUUGUAGUCCUUGGUAGUGACCAUGCUUCGAGUCCCCAUAGUAUGCAGGACUCGAAUCGAAACGUCCUAGAGCAACCAUCUUGCCAUUGGCAGAAUGGAAGUGUUGCUGGUGCAGCUUCAGUAGAUUGUCAGUAUCAAGAGACCUUGUGUCUCGUUGGCAUGCCAGUGCGUGAUGCAGAAUUGCCCCCGCAAGGGCCGCAACCCAAUGGGUCAAUUCAACGCUUGAAUGAUGAACAUGGAAACGAAAAAACUUCAUCUCUCCAGCAACCUGCAACCGAUCCUUUGGCUUCGAUUUUUCUUGAUCCAAAGUCAACUACCAGAGCUCUUUGAUCAGUGUAUUGAUCUGGAGACGAGGCAUGAACAACGGAAUAGUAGAGGGCCAUCACCAUUGCAAAGUCAUCGAUCCCUUAAUAACAGCGUGACAAAUGAGUUGCAUCAAGUCAACUAGACCUGGUGGUGCUGCGCCUGGUCCCCGUCUCAGUGACACAAGUACAAUUGGCACUCCCCAGCAUCCCAAUCAAAACUAAUUUGGGCUUUGAUGAACAAUGGAGAGGUGAAAAUGCUCCAUGUCCGCAAAAUCUUCAGCAGAGUGGGUGACUUAUCUUCUCGAUAUGCCCUAUCAGCCACAGCAUUCCAUUCCAUCUUGUUAUUCUGAGGAAAUGCCAAUGAAUGACCUGCAGAAUCGAAUGGGUCCAUUGUCAUCACAAAAUGAUCAAUCCCUUGACGUUCAAAUUGUUUGCAAGACUGCAAUUAAAUCCCUAUUGCCGAAGUAGUUCCGCUGUCCAAUGCUACAAGCGUAACCAAUGCCGUUGAGCAUUUUAGUCGACAGCCACUUCUUAUACGUGAUGAAGAAUGUGAAAAUGAGAGUAGUUCCUUUCCCUCACAAGCUUCAAUGGACAUAUCUCCGCCAAGUGCAUCACAGCCUUCCUCUGGCCCUCAUUCUUUUGAGAAACCGGACGUAGAUUCCCAAGUUCCACAGGGCGGAACUAACAAGGCCCAUUGUCAUUACAAGGUAUGCGUUGAAGUGAUCCUUCUCUUCUCUUUUCUACUGUCUCCUAUUUAACAUCUCCCACGUUUUCCUAAUUAUAGGCGUAUCCUUGAAUGUUUCAUAUGUGUACUUUCUCUUAUUUUUUAAUGAUGAAUGUUAUAUGAGAAUAUCAAACGGAUGUAAAUGUUAGUUUCAGUGUAGAUGUUUUGUGGGAUUAAGUCUAGAUUUUGACUCUACUUACGCUUGUGGCUUGUUUUGAAAAUUCAAUGGUUGAUUGAUCAGGAUUGUUAAUGAUGAUUUUAAUCUGCUUUACUUUUGCAACCAGCUUCCAGGCACCCUCCAUGUCAAAGUCUUCUAGAUCAACCUCUUAAUCUUGAGACGAUGAACACAGAGCAUCACCCAAGCGUGUCAUCGUCAUCAUCACAGAGUAACCAGUUCUUGAUUACAUGUUUCCCACAAGCUCCGAUGGACAUAUCUGUGAGUAGUCCAUCAUCACCGCGAGGUACAUGUUAAUUCAUCUAAAUUGAUCCUUAUGUAUCCUGAUGCUACUUAAUUAGGGAGAAGCAUGAGUGCUUACAUUAGGAUCUAACACGUAGAAUUCUUGAUUCACAAUUAUCUAUUAAUAGAGUCAUUCAAACGCUGGCAACUUUGAAAAUAAUGGAGCUUUGAAAAGAAAGGUAGAAUGACUCUACAAUAGAGAAGCUGACAUAAAGAAUGAGUUGGAAUUUGCUGCAUCUCUAUCUCUGAAGAAGCAGAGAAUAGAAGUUGUGAAUUGGUUGACAAACGUGGAAAAGCAGAGGAAAAAUUUCCAAAGUCUUGAACCAGCCAGCGCAGAAAAUUUGCGACCACAAUAACAGGUGGACAUGUUGAUGGAAGAAGCGGGAAGACCUUAUCAUAAAAAGCAAAUUUCCAGAAGGACCGUUUGAGGUGGGAGAUGCCAAAGUCAAUAUAUUAUUAGAACGAAAGUUGCAGGCGGGAAAGGCAUUUGAGACAAAUAAAUACUAAGAAGAUCUUGAGGUGCCUAAUAGAGGAUCGCAUAUCAUGAUUAGGCAUUUACAAUAUGGGAGGUGUCGGGAAAACAACCAUUAUGGUGCACAUACAUAAUAGGCUCCUAGAAAAAGCAAACCAUAUUAAUGUAUUGUGGAUUGCUGUGUCACAAGAUCUCAACGUUUAUAAGUUGCAAGGUGACAUUUAGAAAAAAUUUCAUGCAUGGGUGUUAAUUUGGAUAAUGCUUACUAUUUAUUAAAACAUUGAAAAUAUAUCAUUUCGUAGAUUCUAAGAAGGAAUAAUAAUAAAAAAUUAAAGUAACGUGAGGUGGAGUAAAAACAAUCACAUCUUUAAGGGGUAAUAUCACCGAAAACCCAAAACUGGUACAUAUGCUCUAAAAUUAUUUUUAAACUUAAAUUGAUAUAUUUAUGGUAAAUUUAUCCUUUAAUAAUUUUCAUUAAAUUUUACAAUUAAAUUAUUAAGUUGGAUGACAUGUGGUAAUUGAUGAGUAUAUCAAUUUGGGAUUUUACCUUCAAUUUAUCAUAUGUGUAUGAAUUUGUAGUUUUUUGUAGUAUUAAUCAAAUGUAACGGAAAUCAAUGGAUGAUAAAUUUGUCACAAAUUCACAAGUUUUGAAUUUUUGGUGUAAAAAUUAGUUCGAGAUAAAUUUAUUACAUGUGUAAUAAUUUGGGAUUUUUGUAAUAUUAACCCUAUUUAAUUAGAGUAGAUUAAAAAAGGAUAUGAUAAAAUUAUAAGUGGUUUUUUUAGUUUAUAGAUAUAAAAUUCGGUCACGUCAAUCUAAGUACUAUUGAGGCACGUUAUUAAGGGGUCUAAUCGUCUCAUUCAAAAGGGCAUUUUCGGAAGAUAAAGUGCUGGUCAGGAGAGCUUUAUAAAUAGUGAUGUGGCUUCUUAUAAAACGUUUUUUGUCCUGACUUGGUAUGAAACGUUUUUUGUCCUGACUUGGUAUAAAACGUUUAAAUGUUUUAUACGAAGUCAGGAAAGUUUUGUCAGAAGUGACGCGGCUUCUUUCUUAUAAAAUGGCCCCAAAGGAUGCCCCACUCGACAUCACAGCACGGAGAGACGGAGGAGUAGAGAGAGAGAGAGGUGAAGAGCGACGACGGUGGAUUGCAGCCCGUCGAAAGAAAGGGUCGAGCGACGCCUGAAAUCUCCAUUUCCGAGCACCAGGCAAGAGAUUUUACCUCUAUUUCUCACGAGUUUGCGAUUUUCGUUUUUUUAAAAGUUUAAUAUCCGGACCUAUGUAGGGUUUUGCUUUACCGGCAACGCUUCGGCCGCCAAAAUCCAACCAUAUUUUGAUUACCCACAUCUCCUUGAGUCUAGAGGGAUUUCGCAGAGUUGUAGUUGGAGUCAGAUUCGAGAGAAACGAACUCUCCAAGUCCUCCUCUCUGCGCCGCAGGUGAAGAGUGUGUGCCGCCUGACUUCUUGGCUAAGCCACCUUUCGGGGCGGCGACCUGUCGAAUCUCGUAAUUCUAGAAUUAAUUAUUUUCUUGAGAAGGGAGUCCGCAAUUCCCAAGGUGUCUUUGAGUUAGAUCGGGUGUUUUUCGUCUCAGAAACAGCAAAUUGUUCUUGGGUCUGUUGGAUAGUAAUGUGCAGUUUGGCUUUCCCGCUUUAGUACUUGCGGAUGCUAGUGUUUGCUUUACACAAGAUCGGUGGGUUAUAUAGUUGGGUGCGCUCUCUUUGCCUGCAGGUUGAUAAUCAAGACAACAAGAUGCCGCGACCUGAAGAUAUAGCCUGGAAAUUCGUGCUUAGACUGGAGGGCAAGAGAUGGCGUUGUCCUUACUGCCAUAAAGAAUCCUCUGGAUCAGUCACAAGAGUGAAAAGUCACUUUCUUAAACAAGCAAAAGAAGGGAUUGCCUAUUGCACAAAAGUGCCAGAGCACAUACGAACACUAAUGGAAUUGUUACUCAAUCAUGAGGUGACUUUAGUACUUGUAGUAGCUACAUUAUCUGCUUGAGAAUAGUGCUAUGCGCACUAAGAAGAUGUAUAAAAAAUAGGGAUAAUAUAUGAUGGGGUGCGCUCUAUUUGCUUGCAGGUUCGUAACAAAGAGGAUAUAGCUUGGAAAUUCGUCAAUAGAUUGGAGGACAGCAAAUGGCGAUGUCAUUACUGCAGUGUAGAAUUCUCUGGAGACCUGACAGGACUGAAAGGUCACUUGCUUGGAGUCCCAAAUGAAGGGACUUCCAUUUGCACACAAGUGCUGGACCACGCAAGAGCACUAAUGCUGUUGUUACUCGAUGAGGUGGCUGAAGAAGAGAGCAGAGAGGUGGCUGAAGAACAGAGCAGAGAAGCCCACGGUCAAUCCUCCAUCGAACCAAAUUCCCGUGACAUGCCGAGUCAAGCUGAGGUGGCUGAAGAAGAGAUCAGAGAAGCCAACCGUCAAUUUUCCACGGAACCACAGUCGCCUGACAUGCUGUCUCCAGCUGUUCCUCGCUCAUCACAAAGCUUGGAAGAUAUAGAAAACUUAUUCACAACAACAGAGGGGGCGACCGACUUGGGAAACUUAGACUAUAACCUAGAGCGUCAAUUUUAUGAGACUUUGGCAAUGCCGCCACCGGCACAAAAUAUCCAUGGUAUGUUCAUGUGAAGUUUCCAUCGAUGCAUCUAGGCAUGGAGAAAAUAUAUCUAUUGUAUUUUUCAAUGCAAACGCGUCGGGUUUUUUUAACCAAAGUGGCGACUUUUAAAAAUCUUCUAUAAAAAUGAUCUUCCUACGGGACUUUCCAAAUGUGAAGAAAGUCAAUCACCUAUUCCUUAACAACAGUACGCAUUGAAUGUGUUGCAUGUGCCGAUCGGACCCACGGGAUGCAAUAAACUACAGUACGCAUUUUCUCGUGUUCCAAUCAGCCAUAUCCUAAUUUUGAUAAACAACACACAGGUGAAAGCUUGUCACGUUCAGCGAUGGCUUUAGCAGAAGGAGAAUCGUUUCUUCUUGAUUCGCCAUGUCAGCCACAAUGUUCCAAUCGAUCUCCUUAUCCCGAGGAAAUGCAAAUGAAUGACCACCGAACUCCAGCCGGGGCAUUAUCAUUCCAGUAUGUUCCAUUACCUGCUGUAGGUAAUUCAAAUUGCUUCCAGGACUGCAAUGACUCUCAAUUGCAAACUCCAGUGGACGUAAAUCCCUCAAUUACAUCACAGCGUACAAAUCACAUUACUGGGGCACAAAUCAAUGAUUCGAAAGUUCCAGAGGCGGCAACAAAUACAAUGGGCCCAUCAUCAUCACAAGGUUUGUAUGGAUUAAUCUACAUUGCUACUAUGGUUAUGUUAGAUCCUUGAAUAUCUCCAUAUUAUUUUAUCGAAAUCUAACAUAUGAUUUUUUAAACAAGAUAGGAACAUGGAUUAUCCAAUCAAGAACAUGCUGAGCAUCACUGCAUAUUCUAUAUGUCCGAUAUCACUUUUUAUCACAUUAUUACUUUCUUCAAAAUAUUUAACUCUAAUGCGGUCGUUACUCGAUGAGGUGGCUGAAGAAGAGAGCAGAGAGGUGGCUGAAGGACAGAGCAGAGAAGCCAACCGUCAAUCCUCCACAGAACCACAAUCACGUGACAUGCCCACUCAUGCUGAGGUGGAGGCUGAAGAAGAGAGCAGGGAAGCCAACGGUCAAUUUUCCACGGGGCCUUUAUUCUCACCAGGAUUCCUCCUCGAAGAUAUGGAACAGUUAAACUUCAGCCAACAGGAUGUCAUUUGGUUAAACUCUGCCCAACAAUCACAAACAGAGCGUCAGUUUCAUCAGAGUUCAACAAUGCCGUCACAGGUGCAAAAUAGCCAUGGUAUGUCCAUGUAAAGUUUUUAUACAUUCAUCCAGGCGUGGAGAAAAGAAAAAUCAUUAUAUUUUUCGUAUUAGUAACUCUCUCUAUAAUAACUCAAUUUCAUCCGCUUCCAUAUCGUAUCGAUUCCAAAUUACAGUUGUAUCAUCGCAUAUUCUAUAUGUCCGAUAUCAUUAUCUUUUUACCGCACCGUUUAUUUCAUCAAAAUAUUUACUUAUGAGCAUAUGUUGACUUUCGCUAUAAAUAUAUUUUUUUUAAAUCGAGUUCUAGACGUUCGUUUUACCUGUACCCAUGGCUUGAUUUAAAAGUCCCAUUGUUGAUUUAUUUUACGCUUGCCUUUUUUAGUGCAACCAGUUUUGGUGGCCCCUCAACAUCAAAAUGCUCCACAUCAAUCCGAGACAAGGAAUGUGCUGCAGAAUCCAACUGCACAAUCAUCAACAGCUCUAAGGGAUAUGGAUUUACGUAUCCAAUCUUCAUCGCAAGCUUCAAAUGCUGCUCCACAGUGGCCGACAGACGUUUCAAACUUCAACCAACAGGAUAUUAAUGAGCUAAACUCUGGUCAACAAUCACAAGCAGAGCGUCAAUUUCCUCAGAGUUCAACAAUGCCGUCACUGGCACAAAAUAGCCAUGGUAUGUUCAUGUGAAGUAUCUAUACAUUCAUCUAGGCGGGGAGAAAAACAUCUAUUAUAUUUUUCAACGCAAACACGUGGGAUUUUUUAACGGAAGUGGUGACUUUUAAAUAUCUCCGAUAAACAUGCUUUUUCCACACAACUUUUCAAAUAUGAAGAGAGUCAAUAACCUAUUCCUUAAUAACAGUACAUCCAAUGUGUUGCACGUGGCCACUAGACCCACUGGAUCCAGUAAACUAACUACAAUAAGUAUUCUCUCAUGUUCCAAUCAAUCAUAUCCUAAUUUUGAUGAACAACACACAGGCGAAAGUUCCACGAUGGCUUCAACGGAAGAAGUGCCGAAUUCUCAUAAUUUGCUAUGUCAACCACAUUGUUACAUUCAAUCUCAAAUACAAAUGAAUGACCAGCAUACAAGUGACUCUCACAUUAUUGAGCCAACAACGGUUGAUUCGCAAGUUCCAGAGGCGGCACCAAAUGCAACGGGCCCAUCCUCAUCACAAGGUGCGUUUGGAUUAAUCUUCAUUGUUACUAUAUGGUUCCACUAGAUUCUUAAAAAUCCCCAAAUUAUUUUAUCAAAAUCUAACAGAUGUUUUUUUAUAAAUUAGAUAUGAACAGGGGUUCUCCAGUCAUGGACGUACGGAGCAACUAUGCCAACGAUGAAGAGAUAAGAAACCUGAAAAGAAAAGUGGAAGAACUCGAUGACAAAGACGCUGUCAUAAAGGAGCAGAUGGAGAUAGAGUCUGCUGCUUCCUCACUUCGGAAGAAGCCGAGGAUAUUGGUUGAUAGAUGGCUAAAAGAGACAGAAAGAGCAAGAAAUAAUUUCCAAAUAAUUGGCCAAGCCAAUGCGGAAACUUUGCCACCAAAGGAACAGGUGGAGAAAUUGACGAGAGAAGUGGAAGAACUCAUAGGAAAAACGCUUCCACAACCACUGCUCAUAGAAGAGAGAGAUGCCAAAGGAGUCAAACUUUUGGAACGAAAGUUAACAGGUGAAGGGAUUCAUAGGAACAUUGAGUUGAUUUGGGACCGUCUGAAGGAGAAUCAUGCAUGCAAAUUGGGUAUUUAUGGAAUGGGUGGUGUUGGGAAGACAACUAUUAUGAUGCACAUACAUAAUAGACUUCUCGAAGAUGCAACCUUCGAUGGUGUGGUUUUUAUCACUGUGUCUCAAGAUUUCAGCAUUAAGAAGUUGCAGAGUGAUAUUUGGAAGGCAUUAAAAUGUGGCGUUAUGGAGGAUGAGGAUGAGAAGAAACAAGCAGCGAUAUUGUCGGAGCAUUUAGAAAGAAAGAAGAAUUGUGUAUUGAUUCUUGAUGAUGUGUGGGAACGUCUUGAUCUUGAAGAGGUGGGAAUCCCUGUUAGAGCUGAUGGAUGUAAGUUGAUCUUAACCAGUCGAUCCUAUUAUGUGUGCUGCCAGAUGCAAUGUCAAGAGAAGAUAAAAAUUAAACCUCUAUCUCAAAUAGAAGCCGAGAGUCUAUUUUUGGAGGAGCUUGGAUCCGAAGUUCCACUUAAUUCGGAAACUGAAGCAAUUGUGAAGUCCAUUGUUGAAGAAUGUGCUGGAUUGCCAAUUGGAGUCAUCACGAUGGCAAGAAGCAUGCGAGGAGUGACUGAUGUGUUUGAAUGGAGGGAUUCCUUGGUUAAAUUGGAAGAAUCAAGUAAGGGGCAAACAGAUAUGGAGAAGAAGGUCUUAAUGAAUCUAAAAUUUAGUUAUGAUCGCCUUGGUAAUCCUGAUGUGCAACAAUGCUUCUUAUCUUGUGCACUUUAUCCAGAAGAUGAAUUGAUUGAUAAGUUCGAGUUGGUAGAAUUCUUUAUUGACCAAGGAUUGAUUGGUGGAUUGAAUGCGUGGACAGAACAAUAUGAUAGAGGCCUCACCAUAUUGAACAAACUACGAAAUGUUUGCCUAUUGGAAGAUCAUGGGAGCGAGACGAAGAUGCACGAUUUGAUUAGAGACAUGGCAUUGCACAUCAUGAGUGCAACUUCCAUUGUAAAGGCAAGAAAGUGGUUGGAAAGUAUUCCAUCUGAGGAAUAUUGGACAGAUGCUUUGGAGAAAGUUUCUCUGAUGGGAAGCAAAAUAAGUGAAAUGUCACCAAAUUGUCCUAAACUAUCAACUUUACUACUGAAUGGAAGCUUGUUAGAGGAUGCGGUCCUCCCUGGUUCUUUCUUCAAACAGUUAUGUGGGCUAAAGGUCCUAAACCUGAGUGACUGUGAACUAACGGAACUUCCAAAUUCCAUCUCAGAUUUGGUAAACUUGAGGGCACUAUUGCUUAGAAGGUGUCGGGAAUUGUGCCAUAUUCCUUAUUUAGGCAAGCUCACAUCUUUAAGGAAGCUGGACGUUAGUGACUGUUUUGAGCUUGAAGAAGUGCCCGAGGGUCUGGAAAUGUUGGUGAACUUGAGAUACCUUGACCUAUGUUUUUCAUUGACCGUUGAAUUACCUAAAAUAAUACUGGGGGGUUUGCUAAACUUGCAGCAUCUUAAAGUUUAUUUUCUAGAUGGACAAGACAUGACAAAAUUGAGGGCACUGGAGACACUCAAAUGCUUUUUUGAAGAUGCGAAUGAUUUCAAUAAGUGUGUGAGGGUUAUUGAACAGAGUAACCUUCUCUGCUAUUAUUAUCUUUGUUAUUAUAUCGACAAAAAAUAUCAUGAUGAGGAAGAAUGUGAUAUUACUCAGGACAGGGAAGUCAAAAUUUGGGGGUGGGAUCAUGCUAUUGUGAGUGUGGGAGGGGAAUGCACCGGCAUUUUUAUUUUGAUUCCCCAAGACGUGCAGAAAAUGACGAUUUGUUGGAACGGUAUAACAAAUUUGUCUAGCAUAGGUCCGCUUGAAUACCUUGAGGAGCUAGAUAUAGAAGACUUAAACAACUUAGGGGUGCUCUGUGGAGGAGAAGACAAAGAAGUAAUCGACAUCUUUGCCCCAGCCCUUGCGCCUCUCCUCUUCUCGAGCCUUAGGGUUUUGAAAAUAUGGAGUUGUCCGGAACUGAAGUAUGUCUUUGGGCAUGGGUCUAAAUCCAACCUUCCACAUCUACGAGAGAUUGAAAUAGGGGGAUGUGAGGAGACGGUGGGGAUAAUAGCAGCAGUUACAUCCCCACCACCACAUCCGCUCCCAUUUUUCCCUAGUCUGGAACAGAUUAGCAUUACAGGCUGUUACGAGAUGAAGAGAGCGGUGGAAUCCGAGUGGAUGCCCCACUUCCCUAAUCUAAGAAGAAUCAAAGUAUCCGGAUGUGAGAUGGAGGAGAUAAUCGGAGGUCCUCCCCCAUACUCGCCGGAUGAACAGAUUUCUCUCGAAUCUCUUGAGGUAAGCUAUUGCGAUAAAAUGAGAAAGCUGCUUACGUAUGAGUGGCUGUUCCAUCUUCGAAAUCUUCAAAGUAUCUCUGUCACUUACUGCAAAGAAAUGGUGGAGUUGAUAAGCGGAGCGGGACAAGGCCAAGAAGGAAGCAUAACGACUUCUGUAAACAACACUCCUUCCUCCUUCCAGCCUUCUUCAAUUUCUCUCCCAAAGCUAGAGUGUUUGGAGCUACGCUAUCUACACCAGCUGAAGAGCAUAUGCGAAGUCCCAAUAAGCUGCGAUUUCAUGAAAAGAUUGGACGUGUGCAGAUGCCCAGAACUGAAGAGGAUUCCUUUGCAACUGCGAUUGUGUGAAAUUGAGGAGCUUCCGUAUAUUUUGGUGGAAGAUGAGGAAAAGUGGAAGACGUUGGUGUGGGAUCAUCCCAAUGCUCAGGCUAUUCUUCGACCUUAUCUCCGAAAAGGGCCACGCUGGCCUCCAAAUGCUAUAGGUUAAUGAGUUUAAUUGAUAUACGAUUGCUUCACUUCUUAAAAGUCCUUUCAAAGAUAUAGCUUUUCUGUCUAUAUAGUCAUGCAGCUCUAAUAGUGGCCUUCUGUAGUACUGAACACCAAGUGAAAGCAUCUCCUGCGACUCCACUCUUGAAGAAAGAACCCUGCUGCUCGACCAUGCUUUCCUGCAAACUUGACUCAGGUUGCCAUAUGAAUUGACUUUUUUUGUGUGGCCCUGCUUUGUCUAUUUUGAAUGCGAUCGCAUGUUUCAUUGACUACUGGAAAUGAGUCUAUCUGGUCGAUAUUUCAGGUUAGUCAAAAAGCAAUGGAUCUGAAGAUUUGGGAAGCCAAGGGAAUAACAAAGUCUGUUUCCUAUCUUGUCUUAUAACUGAAAGGACAAUUUAUUAUCAUGGAUUGAAUUUCUUGGGAUAUUAGCCUUCUAAGAAAAGAGAGAAUUUUGUGCAGCACUACCUUUAAUCUGUUUUUGUUUAAAAAGGAUUUCAAAUAUGAUAUUGCUUUAACUUGUCGAUCGAAAAUAUUGUGUCAAAUACGCUGCUUUGCUCUGUUGGAUCAGAGCAACAUGACCCCAAUUAAACUUGUUUCGACGUUAAACUAUCGGGUAUAGAAUACUUGAUCUGCUUAGUAGUUGUAUCAUAUCUGGAAACGUAGGCCGGGAAGUUUUCNNNNNNNNNNNNNNNNNNNNNNNNNNNNNNNNNNNNNNNNNNNNNNNNNNNNNNNNNNNNNNNNNNNNNNNNNNNNNNNNNNNNNNNNNNNNNNNNNNNNUACUUUGAAUUAGAAAUGUAAAAAGACGAAGAAGAAAGAAUUGCACAGCUAUCACCCUCUUUAAAUGCCUCGAAGUUGUGGAUAGAUGGAGAACCCUACAGCUUCAGCUCAAGUAACCAAAAAUCAGAGCAGUAACCACUAGCAAGUCAAUGGAAAAAAGGCCAGCUUAUAGGAUGUGGCACUUUUGAAAGUGUUUACAUUGCAAGCAACCAGUAAGUUAGCUCUGGGAAUCUUAGACAUGUUCCAUUUUUUUAGAUAUCCAGUCAGCUAAACUUUGACAUAUUAAGUGACAGAAAAACCAGAUCUCUAUGUGCAGAGAAGGAGUUUGAGCUAUUGCGUAAUGAUCCAAAUUUAGCUGAGUGCAUCGAGCAGUUAAAGCAGGUAAUGUUUUUGUUAUGCUCUGGGAUCCAAUCUAUCCUCUCAUCCGAUCUAAAUAUGCUGGGAGGAAACUUUCUUUCAUCAUUUCCAAGUAAUUGAUUGCUUUGUUACUACAGGAAAUUCAGGUACUUAGCCAGCAUAGACAUCCGAACAUUCUGCAGUAUUAUGUAAGGGAAAUUGUGAGUCACAUUUCCACAGCAUCUAUGCGUCCCAACUCAAUGGGCGUUCAUUAUUUGACUAACCAAAAUUUCAACAUAUUCAUACAUACUCAGGUUGAGGAUUGGCGUUACAUAUAUCUAGAAUAUGCACAUCACGAUUCAAUAGACAAGUAUAUCCAGGAGCGUCUUGGGACCCUAACAGAAUCGGUUGUCAGCACUUUACCCGCUAUAUUGUGGCUGGAUUGGCUUCCCUGCAUGUUUUUUUUGGUAAAGAGGCUUCCCUGCAUGUUAACAACUCCAUACAUGGGUAAUUUUAAACCAUUGAUCAAGCAUCAUGAGAUGACUUGCAUAUUGGAUUAGGAUGAUUGGACCUUCUUCUUUGUGCCCCCAGACCUGUUAAAACUAUUUGGCUUGUGCAGGGAUUUAAAGGGAGCUAAUUUAUUUGUGGAUGCAUCUGGGAUAUUCAAACUUGCUGACUUUGGGAUUGCUAAACAUGUGAGUUUUUACCUCUUCACCGCAAGACUACUCAGUGCAUGUAGAAAUUCCUUGCUGAUCUGUGGUACAUUCGAAUGUGAAGUCAGGGACCCAGGGUGACUGCAUACUUCUCGUUAUUGGUUUGUGGCAUUUCAUAUGUGCAUAAAUCUAUCAUAGAUGGAUGAAAUGUUAUUAAGUAAUUUUCUUCACUUUUUUUCCCAUUGUUUCAGGUAAAGUUACCAUGUUGCAUGAACGGGAAAAGAUUUCUUGCUGUAAAUAGAUGCCGAAACCUAAUGAGAGUUCCCUUUCUACUGGUUUCUAAAAAGUUCCUAAGAGCGGUAGUGAAUAGAACGCAAUACCUUUGGCAAAAGGUUGUGGUGUUGUUUUUGCUGCUCCUCUGCAUUCCAAAAUAAGGAUAGAACUUAGUCAGAGUAAGUAAGGGCCUCCUUCCUAACAUGGGGUAAAUAAAAGUUUAUUAAUCCAUAGAAUGGAAUUCUGGACAGUAGCCAAGGUGUUGUUGCUCUCUUUUUGAGUUCUCAAGCAUUUGCUGAGGCCAUGUUGUUGAUUGCUUCAUGGUCCUUUUUCUCAGUAAUGAGCUAACAUGAGUUGAAAGUGGUUGAUUCAGUUAUCAAUAUGAUGUAUCUAUGUCUAUAAAGAUGUUGCUAUUUUAUCCGGUGUUCCAUGAACACACCAAGUAGUAUUCAGCUUUACUAAUGCCGUACCAUUUCUUAGCUAACCGGACAAGCAGCUUGCCGCUCUUUGAAGGGAAGUCUAAACUAGAUGGCUCUAGAGGUACUCUGCUUUUGUUAACGUUAAUGCGGCAUACUCAGAGGUCCUCCCCCAUACUCGCCGGAUGAACAGAUUUCUCUCGAAUCUCUUGAGGUAAGCCUUUGCGAUAACAUGAGAAAGCUGCUUACGUAUGAGUGGCUGCUCCAUCUUCGAAAUCUUCAAAGUAUCGAGGUCACUGAGUGCAAAGGAAUGGUGGAGUUGAUAAGCGGAGCGGGACAAGGCCAAGAAGGAAGCAUAACGANNNNNNNNNNNNNNNNNNNNNNNNNNNNNNNNNNNNNNNNNNNNNNNNNNNNNNNNNNNNNNNNNNNNNNNNNNNNNNNNNNNNNNNNNNNNNNNNNNNNNNNNNNNNNNNNNNNNNNNNNNNNNNNNNNNNNNNNNNNNNNNNNNNNNNNNNNNNNNNNNNNNNNNNNNNNNNNNNNNNNNNNNNNNNNNNNNNNNNNNNNGGAGCUUCCGUAUAAAACCUGUUCAUUCCCAUUUCCAGCAGCAGGCGAGUGCCCUUGUUUCUCUAGGAAUUGGGUUUCUGCCUUCAACGAGAGGAAGAGUCUUUGCUCGAUCCCUGGAUGCUGACUGGUGCUUCAGAUUCUCAAGAACAGCUUCUUAGCUCUACUUCUAUUUGUGCAUCUUUGCUACUUGCAUGCAUCUGAAUCUUCUUUUUCUGUCCUAACCGGUAUGUUGCUUCGUCCUCAUCUUUGCCAUUUUCCAUUUGUAAGAAUCAAAUAGAGACUCCAACUGAACAUCCUUAUUUGCCUGGAUCAAAUAUGUGCCCACUUAACAAGUAGAUCUGAUGGAUUCUAUGCGAAAUGAAGGGUUAAAUGACCUGAAUGUAGGUGGGUGGACUUAACUGUGAGAUGCAAUAAACUUCUCGAAGAGAGACCAAGAAAUAGAGAGAGAAGGGGCGAGAAGAGAAAGAGAGGAAGAGCGACAACGGUGGAUUGCAGCCCGUCGAAAGGGUCGUGCUACGCCACAAAUCUCCAUUUUCGAACACUAGACAAGGUUGUUCUAGCUCUAUUCCUCACGAACUUGGGAUUUUUGUUUGUAAAGUUAAUAUCCGGAUCUAUUUUGUAUUUUGCUUUGCUGGCAACGAUUCGGUCAAAAUCCAACGAUAUUUCGAUUCCCCACAUCUCCUUGUAAUUCUAGAAUUAAUUAUUUUAUAGAGAAUGUAGUCCGCAAUUCCCAAGUUGUCUUUGAGUUGAUCCGGUGCUUCUUGUGUCAAAAACAGGAGAUUAUUCUUGGGUCGUUGAAUAUAAUUUGCAGUUUGGCUCUCCUGCUUUAAUACUUGUGAUGCUGUUAUUUGCUUGNNNNNNNNNNNNNNNNNNNNNNNNNNNNNNNNNNNNNNNNNNNNNNNNNNNNNNNNNNNNNNNNNNNNNNNNNNNNNNNNNNNNNNNNNNNNNNNNNNNNAUGCUAUGCGCGCUGAGAAAUAUUCAAAUGAUCUCUACGUUAUAUGAUCAAGUGCACUUUCUUUGCCCGCAGGUUGAUAAUCAAGACGGCAAGAUGCCGCGACUUGAAGAUAUAGCCUGGAAAUUCGUGAUUAGACAGGGCAAGAAAUGGCGUUGUCCUUACUGCAAAAUUGAAUACUCUGGAUCAGUCACAAGAGUGAAAAGUCACUUUCUUAAACAACCAAAAGAAGGGAUUGUCUCUUGCACAAAAGUGCCGGAGCACAUAAGCACGCUAAUGGAAUUGUUACAGAGUCAGGUGGCUUUAGCACUUGUGGUAGCUAUAUUAUGUGCUUGAGAAUAAUGCUAUGCGUGCUAAGAAGAUUUAUAAAAAAUGGGGAUAAUAUAUGAUAGGGGUGCGCUCUAUUUGCUUGCAGGUUGAUAACAAAGAUGAUAUAGCCUGGAAAUUCGUCGAUAGACUGGGGGAAAACAAAUGGCGUUGUCAUCACUGCAGGGAAGAAUUCUUUGGAGACCUUACAGGAGUGAGAGGUCACUUGCUUGAAGCCCCAUAUAAGGGGAUUUCCAUUUGCACAGAAGUGCCAGACCACGUAAGAACGCUAAUGCGGUCUUUACUCGAUGAGGUGGCUGAAGGAGGGAGCAGAGACUUGGCUGAAGAACAGAGCAGAGAUGCGGAGCCACAGUCGCGUGACGUGCUGUCUCCAGCUUUUCCUCCGUCAUCACAAAGCUCGGAGAGGGCGACUGACAUGGAAAACUCCAACUAUGACCUAGAGUGUCGUUUUCAUGAGACUUCAGCAAUGCCGUCACUGGCACAAAAUAUCCUUGGUAUGUUCAUGUGUUUCUAUACAUGCAUCUAGGCAUGGAGAAAAAACAUCCAUUAUAUUUUUCAAUGCAAACACGUCGGGUUUUUUAACCGAAGUGGAGACUUUUAAACAUCUCCAAUAAAAACGAUCUUUCUACGGAACUUUACAAAUGUGAAGUAAGUCAAUUACCUAUUCCUUAAUAACAGUGCAUUGUCCACUGGACUCACUGGAUCUAAUAAACUAACCAUAGAAGGCAUUUUCUCGUGUUCCAAUCAACCAUAUCCUAAUUUUGAUGAACAACACACAGGUGAAAGCAUGUCAUGUUUGCCAAUGACUUUAGCGGGAGUGGAAUCGUUUCUUUUUGAUUUGCCAGAACGGUCACAAUGUUCCAUUCAAUCUCAAAUGCAAUUGAAUGAUCAGCAGACUCCAGCAGGGACAUUAGCAUCCCAUUAUGAUCAAUUACCUGCUGCAGGUAAGUCAAAUUGCUUGCGGGAUAGUAAUCAGCACUCUCAAUUGCAAAUUCCAGUGGACAUAGAUCCCUCAAUUGCAUCACAGCAUACGAUCGACUCUCACGUUAUUUGGGUAACAAUCCUUGGUUUGCCAAUUCCAGAGGUGGCAGCAGAUACAAUAGGCCCAUCAUCAUCAUCACAAGAUGUGUCUUGAUUAAUCUAAAUAGAUACUAUCAUUUCGUUAGAUCCGUAAAUAUCCUCAAAUUAUUUUAUUGAAAUUUAACAUAUGUAUUUUUGUAAAAUAGAUAUGAACAGGGGUUCUCCAAUCAUGAACGUACGGAGGACACCACAACCUCGCAGAUGGAUGGAACAGGUGGUGCAGGAGGACAGGGCGGUCGACAUCGCAAACCUCCCAUCGGAUGGUGCAACAAAUCACUCUAUCGCAUCUCCCCUGCCAAAUUCAUUGCUUGAUGAUGGGCCAAAUGAACUGUUGCCCAUUUUACCUGGGUAUCUAACAUUAAAUCCACAACGGUAUCAAUGUGCGUCAUUGCCAGCACAAAACCACCAGCUCCUUGAUAAUACUUUUCAGAAUGAGUCACGGGGGUCCAUUUUGCCUGGUCUCAUUGCAUCAGAUGCUCCACUCACUAACGUGGCCACAACAAACACUGCCCGGCAUUUUAAUCAACCAGAUCAGACCUUUCACAGGCAGUGUGAAGGUGGCACUGGCUUAUCUCCUCUACCGCUUUCCAUGGACAUAGAGCCACCUCUUCCAUCACGACCUUUCAAUGGACCUCCUAUUAUUGAGCCAUUUAAUUCCCCUCCGCAGAUUCCAGAGGACAUCUUAAACACAACUGGCCCAUCAACACCGGAAGGUAUAAUACCAUCGAUCUAUUAAAUGGGUCUCGAUAACGCUUAUUAACAAAAUCCAUAUUAUAUUUAUCAUUCAUGUGGUCUCUUGUAAACCCCAUGUUGCUUCUAUGGUGAGUAAGAAUGUUUCAAUUGGAGUCUAAUGCAUGAAGUUGUGGCUUAUAAAUUAGUGAUGCCAGAAGGUGCACCAGCAGGGACAUCAUCAUUCCAGUAUGAUCAAUUGGUGUAGGUAAUUCAAAUCUGGAUUGCAAUCAGCCACGUAUAUCUAGUGUAACAAGUGUAGCCAACACUGUCCCGCAUUCUAACCUAUCAUUCGAAGCUGCAAUGAAGAAUGUGGAACUAAAACCAGUUCGUUUCCCCUGCGAGAUUCGAGGGGCAUAUGUCCCAUCACUGCAUUACGGCCUAUUAGGUGCCCUCACAUCGAGGCAACACUUGUCAAUUUGCAAGUUCUGGAGAAUGGAGCAAAUAUGGCUGGCCCGUAACCAUCACAAGUGACUGUCUUGAUUUACCUAAAUAGAUAGUCAUUCCAAAUUAAUCAUAGGUAUUCCAACUCGAGUGAGCGUUGAUGUUUUCAUUGCAGAAGUGAUCCUUCUUUGUAUUAUUAACUCUCUUUUAGUAUGACUCAAAUUCGUCUAUUUCCAUAUCUAAUCUUUUCUCAAUUACCGUAGUAUCAUUGCAUGUUAUGUUUGUCCAACAUCACUUACUUUACGGCAUGGUUUUUUCAUCAAAAUAUUUUACUUAUCUGCAUGUUGAUUUUCCUUGUGGAUGUCUUUUGUGACCAAGUUCUAUGUUGUUUUACCUGUGUGCAUGGACACUCCAAUAUCUUAGUGCAACCAGCUCUGGUGCCCCCUCAACAUCAAAGUGUUCCACAUCAAGCUCCAAAUAAUACUCCUUCAGCUCCUCAGAUUCAACGUCGUGGAACAGGUCUGAUAGUCCCAUCGUCAUUGCCAGGUAUAUAGUUAUUUACCUAAAUUAAUCCUUAUGCAUCGAUCACCAUGUUAUGUUAUUAAGGGAAGCAAGAAUGCUAUAAUGAGACCGAUGGAUUUAAUUGCAGAAUUAGAUAUGAGCAAGGGUGUGCCACUAACGAGUCACACAAACAUAAACAACAACUUUGAAAAGAGUAGAGCUUUGAAAAGAAAAAUAAAGCAACUCUACAGUAGAGAAGCUGACAUAAGGGAUGAGUUAGAAUUUGCCGGGUCUCUAUCACUAAAGAAGCAGAAAAAGGAAGUUGAGAAUUGGUUGGCGGAUGUGGAGCAGCUCAGAAAAGAUUUUCAGAGUAUUGAAGCAACAAGUGAGGAUUGUUUGCCGUCACACCAGCAGGUGGAUACACUGACGCAACAAGCAGAAGACCUUAUGAAACAAGGCGAAUUCCCAAAAGGACUAUUUGGGGCGAGAAAGACCAAAGUCAAUAAGUUGAUAGAACGAAAGUUGGUGGGAGAGGCAUUUAAGAGAAAUACAACAAAGAUUUUGGAGUACUUAGUAGGGAGUCAAAUAUCCCGACUAGGCAUUUAUGGAAUGGGGGGUAUUGGUAAAACCACUCUUAUGAAGCACAUACAUAAUAGACUUCUCGAAAAAGCAAAUCAUGAUAAUGUGUUGUGGAUCACCGUGUCACAAGAUUUUAACACACAAAAGUUGCAGAACGACAUUUGGGAGGCACUAAAUUUAGGCACACUACAAGAAAAGGAGGUGGGGCAACGAGCAGCAAUGUUGUCCGCUGUUUUAACCGAAAGAGAGAAGUUGAUCAUAAUCCUUGAUGAUGUGUGGGAAGAUUUCAAUCUUGAAGAGGUGGGAAUCCCUGUUAGAGAAGAUGGAAAUAAGUUGGUCUUAACCACUCGAUCCCUUGAAGUAUGCCGCCGGAUGCAAUGUCAAGAAAUAAAAAUCGAACCUCUAUCUCUAGAAGAAGCUGAGGAUUUAUUUUUUGAGGAGCUUGGAUCCAAAGUGGCCCUUAAUUUGGAAACAAUUGUGAAGUCCAUUGUUAAAGAAUGUGCAGGCUUGCCACUUGGAGUCAUCACGAUGGCAGCAAGCAUGCGAGGAGUGACGAAUGUGUCUGAAUGGAGAGAUUGCUUGGAGAAAUUGAAAGAAUCAGAUGCCCCAACGGAGAUGGAAAAGAGAGUCUUAAAGCAACUAGAAGUCAGCUACGAUCGCCUUGAGAAACGUGAAGUUCAACAGUGUUUCUUAUCUUGCGCACUUUAUCCAGAAGAUAGAUUGAUUGAUAAGGUCGAGUUGAUAGAAUUCUUUAUUGACCAAGGACUGAUUUGUGGAUUGAAUAUGAAUACGAGGGAGAAAGAAUAUGAUAGAGGCUUCACCAUAUUGAGCAAACUGGAAAAUGUUUGCCUAUUGGAAGAUUAUGGAGAAAACAUGAAGAUGCACGAUUUGAUUAGAGACAUGGCAUUGCACAUCAUGAGUGCAACUUCCAUUGUAAAAGCAGGAAAGUGGUUGGAAAGUAUUCCAUCUGAGGAAUAUUGGACAGAUGCUUUGGAGAAAGUUUCUCUGAUGGAAAACGAAAUAAGUGAAAUUCCAUUGAACAUGUCACCAAAUUGUCCUAAACUAUCAACUUUACUACUGAAUGGAAGCUUGUUAAAGGAUGCGGUCCUCCCUGGUUCUUUCUUCAAACAGUUAUGUGGGCUAAAGGUUCUAAACCUGAGUGACUGUGAACUAAUAGAACUUCCAAAUUCCAUCUCAAAUUUGGUAAACUUGAGGGCACUAUUGCUUAGAGAGUGUCGGGAAUUGUGCCAUAUUCCUUAUUUAGGGAAGCUCACAUCUUUAAGAAAGUUGAACGUUGGUGGCUGUUCUAAGCUUAAAGAAGUGCCCGAGGGUCUGGAAAUGUUGGUGAACUUGAGAUACCUUGACCUACGUUUUUCAUCGACCGUUGAAUUACCUGAAAGAGUACUAGGGGGUUUGCUAAACUUGCAGCAUCUUAAAGUUUAUUUUCUAGAUGGACAAGACAUGACAAAAUUGAGGGCACUGGAGACACUCAAAUGCUCUUUUGAAGAUGCGAAUGAUUUCAAUAAGUGAACAGAGUAACCCUCGCUGUUAUUAUUAUCUCGGCAUGGCUCAAAAAGAUAUUUCUUAUUAUCGUGAAGCAUGUUAUUCUACUCAUGAGGAAUACCGUGAUAUUACUCAAAUUGAGAAUCGGAAGAGGGAAGUCAAAAUUUGGGGGUGGGAUCAUGCUAUUGUGAGUGUGGGAGGGGAAUGCACCGGCAUUUUUAUUUUGAUUCCCCACACCCGUGCAGAAAAUGACAAUGAUUGGUUGCGACGGUAUAACAAAUUUGUCUAGCAUAGGUCCGCUUAAAUACCUUGAGGAUCUAUGUAUAGGAUACUCAGAAAACUUAGGGAUGCUCUGUGGAGGAGAAGACGAAGAAGUAAUCGACAUCCUUGCCCCAGCCCUUGCGCCUCUCCUCUUCUCGAGCCUUAGGGUUUUAAAAAUAUAUGAUUGUCCAAAACUGAAGUAUCUCUUUGGGCAUGGGUCUAAAUCCAUCCUUCCGCAUCUACGAGAGAUUGAAAUAUAUGGAUGUGAGAAAAUGGUGGGGAUAAUAGCAGCAGUUACAUCCCCACCACCACAUCCGCUCCCAUUUUUCCCUAGUCUGGAACAGAUUAGCAUUAGUCGCUGUAACAAGAUGAAGAGAGCGGUGGAAUCUGAGUGGAUGCCCCACUUCCCUACUCUGAGAGGAAUCACAGCAAUUUAUUGUGAGAAGAUGGAGGAGAUAAUCGGAGGUCCUCCCCCAUACUCGCCGGAUGAACAGAUUUCUCUCGAAUCUCUUGAGGUAAGCCGUUGCUAUAACAUGAGAAAGCUGCUUACGUAUGAGUGGCUGCUCCAUCUUCGAAAUCUUCAAAGUAUCGUGGUCAGUCACUGCAAAGGAAUGGUGGAGUUGAUAAGCGGAGCGGGACAAGGCCAAGAAGGAAGCAUAACGACUUCUGUAAACAACACUCCUUCAUCCUUCCAGCCUUCUUCAAUUUCUCUCCCAAAGCUAGAGUGUUUGAAGCUACGCUAUCUACACCAGCUGAAGAGCAUAUACAAAGCCCCAAUAAGCUGCGAUUCCAUGAAAAGAUUGAAAGUGUACGGAUGCCCAGAACUGAAGAGGAUUCCUUUGCAACUGCCACUGCGUGAAAUUGAGGGAGCUUCCGCAUAUUUAUGAUGGAAGAUGAGGAAAAGUGGAAGACGGCUGAUGUGGGGAUCAUCCCGGAUGCUCAGGCUAUUCUUUCAACCUUAUCUCCAAAAAGGGUCAAAUGCUAUAGGUUAAUGAGUUUAAUUGGAUAUACGAUUGCUUCACUUCUUUAAAAGUCCUUUCAAAGAUAUAGCUUUUCUGUCUAUAUAGUCAUGCAGCUCUAAUAGUGGCCUUCUGUAGUACUGAACACCCAGGUGAAAGCAUCUCCUGCGACUUCACUCUUUGAAGAAGAACCCUGGCUGCUCGACCAUGGCUUUCCUACCAACUUGGACCUCAGGUUGCCAUAUGAACUGACUUUUUUUGUGUUGCCAUGCUUUGUCUAUUUUGAAUGCGAUCGCAUGUUUCAUUGACUACUGGAAAUGAGUCUAUCUGGUCGAUAUUUCAGGUUAGUCAAAAAGCAAUGGAUCUGAAGAUUUGGGAAGCCAAGGGAAUAGCAAAGUCUGUUUCCUAUCUUGUCUUAUAACUGAAAGGACAAUUUAUUAUUAUGGAUUGAUUUUCUUGGGAUAUUAGCCUUCUAAGAAAAGAGAGAAUUUUGUGCAGCACUACCUUUAAUCUGUUUUUGUUUAAAAAGGAUUUCAAAUAUGAUAUUGCUUUAACUUGUCGAUCGAAAAUAUUGUGUCAAAUACGCUGCUUUGCUCUGUUGGAUCAGAGCAACAUGACCCCAAUUAAACUUGUUUCGACGUUAAACUAUCGGGUAUAGAAUACUUGAUCUGCUUAGUAGUUGUAUCAUAUCUGGAAACGUAGGCCGGGAAGUUUUCUUUUCACCCUUUGUCAUACUUUGAAUUAGAAAUGUAAAAAGACGAAGAAGAAAGAAUUACACAGCUAUCACCCCUCUUUAAAUGCCUCGAAGUUGUGGAUAGAUGGAGAACCCUACAGCUUCAGCUCAAGUAACCAAAAAUCAGAGCAGUAACCACUAGCAAGUCAAUGGAAAAAAGGCCAGCUUAUAGGAUGUGGCACUUUUGAAAGUGUUUACAUUGCAAGCAACCAGUAAGUUAGCUCUGGGAAUCUUAGACAUGUUCCAUUUUUUUAGAUAUCCAGUCAGCUAAACUUUGACAUAUUAAGUGACAGAAAAACCAGAUCUCUAUGUGCAGAGAAGGAGUUUGAGCUAUUGCGUAAUGAUCCAAAUUUAGCUGAGUGCAUCGAGCAGUUAAAGCAGGUAAUGUUUUUGUUAUGCUCUGGGAUCCAAUCUAUCCUCUCAUCCGAUCUAAAUAUGCUGGGAGGAAACUUUCUUUCAUCAUUUCCAAGUAAUUGAUUGCUUUGUUACUACAGGAAAUUCAGGUACUUAGCUAGCAUAGACAUCCGAACAUUCUGCAGUAUUAUGUAAGGGAAAUUGUGAGUCACAUUUCCAUAGCAUCUAUGCGUCCCAACUCAAUGGGCGUUCAUUAUUUGACUCACCAAAAUUUCAACAUAUUCAUACAUACUCAGGUUGAGGAUUGGCGUUACAUAUAUCUAGAAUAUGCACAUCACGAUUCAAUAGACGAGUAUAUCCAGGAGCGUCUUGGGACCCUAACAGAAUCGGUUGUCAGCACUUUACCCGCUAUAUUGUGGCUGGAUUGGCUUCCCUGCAUGUUAACAACUCCAUACAUGGGUAAUUCUAAACCAUUGAUCAAGCAUCAUGAGAUGACUUGCAUAUUGGAUUAGGAUGAUUGGACCUUCUUCUUUGUGCCCCCAGACCUGUUAAAACUAUUUGGCUUGUGCAGGGAUUUAAAGGGAGCUAAUUUAUUUGUGGAUGCAUCUGGGAUAUGCAAACUUGCUGACUUUGGGAUUGCUAAACAUGUGAGUUUUUACCUCUUCACUGCAAGACUACUCAGUGCAUGUAGAAAUUCCUUGCUGAUCUGUGGUACAUUCGAAUGUGAAGUCAGGGACCCAGGGUGACUGCAUACUUCUCAUUAUUGGUUUGUGGCAUUUCAUAUGUGCAUAAAUCUAUCAUAGAUGGAUGAAAUGUUAUUAAGUAAUUUUCUUCACUUUUUUUCCCAUUGUUUCAGGUAAAGUUACCAUGUUGCAUGAACGGGAAAAGAUUUCUUGCUGUAAAUAGAUGCCGAAACCUAAUGAGAGUUCCCUUUCUACUGGUUUCUAAAAAGUUCCUAAGAGCGGUAGUGAAUAGAACGCAAUACCUUUGGCAAAAGGUUGUGGUGUUGUUUUUGCUGCUCCUCUGCAUUCCAAAAUAAGGAUAGAACUUAGUCAGAGUAAGUAAGGGCCUCCUUCCUAACAUGAGGUAAAUAAAAGUUUAUGAAUCCAUAGAAUGGAAUUCUGGACAGUAGCCAAGGUGUUGUUGCUCUCUUUUUGAGUUCUCAAGCAUUUGCUGAGGCCAUGUUGUUGAUUGCUUCAUGGUCCUUUUUCUCAGUAAUGAGCUAACAUGAGUUGAAAGUGGUUGAUUCAGUUAUCAAUAUGAUGUAUCUAUGUCUAUAAAGAUGUUGCUAUUUUAUCCGGUGUUCCAUGAACACACCAAGUAGUAUUCAGCUUUACUAAUGCCGUACCAUUUCUUAGCUAACCGGACAAGCAGCUUGCCGCUCUUUGAAGGGAAGUCUAAACUAGAUGGCUCUAGAGGUACUCUGCUUUUGUUAACGUUAAUGCGGCAUACUCAGAGGUCCUCCCCCAUACUCGCCGGAUGAACAGAUUUCUCUCGAAUCUCUUGAGGUAAGCCUUUGCGAUAACAUGAGAAAGCUGCUUACGUAUGAGUGGCUGCUCCAUCUUCGAAAUCUUCAAAGUAUCGAGGUCGCUGAGUGCAAAGGAAUGGUGGAGUUGAUAAGCGGAGCGGGACAAGGCCAAGAAGGAAGCAUAACGACUUCUGUAAACAACACUCCUUCAUCCUUCCAGCCUUCUUCAAUUUCUCUCCCAAAGCUAGAGUGUUUGAAGCUAUGCUAUCUACACCAGCUGAAGAGCAUAUACAAAGCCCCAAUAAGCUGCGAUUUCAUGAAAAGAUUGGACGUGUACGGAUGAUUGACUUAUUUCAAGUGCCAUACGUUGUUGCAAAUGGAUGUUGUACUGUAAAGUUCCAUAUUUACUAAACCAGAAUAAUCACAGGGUCCAUAGAUGUGAUGAAGUACUUGUAUAUCGACGAAAUAAGAUGCAUGUUCCUCUCGCAUGGUUUGACCAGUGUCAUCCUACGAUCUAGGCAAAUUUGACAGUGUUGCUUAAUCUAAACAUUUUGUAUGAAGUACAUUUAUUCAUCAAAAUUGAAUGGUAUUGAUAUGGCUCCAAAUAAGAAACGGAUCAGCAAAACAAAAGUAAUAAAACCCAAGGAAAGACAAAAGUAAUAAAACCCAAGGAAAAAGGAAAAGAAAAAGAAAAUCGAAGUGAUAGUGCAUCAGAAUUCCUGAAUUGGUGGGAGGAACAUUGGCAGGUUUGGCAAACCUGCAACGUCUUAGGACUUGGGAAGUGAAGGGAAAAAUAUCAAAGUUACGGGCAUUGGAGGCUCUUAAUUCUUCCGGACAGACCACAAUGGCUUUUCUCUAUUCACCGGAAAUUGGUGAUGGUGAUGAGGGCCACUCUGAUUGGAGAAAUUUCAUGUAUUUGUUGAGAUCAACGAUGAUGAUGAUCCAAGAUUUGCAACUUUCGAGUGGAGAAAUUUCAUGUAUUUGUUGAGAUCAACGAUGAUGAUGAUCCAAGAUUUGCAAUUUUCGAGAGGAGAAUCAACGUUGAUUGUUGCGAUAAUGCUUGUCAGGGCAGCAGGGAAAAGUUUUUUCCUGGUGGUUUUGCGGCUUUUGCCCCCAAGUGAUGCUGCAAGUUUGCUGGAUUUCCCCCUAACGGUUUUUUGUCAUUUCCCGGAACGUUUUUGGAAUAAUUUUGCAUGUUGUUACAAAGAUCUCAUGCGGUUCGUUUACAGGAUUUUAAUAGGCCUUAUAUUUAUAUAAUUUACCUUCACUUACUCGUUCAAAUAUUUAGGUUGGAUUUUUUCCUAUGUGCAAAUAGCAAUUUUUACGUGAAAUGCAAACUAAACAUGCUUCCUUUUUAUUAUUAUUUUUUCUGCAAUUAAAGUGAUUCCUCUACCCUAAUGCAUACCAGAAAUAUAUUCAAAAGUGUGACAGGAAAAAGAACUCCUUGAAAUUUUGCAAAGUCGGAGGCGCUUUUUAGACCAAGCGAUGUCUCUCGGCUGCAUUGAAAUAUGUCUUCGUUUUCGUUUUCUUUUGUUCUUUUCCUCAAUCUUCAANNNNNNNNNNNNNNNNNNNNNNNNNNNNNNNNNNNNNNNNNNNNNNNNNNNNNNNNNNNNNNNNNNNNNNNNNNNNNNNNNNNNNNNNNNNNNNNNNNNNGCUGUUUUUUUUUUUUUUUUGUGUGUUCUCUGCCCAAACCUUAAUGAAGACUACUAAUUGGUGUUUGGUCUUUCAAAGUGUAGCAUUAUUGAGCAUCAUCAUCAACUCAUCAAGUUCGCUAAACUCAGUCAUCAAUUAACUAACGAUUCUUGUCUAACAGGAACUGCACCAACGUAGCAAGAAAAAGAUAAACAAAAACUCAGGCAAGAACUCAUUCGUUUUCAAGACUCGGUCAUAAAAAUCGAGGAAAAGAAACUAUGAAUAUGUGCCGGAUUUUUCUCUGCUGCCGUGCCCUUUUUAACCUACUUUUGACCCAGAAUUCGACCAUUUACAGCUCUCGGUUCCUUUUGUGUGUUUUCACACUGCUAAUUUCCUUCAUUCACACACGAAGGAAAGUCGUGUUGAAAGUGGCCUCCUUUCGGCCAACCAGGAGGAGGGAACGGAAAGGACUUCACUUCGAAGAGCGGGCACGUCCAAAAUUCUCAUAAGAAUUCCCAUUUAAAUUCGCCUGGAAAUUUAGAGUCGGGUUGUGUAACAGAUUGGUUCACAAUAAUUGCACUCUUAUUAGAAAGGGCAGUACAAUCACAAGAAUGUGAGAUUACAAAUGGAUGUUAUUAUGGGUCAAAUUAUCAGUGUUUUUCUUCGUUAAUUUUUAUGAAGAUGCGAUUGAAACCUUUGAGCUCGUAACAGUAAUUUAACUUAAAAACUAUUGAGUUAUUAUAGUCUUUAAAUCAUUCUUGGGACAUUUUUUUUUUCUUUUGGAUCUGAAGAUCCAAACUACAUAUGAAACGAGUCCCGUGAUUGGGAAAACACGAAUUUAGCAUAUUAUGCUUGCUCCUAAAUAUUUUUAUGUGGAUGCCACAUAACAAGUACCUAUAUAAGUUCAUGCAAAUAGGAUCCAACGAAUUAACAAUCCAAAAUUUGAGAGAAAAUAUGAAGUGAUUUUGUGCAUUUUUGAAACUCUGUUAGUGUACAUUCUUGUAGUUUUUCCUUGUCCAAAUAUACUGAUUUUCAACUUUCACUAAGAUGUUGCAAAUUCAAUUAGAAGCAUAUAAUUAAUAGUCCUAAUUAGCCAAGUCACAAAACCAAUCAUAAGAGAUUCAUUGCGGUUGUCACAAAGUCUUGAAUUGGUGGGAUGGUUAUUCCCAUGGCAAGAGCGGCUAACAUCGCAAACUUCAUCCUCUAGGGAUUAAGUUAAAAUAUUACCUUUGGCACUUAAGGUGUUCUUAUACUCCAUAAUAAAUAUGUUACUUAUUUUAUCAAUUAAUCUACCCUCAAUAAUAUGCUAAUAUUGGUUUAGAUAAUUUGUCGAUUUGGCUAUAACUUGGAAUAAGAGACAAUAACAAUAUAAAUCUAAUAUUGAAAAAAAUUUGUAUGAUUUUUUUUUUCACUUAUUAGUUAUUCUUUUAGCAAUUACCGAAUAACAUCAUUCAAACUGCAUAAUGCCAAAUCUAUUUUUUUUUUCCAAUUACAUUAUGCCAUAAAUGUGCGAAUCAACAUACAUGAUUUCACCUCAAACAAAUGGACUUUUUUUAUGAAUAAAUUUUUUAAAAAAAAAAGAUAGAAAAAUAGCUCAUAUUAGGGCCAUUUACCAGGUAAUGCAAAUUAAAACCAAGUCUUAUUUAUGUCUAUUAAAAAUUUCCAAUGCCAUAUCAUAUCAUUUACACCUAAAAUGCAUAGAAUAUACAUUCGGAGAAGAAGGAAGAUAAGAGAAACUUAAACAAAAGAGCAUUUCUAUCUGUCGUAAGAUAGAAAGUAAACAUCAAAUUUAGAUAAUCUUACUUUAAAUACUUAUGUAGCAAGCACAUUCAUAAAAAUUAGAACAUAAUGUAAGCCUAAACAAUAAUAUAACGAUUGAUUUAUAUAAAGUGUCAAUAUAACAUUAUGCAAAAAAUUUAUACAUGUAAUAUGGGUUCAUAUCAAUAAAUGGAAUUGGAAGUAAAUUUCUGAAUCUGUGCAACCCAUGGGUCUUUGUUUACUACACAUUCUACAAAAAAAUGCAGUCAUAAGUUACAAUUUGAUGGAAUCACCUACCAAUUCUACUCACAUCAUAGGAAAUGUUUUCUAGCAGCUGGAUGGCUUGGAAUAUUUUGGGGCCAGAGAUGGACACAUUUCAUUCAUAUGAGGGUACAGGUCUACUGUAUUGUAUCCUGGCAGCUCCANNNNNNNNNNNNNNNNNNNNNNNNNNNNNNNNNNNNNNNNNNNNNNNNNNNNNNNNNNNNNNNNNNNNNNNNNNNNNNNNNNNNNNNNNNNNNNNNNNNNNNNNNNNNNNNNNNNNNNNNNNNNNNNNNNNNNNNNNNNNNNNNNNNNNNNNNNNNNNNNNNNNNNNNNNNNNNNNNNNNNNNNNNNNNNNNNNNNNNNNNNNNNNNNNNNNNNNNNNNNNNNNNNNNNNNNNNNNNNNNNNNNNNNNNNNNNNNNNNNNNNNNNNUAAAAAAGAUAACCCAACUAGGGUCAAUCAGAUCGCACUUACAGUGAACUCUGUAACAUGAAUGGAGCUAGAAAUUGGAUCAAGAGUCCUGCUGCUUUGUACAUUCAAGAACAAAAGCUACACAAGAGGCGGACUUCCCAUCACUAUAUACCCAAUGGUCUUGCUCUGGAGUGUCAGCAGUUCAGCAAAAGAUGACCCCCUCAUUUCAGUUUCGUGUAUUAGAUUAGGAAGAUCCAAGCCCUGUAUGCAACACAAUCGUAAGGUAGCCAUAAAGUAAAGUAAGUGUAAUUACAACCAUAUAACAUUUGUUAACAGAAUGUCAUCCAAGAGACAUUAGAUUUCAGUUGCACCUCAGUGUGCAAAACAAGAUGCAUAACGUCACACAGACAAUUGCAAAUUGAAUGGGACGGUACCUUUGUUCCUAGUCACUUGUUGAGUGCUUCAUUCCAUAUGUUCGCAGCAUAGGCUGGUUGCACUUGGUUCCAUAGUCAUAACAGAAGCAACCUACAAUAAUACAAUGCUUUCUAUAAAAUGAGUGAACCGCACUCCCAUCACGCGAAUAAAGCACCCCACAUGGUGAGCAUAUUACAUGCAUCGUCAGUCAGGCUGAUAGCAACUCUUAAGAAACAAUGAACAAAGUCUACUAUUUUGCUGUCUUAGUAUCAUAUAGGAGGCCAUAAAAAAUGAAUAAUUGUCAAACUAAGCCAGGUUCUUUUCCAUAACGUUAGCACUCAAUAGAGUCACAUACGAACCUGCUAUUUGGCAAAAUCACUGUUCAUUUUUUAGCCUUUUGUCUUGUUCAGUUGAAUUCAUUCGAAAUCAUGGCAUGAUUGUCUAAUUUCAACUAGAAUGUGUUGUUAGGAUCUAACACACGGCUUAAUAAUAUUUCAAGGUCUAUCAAAGUAAGAGUAAANNNNNNNNNNNNNNNNNNNNNNNNNNNNNNNNNNNNNNNNNNNNNNNNNNNNNNNNNNNNNNNNNNNNNNNNNNNNNNNNNNNNNNNNNNNNNNNNNNNNGCAUCUAAGAAUCUCAAGGCAUCUACAGAUAUACCUUGGAAGUAACACAAGGCCUUAGCGCUAGAAAAUUGUCUAAGGCAACUGAAUGCACCCACAAAAUAUAUAUAAACAUAUAUGAACGUGUACAAUCUCUGUACCACAUGAGCAUCUAAUGGCGGUAGAUAAUUUGCGCCGAUGGUGUCUAUCCAGCUAAAAAGCAUGUUGUGAUAACCAUAUGGUUUCCCAUUCAUAAUCUGUGCAAACUCCCAUGCAGCAGCUCAUUAAAUUUGGCUCACAUAUCAGGAUGCAGUGGAAGCAACGCAAUGUGGGGAUUUGAGUAAUCUUUGUUAAGCUCGAACUCCCACCAUUUUCCCAUGGUAACACAGCAAUGACAUCUUCUCCCUGCAAUGAUAAGAACAAAACAAAACUUGCAUAAUCUCUAUUACUAUGUUAGACUUCUUAGCACCUGACCCCUUUACCAACACAAAGGAACAAAGCAUGUAGCAAAAACCCAAAUGUGACCAUAAAUUUAUUAAUCAAGGUCUGCCUCAAGUAAAGGACGUCAUUUCAUCAAAUUCUAACCAUAAUCAUCAUCAGUAAGUUAUCGUCUCGUGUGUAAGGAUGGUCCUGAAGUUCAGCAGAAAAAGUUCAGACACUGCAUUCCCUAUGUUACAAAUAUGAUGAUGCUCCAAUAGAGCUUCUAGUAGGAGCCUAGAUAGGAUCAGCUGCAGUUCAACAUGAACCUGAAGCAGCAUGUCAUCGUUUACUUACUCAUCCUCUCUUACAAUCAAAAGUUUCUAUGGGAGCACAAAAAGGAAAGACCUAUCUUAUUAGAGAACAUAAGAUGAGCAAGGAGAUUUAAGGACAUAGGGGCAUGACUAAAGCACGCUUAAUAUGCAAAAUGGAACGAUCUCAAUGGGAACCAUAUUUGUGAGAGAAGAAGUCCAUGAUUCGACAAAAGUCACAUUUAUAAAGUAAUCACACAGAAAUACAAUGCCCCAAAAACCUAAGGGUUCAUGAAAUGUUAGAGAAACACAGCAGAAACCCUACUUGUCCUUUUCAAUAUGUAUGAGACCACACUUUGAUAAUCAGAGGACAUUAAAGCAGUAUUGUAUGAGUGUCUUUAAUAAUGAAUGACAGAUAAGCAUAGGGAAUUUUUUUUUUUUUUUUGGGUCGGUAAGCACAGGGAAUUAAAGAGAUGGAGAAAUAAUGACUCAAACAAUUCUGGGGGUGUUUGAAACAUUUGAACGUUUGUCUAUUGGAUAUCCCCAUAUAGGAACAAUGUGGACAAUUAUUGUGGAAGACUGGCAUACUUACAGCCAUGUUAAUAUUGUGUCUAUGCAAUUGGUUUAAAACUUUACUUCACAAUUACAAUUGCAGAGACAGCAGCAGGCAAAAAGAUUGGAUGAAAUGUCGAACAUCAAAAGCAAUCCAUCAAUGUAUGGAAAAAAAAGAACGNNNNNNNNNNNNNNNNNNNNNNNNNNNNNNNNNNNNNNNNNNNNNNNNNNNNNNNNNNNNNNNNNNNNNNNNNNNNNNNNNNNNNNNNNNNNNNNNNNNNNNNNNNNNNNNNNNNNNNNNNNNNNNNNNNNNNNNNNNNNNNNNNNNNNNNNNNNNNNNNNNNNNNNNNNNNNNNNCCAACCCAAAGCUUUCCUUCAGCAUCCCUUAAGCACACAGCUGUGUGACCAGCAUAUGCGCCACUGACCCAUUUCUCUAGAGUCCCAAAACCACCCCACCUUCCACGAAUUUUUGAAAUUGCAAUGAAGUCUCCAGAGUGGAUAUCAUCAAUGCUGAUGUUUGUAACCCAGGGCUGGGGACGUUGCUCAAAUGAAGCUCCCAUAUGCUUCUUGAGAAAACCAAUGUUAGAUUUCUCCCCUCACCCGGUAUUUGAAAACAAGGAAACACAUCCCACAGUGCUUGAAGGGUCCCAAGCAUCCCAGCUUGCAUCAGAAAGAUUGACACUCCUCUACUUUUCACCUGCAAUCAAAAUAAUGGAAAAUCAAAGUUUGACAACUCGCCAAUAUGCACAAGCAAGAGCAGAAGAGAAAAAAGAUAAUUGCAGCUUACAUAUUCAAACUCAGCUUUUCCUUCCCACUCUUUGAACUCAAAUGUGUGCUCACGAGAUAAAAGAUACUAGUCCCAUGUCACGCAGUAUGGGGUUGCAAAGACAUAAAUAUCCAUACACGUCCAGCUAUGGGCUUUGCUCACCUGGAUGAGCAAUCCAAACUCAUGGUUACAAGCCGGAUACCUACAACUAGUUGUUAGUUUCCAUAUUCAGCAGAACUAGAUGCAAAAACAAGGACUAUGAAGCAUCAACACGAGGCAGUACCCACCCAAACUGGAAUAGCCUCCAUAAGAUAAUUUGAUUUUACAUCAAACGAAACAAUUGUACUUGUAUGAGCAACCAAAUCACUAAAUCCUUCUUCAACCACUUAAAACCUAGACACAAAAGACUCAAGUGACCAACCAUGGUACCAAUUCGUGGAGCUUAAUCAAAGUACAAACAAGCAGAUGAAAGGAGAAGGAAGAAAAAAACUUAGCUAGUGACGAAAUCCACUAGAAACAUAUUGAAGUAAGAACUGAAAAAUUCCAUCACUCAGAUUCCAACAUAAAUAGCAGAUGAGAAAAGAGAACAGUUGGGAUCAAGUGGCAUGGGCCCAAACAUCGAAAGGAUAUUCUCUAACGUCCUUUNNNNNNNNNNNNNNNNNNNNNNNNNNNNNNNNNNNNNNNNNNNNNNNNNNNNNNNNNNNNNNNNNNNNNNNNNNNNNNNNNNNNNNNNNNNNNNNNNNNNAGUGAUUUUCUUUCACAACUCUAUAGAUAAGUAUGACGCACACUUCAGUUGGUAAGAAAAAUUCGUAAGUAGAUAGAAACUCUAUCCAGUUUAGAGCUUUGAAUCCAUUAGAAAAAAUCGACCUCAAAUUAACUAAAAUAGAAGCUCAAACUAAGUUAAUCGGAAACUGGGAAAAGCUGCCCAAACGAUGGCCAUUAGACCCCAUCAAACAAACUCCUACAACCUCACAUCUCCUAGAAUUAUCACACAAUCCGAACUGCAGUGAAUUGAAUUAAGCACUAACAUUCGACCAGAGAACCUUAAAAGCUCGUGAACAGUGACUGUCUCUGCACAUUACCAAGCCGCCACAAGCUCAAGCAUCCCAAAAUCUUCCAGAAUCGCACUCAAACACAAGUAUUUCCAUUCCAUCCCGUUCCCCACUAUUCACCAAACAAAAAACAAGACUUGGAAUCAUCACUCCAGUCCAUUCCUUUCCCCAUCAUUUCCCGAUUUCAUUCCAUUCCACCGUACCAAACCCAACGUAAUAGUCAACUAGAAAACCUCAUCUUCCAGAAUGGCACUCAAAACCAAACGGAGACCAAGCAAAAGCGACGCGAUAAAACUAAAGAACGGACCUUAAUGUGAGGCGUGCCUCCGCCGAACUUGCUCCCGGUGUUGUUGUGGAACUCCAACCAAGCGGUCGGAGGAAAAAACGGUGCCGACGAAGGCGGGCAACAGGUCCAGGGGACGGCGAAGGGCGUUGAGGAUGGGCCAGGACAGCUGCUUCGGCAAUAGAUGGAGUAUGUUCUCCAUGGUGGAAUGGUGGUUUCGCGGCUCGAGAGCGCGGGUUGAGCAGAGAGGAGAACGUGAAGAGGAAGAGAAGCAGCAGAAAUUGGCUGACGAGAAGCCAUUGAAAUUGCGAGAGAGAGAGAGUCACCUCUCCAGCGACGGUCCACUUCUUUUUAGUGUCUCGCGCUACACUAUAAAAGGUGUAGGGGUAAGAGGAGCCACUCGUUUUGAUUACAUCCUUGGACGCUUGGUAAUUUAGGGUGCUUAACCAGUUAAAUGAAACAUUAAAGCAUAAUCGGGGCUGAAAAUAUUCUGUAUUCUUAUAUUAUGUAUUAAUGUUGGCAAAAAUCUUAAAUUAUAUCCAUCGUGACAUUAAUGUCUCGAAUUAGUAUUGAUUUCGUGGCGAACAAAAGUUAAGAUUUUUAGAGACAAGCUAGAGGUAUUUCCACUUCAAAUAUAAGUUUUAAGUGUAAAGAAGGGCGAUUAGAAGUCUCCAUGGAGGACCUAACCCUAUGGGAAGAUAUAUUGCUUACCCACCCCCUUGUAGCUUACCGUCAAACUACGGCCAUUGAUAGCUUCAAAUUGGCUUAUAUUGCCUAUCCCUCACCCUCUUAUAUUGCCUCAACAACUUUCACUACACCGCCCUCUCAGGACUUAGUUAACAUCAAGAGUAUCCUUUUAUUUAUAUGUUGUCAGUACGAACUUGACAUUUAGCUUGAUUUCGCAAUAACCAUGCAAUCUUCCUUGUUGCUAAAUUGUGUCUUGAGUUUGAGCCGAAUCCACACCUUAUUGCUCAAAGUCACGCACGAAAUGCAAUGCGCACACAAGUCUUGGACCUUUUUUCUCUACUUCAUUAAUGCUAUGCUUGCACGAAUCUCCUCCUGUGUCCCCUUAUCAUUUUAUCUUCUUUUUUUGGUUCGAAUCCCCUUUUGUCAUUGAAGGAGCUGAACGUCCAUUUUUCGCCCUCACUCCACAGCGCUCCCUAUUUCGGAUUCUCGCUCGAUCAGCGAAAUGAGAAAACUUGGCGCCGAAGUGGACGUCGGAAAUGGCGGUGAUGGCGACGUUCUUGAGGCCUAGCCUCAAUAUUCGAGUGGAAUUGAGAGGGUGCUUCCAUUCCAGACAGUGGUGGAGAACUGUGACGCUCACGGGGUGAUCGAGACCCCGGAGAUUGGAUCCGAGCACAGAGGCACGUGAGUCGUUUUCGCGUUUUCAUGGAACAGGGGUGGACGUUGGUGAUCUGGAUGGGGAAAGGAUGGAGCUUGAGGAGGAUGGUCAGGGACGCGUAUAGAAACGGACUCGACUUAGGGUUCAAGAACGGGUUUACAAAUGGGAUUCAGGUUGCGAAAUGGACCUGCAUCUUUCUAGGAUGGAGAAGUUUUUUCCAGAAAUUGUGAGACGAUUUCGGGAAUUUGAAAGAAACGAGAAGGACCAGAGCACAGGGCAAUUUUAAUUUAUUUUGGCCAAACGUUCGAGCAAUAGUUUCGAAUUACUAAGGAGUAUAUAUAAAUUUCAGCACGGUGACCUCUUUGGUUCAGAUCGGAAAAGUAGUGUGGGGGUGGUGUCUCGCCGCCCUCUAGCGAUACACAAGGGCCUGGCAGUGCAACGUUGUGGGCUUAGUAGGGCUUUUAGGGCUUAUUUGCCGGAUAUUCAUCGAUUUCUGGCCGAAUACAUGGCAACAACCAACGGCGGAGGUUGUUCUCAUGGGACAGCCACAGCCAUGGUCGCCGUCCCCUGAAAUGAUUAAGUUAAACAAUUUGUCAAAUUGCUUAAUUCAACAAUUUCGCACUCAACAGUGUCGACUUCGUAACUCACUUUCUCUGAUGAAAAAUGACCAAUAUCAUGCGUUUAAACCACAGUAGGCAUCGGCUAAGAUCAAAACGUUCAGAUUCAGCCGCAACAAGUCAACGAUGAGGCCCUUGAAAGACUUCUAUCCUUCCAAAGUCUUUUCUUGACUUAGGCAAUUCCAUUUGUUUCUUCACAUACUUGUUCAAGUUUUUGGGUUAGACUGUCAUGUGCUGAUGACUUAAUUAUUGCGUGAUUAUAUUAUUAAACUAAAUAAUUUGAUAGAUUAUGAUUGAUCUUAUUAAGCCAACUGCAUUUGAUAUUUUCACGUUAUUUGGCAUACAAAAUGUCGAUAUAAAUAGUAUAAUUCUAGGGGCUAAAAUUGUAAUUGACUCAAAGGCGAACGCGUAUUUGUGAGUAAUACCGUCAAACUCCUUUUGAGAUUCUCCUUCCAAGGCAUGUUCUCCUACUUAGAUAACUCGAUCAGUUUCCUCUUUUUUUCAAUAAUAUAAUUUAAUUUCCCUUUAUUAAUUUUCUCUAUUUAAAUCUAGUGUAUUUCUCUACUAGUGUUUUCGCUCCUGGUGAAAUAAGGGGAUUAAAUUUAUUUGGUCGGUUAACUAUCAACGUCAAUUAAGAUUUAAUUUCUUUCUAUCUCUUUUUGUAAAUAUUUAUACACAAAAUUCUUAUUGUGUAUUUUUGUCAAUAAAUUAUUUUCAUGAUUUAAUAAUUCAUAUAUUUUACCAAAAAAAUUAUUUAAAUUAAUUUUUUAAAUACCAAUUGUUCCCACACACAUAAUGCAUAGCGGGUGAUAAAUAAAAAGCAGAAGAUCCUCAUAGGAGAAAAGGAGCCCGCGUAUAGCACGAUUUCAUUCUCUAGAAUUAAUUAUUUUCUUAAGAAGGUAUUUCACAAUUUCCAAGUUGUCUUUGAAUUAAUCGAGUCUUUCUUAAAUAUCAAUCUACAUAUUGGCUUUCUAAUUGUUGAAUGGGUUUAGUACCCAUGGAUAAUAAGUAAUGCUACAAAGACCUUAGAAGACAAAAAGGAUUUUCACCCUAUAUGAUGUCAUGUGUUCUCAUCGCCCUAAGAACAUAUGUUAGCUUGUCAUACUAUCUAAUGGGCUAGGAUGCAAAAGUCACAAUAUAGCCGUAUGUAGUAUGGCCAUUAAAAAUGCAGAAUAAACAUGGUUUCUUUUUAUUAUUAUUUUUUUUUUACGAAUAAAGUGAUUCAUUUAUUCAAAAGCAUAUUGGAAAUAUAUGACAUGAAUGAUUUAAAAAGUAAAGAAAAAGAAAUUCCUUGAAAUUUUGUAAAGUCGGAGGUGCUGCUCAAAUCGAGGAGUGCGGGUGGUCCCAGCAAAGUGACGUUAAUGUACAAGAAACAAAAGGUAGGAAAAGUAAUAAGAGCAACGUGCAGAAACGACGACGGCUUGGCGUGGAACGAGCAUGGCUUUAAGCAAACACAGAAGCGGCGCAUCUCUCGAUAUUUUGAUGUCGCCUAUUCUUCCUCUUCUUCUUCUUUUUUUUAAACUGAUAAGGCUGCUCCGGAGCCUCUCUUCAUUUUCGUUUUUUUUGUUUGUUUUUUCCUCCUCAUUUUUCCAACCACAUCCUCACCAUAACGCGCCUUCUCUCUUUUGUCCCCUAGCUCUCCCCACUUUCUUUCGCCCGACUCUCUCUUCUUGUCUUGCUUUCUUUUUUGGGUUCCCCGCCCAAACCCUUAAUGAAAGAUUAAUUGCUGUUUAGUAUUUGUUGACGCCUCAAAUUUUAAUUAAGUUUAUUUUAUCUUAUUAAUUAAUUUUUUAUUUUAUUUAUCUUGUCUUUUUUCGAAAUAAAAACAGCAAAGCAAAGCAAAGCAAAAGAAAAAAAAAAGAAAAAAAAAAAAGAGCAGCCUUUGUAUGGGCCCUCGGCCCAUUUCGUCUCAGCCCAGCCCCCCCCACUUCUUCUUCUUCCUCGCGCAGUUGCAGUGCACAAGCAGAGGGCGCGACGCCGGAGCGGAGGGGAGGAGCAACAAUGGCGCACGUGGAGCAGGGGGCGGCUGGCGUCGGAUAAGAACGUGGGAGGGGCAGCUGGCGUCGGAUGGGACGCCGGUUCGGCCGGCGGAGGCCGCUUGGCGCACGGGGACCGGCGGUCGAAGCUCCGUCGACCGGCUGCUCCCUCGCCUAUAAAUAGGCCCCCGUUUCCGUUGUCGAAGGGGCACGCCAGAAGAUCGCAAGCUUGGAAACUUCUUCCUGAGAGACUUCGGAGGAGGUUGAAGGGCGAGCGAGAGAGAACUCGGGUCGCGAGUUCGGCUGACCUCCCACUGAGAGACUUCGGGGGAGGCUGCCGGCGAGCGAGUCCGAGGUGGUCAGAUCCGGCCGGUGGAGGCUCGGAUCUGGCCGGAAGAGAGAGAGGCCUGCGAGCUCCGAGAGAUCCCCUGAGAGACUUCGGGGAACUCAAAGAGCGAGCAACGACCUCCCUCCGAGAGACUUCGGGGGAGGCCGGCGGCGAGCGAACCCGGAUCUGCGAGAACUCGAGAGCGGAGAGAGGAGAGAGAUCGAAGCCGCGAGCAUUCAAGCUUCCCCCGAGAGACUUCAGGGGAGGCUCGACGCUCGCGAGCCCAGAUCAAAGGGAGGGAGCAGAGUUCGGGCACCCUCCGCCGUCGUAGCCGCCGCCGUCGCCACCGUUCGCCGUUCAAGCUGCCGUUCACGGACAGGUAGUGCUACCGCCGCCGCCGCCGUCGCCGUCGCCGUCGCCGUCGCCAUAGCCUCCCCCCCCUCUCCACAGUUCAACCGCCGUCGCCGCCGUCACCGUCGUCCCCGCGGUUGUGCCUCGGCCCUCUCCCCCCUCGGCGCCGCGGAUUCGCAAACCCUAGAUUUCCGGGUCACGAAGCGGAUCCGGGUUUGGAAAGCGGGUAGGGUUUUCGCGAUUUAAGGGGCGGCGGAAACCGGGUCGGGAGUUGGGUCGGACCCGGGUAGGGUUUCGCUAGGAACCCGGGUCGUCGGGCCGGGCCGGGCGUCCCCAAACGCCCGACCACGGCGUCGUUUAAAAAAAAAAAAACGAUGAAAAAUCUGACUCGGGCCCGCGUUUGGGUCGCCGACCCGGGUCGGACCCAACCCGCGGAUCCGACCCGGGUCGGUUUUAUUUUGUUAUUUUAAUAUAAAAUAAUAAAUAUUUUAUUUUCAAAAAAAAAAUCAAAAAAUGUUUUAUUUUCAAAAAAUAUUUAAAAAUGUUUUAAUUUCCAGAAAAUCAAAAAUAUUUAAAAAAUAUUUAAAAAAUGUCGAAAAAUGUUUUAUUUUCUAAAAAAUCGUGAAAAAUCAAAAAUAAUUUAUUUUCCAAAAUAUUUUGAAAAAUAAUAAAAAAUAUUUUAUUUUCCAAAAAAGAAAAUUAAAAAUAUGCCAAAAAUCCAAAAAAAACCAAAAAUUCAUGAAAAAACAAAAAAAAAAAUUCAGAAAAGCCAAAAAGACAUGUGUUUUUCAAAAAAAAAAACCCAAAAAAUCCCUUUUGCGUCCAAAAAUAAAAAAAUGACUCAAAAAAUGUUUUUCCUCCAAAAAAUGCAUGGAAAAUCUCUCAAACAUCCAAAAAAGCCUUAGAAUCCUUAGGGUUUAAACAAAGAUUAAGUACCGAAAGGGCAUUAGUGAUUAACUAAUGUAAUCAAGUCCCCGAUCCUAAUUUCUCUAGUUACGCAGGAGCGAGUAUUUCUCCCGAUACUUCGCUUGGGUUUUUAAUCGACCCACUCCAAAUCGAUUAGUGGCGACUUCAUUUUAAAAAUUGAUUUAUAGGUUAAAAACUCAAACUAUUAAAGUCGUGAAUUGAUGAACUUGGGAGAGUAUGGGCAUAAUUAAAAUUAGCCGAGCCAUUAGCCUUCUUUUUUUGGUUCCCCGCCCAAACCCUUAAUGAAGAUUAAUUGCUGUUUAGUAUUCCAAAGUCCAGCGUUAUCGGGCCCCAUCAUCGACCUAUCAAGUUCGCUAAACUCAGUCAUCAAUGGACUGACUAUUUUUGUUUGAACACGAGCUGCACCAACAUGACAAGAAAAAGGAAAAUAAAAACUUAGGCAAGGGCUCAUUGAUUUCUAACACUUGAUCAUACAAAUUUUUGAAAAGAAAUUUUAAUAUCAUUGCUUUGAGGAUGGACGCACUCUCAACAAGUGAACUCGCGUGAUCAAAUUCAGUAAUACGACAGAAUCAUCUCAAAGAUUUAAGUUUAAUAGUUAUUUUAUACGGCGAUCAUCAUAGGAAUGUGGCAAUUUCGAGCGCCUGCAAUGCGAUGUCUUGAUGUAUCAUAGGAAUGUUAUCUAGAUAUACAAACGGCAAAGGAGCAACAACAUAUCGGCAAUGACUUGGGUAGUAAUGAUGCAUCUAUGAGGCCUAUCCUUAUUCGAUUUUUUUUCUAUUUGUUUUUGUUCAUGUUUUCUUUCUCAAACCACUCUAAUAUGAAUUAAAUAGUAGAUAUCUUAAUAUAAAAUCAACAAUAGAAUUCUCCGUUUCGUUUUGGAACUCAUCGAAUGAGACUUUUUCUCUAAUUUUUUUACUAAUCCAUUUAGAUUACAUUUUAUAUUAUCACUAAAGUUUUAUUGUAAUUUAACUUGUUGUUAUAUCAUCCAUAGAAUAAUCAUAUUAUCGAUAUUGUAGAAAACAGAUAAAUAAAAUCAAACAAAAUCGAAAUGCUCAUUAGACCAUAGAAUAAUCAUAUUAUCGAUAUUGUAGAAAACAGAAAUUUUAAUGAUUUUUAACUACUAACUAAAAUAUGUAAUGUGUUUCUAGCUAGUAUCUCGUUCUGUUUUCUUCUCACCCCCUAGCUCUAUCCGCAAUGAUCGAGCCGUGAUCAUGUGAAUGCUUGACUAAAGCCUCCCUUCAGCCGCGUUUUUUCCUGCUUUUUAUGUCCCUACUUUUUUCAGUAAAUCUUUGCCCAAGAUAUGGUCCAUUAUGAGGGGGUGCUGGUUUUUCUAUGUCGCGUCCGCUUCUGAACCACCUUUUUGAACCAGAAUUCCACGAUUUCUGGCCUCCCUUUCCCUGUUUCUGUUCCUUCGUGCGUUUUCACGCUGCUAAUUUCCUUCAUUCACACCCCGCGGGAAUGCCGUGUGGAAACUGGAAAGUAGCCUCCAGUCGACCAUUUCGGUCAGCCAGAAGGAGGGAGCGGAGAGGACUUUUAUUUGGAGAGCAGGCUGCGUCCAAAACUUCCAUAAGAAUUAUCAUUUAAAUUCACUGCGGAAAAUUUAGGGUUAGAUCGUGUAAGGUUGGUUCAUAAGAAUUCACAAUCAGGAAUGCAAUGGAGAGAGAGAGAGAGAGAGAGAUUUAUGGGAUUAUGAAUGUAUUUUUAUUAGGAGUCAAAUUAUCAGUGAAUUUGAUCGUUAAAUUUCAUUAAAAUGCGAAUGAGACCUUUAAACGGAAAUUUAUGUAUCAACAAUAAUUAAUCUUACAAAUUAGUAAGUAAUUGUUUCUCGUUAAAUCAUCCCUUAGUUGAAUUUUUUUUUCUUUUUAGUCUAAAGAUCUAAAUUGCAUACAAAAUUGGUCUUGUGAAUUCAUUAGUAUAGGUAAUAUUCUAAAUUUGAGUCAAUAUUUAUGCAAAGUAAAUAAGCAGCAGUACUCACGAAGAUUUUCCUAUUGAUUUCUAGAGGCAAAAAAGAGCAAUGCUAUGCAUAAGAGAACUGGAUAUUUAUAUAUAUUAAGAUGGAUAGAAAAUGAUAAGGAAAAUAGUGCGGUAGCUCUCUUAAGAAAAUUUUGUUUUUAAUUUUUCAUUUUCCUUGGAAAGUCUAGAGAAUUUGGCAAUUAAGUAAACCAUAGUUUAACAUUCCAUAAUAAUUUUCCACCUCAUUCGGUGCACUAAUUUUUUUAUAUAUUUACAUAUUUAGCACCAUUUCGGGCAAGACAAAGAAAGAUAAGUAGGCUCAAAAGUUUAUCGGGUGCACGUUCGCAUGAGUUUCCUCGUGGUUAAAGCUGAAAUUGGCUCAAAGGCGAACGCGUGUUCUUGAGUAACACUGUCCCACUCCCUUUGAUGACGAUGACAUCAGAGACAAUUACCCGACACUAUUGAAAAGAGAGAGAGAGAGAGAGAGGGGGGGAAGAGGUCUUAUCGUGGCUUCCAAAAGAGGCCACUUGAAAUCUCUUAAAAAAAGUGAAAGUUAUGCGAGGUGGAGUAUAAAUAGACAAAUUGCUCAUUAUUUUUGUUAAUAGAUUAUUGUCUAGAAAUGAAAAAGAAAAAAAAAAGAUGUAAAUAGUGAAGCAAUGAGGCAGCAAUAAAAUAGGAAACUUGUCAACCCCCAUGCAUUAUAUUAAAUUAAAAUAUUAUUAAGUCCAUUGUCGGUCUAGAAAAUAAUUUGCACAUUCCCGAUUAAGAGUUGACACGUGAAAUAAUUCACUGGCAAAAGCAACUUCAAACACAUAUGUCACUCAUUCACGAUAAAUGUGUAUUGAGGUUUUAACAUUGAUUAUGCUUCCAACAAUAAUCCAUUAAAUUACUAGGUUUUUCGGCUAACAAUUUUUCUAUAUUUAGUUUAAAAUAUUAAAAUAAUAAGACCAAACAGAUAAUAUAUUCGGAUGUUCAAAAUUUUUACCCAUGGGUUAAUUAGGAAUGCCAACUAUUUAAUAAAAUAUUCAAAAUAUUAUUAUUUCAUAGUAUCUAGAGAAUGAAAAUAAAUAAAUAAAAAAAGUCAAAGUCAUGCGAGGGUGAAAUAAAAGCAAUCAAAUCAUUAAAGAGAGAAAAAUCAUUUUUAUUUAUUAUAGUAAUAGGUUAUAGUGUAGAAUGAAAACGAAAAAAAUAUAAAUAAAAGAAAGGGUAAAAGCAUGCGACGACACCUAUCUAAUGUGCCAUUGCUCCAGGAGGCCUCCACGUAGCACCCGAGUUGUCUAUUCCACCGUCCAUCUCGCCGACACGACGGACGGGAAAAAAACCCACGCCGGACCCCCCCCCCCCACCCCCGAAACGGCACAUGUUGGUGUCAGCGGGAGCGUCGGACCGGGCCCCGCCCCGGUUCACGAGGAUCGCCACCGAUGACGUGGACAUGUCGAGAAGGGGGGCAGGAUCAAAGCAACGGACGGCUUGGAGGUGUGGUCGUUCGGCUUGUCGUACGCCUGGCCAUGUGAUCACAUGAAUCGGGCGUACUACGGUCAGGGGGAACAAGGGGAGAGGGUGGGGCCCGUUGGGCCGGGGAAUGUAGUUAGGCCAUGAUGAUGGACGGCUGGAUGGACGCGUGGUCGUUCGGCUUGUCGUACGCUUGGCCAUGCCAUAAGUCGGGGAUUUCUCGGGGUACGGUCAGGGGGAACAAGGGGAGUGUGAAUGUGAAAAUCGAUCCCCAAUGAACACAAUCAACGCCUCCUGACCCAGCAUCUAGGGGGGAGAAGGUUGUCAUUGGUGAUUAGGCCUUGUAAAUUGGUAUUUUCAUGGUUUGAUUUUAAUUUGAUAAAUUUACCUAUACAAAAGUGCUAAAAUAAUCUAAGCGGGGAGAUCAACCAUAGUCCAACAGAGACCAAUAUUAGUUUGACGUGAUAUUGCUAUGGUUGUUACGUUUGUUGUCCGACAAUGAUAUAACGUGCGAUUAUGUUUGUGACUACGGACUUCUGUAUUGAGUUGUGAUUUACGUGCUUUUUCUAGCGGUAAAAUAUAACAUAUUUGUAACUUUUAACAAGGUCGCUAAUUCUGUUAAAAAAAAAACAGGGUCGUUGAUUAGAAUUCGAUACUUUGACCAAGUCCAAGUCUCUCCCUUUCUCUCACACAUAGAAACAUGAUGAAAUGAUAAACGACGGAGACGUUUCUUGCGCGUGUUCUAAGCAAGUGUGCUGUUUUCUCUUAUGGCAGAGUCCCUCUCGAUUCUUCACCAAAACCUGUUCAUUCCCAUUUCCAGCAGCAGUUGAAUGCCCUUGUUCCUCUAGGAAUUGGGUUUCCGCCUUUGAAAGAAGAUGAGAAAGAAGUAGUCGAGAGAAGAGGAGAAGAGAAUUUUCUUUGUAUUAUGUAUAUCAUUCAAUGUACAAUGUCUACUAUGUUUAUAAUACAAAAUGUGUAUAAGAAAAGCAAGUAAAUAUUUUACAAUUUGGAUCCGAUUAGAUCCGAUACUAAAUGAUCGUGAUUGAUCUUGAAUGAUGUUGUGAAUCUUCAUGUGUAUCUUCUAACAAUCCCACUCAAGUUGAUGGCUUGUAAAUAUCCGAGAUGCCUAGCUUGCUUAGAAGAUACGCGUGCUGGCUUUGACACAAGGGUUUAGCGAAGACGUCCGCUGGUUGCUCUUCUGUUCGGAUCCCCAGUGUCUCGAUUAUCCCUUGUUGGAUCUUUUCUCGUGCAAAAUGGCAGUCCACCUCUAUGUGUUUCGUUCUUUCAUGAACUAUUAGGUUUGAGGCAAGUUUGAGGGCCGCAUCAUUAUCCCAAAACAAUUUGGUUGGCCCUUCAACUUGUACCCCAAGAUCUCGAAGAAAUCCACGUAGCCACACUACCUCACAUGUGGUCUUUGCCAUGGCUCGAUAUUCCGCUUUUGCUGAGGAUAAUGAAACAGUCGGUUGCUUCUUUAUCUUCCAUGAAAGUAAAGAAUCCCCUAACUUGAUACAGAAACUUGUUAUGGACCUUCUGCUCAUCGAACAUGUCGCAUAAUCUGCAUCACAAUAUGCAGUCAUCCUCAUAUCACAUUUCUUGGAGAGGAGAAUCCCAAGACCUGGACAUUUCUUCAAAUAUUUUACCACUUUGAGUGUUGCAUUCAUGUGGGACUGCUUUUGAUUGUGCAUGAACGACUAGGAGUUUGCACAGCAUAACUGAUAUCCGGCCUGGUUAUAGUUAAAUAUAUGAGUUUCCUAACAAGUUUCUGAUAAGUCAUUGGAUCCUCAAUGUAGGAUCGGGUUCUUAAGAGAUUCCAGUAUCAUACUCUGCUGUGGUCAAUUUGAUAUUUUGCUUGAUUGGAAUUACAACCGGCUUACAUCCUGACAGUCCGACUUCUGAUAUGAUUUCUAAGGCAAAUUUUCUCUGGUUGAGAGAUAUUCCUUGGUCUUAACUAACUGGACAAGCAGCUUACUGCUCUUUGAAGGGAAGUCUAAACUGGAUGGCUGCAGAGGUACUCUGAUUUUGUGAAUGUUAAUGCUACAUUCCUUUUUUUUAACAUGGUGGAAUGAUGUAGUCUAUCCUGCGGCUCAUACAAUCCUUGAUGGCAUAUGAUUACAGCACAGAUCUCAAUCGUACUGCUAACAUCUGAAGUUUGGGAAGUACUAUUUACAGGAAACCUCCUUGGAGCGAGUAUGAGCGGGNNNNNNNNNNNNNNNNNNNNNNNNNNNNNNNNNNNNNNNNNNNNNNNNNNNNNNNNNNNNNNNNNNNNNNNNNNNNNNNNNNNNNNNNNNNNNNNNNNNNUUUUCUCUGUUUGUCCUUCCAAGUAAUAUGCUUCUAACCAAAUAUGUGUCACCGUUUUCUGUUGGAAGUUCGGGACUGUGCAUAUUACCAUUUGUUAUGUGAUAUGUGUCUUUAUUUUCUAUUUAAGGUUUAAUCAUUAAUGUAGGGUCAAGCUAUAUUUAAGGUGAUGCAAAGUUCUCCACCAAUACCUAAGACGUUAUCUGCUGAGGGAAAGGAUUUCCUGCAGUGCUGCUUUUGAAGAGAGCCUGCCGAGAGGCCUUCAGUUGUUAUGCUACUUGAGCAUGCUUUCUUGCAAAUUUGAAGUGAUGACUGACUUAUUUCGAGUGCCAUACCUUGUUGCAAAAGUGAUGUCGUACUAUAAAGUUCCAGAUUUGCUAAACCAAAAGUAUCAUGAGGUCCAUAGGUGUGAUGAAGUACUUGUCUAUCGACAAAAUUAAAUGCAUGUCUGAGAGGUGGCAUACUUUGAUCUAGGAAAUUUGACAGUAUUGCCUAAUCUAAGCGGAGAUCUAGGCAAUUUGAAAGUCUUGCCUAAUCUAAACAUUUUACUAUGGAGUGCAUUCUUAUCAUAGACAUUUUGUCUAUUACUUUAAUUUCAUCAAAAUUGAAUGGUAUUGAUAUGGCUCCAAGUAAGCAACAAAUCGGCAAAACACAAGCAAGAAACCCAGAAAAGAAAAAGGAGAAAGAAAAUCCAAGUGAUGAUGCAUCAGAAUCCCUGAAAUAAUUUUGGAAGCAAGUACUCCGUCGAUUUGGUUGGGGGAACAUUGGCAGGUUUGGCAAACCUGCAGUAUCUUAGGAUUGGGGAAGUGAAGAGAAGAGUAGCAAAGUUAUGGGCAUCGGAGGCUCUUGAUUCUUCCUUUAAGAAUGUCGAUCUCAACAAAUACAUGAGAUUUCUCCAACUAGAGUGGCUCUCAUCUCCAUCACCAAAUUCCGGAGAGUUAAGAAAAGCCAUUGGGUGUCUGUGGAUGUAAAUGAUGAUGAUUCAAGAUUUGUGACUUCCGAAAGGAGAAUUGACGUUGAUUGUUGCAAAUAGCUCGUGACUUGUGUCUAUAUUUCAUCUUGUGUCUAUGAAAUGCAAAUAGCCCAUGAAUUUUGUUUAAAAUAUCUCACGUCGUUCAUUUACGAGAUUUUAAUGGGCCUAAUAUUUAUUUAAUUUCCCUUCAACUAUUUGUUCAAAUUUUUGGGUUGGACUUCCUCAUGCGUGCGUGAUGGCGUUAUUGCACGAGUAUAUUGCGUUAUCUACUCAUCACCAAUACAUCGCAAGAUUCAUCGUGACAGGAGCUUUUGCUCAUGGGGCUAUGAAAAAGUUAAGUGCUAAAAAAUAUCAACUCUAUAUUUUUGAUGAUAUACUAAACAAUUUGAAAGACUAUGAUUGGCCUUAGUAAGUAAGUCACAUUUUACAUUUUCACGUUAUUUGGCACACAAAAUGUCGAUAUAAUUAGUAUUAAUUCAGGGGCCGUAAUUGUAAUUGGCUCAAAGGUGAGUGCAUCUUCAUGAGUAAUACCGGCAAACUCCUUUUGAGAUUAUCCUUCCUAGGGCAUGUUCUCCUACUUAGAUAACCUGAUAAUUUUCCUCUUUUUUCGAAUAGUAUAAUUUAAUUUCCCUUUAUUAAUUUCCUCUCUCUAGAUUAGUGCAUCUCUCUACUCGUGCGUUCGUUCCUGGUGAAAUAAGGGGAUUAAAUUAAUUUUGUCGGCUAACUGUCAACAUCAAUUAAGCUUUCUCUCUCUCUCUUCAUAAAUACUAAUACACACAUCUCUUACUGUGUAUUUUUAUCAAUAAUUUCUUUUCAUUAUUUAAUAAUUCAAAUAUUUUAUAAACAAAGACUUGAAUUAAAAUUUGUAAAAAUUUGUAAAUACCAAAUGUUCCCACACGCAUAACGUGUGUAUCGGGUGAUAAUAAAAAGAGGAAGAUCCCCAUUGGAGAAAAGAGGUCCAGAUAUAUUAAUACGGUUUCAUUCUCUAGGAUCAAUUAUUUUCUUGGGAAGGUAGUUCGCGAUUUUCGAAUUGUCUUUGAGUUGACCGGGUCUUAAGCGACUUUUUUUUCUUAUGACUCUCGCCUGCAUUUGGACUCUUAUCUCCAUUUUCGUUUUCUUUUGUUCUUUUACCAAACCCUAACCAUAAUGCUCCUUUUCUUUUUUGUCCCUUUGUUCUCGCCCUUUUCUUUCGUACAACUCGCUCUUCUUUUCCAGCUGUUCUUUUUUUCUUUUCUUUUUUUCGGUUCUCUGCCCAAACCCUUAAUGAAGACUAAUUGGUGUACGAUGAUAUUGAGCGCCAUCGUCGACCGAUCAAGUUCGCUAAACUCAAGUCAUCAACGGACUGACUAUCCUUGUUUGAACAGGAGCUUCCACCAGCGUGGCAGGAAAAUGAAAGCAAAAACUCAAGCAAGAACUCAUUGAUUUUCUAAGAUUUGGUCAUAAGUAUCGAUGAAAAGAAACUUUAAUACUGCUGCUCCGAGAAUGGAAGCACUCCCAACAAGAAAACCCAAGUGAUCGAAUUCAAUUCACGGCGGAUGAUGCGAGUUUAACAGUCAUUCUCUACGACAAUCACAAUAGCGAUGCAGUAAUUUUGAACUCCCCAGUGAGAUGUCUCUUGAUGCGGCAGAGGAAUCCGAUCUAUUACUUUUUUAUAUCAUCACUAAAAUUUUGUUACAUAAUUUAAUUUACAAUUGUAUCAUCUACAUGAAAAUUUGAAAUACGAUCUAACUAAACGGAAUAAAUCGAAUCUCACUAAAUCGAAAUGUUAAACAGAAAAUAGAAUGCCCAGAUGAGAAUCUGACUUGACAGUCUAGAAAAAAACUGGAAUUCUUUCUGAUAAAUCUUUAAGUUCUAACUAAAACAUGUACUGUGUUUCUAGCUGAUGUCUACUUCUGUUUUCCUUUCUUGCCGACUAGCUCUAUACGUAAGGACCGGGUCGUGAUGGUGUGAAUGCUUCGCCGGGGAGUCUCGACUAAAAGCAGCCUCCCUCCGACCGGGAUUCUCCUGCUUUUCACCUUUUGCUUUUCACACUAAAUCUUUGCUGAAGAUAUGGUCAUUCAUCGUGAGGGUGUGCUGCAAUUUCUCCGCUGCCGUGUCCUUCUUGACCACGCUCUUCUCCUCAUCAGAGCAAUCUCCACCGAAGCCCACCGACAGUUCCACUUGCGCUCUUCUUUUAUUUCAAGUCUUUUUCAACUUUCUCUGCUUUCGGUUCCGCAUGGCCCGACCAUGUCCCCUCGUCCUUGUCUCGGUGUUCAGUUAGUCGACACGUUUCCACCGUAUCGUGUCUCACGAGAAUUUGCUCUCCAUUUUUGCAGAAUUUCAGCUCUUCCCUUUCUGUUCCUUUUUUGUGUUUUCACACUUCUAUUUCCCUUCCUUCGCACUCGCACGAAUGCCGUGUCGAAAGUGAACUCAAGUUGACCAUUUCGGUUCACAAAAAUUCGCAAUUUUAUUGGAAACGGUCUGUAAUUUUAUAUGCGAAAGAAUGCAAUAGAGAUUGAGAAUGCGAGAUUACAAAUGCUUUUUUCUUAAUAAGGGGUCAAAUUAUCAGUGAAUUUGAUUGCUGAAUUUCAUGAGAAUGCGGAUAGGACCUUUAGGUGAAAAUCAGUGUCAACAAUAAUUUUCCUCAUAAGUUAGUAAGUUGUUAUUUUCUCUUUAAAUCAUCCCUUCAUUGAUUUUUUUUUUCUUUUUGUCUAAAGAUCCAAACUGGAUGCGAAAUUGAUCUCGUAAAUUAAUUAGUGUAUGUAAAAAAAGAAAAGAAAAGAAAAGAAGAAGAUGAUGUUUUUAUAAUAACUAUAAUAAAUUUGCAUGGAGCACUCCUAUUUUAAUCAAGCUUGCUUUGUUUGAUUAAACUAAACCAGGGUCAUCAAGAAAAACAGCUCUAGUGCGAACGUCCCGAUCGGCUGGAUUCAAUGUUGAUUUAUUUAAAGUAAAGCGAGUUUAAUGUCGCCGUCGCGAUCGUGACCAACUUCGAUUGUGCGCCUUUUCUCUUUUGUCCCCUAGCUCUCCCACUUUUCUUAUGCCCAACUCUCUCUUCCUUUGUUGCUUUCUUUUUCGUUCUGCGCAAACCCUUAGUGAAGACUAAUUGGUGUUUAGUUUUCCAAAGCGGGGCAUUAUGGAGCACCAUCAUUGACCCAUCAGGUUCGCUAAGCUCAGUCAUCAAUUAACUAACUAUUCUUGAUUUGAUUGAACAGAAGCUGCACCAACGUGGCAGGAAAAAGAUAAAAUCAGGCGAGAACACAUUAAUUUUCUAAGACUUGGUCAUAAGUAUUGAUGAAAAGAAACUUUAGUACCGCUGCCCUGAAAAUAGAAGCACUCCCAACGAGUGAAUCCGAGUGACAAUUCAAUUAUUUGACGAAAUCAACUCAAUGACGUAAGUUCAAUAGUUACUCUUUACGGUAAUUACGAUAGUCAUGCUACAAUUUUGAGCAUUGCAAUGAGAUGUUUCAUGAUGUAACAAAAGAAGCCAAUUUAGUCGUGCAAAGAGGUGGCAUUACGACCACAACAUCAGCAAUGAUUGGGGCAGCAAUGACACAUCAAUGAGGCCUAAUCUUAGUGGACUUUUUUUUUUCCCUUUUUACGGAUAAAAUAUGAAUUAGAUAAUUGAUCUCUUAAUAAUAAAUAGAUAAUAGGAAAUAUGAUUCUCCAAUUUCUUUUUGAAUUCACCAUAUGGCAUUUUUUUUGCUAUUUUUUUCAUUUACUAAUUCAAUUCUAUUACUUUUUUAUAUAGUCACAUAAGUUUUAUUACAUAAUUUAUUUUACCAUUGUAUCAUUUACAUGGAAAUUCGAAAUACGAUCUAACUAAAUGGAAUAAAUAGAAUCUCGCUAAAUCGAAAUGUUAAACAGAAAAUGGAAUGGCCAGAUUAGAAUCUGACUUGACAUUCUAGAAAAUACAGGAAUUCAUUCUAAUAAUCUUUAACUAGUAACUGAAACAUGUAGUGUGUUUCUAGCUGAUAUCUCGUUCUGUUUUCCUUUCUGUUCCACUAGCUCUACACGCCACGGCCGGGUCGUGACGGUGUGAAUGCUUAGUCGGAGUCUCGACUAAAAGCCUUCCUUCGGCCGGGAUUCUCCUGCUUUUCACACUGGAUCGUUGCUGGAGAUACGGUCAUUCGUCAUGAGGGAGUGCUGCAAUUUCUCCACUACUGUGUCCUUUUCGACCCCAUUAUUGCCCUCAUCAAAGCAAUCCACCGAAGCCCGCCGAAAGUUCCACUUGCGCUCUUCAUUUAUUUUGCGUCUUUUUCGACUUUCUCUGCUUUCGGUUACGCAUGGCUCGACCAUGUCCCCUCGUCCUCAUCUUCGCGUUCAGUUAGUCAACACGUUUCCACCGUAUCGGGUCCCACCAGAAUUUGCUCUCCAUUUUUGCAGAAUUUCAGCUUUCUCUUUCUGUUCCUUCGUGUGUUUUCACACUGCUAUUUCCCUUCCUUCGCACGCGCAGAAAUGCCGUGUUGAAAGUGGCCUCGAGUCGACCAUCUCGGUGAACCGGAAGUAGGGAGCGGGAAGGACCUAGAAUUCCCGUUUAAAUUUACCUCGAAAAUUUCAGGGCUGGGUCGUGUAACAGGUCGGUUCGCAAGAAUUCACAAUGAAAGUUUUCACAAUUUUAAAUGCGAAGGAAUGUAAUAGGGAUCAAGAAUGCGGGAUUACAAAUGUAUUUCUUUUUAUAGGAGAUCAAGGUAUCACUGAAUUUGAUUGCUGAAUCUCAUCAGAAUGUGGAUAAGACCUUUCCGCGAAAAUCUAAAUGUCAACGGUAAUUUUCCUCAAAAGUUAGUAAGUUAUUAUUUCCCUUUAAAUCAUCCCUUCGUUGAAAUUAUUUUCUUUUUAUCUAAAGAUCCAAACUAUAUAUACCAGACUUAUCUCGUAAAUUAAUUAGUGCAUGUAAAAUUCCAAGUUUGAUUUUAGAUUUAUGCGAUGUAAAUAAGCAGCACUACUCCCAAGGUUUUCCUAAUUAAUGUAAUGCAAAUCAUUUCUAGAGGAAUAAAAGAGCAAAUGCUAGACAUAAUAAAAUUGAAUAUUAUAUGCGCGCGCCCGCAUAUUUAUAUAUAAAGAUGGAUGGAGUAUGAAGAGGAAAAUAGUGUGGUGGCCUUCUUAGGUAAGUUUUGAUUUUAAUUUUUGAGAGUUCGGCAAAAAAAGUGAAUCACAUUUUAAUGCUCAACAAUACUUUUCCACCUCAUUUGGUACACUGAUUUUUUAAAAUCUUUAUAUAAUUAGUACUAUUUUGCCCCCCACCCAAAAAAAAAAAAAAAAAAAAAACCCAAUAGUAUCUUGGGAGCACUUUCGUGUGAGUUUCCUCACUGCCGAACGCGUUUUCUUGAGCAGGGCCGUCCACUCCUUUUGAUGACAAGACAACAACAUGGGAAACAAUUACCCUACACUACUCUUGACGCUCCUCUGGAUCGAUGCUUAACGUGUAAGGGCUGCUUGUGAUUCUCCUUGCAAAGGUAUGUUCUCCUUCUUUGAUAACCAAUUUUCCUCUUUUUUUUCGAUAAGUAUGAUAUUAAUUUACUCUGUGUAGAUCUAGUGUAUCUCUCUAUUUGUGCUUUUGUUCCCAGUAAAAUAAGGAGAGAGAUCUCUGUACUUCAGGCGUGCACAACUCAGGCGGUUUGGUUCUGUUAGGAGGAUUCUACGGUUUUGCAACGAUUUCAAAUAUACCUGGUCAGCUAGCUUUUAACAUAACUUAAGAAUCCUUUAUUUUUCUAUAUGCAUUAUUUUUUUAAAUUGAUCGUCUGUUUUUAACUGUUCUAUGCUCUUGCUUGGCAUUGUCUCUGUUUUGUAAGAAUCAAAUAAAGAAUCUCCGACUGAGCAUCCUUAUUUAACUGGAUUACUUCUUGUAGGAUAUUGGUAGCGGCAAUGCCUAGAGAAAAGGAUCCAUUUUGGAAGUACGCGACGUUGCUGAAUGAAAAUAAUAGCAAGUGGAGGUGUAACUUGUGCGGACAGAAUUAUAGUGGACGUGCUACAAGGAUCAAGGCUCACUUGGCUGGAUUGACCCGCUUUGGUAUUAAAGGAUGCGAGAGAGUCGAUGCUAAUGUUAGAGCAGAAGCCAAGGACGCACUUGAGCCUAAAAAAGUGACGGACUCGAGCGACCAAGGUGUAUCUGACGAGAGGAUACCAGGAAAUGUUAAAGCAGCUCCGACCAGCACAACUCAUCCACCAAAUGCGGAGGGAGGAAACAAUUUACAACUUCCACAAGGUAUGCAUUUCCAAAUUACCGCAGAAAAUGGCUGUUUAGUAAAGUGAAUUUUUUUGAUCUAAUCUUAAAUAUGGUUUGAGGUUUGCUUUAGUCUUUUAGGGUCUGCAUGACAAACUUCCCCAGCCCAAGAAUUUCUAUUCUUCUCUUCCCCAGAACCAAAAAAGAAUAGAAACCCGCAUGAUAAUGGCAAGUUAAUUUUUUGUUCCCGGGAACAAAAUGUUAGCCCGGAAAUGGUUUUGGAAUAGAAAUGAGAAGUAAAAAAAAGUUGCUUCUUGUUCCCGGGAACAAGUUUAAGAAAUAAGUUAAUUUUUUUUUCUUUUAUUCUUCUAUUGUUGACUGCCAUUGACCGCUGUUGACCGUUGCCGCCGCCGCCGGUCGCCUCCGCCGGUCGCCGCCGGUCGCCGCCGGACGCCGCUGGUCGCCGGAGGCUGAUCGACCUCNNNNNNNNNNNNNNNNNNNNNNNNNNNNNNNNNNNNNNNNNNNNNNNNNNNNNNNNNNNNNNNNNNNNNNNNNNNNNNNNNNNNNNNNNNNNNNNNNNNNUGUUUUUUACCAAACGCGAUUCAAACGCAUUUCUAUUCUUUUUCUAUUUCUAGAUGUGUAGUUAUCAAACGGGUUUUUUUACAUAGAAAUUGUUCCCCAGAAUAGAAAUAGAAAAGAACUAUUUCUGAAAAGAAAUUGUUCCCCAGCCAAGAAAUGUUCUCAUGCGCACCCUUACUGUCUAAACAUCCAUUUCAAGGCAUGUCAAAGCAAUCAGUUUCCCUGCGCCCUAAAUUUCAAUAUGUUACUGAAGACAGCUAUAUAAAUCCGACUAAUGCUGUUGUAUAUCUCAAUCCAUCACUAGAAAAUGGGCAGGAGAUGAGGGCGGCCAACGUCGCAAACCCCCCAUUCGAUGGUGCAACAAGUUACCAUAGAGCACCUCCCACGCCAAAUUCACCCUUCACUGUUGAAGAUUUUACUUCUUUGAUGGAGUCUCUUGACGCUGAGACAUCAAAUGCACAACAGAAUCCAGGCGCGUUAUUGCUAUCAUCAAACUAUCAGCUCCUUGAUAAUACUUUUCAGAAUGAGUUACAGGGGCCCCUUUUGCCUGGUCCCAUUGCAUCGGAUACUCAACUCAGUAACAUGGCCACAACCAAAACUUCCCAGCAUUCUAGUCAACCACUUCAAAGCGACAGGGAGUGUGGAUACGGCACCGGUCUAGAGCCACCUAUUCCAUCACUACCUUCCACUGGACCUCUUCUUGUCGAGUCAGUUGACCCCCUGCAGAUUCCAGAGGACAUCACAAAUACAAUAGGCCCAUGGACAUCAGAAGGUAUGAAAUUAUCUAUGUAUGUUAAAUGAGUAUCGUUAACUAAGUGCCCAUUCCACUUGUUAAGUAUAUUUGAUAAGAAACUUUAUUUUUAUUUUUAAUGCAUUGAUUAUACAUAAUACAAGAGAGACGGUGCAUUGGGAAUUACAACAUUUCCUUAAUUGGGUUUUUAACAUAAUAACAGUGCAUGGAAUGUGUUGCAAGUGUCACCGGACCAACUGGAUCCGGUAAACUAACUAUAAUCGGCAUUCUCCCAUGUUCCAAUUAACCAUACCCUAUUUUGAUUAAUAACACGCAGGUGAAGGCACAUCAUGUUCAAUGAUGGCUUUAGCGGAAGAAGUACGGUCUCCUUUUAACUUGCCAUGGCAACCACAGUGUUCCAUUCAAUCUCAAAUGCCAAUGAAUUUCCAGCAGAUUCCAGCAGGGGUAUCGUCAUUCCAGUAUAAUCAAUUACCUGCUACAGGUAAUUCACAUUGCUUGCAGGGUAGGAAUCAGCACUCUCAAUUGCAAACUCCAAUGGACAUAGAUGCCUCAAUUGCAUCACGGCAUACAAGUGACUCUCACAUUAUUGAGGCAACAACGGUUGAUUCGCAAGUUCCAGAGGCGGCAACAAAUGCAACAGGCCCAUUGUCAUCACAAGGUGCGUUUGGAUUAAUCUUCAUUGUUACUAUAUGGUUCCACUAGAUUCUUAAAUAUCCCCAAAUUAUUUUAUCGAAAUCUAACAUAUUUUUUUAUAAAUUAGAUAUGAACAGGGGUUCUCCAGUCAUGGACGUACGGAGCAUCUAUGCCAACGAUGAAGAGAUAAGAAACCUGAAAAGAAAAGUGGAAGAACUCGACGACAAAGAAGCUGUCAUAAAGGAGCAGAUGGAGAUAGAGUCUGCUACUUCCUCAGUUCGGAAGAAGCCGAGGAUAUUGGUUGAUAGAUGGCUAAAAGAGACAGAAAGAGCAAGAAAUAAUUUCCAAAUAAUUGGUCAAGCCAAUGCGGAAACUUUGCCACCAAAGGAACAGGUGGAGACAUUGACGAGAGAAGUGGAAGAACUCAUAGGAAAAACGCUUCCACAAACACUACUCAUAGAGGAGAGAGAUGCCAAAGGAGUCAAAUUUUUUGAACGAAAGCUAACAGGUGAAGCGAUUCAUAGGAAUAUUGAGUUGAUUUGGGAUCGUCUGAAGGAGAAUCGUGUAUGCAAAUUGGGUAUUUAUGGAAUGGGUGGUGUUGGGAAGACAACUAUUAUGAUGCACAUACAUAAUAGACUUCUCAAUGAUGCAACCUUCGAUGGUGUGUUUUUUAUCACUGUGUCUCAAGAUUUCAGCAUUAAGAAGCUGCAGAGUGAUAUUUGGAAGGAUCUAAAAUUAGGCGUUAUGGAGGUUGAGGAGGUUGAGGAUGAGAAGAAACGAGCAGCGAUGUUGUCAGAGCAUUUAGAAAGAAAGAAGAAUUGUGUAUUGAUUCUUGAUGAUGUGUGGGAACGUGUUGAUCUUGAAGAGGUGGGAAUCCCUAUUAGAGCACAUGGAUUUAAGUUUGUCUUAACCACUCGAUCCUUUGAUGUGUGCCGCCAGAUGCAAUGUCAAGAAAAGAUCAAAAUCAAGUCUCUAUCUCAAGAAGAAGCCGAGAGUUUGUUUUUGGAGGAGCUUGGACCCAAUAUGCCACUUAAUUUGGAAAUUGAAGCAAUUGUGAAGUCCAUUGUUAAAGAAUGUGCAGGCUUGCCUAUUGGAGUCAUCACGAUGGCAAGAAGCAUGCGAGGAGUGACUGAUGUGUUUGAAUGGAGGGAUUCCCUGGUUAAAUUGGAAGAAUCAAGUAAAGGGCAAACAGAUAUGGAGAAGAAGGUUUUAAUGAAUCUGAAAGUCAGUUAUGAUCGCCUUGGUAAUCCUGAUGUGCAACAAUGCUUCUUAUCUUGUGCACUUUAUCCAGAAGAUAAAUUGAUUGAUAAGUUCAAGUUGGUAGAAUUCUUUAUUGACCAAGGAUUGAUUGGUGGAUUGAAUACGAGGAAAAAACAAUAUGAUAGAGGCUUCACCAUAUUGAACAAACUACAAAAUGUUUGCCUAUUGGAAGAUCAUGGGAGCAAGACGAAGAUGCACGAUUUGAUUAGAGACAUGGCAUUGCACAUCAUGAGUGCAACUUCCAUUGUAAAAGCAGGAAAGUUGUUGGAAAGUAUUCCAUCUGAGGAAUAUUGGACAGAUGCUUUGGAGAAAGUUUCUCUGAUGGGAAACAAAAUAAGUGAAAUUCCAUUGAACAUGUCACCAAAUUGUCCUAAACUAUCAACUUUACUACUGAAUGGAAGCUUGUUAGAGGAUGCAGUCCUCCCUGGUUCUUUCUUCAAACAGUUAUGUGGGCUAAAGGUUCUAAACCUGAGUGGAUGUGAACUAACAGAACUUCCAAAUUCCAUCUCAGAUUUGGUAAACUUAAGGGCACUAUUGCUUAGAGGGUGUCGGGUAUUGUGCCAUAUUCCUUAUUUAGGGAAGCUCACAUCUUUAAGGAAGCUGGACGUUGGUGGCUGUUUUCGGCUUGAAGAAGUGCCCGAGGGUCUGGAAAUGUUGGUGAACUUGAGAUACCUUGAGAUUUGUGUUGAAUUACCUGAAAGAGUACUGGAGGGUUUGCUAAACUUGCAGCAUCUUAAAGUUGAUUUUCUAGAUGGACAAGACAUGACAAAAUUGAGGGCACUGGAGACACUCGAAUGCUCUUUUGAAGAUGCGAAUAAUUUCAACGAGUGUGUGAGGGUUAUUGAACAGAGUAACCCUUGCUGCUAUUAUUAUCUCCGCAUGGUUCAAAAAGAUACUACUUAUGAUGAGGAAGAAAGUUAUAUUGCUCAAUUUGAGAAUUCAGACAGGAAAGUCUACAUUUUGGGGUGGGAGGAUGCUAUUGUGAGUGUCGGAGGGGAAUGCACUGGCAUUUUUAUUUUGAUUCCCCGAGACGUGCAGAAAAUGACAAUGGAUACAUGCAACGGUAUAACAAAUUUGUCUAGCAUGGGUCCGCUUGAAUACCUUGAGGAGCUAAAAAUUAGAGAAUCAGAAAACUUAGGGGUGCUCUAUGGAGGACAAGAUGAAGAAGUAAUUGACAUCCUUACCCCAGCCCUUGCGCCUCUCCUCUUCUCGAGCCUUAGGGUUUUACAUAUAGUCUGUUGUCUGAAACUGAAGUAUCUUUUUGGGCAUGGAUUUAAAUCCAACCUUCCGCAUCUACGAGAGAUUGUAAUAUCGGGAUGUUGGGAAAUGGUGGGGAUAAUAGCAGCAGUUACAUCCCCACCACCACAUCCGCUCCCAUUUUUCCCUAGUCUGGAACAGAUUGAGGUUCUUACCUGUAAUGAAAUGAAGAGAGUGGUGGAAUUCGAGUGGAUACCCCACUUCCCUACUCUGAGAAGUAUCAAAGCAUUACAUUGUGAGAAGAUGGAGGAGAUAAUCGGAGGUCCUCCCCCAUACUCGCCAGUUGAAGAGAUUUCUCUCCAAUCUCUUGAGGUAAAUGACUGCAAUAACAUGAGAAGGCUGUUUUCGCAUGAGUGGCUGCUCCAUCUUCGAAAUCUUCAAAGUAUCCAGGUCGUUGGCUGCAAAGGAAUGGUGGAGAUGAUAAGCGGAGCGGGACAAGGCCAAGAAGAAAGCAUAACGACUCUUUACAGCACCCCUUCAUCCUUCCAGCCUUCUUCAAUUUCUCUCCCAAAGCUGAAGUGCUUGGAGCUACUCAAUCUACCCUGGCUGAAGAGCAUAUGCGAAGUCCCAAUAAGCUGCAAUUCCAUGAAAGAAUUGACAGUGUCCAAAUGCCCAGGACUGAUGAGGAUUCCUUUGCAAUUGCGAUUGUGUGAAAUUGAGGAGCUUCCGCAUAUUUGGGUGGAAGAUGAGGAAAGGUGGAAGACGCUGAUGUGGGAUCAAACCGAUGCUCAGGCUCUUCUUCAACCUUAUCUCCGAAAGGGGAGUCCUUUAUUCCGGAAGGGAUGUUGUUCUCCAAAUGCUAUAGGUUAAUGAGUUUAAUUGAUAAUCAAUUGCUUCACUUCUUAAAAGUCUUUUCUGUCUAUAUAGUCAUGCAGCUCUCAUAGUGGCCUUUUGCAGAACUGUUGGCCAAGGGAAGGGGUCUCCUGCGACUCUGCUCUUGAAGAAAGCCCUGCUGCUCAACCGUGCUUUCCUGCAAACUUGACUCAGGUCGCCAUAUGAAUUUGACUUUUUUUGUGUGGCCAUGCUUUGUCUAUUUUGAAUGUGAUCGCAUGUUUCAUUGACUACUGGAAAUGAGUCGAUCUGAUUGAUAUUUCAGGUUAGUCAAAAAGCAACGGAUCUGAAGAUUUGGGAAGCCAAGGGAUUAGCAAAGUCUGUUUUUUAUCUUGUCUUAUAACUGAAAGGACAAUUUAUUAUUAUGGAUUGAUCUUCUUGGGAUAUUAGCCUUCUAAGAAAAGAGAGAAUUUUGUACAGCACUACCUUUAAUCUGUUUUUGUUUCGAAAGGAUUUCAAAUAUGAUAUUGCUUUAACUUGUCGAUCGAAAAUAUUGUGUCAAAUAUGCUGCUUUGCUCUGUUGGAUCAGAGCAACAUGACCCAUAUUAAACUUGUUUCGACAUUAAACUAGUGGGUAUAGAAUACUUGAUCUGCUUAGUAGUUGUAUCAUAUCUGGAAACGUAGGCCGGGAAGUUUUCUUUUCACCCUUUGUCAUACUUUGAGUUAGAAAUGUAAAAAGAUGAAGAAGAAAGAAUUGCACAGCUAUCACCCCUCUUUAAAUGCCUUGAAGUUGUGGAUAGAUGGAGAAACCUACAGCUUCAGCUCAAGUUACCAAAAAUCAGAGCAGUNNNNNNNNNNNNNNNNNNNNNNNNNNNNNNNNNNNNNNNNNNNNNNNNNNNNNNNNNNNNNNNNNNNNNNNNNNNNNNNNNNNNNNNNNNNNNNNNNNNNNNNNNNNNNNNNNNNNNNNNNNNNNNNNNNNNNNNNNNNNNNNNNNNNNNNNNNNNNNNNNNNNNNNNNNNNNNNNNNNNNNNNNNNNNNNNNNNNNNNNNNNNNNNNNNNNNNNNNNNNNNNNNNNNUGCAUUGAGCAGUUAAAGCAGAUAAUGUUUUUGUAUGCUCUGCGAUCCCAAUCUAUCCUCUCAUCUGAUCUAAAUAUGUUGGGAGGAAACUUUCUUUCAUCAUUUCCAGGUAAUUGAUUGCUUUGUUACUACAGGAAAUUCAGGUACUUAGCCAGCAUAGACAUCCGAACACUCUGCAGUAUUAUGUUAGGGAAAUUGUGAGUCACAUUUCCACAGCAUCUAUGCAUCCCAGCUCAAUGGGCGUUCAUUAUUUGACUCACCAAAAUUUCAACAUAUUCAUGCAUACUCAGGUUGAGGAUUGGCUUUACAUAUAUCUAGAAUAUGCACAUCACGAUUCAAUAGACAAGUAUAUCCAGGAGCGUCUUGGGACCCUAACAGAAUCAGUUGUCAGCACUUUACCCGCUAUAUUGUGGCUGGAUUGGCUUCCCUGCAUGUUAACAACUCCAUACAUGGGUAUCAAGCAUCAUGAGAUGACUUGCAUAUUGGAUUAGGAGAUUGGACCUUCUUAUUUGUACCCACAGACCCGUUAAAACUAUUUGGCUUGUGCAGGGAUUUAAUGGGAGCUAUUUAUUUGUGGAUGCAUCUGGGAUAUUCAAACUUGCUGACUUUGGGAUUGCUAAACAUGUGAGUUUUUACCUCUCCACUGCAAGACUAUUCAGUGCAUGUUGAAAUUCCUUGCUAAUCUGUGGUGCAUUCGAAUGUGAAGUCAGGGACCCAGGGUGACUGCAUACUUCUCGUUAUUGGUUUGUGGCAUUUCAUAUGUGCAUAAAUCUAUCAUAGAUGGAUGAAAUGUUAUUAAGUAAUUUUCUUCACUUUUUUUCCCAUUGUUUCGGGUAAAGUUACCAUGUUGCAUGAACGGGAAAAGAUUUCUUGCUGUAAAUAGAUGCCGAAACCUAAUGAGAGUUCCCUUUCUACUGGUUUCUAAAAAGUUCCUAAGAGCGGUAGUGAAUAGAACGCAAUACCUUUGGCAAAAGGUUGUGGUGUUGUUUUUGCUGCUCCUCUGCAUUCCAAAAUAAGGAUAGAAUUUAGUCACAGUAAGUAAGGGCCUCCUUCCUAACGUGGGGUAAAUAAAAGUGUAUUGAUCCAUAGAAUGGAAUUCUGGACAGUCGCCAAGGUGUUGUUGCUCUCUUUUUGAGUUCUCAAGCAUUUGCUGAGGCCAUGUUGUUGAUUGCUUCAUGGUCCUUUUUCUCAGUAAUGAGCUAACAUGAGUUGAAAGUGGUUGAUUCAGUUAUCAAUAUGAUGUAUCUAUGUCUAUAAAGAUGUUGCUAUUUUAUCCGGUGUUCCAUGAACACACCAAGUAGUAUUCAGCUUUACUAAUGCCGUACCAUUUCUUAGCUAACCGGACAAGCAGCUUGCCGCUCUUUGAAGGGAAGUCUAAACUAGAUGGCUCUAGAGGUACUCUGCUUUUGUUAACGUUAAUGCGGCAUACUCGGAGGUCCUCCCCCAUACUCGCCAGAUGAACAGAUUUCUCUCGAAUCUCUUGAGGUAAGCCUUUGCGAUAACAUGAGAAAGCUGCUUACGUAUGAGUGGCUGCUCCAUCUUCGAAAUCUUCAAAGUAUCGAGGUCGCUGAGUGCAAAGGAAUGGUGGAGUUGAUAAGCAGAGCGGGACAAGGCCAAGAAGGAAGCAUAACGACUUCUGUAAACGACACUCCUUCAUCCUUCCAGCCUUCUUCAAUUUCUCUCCCAAAGCUAGAGUGUUUGAAGCUACGCUAUCUACACCAGCUGAAGAGCAUAUACAAAGCCCCAAUAAGCUGGGAUUUCAUGAAAAGAUUGGACGUGUACGGAUGCCCAGAACUGAAGAGGAUUCCUUUGCAAUUGCCACUGCGUGAAAUUGAGGAGCUUCCGUAUAUUUGGGUGGAAGAUGAGGAAAAGUGAAAGAUGCUGAUGUGGGAUCAUGCUCAGGCUAUUCUUCAACCUUAUCUCUGAAAAGUGCAUCCUUUUUUUUCAAAUGCUAUAGGUUAAUGAGUUUAAUUAAUAUACAAUUGCUUCACUUCUCAAAAAGUCCUUAUAAAGAUGUAGCUUAUCUGUCUAUAUAGUCAUGCAGCUCUAACGGCGGCCUUUUGCAGAACUGUCCGCCAGGAGAAAGGAUCAUCCUUGGCUCUACUCUUGAAGAAAGCCCUGCUACUCAAGCAUGCUUUCCUGCAAACUCGACUCAAGUUGCCAUAUGAAUUGACUUUCUUUCAUGUGGCCAUGCUUUGUGUAUUUUGAACGCAAUCGCAUUUUUUUUGGCUACUGGAAAUGAGUCAAUCUGGUCGAUAUUUCGGGUUAGUCAAAAAAAUGAAAGGACAAUUUAUUAUUAUGGAUUGAUCUUCCAGGAAUAUUAGCCUUCUGAGAAAAGAGAGAAUUUUGGGCAGCAGUACCUUUAAUCUGUUCGUGUUUAGAAAUGAUUUCAAAUAUAAUAUUGCUCUAACUUGUCAAUUGAAAAUGUUGUGACGUACGCCACUUUGCUCUUUUGGAUCAGAGCAGCGUGACCCUGAUUGAACUUGUUUCGACAUUAAACUAUCUAGUAUAGAAUACUCGACUUGCUUAGUAGUUGUAUCCUAUCUGGAAACACAGGCGGCCAGGAAGUUUUCUUUCCUCCCUUUGCUGUAAAAGGUCACCUUAGCCCCACUUUAGGUUAAAAUGUAAAAAGACCAAGAAGAAAGAAUUGCACAAUUAUCACCCCUCUUUGAAUGCCUCGAAGUCAUGGAUAGAUGGAUAACCCUACAUCUUCAGCUCAAGUUGCUGAAACCACUAGCAAGUCAAUGGGGAAAAGGCCAGCUUAUUGGACGUGGCACUUUCGGAAGUGUUUACAUUGCAAGCAACUGGUAAGUUAGCUCUGGGAAACUUUGACAUGCUCAAUUUUUUAAACAUCCAGUCGGUUGAACUUUGACAUGUUCCGUGACAGAGAAACCAGAGUUCUGGGUGAAUGGAAGGAGUUUGAGCUAUUGCCUAAUGAUCCAAAUUUGGCUGAGUGCAUGAGGCAGUUUAAGCAGGUAAUGUUUUUGUUAUGCUUUGGCAUCUAAUCCAUCCUCUCGUCUGAUCUAAAUAUGCUGCGAGGAAACUUUCUUUCAUCAUUUCCAGUUAAUCGAUUGCUUUGCUACUAUAGGAAAUUCAGGUACUUAGCCAGCUUAGACAUCCGAACAUUCUGCAGUAUUAUGGCAGUGAAAUUGUGAGUCAACUUUCCAGGACAUCUGCAUGUCCCAGCUCAACAGGCAUUCAUAAUUUGACUCACCAAAAUUUCAACAUGUCCAUACAUACUCAGGUUGAGGAUCAACUCAACGUAUAUCUAGAAUAUGCACAUCACGGUUCGAUAGACAAGUAUAUAAAGGAACGUCUUGGGACCCUGACAGAAUCGGUUGUCCGCACUUUUACCUAUGAUAUUGUGACUGGAUUGGCUUCACUGCAUGUUAACAACUCCAUACAUGGGUAAUUCUAAACCAUUGAUCAAGCAUCGUGAAAUGACUUGCAUAUUGGAUUAGGACGAUAGCGCUACAGACCUGUCAAAACUAUUUGGUUAGCGCAGGGAUUUAAAGGGAGCUAAUUUAUUUGUGGAUGCAUCCGGGAUAGUCAGACUUGCUGACUUUGGGAUUGCUAAACAUGUGAGUUUCGACCUCUUCAUUGCAAGACUACUGACUGCAUGUGGAAAUUACUAGCAGAUCUGUGGUGCAUUUGAAUGUGAAGUCAGGGACCCAGGGUGACUGUGUACUUCUCACCACUGGUUUGUGGCAUUUCAUCUGUGCAAAAAUCUAUUAUAGAUGGAUGUUAUUGAGUAAUUUUCUUCACUUUUUUUUCCCAUUGUCUUGAGUAAAGUUACUAUGUUGCAUAAACGGGAAAAGAUUUCUCGCUGCAAACAGAUGCCAAAACCUAAUGAGAAUUCUUUCCUCUUCUAGUGGUUUCCAAAAAGUUCCUAAGACCGAUAGUGAAUAGAACCCAAUACCUUUGGCAAAAGGUUGUGGUGUUGUUUUUGCUGCUCCUCUGCAUUCCAAAAGAAGGAUUGAAUUUAGUCAGAGUAAAGAAGGGCCUCCUUCCUAACAUGGGGCAAAUAAAAGUGUAUUGGUCCAUAGAACGGAAUUUGGGACAGUAGCCAUAGUAUCGUUGCUCUCUUUUUGAAUUCUCAAGCAUUUGCUGAAAUCAUGUUGUUGAUUGCUUCAUGGUCUUUCUACUCAGUAAUGAGCUAACAUAAGUUGAAAGUGGUUGAUUCAGUUGUCAAUCUAAUGUAUCUAUGUCUACAAAGAUGUUGCUAUUUUAUCCAUGUUCCAUGAACACAUUAAAUGGUCUUCGGCUUUACUAAUGCCAUACCAUUUGUUAGCUAACCAGACAAGUAGCUUACUACUCUUUGAAGGGAAGUCUAAACUGGUGGCUCACGAGAUACUCUGCUUUUGUGAACGUUAAUGCUACAUUCCUUUUUUGUUGUGGCGGAAUGAUGGAAUAAUAUAUCGUGCAGCUCAUACAAUCAUUGAUGGUGAAUAAUUACAGCAUGAAUCUCGAUCGUGCUGCCGACAUGUGGAGUUUGGGACAUACUAUUACUGAAAUGAUAACUGUGAAGCUUCCUAGGAGUGAGUAUGACUGUAUGAGCGGGUACGUUUGCUGCAUUGCUUUUUCAUUUUCUCUGUCCUUCCAAGGAAUAUGCUUCCGACUAAAUCCAUCACCAUUUUCUGUAGGAAGUUUGGGACUAUACAUAUUACCAUUUGGUAUGUGAUCCGUGUCAUGAGUUUCUGUUUAAGGUUGAAUCAUUAAUGCAGGCUCAAGUCAUAUUUAAGGUGAUGUGAAGUUCUCCAGCAAUACCUGAGACAUUAUCUCCCGAGGGAAAGGAUUUCCUGCAGUGCUGCUUUCGAACACAGCCUGCCAAGAAGCCUUCAGCAGCUAUGCCACUUGAGCAUGCUUUCCUGCGAAUUUGAAGUUGCUUAUGAUUGACUUAUUUCAAGUGCCAUACGUUGUUGCAAAUGGAUGUGGUACUGUAAAGUUCCAUAUUUACUAAACUAGAAUAAUCACAGGGUCCAUAGAUGUGAUGAAGUACUUGUAUAUCUACGAAAUAAGAUGCAUGUUCCUCUCGCAUGGUUUGACCAGUGUCAUACUACGAUCUAGGCAAAUUUGACAGUGUUGCUUAAUCUAAACAUUUUACUACAGAG
This 178282-nucleotide long non-coding RNA is filed under the name Eucalyptus grandis. Its description in RNAcentral is "long non-coding RNA (EGRA_LNC003566)". Lineage: Eukaryota; Viridiplantae; Streptophyta; Magnoliopsida; Myrtales; Myrtaceae. The record is from RNAcentral.